Molecule: long non-coding RNA, 195933 nt
Filed under: Populus trichocarpa (black cottonwood)
Lineage: Eukaryota; Viridiplantae; Streptophyta; Magnoliopsida; Malpighiales; Salicaceae
Description: long non-coding RNA (PTRI_LNC000450)
Rfam family: MIR2912 microRNA precursor family (bases 174816-174971)
Source: RNAcentral
AUAUUAUAUCAUAUUUGCGCAAGCUAACUGGAAAAACAAAAUCUCUGGGAAUGCAUUCAACCUUCGGUAUCCACAAUGAUAAUACGGCUAACUGAGACAACGAAUUUAGUUCUGUUAGGCUUGCAUUCAUUCCUCCUGUGCUGUCACAUCCAACAGCAUCCCAUCCCUGAAAGCUGCGAUCCCCGAUCAACAGCUCUUCUAACUUCUUCAACCUUCCAAUCAAAUUCACAGGGAUCCUUCUUAGCCUUUCACAACCUGUCACAUCCAACAACCUUAACUCCUUGAGCUCUCCUAUUUCAUCAGGUAAUUCUUCAAUGGAUAAGCACCGUCUAAGACCAAGAAUCUUAAGUCUCUGCAGCUUUCUCAACCCAAUGAGGUCCUUGCAUCCACACCUGAUCAACACCAACGAUUGAAGUUUCGUUGAGAGUUCAAGUGAUUGCAAUGACAAGCACCCUCCCUUCAGAGACAAAACUUCAAUUUCUGUCAUCCCUUCAAAAAACCUCUGAGGAACAUUCAAACCAGAAUCCACUUCCAAUAAUAGAACUUUGAGCUGUGGGCAUACCAAUCCUUCAGGAAGUUCUGCUAGUUUAUUGCCCAUUAACGAAAUUGUUGUACAACCUUCAAAGCUUUUACCCGUCCAUUGCCAAUUCUCUAACCCUAAGCCAGCCUUGACCAUGAAUCCAUAUUCUUUUGAUGCUAUCUGAAUAGCAACAUCACGAACAAGGUCAUGCAUUUUCACAUGUUCUUCAGUUUCAGAGCCCAACAGCAUGCAACAAUCUUUGAGGUUUUCGAUUGCCACAGAAACUCGUUUCCUUGCAUCUUCAAUGGGCUCCGCAUCUUGAUGUAACCCAUAGCCAACUGCAUAUCUCGUCAAGUCCUCGAUUGGAAUGUCAUAAUCUUCUGGAAAUAAACAGCAUAGCACGAAACAUGACUUGGUUUCCUCGUACUUCAAAUAAUCAUAGCUCAACUUAAGACAUGUGUAAGCAUUAUUUUGUUCAUCAAUUUGUUCCAUGCGCACAAAUUGAGAUUCUUUGAGCUGUUUAGACGCUACUUCCCACUGAACUCGUGAUUUACCUCUUAGAGCCCUUCCCACUGUCACAAGUGCUAUAGGCAAGCCUUGGCAUUCUCUCGCAACCUCCCUUGCCACUGUGUUCAAGGUAGAGUCCCCAUCACGUAAACCUGCAUUGAUACUGAAUAAAUCCCACGCUUCAUCUUCAGGUAAGACUCUUAAAUGCACUUUUUGCUGGCACUCCAUAGAAAAACAUAUGCCUUGAACACGUGUUGUUAGAAGAAUUUUACAACCCCUGUGAUCAUCACCAAAUGGGAUCCCUAUCUCUUUCAAGUCAAUAUGUUUCCAAACAUCAUCCAGGGUUAUAAGCAUCUUCUCCACUUUCUUCAGUCUCUGCCGUAAUCGAUCUGCUCUCCCUUCUUUACUGUUUUCUUCAAUUUUCAAACCUAACAUAUCUGCCAUUCGGUUCUGAAUGUCUAUGACAUUUGGAUUCUGCGACACCGUAGCCAUCAAAACUUCAUCAAAAAGCUGCGACUCUCUGGCUAUCGUGCCUACUCUUUUCACCAGGGUGGUUUUACCCACCCCUCCCAUGCCGUACAGUCCGAUCAUAUUGGCGUUGUCAUCUUUGCGAGCUUUCAUAAUCUGUUCCAAAGCUUCUUUUGAAGAUUCUGAGGGCGUGAAUUCCUUUGAUGGAAGAAAUUCUAUGGGCUGAGGAGGAAAUUUGUGGGCCACUUUUGUAAACUUUGUUUCUGAAAGUCUCCGACUCCUUGGCCAGUGCCUUGCUUAACUUGAAUUGUCGAAUGCAGUUUGGACACCAAGUGAAGCAUUUGCCAUUUUUUCCUAUUUCUUUUUCCAAGGGCUUCGCACCUUCAAUUUUGCUGUUUGCAUCUUCCAUCCACUUUUUGACACCUUUCUUAAUUUCUUCAGCAUUCCUUUCAGCAGCUUCGACUUCUUUUUGCAGACCAUCUAGUGCUAAAGCAAGGUUCUCCUUUUGUUCUUUGAAUUCUUCAACAAAAUUGUUGAAACAGAACAUGUAACGGAACUGCCUUCCUACUGGUUCCACCAUGAGUUCUGCUAUCUUAGAUAUAAUGGAUCCACCCACACUUUCGAGAGCCAUUUUCCACCAGUCUGAAAAUCAGAGAAAUGAGGAUACAGGACGUGAGAGUGAGUCACUACAAGUAAAACAGGCGCAGAGAGAAUGGGAAUAGGAAUUCCAUUACCGUAAUUUGGGAAAAUAUGCGCGGAAAGCACUGGUACUGAGAGCUCAAUGAAAUAGCGGGAGGAAGAAAAGGAGAAGGCCUUUAGCUCUGUAUGGAAUCCAGCUUCAAAAGCAACAAGGCAAGGUAUAAGGAUUCUAACUGACACUUGUGAGUUAAAGCAGUAAUUCCCAUUAAAAAUGCAUUUUGAUGACAUAAUUAAGAUCAUAUUGAGACAGUGGCAAACAAAAAAUAAAUGUAUAAAAGUACUCACCUAGCAAAGAAAGAAACGAAUGAAAGGUUCAGGAUAAUCACUUAGCUCGCUUCCAACAACAAAUAUAAUUAAUUAAUCUAAGCUAUGAUCGGUCAAAGUUUUUUUUAGUUUUAUUCUUUUUUUAAAAAAAAAAAAACAGGAAAAAACUUGCAAAGAAAUAGAAUUACUGGAAUGAACACAAUAAAAGAUGAAACUCAAGCAAUUAAAAAUAAAUUAUCUAUGAUGAUCAUGUCUGUGUCACACUCAAUGAGGUAAUCACUAUUACAAUAUUAAAUAAAUAAAUAAAAGCUAAAAGAACUAGGUUUUUGGUGGCAUCCAGAGUGCGGUUACUUUCUUCAUCCUUCUUUUGUGGUUUUAUUUUAUUUCAGUCCUUCAAAUCUUUUUCUUUUGCUAUUUCAUCGAGUUGCUUUGCUCUUGAGUUGAUGUGCUUGCCCUAGAAUAUGCAUUAUGCUAGGGAUUACAAUUACAUUACAUAAGAAAUUAUACUUACAGAUUAUAAUUAAAAUUUUCAGUUUUUUUUAAACAAAUUUAUGAGAAAGUACCAAUAUUACAACGUGAGUAAAUGAUAGGAGAAUUUUAAAUCUUUUUGUGACAUGGUGACCAGCUGAUCCAAGUAACCAAUAGAUUAUCGCCACUUGUUCAACCUGAUCUGCACUUUAAGAUAGGGGUAGUCAUAACUAUUCCUCGUUUUGUUUGAGGAAAAAUAAUUUUUUUAAAAAUAAAUUUUAAAUUUUUCUAUAUUUAUUUGCUAUUAAAAAAAUUAAUCAAUAAAAAAUAUUUUUUAGUAAAAAAAAUUAGUUUUAUUUUUUAAAAAGUAUUUUUCUUUUAUUUUAGGCGGAAAAUACUUUCCAGAAAUUGUGAAAAAUUUAGAAAUAUCAUAUUAUUUGUUGAUUAUAACAAAUUGGAUCCUCAAACUUUUAAUUGCUAUAUAUUUUGUUUUGAAUAUUUUUGUUUUCAAUUUCAUCUGUUAUAAUUUGAUUUUAUAUUAAAUUUGAUCCUUAUUUUUAUGAUUGUUAUUUGUUUUUCUCUUUUUAUUUUUUUAAUUGAAAUUUUUUAUUUAUCAAAUUUGAUCAUCAUUCUUUUGAUUGUUAUUUAUUCUAUUUGAAAUAAUUUAUGAAUAGAGGGAGAGGUUGUUGGAGGCAGAAAAGGAAAGACUACGAUACUAUUUUUCUCUAUAUUUUGAGUUUUAGUUGUUAACAGCCAUGCUCGUUUGAUUUUAUUUUAUUUUUAUUUAUUUUUUUCAUGCUCUUGCAGAUAAGGCAGGAAAGGAGGACCUGAAAUCACGACAGCGAAUAAGGAGAGAAAUAGCGUGUUUGUUUUUUAUUUUUGAAAUUAUUUUUUUAUAAAAUUAUUUUUUUAUUCUAAAUUAAUUUUUUGUAUUUUUAAAUUGAUAUUAAAAAUAAUUUAAAAAAUAAAAAAAUAUAUUAUUUUAAUAUAUUUUUAAAAUAAAAAAUAUUUUUAAAAACAACUACUUAUUCAAUCACUUAAAAUAAAAACCUUAAAAUCACGGCAUGAUAAAAGGAGGAAGAAAGGAAUGGGACAAAGGAGGAAGAAAAUAAGGUCACGUAUAAAAUAGAAGAUGAAAAUUAGUAUGAAAAAGAGGCUAUUUGUUUUUUUAAUGUGUCAGAGUGGUUUUUAUAAUUAUAUUUAAUUUAUAAAAAUAUUAAAUUAAUAUAUUUUUAAAUAUUUCUUGUUAUUAUUAUAUAUAUAUAUAUAAUAUUCUAAUAUUUUUUUAAAUAAAAAAUUAUUUUAAAAAAAUAUGUGUCACAAUACUAAAUUAUAGUACAAAUUAAAAUAUAAAAGAGUUUUCUAUUACUAUUUACCAAGACUUAUUUUGUUGUGGAUGUGGAUAUUAAUAGUGAAUUUUUUUAAAAUUUUCAAUUUGAUAUUUGAAUUUUUUUUUUUCAUAAUCGAAUCUCUUUAUGCCCAAAUUAAAACUCAAUUGCAUUUUGUUUUUUAAGUAUAAGAGUUGAAUUCAAAGAUAGAUGACUGAAAUGAAAAACUUGGUAAAAAUAUGCGGCGACAUUGUAAUUGUUUGCAAAGUUCAUUUUAGUCCCUUAUCUUUUUGAGCUACUAAGUAACAUGUCCCUAUAAUUUCUCAACAUUACAUUUUAUCCAGAAUCUCAGAUUAUGCUCUACGGACUAAACUAAAUUUUUCAUAAAUUGAGAGACCAAACUGAAAUUUAUCAUUUUCAAUCUUAAACCUAGAAUUUUCACAUAUCACCUACUGAUAUAACAAGAUUUCUAACUCAAAUUCACCAUUUAAACAAACCAUAACUCAAAAUCAUCAUUUUUACUUAAAGUCUUUCAAAAUCAACUAAAUAACUCAUUAUUCAUAACAAUCAACACAUAAUAUUCAAAUCAAUUCAUCAAUCAAACCCAAAACACAAUCUUCAAAACUCUAAUAUUCAACAAAACAGAAAAUUAAAGCUAAGAAAAACACAUUUAUACACAUCAAAGCGUAAAUAUUCUUACAUUUUAAUUUAUUUUCUCUAACUCUCUUAUCCUUUUGUUUAUCUUUUUCUCUUUUCUCUUUUUCUUCUUUCACUCUCACGGUUUUUUCUCUAAGAAUUCAAAUCUUUCUCUUUUUUAUUCUAUUUAUAUUUAUGAACUCUUUGUUCAAUUACUACAAUAUCGUUCAUUCAUUUAUACCUACUUUUAAGCCUCCAAGAGUUUUGUUGUUUUUUUCUAUUCUCUUUUAUUUCCAAAUCAUCACAAUAAAAUUGUUUUCUUUUUAUUAAGCUGCUAAUUUAUGCAGCUUUAGCUCUUGUUCUCUCUUCUUGUCUUGCUAUUCUGAUUUUAUCUUUUUCUUUACAUGAUAUAAGAGCAGGUUCUUACCUCUUGAAGUCUGCUGGAUAAACCUAUCAGCAGAAGAUCCUGAAGCGAUCCCAAAUCACAGCUUCAAUCCCCACCACAACCAAUCUCCUCUUUCCCGUAGUCUGUCGUCCUCAAUUGGGAAAUGAUCUCAAAAAAUCACUUGAUGCAACAAGUAGGGUAGAGAAAUAUAAGACUUCAACAAAGAAUCAAACUCAAAAAAAUAAAAGUAAUUGUCUAUGAGAAGCAUUUCUGUGUCACACACUCAAGUAAUAUGAUUGACCUAUUACAUUAUACAAAUUAACAAUAAUAAUAAUAAUAAUAAUAAUAAUAAUAAUAAAAGAACUAGGUUUUUGAUGGCAUCCAGAGUGCUGUUACUUUCAAACAAAGAGGCUUGUGCAUGCGGUGUUAUGCUGUUCGUGUAGGCUAAGAUCUCCUAUGAAUACAUUUGUAAAAUCAUACAAUUGUAUUCUUUUUAUUAAGCUGCUAAUUUAUGCAGCUUUAGCUCAUAUUCUCUCUUCUUGUUUAGCAAUUCUGAUCUGAUCCUUUUCUUUGCAUGAUAUAAGAGCAGGUUCUUACCUCAUGAAGUCUGCUGGAUGAACCUAUCAGCAGAAAAUCCUGAAUCAAUCCCAAAUCACAGCUUCAAUCCCCACCACAAUUACCAAUCUCCUCUUUCCUGUAGUCUUUCGUCCUCAAUUGGAAAAUGAUCCAAAAUCAACAACCAGUUCGGAGAUAGUCUGUGUGAAAAUAAACGGCUGAGAGAUGAAAUGUGAAGGUUAUGGUGAGAAAUUAGAUGACAAACUUACUUUGUCCUACUAAUGCUUUUGCUUUCAUUGUUUCAACAAGUAAAAGAGACAUAAGCAUAAUCAUAAGAAUCCUGUUUUUUCUAUUUUUUUCACCUAUUUAUACAUCAAAAAAUGGCAGUUUUUCUUGUCCUUUCUUUUUAAAAUCUUAUGCCUUGGGUGAGGAAAUUAGUGGAGCAUAAGACGUUUUAAAAGACAACAAAAAGAAGCAAUGUCUCAUCUUUUGAUAUGGUGGUCUUCCAUGAUCAGUUUGUUGAUGAAGAUAUCGAAAGAUUCGAGUCUCCGUUCUAGCUCAGGUUGGAAGCUAGGCCGAAGGCUAAGCUUCUUUUAAUUAUGAAUUGUUUAUGCAAAGGAAACCCAGAAGCUUGAACAAACAGAAAUGCCUUGUUGAUUUCUCUGCUACUACUCAUUAUUUCCAAUAUUAUUCCAUUAUCUUACCCGAAAGCAAUUAUACAAGAAAUUUCAUUAUCCUGCCCCAAAGGCAAUUUAUUACAAGGACUUCCUUUAACCUCCUUGAAGGCAAUUUAUUUGAUGAAAAUUCCUUUAAUCCACCUCAAAGACAAUUUAUCUUAGGGAAUUCCAACGACCCAGGCAAUUUAUUUGCUGAAAUUCCUUUAACCUCCUUGAAGGCAAUCAAGAUUUUAAAUUAAAAACCAUCUAGGUGGUGGCCCAGUGGUAAGAACCUGGGACCAAGAGGUUUGCUCAUCUGCAUAAUUAAAUAGUACUGUUACUGUAAACUACUAGGAAAUUCAUGCGUAGAGCCAAAAUGUUAACAAUAGCACAACGACCCAGGCAAUUUAUUUGCUGAAAUUCCUUUAACCUCCUUGAAGGCAAUCAAGAUUUUAAAUUAAAAAGCCAAAAAUGAACGCAUCUACUCUUGCAAGAAUGGACUCAAAAGGUCAGCUAAUCCGCAUAAUUAAAUAGUACUGUUACUGUAAACUACUAGGAAAUUCAUGCGUAGAGCCAAAAUGUUAACAAUAGCAUUGAUUCGGUCAGGGGCUCUGGUGUAUAGAGAGGACCUUGCCGUUAGAAACUAUGAACCCACUAUUUAUUAAUCCAUUUCUAUUUAGUACUAUUUACUAUUUAUUUAUUUUUAUUUACUAUAUUUCUGUAUGUGAUACCUAAGUACCAAUAAAAUUUGAGAUUCCUUCAAUUUUUUAGGUGCAUGUACAAAAUCAAUUCAAGAGUGUGUAUCCUUAACUAUAUAUCAGGCUAACCUUUACAGGCUGAGCUAGCAAUCGAUAAUUAAUUUUUAAUGAAUUCAUUUUUUAUUUAAAAUAAGGAAAAGGACAUUGUUACACCUUAACUAUUAUAAUUGUUACACCUUACCAAAGGGUUAAUUUAGAAAAAAAUUAUCAACUUACAGGUCACUGGCCGAGGUCAACUUAUGAUUAAGUAGAUCAAUUUAAAUUAAUUAUUUUUAUUAAAAUGAUAAUGUUUUGUUUUUUUUUUUCUUGAUAUUAAUUUGGCUAAUUUUUAUCAAAUCAAAUCACUAAAAACUUAAUCAAAUUAAAUUUCAUCAAAUCAAUAAUAUUUGAUGUAGUUGAAUUUUAUAUAUAUAUAUAAAUAUUUGAAAAUAAUUUAAAAAUGAUGUUUUCAUUAAUACCCAUUCUCAAUGUUUUUUUUGCCUUAUUUAGCUUUUUUUUCAAUUAGUUUUAAUUUUAUUAGCUUGGUUUAGUUUUUUAAGAGGUUAAUAUGAUUUAUUUGUAAUUUGUUUUAUAUAUUUCAGAUAUAUUAAGUAUUUUUUUUAUGUGUGUGUCAAUUUCUUUUAUAUAUUUAUUUUAGUAAAUAAAUUUAUUAAAUAUAACCAGAGAAAUGACUUUUUUAAUCUAUAUUUGUUUCUUAAUUUCUUAAUUUUUCCACCUGCUUUUUUAACUAUUGAUAAUGACUUUUUAUUAUUAUUAUUAUUCACACAAUAUAGUGCUGACACCCGCAGGUUGAGACUUGAGUAAACGAAAAUGAAAUAUUUUGGGUGUCUAUCUCCUAGUUAUGGUAUUAUUAAUAUUUGAGGGUUUUGAUUUGGAAUAAUUAGUGAAGAUUUAAUUAGAACUUAGCCAUGUACUUUAUUAAAAUUAAUUAUUUAGUCCUUAAAGUGUCAUGGAUAAUUAAAAAGUCUAUUAACUAGUGUUGACCACCCUCCAUUUACUAUGUUUUUCUCUAAAAAAUGCCUUCCUUCCUAAUGAAAUUUCCGCAACUGCAUCAGAUGUUUAUUCCCGUUCAAAUGCUCGCAACAGGGAAAGCAUAUGAUAAAGAGAAUGGAACAAGAUUCUUGUCUAUGGAGGGAAUCAAUGCUUCAACUUGCCUUGUGAUUUGCUUUAAUAAGAUUUUUUUUUAUAUAAAAAACAACUUUUAAAUUAUAAUUAAAAGUAAAAUAUCAUAAAUUUAUUUUAUAUUAAAAACCGAAUUCAUUAAACAUAACCAGGGUUGUUUAUUUUUUGUAAUGACUUUGUUUUUUAUUUAUUUAUAUAAUAAUUCAUGAUUUAUUUAAUUCGAUGCGUGCAUAAGUUUUUUAAUUUAUAUUUAGAAUUUUUCUUAAUGUAAAAAAAACAUGUUCAUAAAUUUUUAUUUUUAUGAUUUCAGUUUGAUUCUUAUUUUUAUGAUUUUUUAUGUUUUUUCCUUAUCCUUUUAUAAAAGUUUUUUUGUUUAUAAUUUCACCCUUCAAUUCAAUAUGAUGGAGUAAUUUUUUUUUUCAUUUUUUGCUUUAUAUUGUUGCCUCUCUCCUUUUGGGAAUAUUGUUGCCUCUCUCCUUUUUUUUUUUUUUUUUUCAUUUUAUCAGCUUUUGCAUGUGGAAUAUUGAGUCUUCUAUUUUUUAUCCACAGAAUUGAAUCCUUUAUAUAUUCUUAAAACUAGAUUUGAAUUCUAAUGAAGGAAUAAUAAAGAUUGUUGCAUGUACAAAUUCUCCUUCAAAAAAAUAUAAUAAAGUAUCAUGGAUUUAAGUAUAACUUAGCCCUGUAAUUUAUUAAAAUUAAUUAUUUAGUACGUCCUUAAAGUAUCAUGGAUAAUUAAAAAGUCUAUUAACUAGUGUUGACCACCCUCCAUUAAUUAUAUUUUUCUCUAAAAAAUGCCUUCCUUCCUAAUGAAAUUUCUCCAACUGCGUACUUUUCUUUUCCUUAUUCUAAUUUUUAAGAAAGAAGAAAAAACAUAUUAAUUGGAAAAGAACUAAACAAUAUGUAACUUUAAAAAUAUAAGAAUUAAACAUAUAGUUAUUGAAACUAUGGGAUUAAUUAAUUAUUGUUAUCAAAUUAUAGAGAAUAAAUUAUAAUUGAAUAAGUGUUUGUGUGGAGGAGUGUUUGCAAAUACCAUGGGAGAUGCGAUUUGUAUUAUUAAUUUAGUUGUUGGUAUAAUAGUCCAAAUAUUGUGACGACCAUUUUAUAGAAAUGAGCACAAUGUUUUUAGAAUAUUUAUAAAAAUUGACUUAAACCAAUCAAAAAAAUGAUUUUUGAGUUUGUUAAACAAUUUUAAUAAAAAUAAUAAAAAUAUAAAAUAGAAUUGAAUUGGUUGGAUAUGACCCAAACUAAAUUAAAUAAAAAAACUUAACCAAGCUAUAUUUCAAUGAUCUUGGUAUGGAUUUGUUUUUAUAAAAAAAACAUGUUCAUCCUUUUUUAAACUUCUUGUGGCCUGUUCAUUCAUACUUUAUUAAUAUUUAAAUUAUUUUUUUAUAUUUUUUAAAUUUGUUUUAAUGUUAUGAUAUUUUUUAAUUUUGUUUUGAUUGAUACAUAAAAAUAUUGUUUUUAUUGAUUAAAUUUUAUUUGGAAUUAUUGUUGAUAUUACAAAGACUUAUUUAUUCCUAUUCAGUUGAUAAUGACUACUUAGAUUUUGUAAAAAGAGUUACUUUCUUUAAUAGCCAAUUGAAUGAUUUUUUAUGAGAAAAAUAAAACAUCUUUUGAUGUGAAAAAAAGACACCAUGCACCGUCGUGUGAUACGAUGCUUUUUUUCUUGUGGCAUGUUUUUGAUGCUUUUGAUACGAUGUUCUUCCAGGAAUUUUUUAUCUUUUUAUUAGGCGGUCUAAGAUGCACAGUCGUGUGUGUGUCUAUAUAUAUAUAUAUAUAUAUAUAUAUAUAUGUAUGUAUAUAUAUAUAUAAGUCAUCGAUGCAUGUUUUUAUUUGGUAUUCAAUUCAAUUUCAUAAACAUUACUUUACUCUCUAAUUAAAUUGCUGCAACUAUAUAUAUUAUACCCUUAACCAGACUAUUAGUUUACCAUUCCUGACUAGCUAUCGUAUCCUUUUGGCAAGAAUCAUUGCCAAUUACUUUAUUCGUAGUAUGUAAGAGUCAUUAUCCAACCAUUUUCAAUUCCAUUUCAAAUCACUUUCUUUGAUAAAUUAGUUUAUAAAAUAUUUUUACAAAAACUCCAUACCAUACAUCUAAACAUCACAUAUGUUCAAAUUAAUUUGAACAUAGCAAGUGUUAUAUCUUCUUUUAAAGAUUGUAAAGGACAAAUAUACAAUUACAUUUUCCUUUUUGGGUCUCAAUUACAUUUGCAUUUACAUAUUGUUCACCUAGUAAUUUCUUUUAUAAAAUUUAUAAUAAACUCAAAAAAAUAAAUAGUACGAGAAACAAAGUUGAUAGACCCAACCGAGAACAUGCUCACGAGUUUAAAUAUCUUAAUUUUAGUUUGUAGAACAUAAAGAGAAAUAGAAUUGAUCCAUUAUUUUGUUUGCAGAACAUAAAUGAGAAAGCAACGUCAAUAUAUAAACUUAAUUAAUAAAUAUAUAGUUGGUUUUGUUUUACAAUAAAGAAUUAUUUUGUUCUAUAAAAGAGUAAUUGAAUUUUAUAAAUAAAAACACGAAAUUAUUUAUUUCCAUGCAAGAUGAAGUCAAGAUUCACCACUUAUUUGUGUGAGGCAAAAUAAUAAUAAUAAUAAUAUUAUUAUUAUUAUUAUUGUUAUUGUUAUUGAAUAAGAUGAAGUCAAGAUUCACCACUUAUUUCCAUGCAAGAUGAAGUCAAAUUUCAAAGUUCCCUUUACAAAUCGGUUGGAUAUGGCCCAAACUAUAUUAUACCCUUAACCAGACUAUUAGUUUACCAUUCCUGACUAGCUAUUGUAUCCUUUUGGCAAGAAUCAUUGCCAAUUACUUUAUUCGUAGUAUGUAAGAGUCAUUAUCCAACCAUUUGGUAUUCAAUUUCACGUUCUUUGAUAAAUUAGUUUAUAAAAUAUUUUUACAAAAACUCCAUACCAUACAUCUAAACAUCACAUAUGUUCAAAUUAAUUUGAACAUAGAUAGCAAGUGUUAUAUCUUCUUUUAAAGAUUGUAAAUGACAAAUAUACAAUUACAUUUUCCUUUUUGGGUCUCAAUUACAUUUGCAUUUUCAUAUUGUUCACCUAGUAAUUUAUUUUAUAAAAUUUAUAAUAAACUCAAAAAAAUAAAUAGUACGAGAAACAAAAACAAGAAACAAAAUUGAUAGACACAACCGAGAACAUGCUCACAAGUUUAAAUAUCUUAAUUUUAGUUUGCAGAACAUAAAGAGAAAUAGAAUUGAAUAUGAUGAUGAUGAUUUCUUUUUUCAUUUUCAGGAGACCUAUAAUAGCCGGUUGAGGGAGAGAUAUGGGGACGAUCCUUUGACCCUCCGGAUUUCGAUCCGGAUUUGUGGAUGGAGGUCGGAUCGUUCGGUGGACUCGAUAAAAAUCGGCUGUACGGGCUCUCCAACACUACGACCGAGAACUUGCGGUCGGCCCGUAGUGUCUCAACUGUUGGGAGCUCCAAAUCAGUAUCGAGCACCCAAUCUGAGGAUAUCAUGACCUUGAAACAACACACAGCUAAUCUCACCGAGAAAUACGAGCAACUCUUGGCAAAUUAUGAUCAACUCCGCCAAAUUGUCAUGAACAUGACUUCACAGAGUGGUGCUACAUGUCCGCCCCCUUUUUGGCCGUAUAACAACCAGCCUCCUCCUCCUCCUCCUCCAACUCCGCCAUUGUGCUAAUUUAAUAUUUUUUUGAAACACAUUCAAUUUGUAAUGAAUAUUAUUUAACACUAUUUUUUUGUUCUUAAUGUUUAAUAAAAUUUUAUUUGCAUAAUUGGUUUUUUUACUAUUAAUUUAUAUAAUUUUAUGUUAUUUAUUCUAAAUCAUUUUUAAUUUUUUUAAAAUACCCACCGAGGGAUUUACCGACGGAAUGUAUCACCGACGAAUUUACAGACGGAUAACGUUCGUCGGCCUUUCACCGAUAGCUAAAAAAUAUUUACUAUAUAUGCCACUAUCACCGACGGAAUAAAUUCGUUGGUAAGGUUCCAGCGGGAAGUUUUUUUUUUGGCGUGCAAUUUCCGUUUGUAAAACCAUCGAUAAUAUUUUUUUUACCGACAACCUUAGCGACGGAAUGCGGUAUUACCGACAAACAUUAUGCCGACGGACGUUUUUCGUUGGCGAUUUAGUCGGUAAAAAAAUUACUGACAAACUCUGAAUCUCAUACCGACGGAAUAUGUCCGUCGGUAAAACUGUGAAAUCUUGUAGUGAUUUAGAUUUGGGUUGGUUUUUUAUUUUUAAAUCAAUUAAAUGUUUAUUUAAGAUCAUGAAUGGACUUAUUGAGGUACCUUUUACCUAUAGCUCACUUUGAUACCCCCUCCGAUAUAUCUAACUCUUCAAUAAAGGAGCAAUUUUUCAUUACAUUCAGCACAAUAUUUAUUUCUCUAACAUGUAUGAAGAUGGCACGAGUUAAAAUGAUUGUGUAAAUUAAUUUACAAUAACGAGGCCUUCGUAUAUAGUAAUUUAUCCCAGACAAGAUGACUAAAGUACUCAAAAGAUUCAAGUAGACGUUGUUUUAACACCUUGAAGGAUUCUGAAAUUCUGCCUUGCUCGAACGCGCACAAAAUUUGCCUUUUCUUUUAUUCCUAAUCGGAUUCGUAUGCAUGCAAAAUUAAAUCACCUUGAAAACUCUUAAUCUCUAUCUCGGCUUUUAAAUAUAUAAUUUAUAGCCAUUGUAAAUUCACAAAAAAAUAUUGAUUUUUUUUUUAAUCUCUUGGGUUAUAAUAACCAUAUCUAUCCGGUGUUGUUUAUUGAAAUAUUUUUCAGUUAUUUUGGAUGAGUAUAAAAUGAAUUCAUAGUUUUUGAACUACAAAACCUAAGUUUUAUCUUGCAAACACCCCCAAAAACUUUUAGUAUUCUCAAAAACUCAAUUUUCAAUCAUAAAAUACCUUCUAAUUAGCCUAAAUGUGAAAAUCAAACCUAAUAAAAAAAAUUAUGGGUCUAAUAUACUUUUUCUAGCACGGUUAAAUGACAAGAUCAUUUUAAUCGAACUUCUUUUUUCAAGAUGAAUCUAUUAAUAUUAAAAUCGGAUUUUUUAGAUCAAAAUAUAAUCAGUCAAAUCCUUUUUUUUCUCCAUUUUCUGACCACAUUCUCUCCCUCCUCUCAAUAUUCAAUAACUUAAAAUAUAAUAAAAAUGAAUUUUUAAGAUUGAAUCAUAAAAAUUUAAAGCUAUAGAAUUAAAUAAAUCUGAAAAACAAAAACUUCAAGAACCAUAUUAAAUUUUUCUGCAACUUCUAAAAGGAUUGCAUUAUAGGAGAAUAGUUUAAUGCAUGAUAACUUGAGUCUUGCUACACAAUAAAAUUUGUUACAGUAAGAAUAACAAAUGUUUUAAUUUAGAAUAUAACUAGUUAGGUGCUCACACUACAUCGCGGGUUCACAUUUUAUUUUCAUAAAAAAUAUCAUAAAAAUUUAUAAUACAAAUAAUAAUAUUUUUUCAAUAUUAAUAAUCAUAUUUUUUCAAAUUUAUUAAUAAUAUUUAUAACACAAAUAAUAAUUUUUUUAUUAUAAUUGUAUUAAUUAUAAUAAAAAUAAAAUAUUUAUAACAUAAAUGAUAAUAUUUUUAAUAGUAAUACUAUUAAUUAUAAUAAAAAUAAUAAUAUUUAUAGCACAAAUGACACUAUUUUUAAUAUUAAUACUUUAAAUUAUAAAAAAUAUAUAUAUUUAAAAUACAAAUAAUUAUAUUUAGAAACCUAAAACCUAAGAACCUUGGGUUUUGAUAAAGGAUCCAAUAGAAUUAGGUUCUGACGCAAGACCCUUUAAGCUUGGGUCUUGAUACGGGACUCAAGACAAUCGGGUCCUGACACAGGACCCGAUUCGAAAGGUAAAAAUAUAAAUUAUUGUUCUUAUUAUCAUUAUUAUCAAUAAUAAAUUUGACAUAAAAUAUUAUUACCACCAAAGAAAAACUAUAUAGUUGAUUUGAAGGAUAAAAUUAAUAUUAAUAAUAAUAAUAAUAAUAAUAAUUAUUAUUAUUAUUAUUAUUAUUAUUAUUAUUAUUAUUAUAUGUGCUAUAGAUAUUAUUAUUUUUAUUAUAAUUGAAGGUAUUAAUAUUAAAAAUAAUAUUAUUUGUGUUAUAAGUAUUAAUAUUUCUAUUAUAGUUCAAAGUAUUAUUAUUUAUGGUAAAAAUAUUAUUAUUUUUAUUAUCAUUGAAGGUAUUAAUAUUAAAAACAGUAUUAUUUAUGGUAUAAAUAUUAUUAUUUAACUUGUCUGCCUAAAUGUUUAUAUUUUUGAGUCUUUAAAAAACAAUUGUGGUUUUUCUUCGAUAGUAAUAAUAGUUUUUUUUAAUUUAUUGAUGAUGAUGAUGAUGAUAAUUUUUAAUUUUACCUUUCAAAAUAAAAUUUAUGGUUGUUUUUCAAUAUUACUAAUAUUUGUUUUUCAAAUUUAUUUAUUAUUUUAUUAAUAAUAUUAAUUAUAAUUAAAAUAAUAAUAUUUAUAAGACAAAUAAUAAUAUUUUUAUUAUAAUAAAAAUAAUAAUAUUUAUAACACAAAUGAUAAUAUUUGUAAAUUCACAAAACAAUAUUGAUUUUUUUUUAAUCUCUAGGGUUAUAAUAACAAUAUCUAUCCGGUGUUGUUUAUUGAAAUAUUUUUCAGUUAUUUUGGAUGAGUAUAAAAUCAAGUCAUAGUUUUUGAACUACAAAACCUAAGUUUUAUCUUGCCCCAAAAACUUUUAGUAUUCUCAAAAACUCAAUUUUCAAUCAUAAAACACAUUCUAAUUAGUCUGAAAGGUGAAAAUCAAACUUAAUAAAAAAAAUUAUAAGUCUAAUAUACUUUUUUUAGCAUGGUUAAAUGACAAGAUUAUUUUCAUCGAACUUCUAUUUUCAAGACGAAUAUUAAUAUUAAAAUCAGUUUUUUUAGAAGGGAAUAUGAUUAGUCAAAUCCUUUUUUUUUCUUCAUUUUCUGACCACAUUCUCUCUCUCCUCUCAAUAUUCAAUAACUAAAAAUAUAAUAAAAAUAAAGUUUUAAGAUUGAAUCAUAAAAAUUUAUAGGAUUAAAUAAAUCUGAAAAACAAAAACUUCAAGGACCAUAUUAAAUUUUUCUGCAUCUUCUUAAAGGAUUGCAUUAUAGGAGAAAAGUUUAAUGCAUGAUAACUUGAGUCUUGCUACACAAUAAAAUUUGUUACAGUAAGAAUAACAAAUGUUUUAAUUUAGAAUAUAAAUAGUGGGUUCACUUUUUUAUAUAUAUAUAAAACAUAUCAUACAAAUAAUAAUAUUUUUUCAAUAUUAAUAAUAAUAUUUUUUCAAUAUUAAUAAUAAUAUUUUUUCAAAUUUAGUAAUUAUUUUAUUAAUAAUAUUUAUAACACAAUUGAUAAUAUUUUUAAUAUUACUACUAUUAAUUAUAAUAAAAAUAAUUAUAUUUAUAGCACAAAUGACACUAUUUUUAAUAUUAAUACUUUAAAUUAUAAUAAAAAUAAUUAUAUUUAAAAUACAAAUAAUUAUAUUUAGAAACCUAAAACCCAAGAACCUUGGGUCUUGAUGAAGGACCCAAUAGAAUUGGGUUCUGACGCAAGACCCUUUAAGCUUGGGUCCUGAUACUAGACUUAAGACAAUCGGGUCCUGACGCAGGAACCAAUUCAAAAACGGAUAAUUCCAACUCUGGCGUUGGUAACUAUUACGUAGCUAUAAAAUAAAUUUAGAUCAAUAUUUUUUUAUUCCUAACUUUAAAGCUAUUGAAUAAAAAAAUAAACUAAAUUCAUCUUAUUACGCAUUCACAUAUUUUUUAUUUCUUAUGUAGUUAAAUAAAAAAACAAAAAAAACAAUUAAAUCAGUGUUUUUAUUCAUGACUCUAGCGUCAGUGAAUAAACAAAAAAAAUAUUAUUUUUUCAUACAUGCACAUAUUUUUUUUUGCUAAAUAAAAUAAAAUAUAACGAAUAAAAAUAAUAUAAAUUUAAACCAGUAUUUUAUUCCCGACUCUGGCGUUGGUAAAUAAAUCAGUAAAUUUAUAUUAUUUUUAUUCAUGAAUACACAUAUUUUUUUAUUUUUUUAUUUUUUAUUUUUUUGGGGCUGGGCCCAGCUCAGCCCACAUGGGCUGGGCUAGCCCAGCCGGCCCAGCCCGGUCACUGGCCCAAGCCAGUGACCCGGCUGGGUCACAGCACGCAUGAACUAGUUUCAUGCGUGCAUGGCGCUGCGCGAAGGUAAUUAAUUACCUUCGCACACUGCUAAAUGCACUGAACUUUCGAAAGUUAAAAAACGAAGAAAACAGAGGAAGCUUACCUUGUUGCAGGUUGCUUCGCCGGAGUGUCAGCGUGUCGGGCGACGAUCAGUGGUGGCGUCCGUCAACAGUAAGCUAUAAUUCCUCCUUCGACCUCUGCCUUACUGCCCUCUGUUUCCUCUGCCCUCGUCUGAAAAAUUAUUCAUGUGCUCUGUUUUUCAAAUUCUCUCUACUCUCUCUCGGUUUGUUUCUGUUUUCGUUGUUUUAAGGCCGGUAUUGGUGAGGGAAAGGUUCACUUCUGGUAUGGGGUUCUAAAAAAAACUUAAAAAUUCGGCUGGUAUCUUUGUGUUUCUCUCUUGGGGUUUCGUUCGUCCCUCUCUCUCUCUAGCCAACCCCUGUUCUUCGGUGCUCCUCGGUUUAUAUAGAGCUCGGGCGGUAGGCUGAGGGUCGACCACCAUUAAGGCGCCCCUAACUGAAGCCAACGGACGACGAUUACUGCUGCAACGUUCUCCCUCCUUUACUGUAGAAAACGGUCACUGGCUUAAAGGAGAAGAAGAUGAACAGCGUCUUCAAAACGACGCCGUUUGGGAUAUGAGAUGGCCAUUUGCGUUUUGACCCGUGAAGUUUCGCAACUUUUAUAAUUAAGCCCCUGGUUUAAACUGUAAUUUCUCCUGCAUUUCGGCGCCUUUUACAAGUUAGUCCUUGGACUUUAAUCUGUUGCAAUCGUGCCCUAAUUAACCCCAAACUUUGCUAUUUCUUCAAUUAAGUCCCUAAGUUCAUUAAUUUAAUUCAAUCCAAGUCCAAUUAAGUCUCAAAACUUAUCAAUUAUCCAAUUAAGCCCCUGAUUGGAUUAAUUAAAUUAAUUCCAAGAUUAAAUAAGUCUCAAAACGUAUCAAUUUUCCAAUUAAACCCUUGAUUGGAUGAAUUAAAUUAAUUUCAAGCUUACUUAAGUCUCAAAACUUAUCAAUUCUUCAAUUAAAUCCUUGAUUGGAUUUAAUUAAAUUAAUUCCAAGUUUAAUUAAGUCUUAAAACUUAUCAAUUCUCUAAUUAAACCCUUGAUUUGAUUAAUUAAACAAGUAAAAAAUUUAAUUUAAAUCUUUAAACUUCCAAUCAUGUUACCCUUAACCCAAAUUUUAAUUCAUUCUUCAUUUAUUUCAUUUUUAUUAUUUAUUUUUCAUCAUCAUUAUUAUAUUUUUUUUCAUUAUUUUUCUUUUUAUCAUUUUCCAGUAAAUAAAAUAAUAAUAAUAAUUAAAAUAAAAUGGUCAAAAAUUGGGUUAUGACAACAUCUAUGGAAAUUCAAUCAUUUAAAAAAAUUCGGCAGCACCUCCCCUGUACUGAAGACUACCCACAAUUUAUAAACCUGCAAUCUUUACAAUAACCACAAUCCAAUUGACUCCAGCAACAUAAUAUAUACAACCUAACAUCUAUGAAAAUUCAAUCAUUUAAAAAAAUUCGACAGCACCUCCUAUAUAUUAGAGACUAUCUACAGUUUUCAUACCUACAAAUAUUAAUAAUUACACAAAUAUUGCAAAAUCAACUCUAUACAACCUAACAUAUAUAUACAACCUAACAUCUAUAGAAAUUCAACAUCUAUAUUUUUUCAACUAACAUCAAUAGAAAUUCAUAAAUAACAAUUAAAAUUAAUCAAAAUAAUAAACAACAUAACAAACAAUAAUAUCCUAAAAUUAAGAUAAACUAAUUAAACUUAAUUCUAUAUUUCAAUUAACAUUUUAAAUAUAAAUUCAACAACAAUAAUUAUUGCAAAACAAACAAUAAUAUCCUAAAAUUAAGAUAAACUAAUUAAAUUUAAUUCUAUAUUUCAAUUAAUAUUUUAAACAUAAAUUCAAUAACAACAAUUAUUGCAAAACAAACAAUAAUAUCCUAAAAUUAAGAUAAACUAAUUAAAUUUAAUUCUAUAUUUCAAUUAACAUUUUAAACAUAAAUUCUUAAAAUCUAUUGUUUUUUUUCAAUAUUAAUAAUAUUUUUUUUUCAAAUUUAUUUAUUAUUUUAUUAAUAAUAUUAAUUAUAAUUAAAAUAAUAAUAUUUAUAAGACAAAUAAUAAUAUUUUUAUUAUAAUAAAAAUAAUAAUAUUUAUAACACAAAUUAUAAUAUUUUUAAUAUUAAUACCUACAAUAAUAAUAAAAUAAUAAUAUUUAUAAGACAAAUUAUAUUAUUUUUCAUAUUAAUACUUUUAAUUAUAAUAAAAAUAAUAAUAUUUAAAAUACAAAUAAUUAUAUUUAGAAAGCUAAGACCCAAGAAGGAUCCAAUAGAAUUGGGUCCUGACGCAAGACCUAUUAAGUUUGGGUCCUGACGCCGGACCUAAGACAAUCGGGUUCUGAUGCUGGAUUCAAGAGAAUUUGGUCCUGACGCAUGACCCAUUACCCUUAGGUCCUAACACAGGACCCAAGCGAAUUGGGUCCUGACGCAGGACCCAUUAGAGUUGGGGUCCUAGGGCAGGAUUUAAGAGCAUUGAGUUCUAACGCAAACCAAUUACCAUUGGAUCCUAGUGCACGACCCAAGUGAAUUGUGUCCUGAGACAGGACCUAUUAGACUUGGACCCUUAGGCAGGAGCCAAGAGCAUUGGGUCCUGGCGCAUUUGAAAUAAAAUAUUAUUACCACCAAAGAAAAACCAUAUAGUUGAUUUGAAGGAUAAAAUUAAAAAUUAAAAUAGUAUUAUUUGUGUUAUAAAUAUUAAUAUUUUUAUUAUAGUUCAAAGUAUUAAUAUAAAAAAUAUUAUUAUUUGUGUUACGAAGAUUAUUAUUUUUAUUAUCAUUGAAAGUAUUAAUAUUAAAAAUAAUAUUAUUUGUGGUAUGAAUAUUAUUAUUUGCGGUACAAAUAUUUUUAUUUUUAUUAUAAUUGAAAGUAUUAAUAUUCAAAAUAGUAUUAUUUGUGUUCUAAAUAUUAUUAUUUUUAUUAUAAUUCAAAGUAUUAAUAUAAAAAAUGCUCUUAUUUGGGGUAUAAAUAUUAUUAUUUUUAUUAUAAUUGAACUAAUAAUAUUUAGAAUAUAAAUUAUAAUAUGUUUGAUAUUAAUACUUUCAACUAUAAUAAAAAUAAUAAUAUUUAUACCCCAAAUAAUUAUAUUUAGAAACUUAAGACCCAAUAACCUAGGGUCUUGAUGCAGAACCCAUCAGCCUUGGAUCCCGACGCCGGACCACAGAGCAUUGGUCCUGUUGCAGGAUCUAAGAGUACUGGGUCUGGACGCAGGACCCAAGAGAACUGGUCCUGAUGCAGGACCCAUGAGCCUUAGGUCCCGACGCCGGACCACAGAGCACUGGUCCUGUUGCAGGAUCCAAGAGUACUGGGUCCGGACGCAGGACCCAAGAGAACUGGUCCUGAUGCAGGACCCAUGAGCCUUGGGUCUUGACGGGGACCCAAGAGAAUUGGAUCCUGACGCUGGACCCAUGAGCUUUGGGUCUCACUAGGGUUCGCGCUGACCCAGCACACAAGCAGGGAAGCCCGAGCGUAAGGUGUCCCCAUGUGGCGCGCGGGUCUGGCUCAGCGCCUAGGGCUUGCCAGCCCUAGCGCCAGGUGUUCGCAUCCCAAGGCUUGUAGCCCCACCAAAACUGGAACUGACCAUUUUCUCCCCAACCAUCCCUUCAAUGCCAAAUAUAUCCCAGUGAGAAGACAACCCCACCCCUCCCCUGCUGUCCUUGCAAAUCUAUGUGGCAAGGGCAACUUUGUCAUUACACUACUUUAAUCCACAAUAUUUUGUAUCUAGAUAAAUAGUAACAAGGGCACUGAACCUUUUUAGUAUAACAAGGAGAUUUCAAGAAGUAGUUAAAUUUAGGUUAUAUUAGAUACGACUUUUGUAAAUUGAUUUAAUUUAUUUUUUACUUUUGAUUUUAAUUUAUUUUGAAGUAUGUUAGUUAGAAUAGCUACCAGAUUAGGCAUGUAACUUAUGAAAGGGUUUGCAAGCAGAAAACAAUUAGAAAUCAGAGGAAGAUUUAGAGGAUAUAAUAUUUAGGAUCUCUAGCAAAAGCCAGCAAGGUAUCUGCUCGAAAAAACCAUUCAACAUGAGAUUGCUCUGCUAGGAAAACAUGAUAUCAGUAUCAAACUUUUGAACAAUUAGUACAGCAUCAAGUCUCAGUCAUCUUGAAAUAUAUCGACAUCAGCAUACAAAAACAUUUAUUCUGCAUUGCCAGGCCCAUUUCCAAAACCACAUAAGCAUAUGCAAUAGAAACAGAGCAUCAAACUGACAGAGAAAACAUAGUGAUGCAGCAAAUACCCAAGUCGUAGAGCCAUUAAUUUGAGCAGAAAGGAGAAUGAAAGUCCACACAUUCUUCUUCUUUCCACCCAUUAUCUCGGGUCCACUCUCUAUUAGUGCUUGAAUCCUCAGCUACUUCAGAUACCUGUAAACCAAUUCAAGCAUGGCAUACAUAUUUUAACUUCUAAAUCUUAUUAUUGAGCGAAACAAGAAACAAACACACAAAAAGAGAAGCAACAAAUCAAGACAACUCAGCAGCACCUCUGAUUGAGCUCUUAUUGAACCAUUUGGUGUAGUAGCAAAUUUUGUGAUCAGCUUUGGGCAUUCAAACACCUUCAACUUCUCUAAAUGAGGGAAUAAGAAAUCAUAACAUCCGAGACUGAAGCAUACAAUACUUGAUAAUUGUUCUAGCAACAGCACCUGCAGAUUCGGGAGCUCCAUCACCUUCUCAACAUUGACAGGUAAAGCAUUCUCUUCCUGUCCAAAUACUCCCAAUAAUUGAGAAGCUUCUCUUACUUUCAGUAUUUGGAGAUUUGGGAGACCUGAAGCCAUGCCUACUGGGAAGAGACAUUUCAACUUGUUGCAUUUUCUGACAUCAAUUUCACAUAAAUUGGGGAAGCAUAAAGAUUGAAGAUGAUCUCCUGGCACUAUCUGAUCCUUUCCAUCAUCAUUAUCCCUAGCAAUGAUUUGCUCUAAUUCCUCACAACUUUCUAUGUUUAGAAAAUUCAGUUGAACUAGACUAGCAAUCAUGCUGUCUGAGAAUACAUGUGUUAGUCUCUUACACUCAUACACCACCAAAGUAGUCAAAUUGCUCAGCACGAGACCCUUCCACAAACACCUCAUGUCAGGCACAAGCAGGGAGCCCAAGCGCAAUGUUUUCAAACUUGUUAACUCCUACAUCAAAAGACAACAAUGGCACUAAUUUGUUAGAUAUAAUUCCUAGUAUGUUUUGGUAAAUAGAUGAAUCAGUUAUCAACAAAAGGAUACAAGUAGACAUGGCAAAAGGGCAUUGGAAUAUGAAAUCAUAAGUUGCAAGACUGAAAUAGACAACUCAAUAUUAGCAAAUGGAGGUUUAUCGUCCUAUCCAAAUACUUUCAUUAAUUGGGGGAAGAGCCUCAAUUUCACUCAAACUGGGAAAGCAUAAAUCAAGGUAGGAUUUCAUUACAAUAAUUAAUUUCUUACUUCUUAAGCCCUGCGUCAAGAGACAGGGAAUGAUACAGUUAGACAACUCCUUUUAAAUUUAGUGGAUGGCUAAAGGAUUUAUCUCCACUUAUAAAUUACUUCAGUUUUAGAAAUUUGGAGGAAGAAACACAGUGUAUUGAAGUUGACAAUUUAAAAUAAAAAGCAAAAAAAUUAUUGGAGAAAUAUAAAGGACGCACUUGAAGCUUUGCCAACAAAUUACCCAAUUCUUCAUGGCCAUCAAUGAUUAGACAUUGCAAAGAAGGCAAUUGGGCAGCAAAAUUCUUAGGGCCAAAAAAGCUGAAAUUUGAUCUGGAAGAAAGAGACAAUUUUCUUAGUCGAGGGAACUUGAUGAUGCCAUCUGUGGUGAGUGCAUCUCCUUCUCCACUGUAAAAUAUUUGCUUUAAAUUAUGAGCAUAAAAAAUCCCCAUCUCUUCCAGGUUCAGAAGACUCGGAGACACAGAGACAGGGAAGACAUAUUCCAGUUUACCACACUCUUCUAUGAAGAUAGUUUUUAAUCUUGGGAAGCGAAGAGACUCUGAAAUUAUUUCCCUUUCAUCAUCCUUUUCUCUGAUAAUAUGCUUCAAUUCACCGCAAUAUCAUAUGUCAAGGGUUGCUAGCUUUGGCAGACUUUGAGCCAGGGAUGGUGUGAAGAUAAAUGUCAGUUUGUCGAGAGAAUUCAAAUUCAGAUGAACAAGAUUUUGGAGGCUGACAUGCCUAGUAGCCCCUUCCAUAUACAUCUGAGCUCAGGUAAGUCGAUCAGCAGUAACGUUGUUAAAGAUGACAGUAGCGACAGCUCCUUCUCCUCAUUGCUUUCUUCAUCCACCUCACCCAAUUCAAAUACCUCUUCCAAUGAUUUACAGCUCUCAAUAUCCACACUACUUAGAUUUUUCAAAGCUUGCAGCAAUUUUGCUGGAAAAGGAGUGCGAACAUCCCCACAAUCGUUCACUUCUACAAAUCUUAAUCUUUGUAAGAAGCCCUUUUGCUGUAUAAAUAUUAUAUUUUUUAAACCCUUCACUCUCAUAAAAACAAUUUAUAUGAUGCAUAAAUAGGAAAAAAAUUUUAUAAAGUACGUACUUGUAGCUGUGCCAACCAAUUACCCAAUUCUUUGCGGCCAUGAAUGGUUAGUUUUUGCAAAGAAGGCAAUUGGACAGCAAAAUUCCGUGGACCUAAAAAGCUGUAAUUUGAUCCGAGCCGAAGAGACAAUUCUUUUAGUUGAGGGAACUUGAUGAUGUCAUCUCUGGUAAGUGCAUCUCCUUCUCCACCGUAAAAUAUUUGCUUUAAAUUGUCAGCAUAAUAAAUCGUCAUCUGUUCCAGGUUCGGAAGACUUGGAGACACAGAGACUGGGAAGACAUAUUCCAGUUUACCACAUCCUGAUACAAGGAGAGUUUUUAAUUUUGGGAAGCCUGGAGACUCUGGAAUUAUCUCCCUUUCACCAUCCUGUUCUCUGAUAAUAUGCUUCAAUUCACCGCAUUUUUCUAUCUCAAGUGUUUCUAGCUGUGGUAGACUUUGAGCGAGGGACGGUGUGAAGAUAAAUGUCAGUUUGUCGAGAGACCAAACCUUCAGAUGAGCAAGACUUUGGAGGCUGACAUGUCUGGUGGCCCCCUUCCAUAUGCAUUUGAGCUCAGGUAACCCUUGCAGCUCUAACAUUGUUAAAGAUGAUAGCAGCGGCAUCUCUUUCUCCUCAUUGCUUUCUUCAUCAACCUCACCCAAUUCAAAUACCUCUUCCAAUGAUUUGCAGCUGUCAAUAAUCACCUUCUUUAGAUGUUUCAAAGCUUGCCGCAAUUUUGCUGGAAACAGAGUGCAAAUAUCCCCACAACGCUGCACUUGUACGAAUUCUAAUCUCUGUAAGAAGCCCUUUUGGAGCUCAUGGCCAUGGUUGGUCAUGUGAUCAGAGUGCAAUUCUAUAUUUUUUAAACCCUCUAAACUCGUAAAAAUAAUUUGGGACACCGUAGGAAACAACAGCUCAAAUGUCAUCACAUUUAAGGAUGUGGCGCUUGUACCAGCCAAAUUUAAUCUUGUCGAGGUUGGGUAUCCUCCUGCAUCAAACCGAUUCCCUAAUACUAUAUCAUAUUUGUGCAAGCUAGGAAAAACAAAAUCUCUGGGAAUGCAUUCCACCUUCGGUAUCCUUAAUGAUAAUACAGCUAACUGAGACAACGAAUUUAGUUCUUUUAGGCUUGCAUUCAUUCCUCCUGUGCUGUCACAUCCAACAACAUCCCAUUCCUCAAAGCUGCCAUCCCCGAUCAACAAUUCUUCUAACUUCUUCAACCUUCCAAUCAAAUUCACAGGAAUCCUACUGAGCCUUUCACAACCUGUCACAUCCAACAACCUUAACUCCUUGAGCUCUCCUAUUUCAUCAGGUAAUUCUUCAAUGGAUAAGCACCACAUAAGACCAAGAAUCUUAAGUCUCUGCAGCUUUCUCAACCAAAUGAGGUCCUUGCAUCCACACAUGAUCAACACCAAAGAUUGAAGUUUCGUUGAUAGUUCAAGUGAUUGCAAUGACAAACGCCCUCCGUUCAGAGACAAAACUUCAAUUUCUCUUAUCCCUUCAAAAAACCUCUGAGGAACAUUCAAACCAUAAUCCACUUCUAAUAAUAGAACUUUGAGCUUUGGACAUACCAAUCCUUCAGGAAGUUCUGCUAGUUUAUUGCCCAUUAACGAAAUUGUUGUACAACCUUCAAAGCUUGUAUUGCUCAUUGGCCACUUCUGCAACCCAAUGCCAGCCUUUACCAUGAAUCCAUAUUCUUCUGAUGAUGCUAUCUGAAUAGCAAAGUCAUGCAUUUUCACAUGUUCUCCAGUUUCAGUGCCCAACAGCAUGCAACAAUCUUUGAGGUUUUCGAUUGCCACAAAAACUCGUUUCCUUGCAUCUUCGAUGGGCUCCGCAUCUUGAUGUAACCCAUAGCCAACUGCAUAUCUCAUCAAGUCCUCGAUUGGAAUAUCAUAGUCUUCUGGAAAUAAACAGCAUAGCACGAAACAUGACUUGGUUUCCUCGAACUUCAAAUAAUCAUAGCUCAACUUAAGACAUGUAUAAGCAUUUUUUUGUUUGUCAAUUUGUUCCAUGCGCGGAAAUUGAGAGUCUUUGAGCUGUUUAGACGCUACUUCCCACUGAACUAGAGAUUUAUCUCUUAGAGCCCUUCCCACUGUCACAAGUGCUAUAGGCAAGCCAUGGCAUUCUCUCGCAACCUCCCUUGCCACUGUGUUCAAGGUAGAGUCCCCAUCACGUAAACCUGCAUUGAUUCUGAAUAAAGCCAAUGCUUCAUCUUCAGAUAAGACUCUUAAAAACACUUUUUGCUGGCACUCCAUAGAAGAACAUAUGUGUUCAAAACGUGUUGUUAGAAGAAUUUUACAACCCCUGUGAUCAUCACCAAAUGGGAUCCCUAUCUCUUUCAAGUCAAUAUCUUCCCAAACAUCAUCUAGGAUUAUAAGCAUCUUCUCCACUUCCUUCAGUCUAUGCCUUAAUCGAUCUGCUCUCCCUUCUCUACUCUUUUCUUUAAUAUCCAGACGUAACUUAUCUGCCAUUCGAUCCUGGAUGUCUGUGACAUUUGGAUUCUGGGACACCGUAGCCAUCAAAACUUCAGGAAAAAGCUGCAACUCUUUGGCUCUCCUGCCUACUUCUUUCACCAGGGUGGUUUUACCCACUCCUCCCAUGCCGUACAGUCCGAUCAUAUUGACACUGUCAUCUUUGAGAGCUUUCAUAAUCUGUUCCAAAGCUUCUUUUGAUGAUUCUGAGGGCGUGAAUUCCUUUGAUGGAAGAAAUUCUAUGGGCUGAAGAUGAGCUUUGUGGGACACCGUUUUAAACUUUUCGCUAAUUUCUUCAAGUUUUCUGAGAGUCUCCGACUUAUUGGCCAGUGCCUUGCUUAACUUGAAUUGUCGCAUGCAGUUUGGACACCAAGUAAAGCAUUUGCCAUUUUUUCCUAUUUCAUUUUCCAAAGGCUUCACACCUUCAAUCUCGUUGUUUGCAUCUUCCAGCCACUUUUUGACAACUUUUUCAAUUUCUUCAGCAUUCGUUUUAGCAUCUUCGACAAUAUUUUGCAGACGUUCUUUUGCCGAAUACAGAUUCUCCUUUCGUUCUUUGAAUUCUUCAACAAAAUUGUUGAAACAGAACAUGUAACGGAACUGCCUUCCUACUGGUUCCACCAUGAGUUCUGCUAUCUUAGAUAUAAUGGAUCCACCCACACUUUCGAUAGCCAUUUUCCACCACUCUGAAAAUCAGAGAAAUAAGGAUACAGAACGCGAGAGUGAGUCACUACAAGUAAAAGAGGCACAGAGAAUGAGAAAAGGAAUUUUAUUACCUUAUUUUGGGAAAAUAUGUGCGAAAAGCACUGGUACUGAUUGCUCAAUGAAAUAGCGGGAGGAAGAAAAGGAGAAGGCCUUUAGCUCUGUAUGGAAUCCAGCUUCAAAAGCAACAAGGCAAGGUAUGAUCUAAGACGAAUGAAAGGUUCAGGAUAAUCACUUAGACGCCUCCAUGGGUGAUACCAGCUCGCUUCCAACAACAAAUGUAAUUAAUCUAAGCUAUGAGCGGUCAAUGUUUUUUUUAGUUUAGUUUUGUUUUUUUUCUUAAAAAACAGAUCAACAAGGGAAAAAACUUGCAAAGAAGUACAAUUACUGGAACGAACUCAACAAAGGAUCAAACUCAAGCAAUUAAAAGUAAUUGUCUCAUCUCUGUGUCACACACUCAAAGAAUUUCAUUACCUUAUUUUGGGAAAAUAUGUGCGAAAAGCACUGGUACUGAUUGCUCAAAGAAAUAGAGAAGGCCUUUAGCUCUGUAUGGAAUCCAGCUUCAAAAGCGACAAGGCAAGGUAUAAGCAUUUUGAUGACAUAAUUAAGAUAACAUGCGUAGUAAUAUAAAGAAAAUGACAAACAAAUAAAAAAAAAUAAUGUGUACAAGCAAGAAACGAAUGAAAGGUUCAGGAUAAUCACUUAGACGCCAUGGAUGAUACCAGCUCGCUUCCAGUAACACAUAUAUUUAACCUAAGCUAUGAUCGGUCAAAAAAAUAUUUAGGUUUCUUUUUUUUAUAUAUAAAAAAAUACAGAUCAACAAGGGGAAAAAAAAAAGAAAAGACUUGCAAAGAAGUAGAAUUACUGGAAUGAACUCAACGAAGGAUCAAACUCAAGCAAUUAAAAGUAAUUGUCUCAUCUCUGUGUCACACACUAAAGGAAGGAGAGAAAAGAAGGGGAUGGGAUCACGGCAAGAAAGAAGGAGAAAGAAAGGAAUGAGACAAAGAAGGAAGAAAGUAAGGUCACGUAGGGGCCAGUCUUGUAGAAAGUUUGAGAAUUAGAAUGAAAAAGAGGAUAAUAAAGUAGUUCACUUGUCAGAAUCAAAACACAUAAACAUAGGACAAAAACAGGGAGAGAGGCUAUUUGUGUUUUUUAACUGUGUUAGAGUGUAUUUUAUAAUUAUAUUUAAUUUAUAGAAAUAUUAAAUUAAAAGUUUUUAAUAUUUUUUGAUAUUUUUUAAAAAUAUAAAAUAUUAUUUUAAUAUAUUUUGAAAUAAAAAACAUUUCACAAUACCAAAUUAUAGUAUAAAUUUAAAGAGAAAUUGAUUUUCUUGUUCAUUAAUGUUUACUCAGACUCAUUUUACUAUGAAUAUUAAUUAUGGGUUUAUUGAAAAUUUUCAAUUUGAUACUUAAGUUUUUUUUCUAUAAUUGAGCCCUUUUGAGCUCAUUUGCAUAUUUUUUUAAGGAUAAGGGUUAAAAUGAAAGAUAGAGAACUAAAAUGAAAAACUAGGCUAAAAUAGGUGGCGGCUCUAUAAUUUGUUUGCAAAGUUCAUUUUAGUCCUCUAUCUUUUUAAACUAUUAAGUAACCAGUUCUUAUAAUUUUUAAACAUUGCAUUUUGGUAUAAAAUUUUAUUUUCCUCCUUUUUUUAGUUUUUUUUUUUUAGAGGAAAGAGAGAGGGUCGCCAGAUUUCAUCUUAGAGAGAAAACGUUGUAGUUGGGGAAGAUUUUGGCCCCUAAAACAUAUGUUGCUUGAUUUUUAAUUGAGUCUAAGUGGUUUUUAUAAUUAUAUUUAAUUUAUAAAAAUGUUAAAUUAAUAUAUUUUUAGUGUUUUUUUGUGAUUUAAAAAAAUAUAAAAUUAUUUUAUUAUGUUUUUAAUAAAAAAUAUUUUUAAAAAGCAUGUGUCCCAAUACCGAAUUAUUAUAAUUAUAAUAUAAACUAAAAGACACAGUCUUUUAGUUUGGCCUUUGACUUAUAGCACCGUGAAUUAGAACAACGUUAUCAUGUCCUAACCAUAGUUAUUAAACCCGAUCCAGAGGUUGACCUGGCCAAGGUGCCGGGUCCUGAGUUUCAUGGGUCAACCCGGAAAAAAAAAUAAAAAUUAAAGUUUUAAUAUUUUAUAUGAAAAAUUAAGAAAAAAUACAUGUAAAUAUAUGCUAUACAUAUUGUAAAUAAUGAAAUUUAAAAGAAUAUUUUAAAAAGUUUUUUUAUCUCACAUUAAAAAGAUAUUAUGUUAGGCUUUUAAGUUGAAAUAUUUAAACCAAAAAAGUUUUUUAUCUCACAUUGAAAAAAAUAUAACUUUUUUCUUGGAAACAUAGAGUAUAUAUAUUAUAAUACUAAUGGGUUUUAAAUCCCACAUUGAAAAAACAUAGUUUUUUUCUUGUGAACAUAACAUAGUUUUUUUCUUGUGAACAUAGAAUAUAUAUACUAAUGGGUUUCAAAUCCCACAUUGAAAAAAGAUAACUUUUUUCUUGGGAAUAUAGAGUAUAUUUACUAUAAUACUAAUGGGUUUUAAAUCCCACAUUAAAAAGAUACUAUGUUAUCCUUUUAAGUUGAAGUAUUUAAACUAAAAGGUUUUUUUAUCCCACAUUGAAAAAACAUAACUUUUUUUUUUGAAACAUAAUAUAUACUAAUGGGUUUAAAAUCUCACAUUUGAAAAAAAAACACCGGGUCUCGCCCCGGUUGACCCGCCAGGUCGAUCAAGUUUGGUCAGGUCAUUGCAUCGGCCGGUCUUUUGACAAACAUGGACCGGUUCAGCCCCCAGGUCAACCCGCCAGUCCGUUCAGGUUUAAUAACUAUAGUCCUAACUGACACGAUCAAAGAGUUGAUGUCUUAUCCCAAGUGCAAGAGUGUCAAAGUAAUAAAUAACCCGUCAAGACCGGGGUCGAACCACAAGGAGGUGAAUUAUAUAAAUUAUAAUAAUAAUAAUAAUAAUAAUAAUAAGAACAACAACAACAAUGAUGAUGAUGAUGAACAACAACAGGACUUUGAGAUGUAAGAUAAAUGUGAAGAUUAAAUAAUGAUAAAAACAAAUGUCAAGGUUAGAGGAUCCACUAAUAGUAUUAGAGAUAAGUAAAGUAUAAACUCUUUAUAAAUUAUCAACACGAUCAUAUCAAUCAUCUUAUUUACGUAACACCAUAUUUGUCGCACGUCAGAAAAUUCGUGCGGCAUCGGCUUGCAAUUUUAUCGUUGUUAUGCGUUGAUUUAGGGUCUUAGGAGUCGCCACCUAGUAAUUUAUAGAAGGCUACUAGGAAACCGGAUGAACUGGUCUUGUCAGAGAUUCACGAGUAAGAGACUGGUUGUGGUUAGAGAAGGUAUUAGCACCCCUAACACACCCUACCUGAGGUAAGCUGCUUCGUGGACUUGAUGUGUUAAAGAAGUUUUAAAAAUUCUGUUCUUUCAUUGAAUUUUAGAAAUACGACUUCCAUGUAAGUUCAUAAUUCUUUAUCCGUGAGCAAAUCAAAAUAUUAAAUUCUUCUUUAAUCUUUGCAAUUUUAUCAUAAAUAAAAAAAAAAACAUCCAUAACAAAAAAUAUAAACACACACAUACACCUUCACUGUAUUUUUUCUCUUUUCUUUUCUUUUCUUUUUGUUUUUACAUCCACAAUACAAAAUACAAUUUCAAAAGAACAAACUAAACCAAAAUUACAAUAAUAACCCCAAAACAAUCUGGAAUUUACAGGGAACACCUUCUGCAUCACCAGAACAGUGUCAGGCAGACUUCUGGAGCUGCAAGAACAGUGGUCGCACGUCUCCUCCACUCGCCACCGUGGCUGGUGGCGCGUGGGUUCACGCGCCGCCGCUGACAAUGCCCGAAAAUGGGCGGAUCUGCCCUGCUUUCUUCUUCCCUUCCCUUCUCUGCUGGCUGUGAGAACCACCGUUACCUGCAAAGGGGGAAAAAUAAACACAAUGCAAAGCUUCCGAUCCUCUCCUUUUUUAGAUCUACUAUCUUCUGUCUUCUCUUUCGGGUUUUCUGUUCUUCCCUUCUUCAGGUGGCAGGUCUGCCGGCUUCUUCUCCCCUUCCCCUCUGCAUCAGCGGUGGCUAGUGAGGAUGGAGACUGGCUGCUGUGGUCGGGUCUGUUCGUUGACCCGGAGAGGGAGGCCGAUGGGUCGGCUGAGAGAGGAGAGGAGGUGUUCCCGGGCGUGGAUGCUGCUGGAUGCUCUUCACUCCUGUUGGUGGCAGCAAUGGUUGGCCUUGCUGCUGUUGUCCGGCUGUCACUGGAGGCUGGUUGAUGGAGACCUGUGAGAUGGCCGGGGAGGGAGGCCGAUGGAAGGGAACAGUUGGGAUGGAGAGGGACGGCACUGCUGCUGUUCAGCCGCUGCUGGGGCCGAAUGGAGGAGAGACCUGGCGAUGGAAAUGAGAGAGUGAGGGGAUCCUGUUCUGUCAAAGAGAGGGGCGAGUGAAAGGGAGAUGAGGGAAAUGCAGAGGAGGCUGCUCUGGCUUGGGAAAAGAAGUUGGAAAUGAGGGCUAUCUGUUGAUGACCGGGCUGUGGGAGAAGGAAGAAAAAUGAGUGCUAGUCUUGGGAGAUGUGGAAACGGUGGGUGUUGUCUGUGAAGGGGAGGCUGGUCUGGGUGUGUGGGGGCUGUGGCUGAGGGGAAGGAACGGUGAUCAAGGGGGAGGGGGCUGGACUAUGGCCGGCUGUCACUGGUUGAAGGAAGGCCUGUGGGAAAGCUGGAGAGGCAGAGAGGGAAGAAGAAACCGAAGGGAAAACUUGGGGAAAGGGGAGCAGCGGCUUGUGUGAAGGAAAAUGGAGUGGGCAGCUGUUGUAAAAAUGAAUGGGGUUUUGUGUUGUUGGCUGGCCAAGGAGAAGAAAAUGGGAGGAACGGCGUGGAGAGGAAAACCAAAAACAUGGGGGGCCUGUGUUGUUGGCUAGAAAAUGGGGGAGGGCUGGCGGCUUGGAGAAGAUGAGAUAGGUUUAGGGUUUCUCUUCCCCUCUUCUGAUGUUGUCAAAAUUCUCCCCUGUUUGAGUUGUGGACCAGUAUUUAUAGAUAAAAUGUUGCAUGGAUCUAAAAAUUGAUCCCUCAACUUUUUUUAUUUUUUUUGUAAAUUUGAUUUUUCUUAAUUUUUUUGUAUUUUUUGAAAACGAGCAAUAUCAACGUCGACUCAAUGAAGAAAAUCAAUGAUUUUAAAAAUAACGCGUUGAAAGUUGAACGCGUUCCAAAUGUCUUUGAAAAUUUAAAUUCUUUUGAGACGAUGCUAAAAAAGAUGCAAAUGUAUUAAAAAUGUAUUUUUUGGAUUUUCAAUGUUUUUCGCUAUUUUUGGAUUUUUUCUGAAAAUUUAUCAAAACAUGGGUCAAAAAUUGGGUAGCAACAGAUGCCCCCUCUUUACAAUGCUUACGAAGCAAAACUCCUCAAUGUUUUGCAUAGUAAGCUUUGUAAAGAAAAACUUGUCUUUCUGUCACUCAAUAUCCACUCAUCUAAAGGCCUUGCUCUUUUUUUUUGUUCUCUCUUCCUUCUCUUUUCUUCCUCUUCUUUCUUCCUUUCUUUCUUUCUCUUUUUUUUUUUAUCUUGAGAUCCCAUCUGGCGAUCUCCUUUUCCAAAACCAAAGAAUAUGUGUAGCUCGGUCAACCUGAAAUCCCAUCUGGCGAUUUCCUUUAACCAAAGCUACAUGAGAUCCCAUCUGGCAACCUCAUUAAACCAAAACUAAAAAAAUGUGUGUGUAGUCUUAUUAUGACGGGUGACCUACCCAAAAUGAAAGAUGGUCUCAUUAUGACGGGUGACCUACCCAAAUACAAGAUGGUCUCAUUGUGAUGGGUGACCUACCCAAGUGGAAAAGGGAAAGAGUGGUCUCAUUUUUAUGGGUGACCUACCCAGGGGGAAGAAUGGCCUCAUUAUAAUGGGUGACCUACCCAAGUAAAAAAAUAAUGGAGAAUGAUCUCAUUCUAAUGGGUGACCUACCCAGAAAAAAUGGUAUCAUUGUGAUGGGUGACCUACCCAAGUGGAAAAGGGGAAGAGUGGUCUCAUUCUUAUGGGUGACCUACCCAGGGGGAAGAAUGACCUCAUUAUAAUGGGUGACCUACCUAAGUAAAAAAAUGGAGAAUGGUCUCAUUAUGACGGGUGACCUACCCAAAUACAAGAUGGUCUCAUUGUGAUGGGUGACCUACCCAAGUAGAAAAGGGGAAGAGUGGUCUCAUUCUUAUGGGUGACCUACCCAGGGGAAGAAUGGCCUCAUUAUAAUGGGUGACCUACCCAGAAAAAAAAAUGGAGAAUGGUCUCAUUCUAAUGGGUGACCUACCCAGAUGGAAGAUAGAAAAAAUAUGAAGUGGUCUCAUUGUAAUGGGUGACCUACCCAUAUGGAAGAUGAGAAAAAUGUGAAGUGGUCUCAUUAUUAUGGGUGACCUACCCAGGUGGAAGAUAGAAAAAAUGUGAAGUGGUCGCGUUAUAAUGGGUGACCUACCCAGGUGGAAGAUAGAAAAAAUGUGAAGUGGUCGCGUUAUAAUGGGUGACCUACCCAGGUGGAAGAUAGAAAAAAUGUGAAGUGGUCGCGUUAUAAUGGGUGACCUACCCAGGUGGAAUAUAGAAAAAAUGUGAAGUGGUCGCGUUAUAAUGGGUGACCUACCCAAGUGGAAAGAAUGUGAAGUGUGGUCUCAUUAUAAUGGAUGACCUACCCAGAUGGAAGAUAGAAAAAAUAUGAAGUGGUCGCGUUAUAAUGGGUGACCUACCCAAGUGGAAAGAAUGUGAAGUGUGGUCUCAUUAUAAUGGGUGACCUACCCAGAUGGAAGAUAGAAAAAAUAUGAAGUGGUCGCGUUAUAAUGGGUGACCUAUCCAAAGAAAAAGGAAAGAAUGUGAAAAACGGUCUCAUUAUGAUGGGUGACCUACCUAAAUGGAAAAAUGUGACUUACCUAGCAAAAAGACUUGGCAGGCGAAGUCCUGAUAGGAUAAGGCUGACAAACGGCGCUUCCUAAUUGCAAGGUUUACUUGAAGACUCCUCUUGAUGACGGGGUUAAUCUCCUCGUUUCUUUGAGAUUCUCCUACUGGCAGGGUUCAUCUCAUUCUCUUCUCGUUCCAGGAUCUAAACCGAUUCUUUGUCAUCAUCAACUCAAUGAUUCUUUCUUUGUCCACAACCUUGUUGAACUUCAUUGAGGAUCUUUCUGUAACAAAUCACAAGUAUGUGCAAUGCUUUGAGGUUAGAUGACAUGCAUGCAUCCUUACCUGAUGUGAAAUAUAGGUCCCCCCCUUUGAUGAUCCAUCGUCAUAGGGUGCCUUUGUUUGCUAACCAAAGCCUUCUUUGCUCUUCCCAUGUACUGACUCAUUCGUGUGCUAGCCAUCCACUCAAAUGUAAGUGCAGUGCCCAUCUCGGGCUGUCUACGACGAUUACUACUCUCAGUUGUUCUCAAUGUUGACCAUGCUUCCAAGCGUGGUGUUGCUCGAUUCAUCAUGAAGGAGUUGAACAAAUCAUCCAUCUCCUAGAUUCUCUCAAGAAUUGUCCUUUGAUUGGUUGUGCGUGUUUUGCCACUGCCGGUCAAGAGGUUUUCUAGUGUUUAACCUCAUUUUAGAUGGACUUGCCCCCAGUUGAAAUAACACUCUUCAAGUAUAUAUUAUCACCCGCCUUCUUGGAACUGCUAAGUCAUCCAGACAUGCCUCUCAUACUUUGCAGUAAAAGGCUAAUCAUUGUAAGCUCAAAGUUCUUCUCCAUAGAUUCCUCUCAGCUUGUCAAAUCAGAUCAGGAAAGGAAAUGCGUUGGCAUCAUCAAUGAUGUUCAUCACCCAUAUUCAUGCGGUGAAGUGUACAUUUGAGCUUCAAAGCAGAUGGUCCCACAGUCAGUCUUGGUGGGUGCAUCUUUCCAACAUUCAUUCAAAUGCAACUAUGCGAUAACAUCAUUCAAAAGUCAUAGCCAUGUUGGAGAUGAUAAACCAUGAUGAAGAUAUGAAAAUAUCCUUCAAAUGCAGCGUUGUUCAUCAAUUGCUGUUGAAGUUCACUAGAUCACAAACUGUCUUUGAACAAUAUUGCCCCCAGCAAUGAUUUGAAUGCUUGUUCAUCUGUCUAUAAUCAAGAAGUUUUUUUUUCUUUGUCAUUGCCAGAUGCUAAACAUAACUUCGAUGGACUUUGACGACUCAUCAUCUGAUUUUUUUUUUGCUUUGCCCUCAGCUGAUCUGAAUACUGCUUGUUUUCCUACCUAGGAUCCACUGUAUUGCCCCUAGGUGGUCAACUUUUCAAGGAGUGUCGAGAAAUGUUGAUGUCAUUCUUGUCAAGGAUUUUGCAAAUUCAAUCGAUGUUCUUCUUGUUUGACAAUCUUCCUUGUUCUGGAAUCAAAUCUCAUAUUUCAACGCUCAUGUCUAUUCAAAUCUAAUUGUUGAAAUGAAAUCAGAGAGAUGUCAAUUUUGAAAAGUAUUUUCUGGAAAUCAAGCUUGUUUGGUCAAAGAUCCAACACACGCUAUUCAAUGAAGUCCUUUAAUUGUCUUGUAUUUUGAAGACAGAAAUAACUCGUUGUAAGAUUAAAAUGACUUUUUUCGUGGUUCUUUGUGUCAAUUUUAAUCUUUGAUCUUAGGUAUAUCUUUUGAUGGCCUGCGAUGAGGUGACCUUCUGUGGAUUUCAAGAAACAAAAGGCUCAAGUCAAAACUUGAGGAUUCAUCAAGAAAGAUUGUUUUCUUUUUUAGCACCAAUUUUAUUAGCAUGCAUAAUAACAAGUAGCUUAAUCCAUGAAGUCACGACCCUUAUGGAAAAGCUCUUCAAGUUUUGAGAUCGUCAUUUAUCGGUUCAGAUUGCUUACUUGAUUAAAAAAAGGCUUUUUACAGCACGUAAUGCAUGCUAUGGUUCAUGGCUUAUGAAAGAAAGGAAAUUCACAGGCUCAAAAGGUGUUUGAGGGUUUUAAAGACCUAGGAUCAACAUCAAUUAUUCAUCAACUCCUUUUCUAUUGUUGUCUUUGUAGAGACGACAUAGAACCUUGUUAACCUCAAAGAUCAGACUUCUCUUAACAUAAGUCAUAAUGCAAAUCCACCUUUCCUUGAUGAAUAACCAACCUCAAUCAUCUGAUAACAUCAGAGGUUUUAUAAUGGAUAUCAAAAGUCACGUUUAUAGCUUAGUCUUUCUUCUGCUAUUGACUUUUGUUGUCUUUCCUUGAUGUCUUUCUUCUGCUAUUGACUUUUGUUGUCUUUCCUUGAUUGAAAUUUCUUUUGCCAAGACUUGAUAGACAUUCUCUUUCCUUUAUCUUUGACUUGCCUUUAAGUGAAGGCAAUUUCAACUUCUUUUUUUUUUUUUCAUAGCCUUCCUCAAAAUUUUCUUAUAUGCCCCCAGCCUAUGUGUUUUCUUUUAGCCCUCUCUCAAUCAUUGGACUUUUGUUCUAAGCCUUCCUUUUAUCCAUUAAUGUCUUCAAAAUAUCUCUCAUUGCCCCCAGUGUGGGGUGUGGUCCUAGUCAGGGUUUCUUUUUGAAAGAAAAUAUUUUACAAGGCUAAAAAAUGGGACUGCAAGGGAUAUAAUCUUUAGAAAGUGAAGGGAUAUCAAAGAUGACAUUUUCUCAUUUCAAGCAAGGUCGGUUAGAACCGAUAAAUUUUGACCUCAUCCAGUGUAAUGAUUGGGACUUGUAAGAAUAAUGAUUCACGAGUCCAUAACUAUCGAAUCCACUACAUGUCAUUAUGCAUACUGCUAAAACUUAGCUAUAUGAUGUUUUUUUCAGUUUCAGGAGGUAUGAGUUCAAAAUUGUUUGGUCACCUCAUGUCAUUUUCAAGAAUCAAGUCGUUUCUGCAAUCAAAAUAUUUUUAAUCUUCAGGAUUAAUUAAUCUUAAUCGUAUGUUCGAGCUUGAUCAAAAAUAUUUGUGUCAAAAUAGCCUUUGAAAGAAGCAUCGCUUGAUUUCAAAACAACAAGAAGACAAAGAGAAGACAUGUUUCGUUGAAGGGUGAGAUGUGAUCCCAAAACAAAAUGCAGAAUGCUAAAAUCCCAUAACAAAAAUGAUUGACAAUUUGACCCCUUCUUGGAUCACCUACUCUGGCGAUAUCUGUGUUUCACCGAGUCAAUUUCGAUCACUUGUCAUUCUGAGGAUGUUCUGGUGACAACAUGAUUGAUGACAUCAUCUUUCACAAACUCAGCUCGAUUCUUGAAACUCUUGUGUCUGUUCAACUGAAAUGGUUCACGAACCCUCCAUGAUAUUCACAUCUGGUUUGAAUUAUACCACGGUGGUUGCAUGCAAUUUGUCGAAGUCCGGGGCACUAAGUCUGGAAUCUGGCAGAUGCUAGUCGACAAACUUAAGUGGCAGAGGGAUGUCAAUCUUGGCAAAGACAUUUGAGCCAUUGAUGCUACAAUGAGACCUGGCUAAACCACAUAACUAUGGUUUUCCAUCUUCAGAGUCAUCUCCUUAUUCAACUCCCUUCACAGUUCUGAAAUCCACGGUAGAGCCUUCAAUCUUUCCCAUCUUGAUAGUUAGCUCUAUUCUUUUGGCAAUCCUCACAACAUCAUGUCAAUCUUCCAAUGUUGUUGCGGUUGUAUGAGAAUUGUUGGAACCCUCCACUAGCUAGGUAAUCUUGGCAGCAUACAGAAACAUGCAGUACCACCACUGCCGACGUGUGGAAUCACGCGUUGUCUCAACUGGAAGAGAACUUGAUGAAUCUAAAACUCCUUUGUCUCCUCUUUGAUUCCUCACUGACGGCGCAUCAAACAGACACCUGUAGAGGGAGUUCUGCUCCAUUGAAGUUUCAGUCUUAUUCCCGUUUUUCAGCCCACGUUUGUCUCUUCUCCCUACUUUUGUGUUUUAAUUCCAACACUGGUAGGAGAAAAUUGUAGACGAUCUGAAACUACUGCAUCCCUUCUUGGAUUCCUCACUUACAGAUCCACAAACAAAUCUCUAUAGAGAGAGCUCUGCCACAUAGAAGUUUGAUGUCUGCUUAUGUUUUUCAGACCAGGUAUGGCUUUUCAACCCACUACAGUGUCUUCGUACUGAAACUGGUGGCGUAAAUUUUCAUAUCUUCUGAAACUACUACAUCCCCUGUUCUGCUAGGAAAACAUGAUAUCAGUAUCUAACUUUUGAACAAAGAGUUCAGCAUCAAGUCUCAGUCAUCUUGAGAUUUGAAUGCCCAUAUAUAUUCACAUGCUCAUACAAUAACAUUUUUAAAAAUGCAUUAUGCAUUAGAAACAGAACAUCAAACAAAGAGUUCAGCAUCAAGUAGAACGCAUGAAAGUCCACACAUUAAACCAAAAGAAACACAAAUGGGCAAGCAAACAUACGCCCUUACUUCUGGAGGCUUGUACGAUAAUGACUACACACACAACAUUACAUUACUUCUAACUUCUUCAGCAAACACGUAGAUAGAUAAGUCGCAAUCUUCUAUGGUAAAUAAGACUGUUACAAUGUGAAGCCAAUUUGUAUCCCAUUGCCAAUGAAACAGUUGGAAUUAAUUACUUCCCACCCAUCUAAAACAUACUCGCAGCACCAUCCUUGAAAUCAUGUAACAGCUAACCAACCUUGCCUGAUGCAAACAUGAAGAACAAAGACAAUCCAUGAUUUAAUUCAACCAUUAAAAUUUGAAGGUAAAGGAGAGGAUAAAUAAUCUUCAGCUAUGUCACCUGGUUUGGGCAAGAAAGAAUUAUUAGACUAGCAAUCAUCAUCAUCAUCAUCUUCUUCUUCUUCUUCUUCUAUUUCUUUCCACCCAUUAUUUCUGGUCCACUGUCUAUUAAUGCUUGAAUAUUCAGCUACUUCAGAUACCUGUAAACCAAUUCAAGCAAGGCAUGCUCAUUUUAACUUGUAAAUCUUAUUAUUGAGCCAAACAAGAAACAAACACACUAAAAGAGAGGCAAGAAAUCGAGUCAAAUCAGCAGCACCUCUGAUUGAGCACUCAUUGAACCAUCUGGUGUACUAGCAAAUUUUGUGGUCAGCUUUGGACAUUGAUGGACCGUCAACUCCUCCAAACGAGGGAAUAAGAAAUAAUCACACCAUCCGAAACUAAAACGGACAAUACUUGAUAAUUGUUCUAGCGACAACUCCUUUAGAUUAGGAAGCACUAUCUCCUUCUCAACGUUGAUAGGUGAAGCUUGACCAUCCUGCCCAGGAGACUCUGGAAUUAUUUCCCUUUCACCAUCCUCUUCUCUGAUAAUAUGCUUCAAUUGACCGCAUUUACGUAUGUAAAGUAUUUCUAGCUGUGGUAGACUUCGAGCGAGGGACGGUGUGAAGAUAAAUGUCAGUUUGUCGAGAGAAUACAAAUCCAGAAUAUUUAGACUUUGGAGGCUGACAUGUCCGGUGGGCCAUAUGCAUUUGAGGUCAGGUAAAAUUUGCAGCUCUAACUCUGUUAAAGAUGACAGCAGCGGCAUCUCCUUCUCCUCAGUGCUUCCUUCAUCAGGCUCACCUAAUUCAAAUACCUCUUCCAGUGAUUUGCAGCACUCAAUUUUCACAGUGCUUAGAUUUUUCAGGGCUCGCAGCAAUUUUGCUGGAAACGGAGCACGAACAUCCCCACAAUCCCUCACUCGUACAAAUUCUAAUCUUUGUACGGAGCCGUUUUGCUGUUCAUGGGCGGCCAUCUGAUCAGAGAACAAUAUUAUAUUUUUUCACUCUCAUAAAAACAAUUUAUACGAUGUAUAAAUAGGAGAAAAAAAUAGAAAAAAGAGGAUUAAAUACUUUUUAGAGAUUACAUAUUAUUGUUUUAGUUUUGUUCUUAAUUAGAGAUAAGUUGAAUAAUAAUUAGAUGUUUGUGAAAAAAAGGUUAAUACAACUCCUAAUAAUUAGUUUCAUGUAAAAAAUAAAAAUAAAAAUAGUAACUAAGAUUUUUAUUUUAGUUAUAAAGUUAAUAAAUUUUUAAAGAUAUUUUAAUUGACUUCAAAAUUUUCAACACAAAAUUUAUGCUCUUAUAUAUUAAUGAUUUUUUUUGUGAAGUUAUUUGAUGUAAUUUGGUCUAAUUUUUAUCCAGAUAGAUUACCUCCAAAGUACCCUUCCAUAUACACCUCGUGUCAGGCACGGAGUCCAAGCUUAAUGUUUUCAAAUUUGUGAACCCCUGCAUCAAAAGAAAUUUUGUGCACUUUGGAAUUGUCCAUAUAAAACUUCAGCCAAAAACUUAUCAACAAAAGGAUAGAAGUAGACAUGGCAAUACGGCAUGGGAAUAUGAAAUCAUAAGUUUUUGAAGAUAUUUUAAUUGAAUUAAAUAUUUGAACACAAAAUAAGCUAAUAUGAUUUCUAUGAUUAAUUGUUGGCAUUAAGUUUCUUAUAUUUAUAUAUGCUUAGAUAAAACAAAAAAAUAAGCAGUGACGAAGAAAGAAUAAAUCUAACAGAUAAUAUAAAAGCUGCAGGACUGAAACGAACAACUCAAUAUUAGCAGAUGGAGGUUUAUCUUCCUCUUCAAAUACUUCCAUUAAUUGGGGGAAGAGCCUCAAUUUCACUCAAACUUGGAAAGCGUAAAGAUUGAAAAAUCUGGAUAUCAUUUCAUUACAAUAAUUAAUUUCUUACUUCUUAAGCCCUCCAUCAAGAGACAGGGAAUGAUACAGUUAGACAACUCCUUUUCAAUUUAAUGGAUGGCUAAAGGAUUCAUCUCCACUUAUCAAUUACUUCAGUUUCAGAAAUUUAAAGGAAGAAAUCAACAUGUAUUGAAGUUGACAAUUUAAAUUAAAAAGGAAAAAAAAAAAUUGGAGGAAUAUAAAGGACGUACCUGGAGCUGUGCAAAGAAAUUUUCCAAUUCUUUGUGGCCAUAGAUGGUUAGACUUUUCAAAGAAGGCAAUUGUGCAGCAAAAUUCUUUGGACCAAAAAAGCUGUAAUUUGAUCUGGAAGAAAGAUCCAAUUCACUUAGUUGAGGGAACUUGAUGAUGCCAUCUGUGGUGAGUGUAUCUCCUUCUCCACUAUAAAACAUUUGCUUUAAAUUGUCAGCAUCAGAAAUCGUCAUCUUUUCCAGGUUUAGAAGGCUUGGAUACACAGAGACAGGGAGGACAUAUUCCAGUUUACCACACUCUUUUAUGAUAAUUGUUUUUAAUAUUGGAAAGUAAGGAGACUCUUGAAUUAUCUCCCUUUCAUCAUCCUUUUCUCUGAUAAUAUGCUUCAAUUCACCGCAUUUACUUAUGCGAAGGCUUUCUAGCUUUGACAGACUGUAAGCAAGGGACGGUGUGAAGAUAAAUGUCAGUUUGUCGAGAUAAUUCAAAUCCAGAUGAGCAAGACUUUGGAAGCUGACAUUUCUGGUGGGCCCCUUCCAUAUGCAUUUGAGCUCAGGUAACCGGUACAGAUUUAACUCUGUUAAAGAUGGCAGAAGCGGCAGCUCCUUCUCCUCACUGCUUCCUUCAUCAGGCAGCUCACCUAAUUCAAAUACCUCUUCCAAUGAUUUGCAGUCCUUAAUUUCCACCUUCCUUAGAUUUUUCAGAUCUGGCAGCAAUUUUGCUGGAAACGGAGCCCCACAAUCGACCACGUGUACAGAUUCUAAUCUUUGUAAGAAGCCGUUUUGCUGUCCAUGGGCGGCCAUCUUAUCAGAGAACAAUAUUAUAUUUUUUCACUCUUGUAAAAACAAUUUAUAUGAUGUAUAAAUAGGAGAAAAACAUAGAAAAAACAGGAUUAAAUACUUCUUAGAGAUUACAUAUUAUUGUUUCAGUUUUUUUUUCUUAAUUAGAGAUAAGUUGAAUAAUAAUUAGAUUUUGGAGAAAAAAAGGUUAAUAACUCCUAAUAAUUAGUUUCAUGUAAAAAAUAAAAAUAAAAAUUGUAACCAAUAUUUUUAUUUUAGUUAUAAAGUUAAUAAAAUUUUAAAGAUAUUUUAAUUGAAUUAAAUAUUUGAACACAAAAUAAGCUAAUAUGAUUUCUAUGAUUAAUUGUUGGUAUUAAGUUUCUUAUAUUUAUAUAUGUUUAGAUAAAACAAAAAAAUAAGCAGUGACGAAGAAAGAAUAAAUCUAACAGAUAAUAUAAAUUACGUAAACCAUGAGGCAGUUAAAUCUAACAGAUAAUAUAUUUCAAAUGAGGCAGUUAAAUCUAACAGAUAAUAUGUUCUUCCAUAUGAUUAAUUUUUAAUAAGGCAGACAACAAUGAGGCAGUUAAGUUUCUUAUAUUUAUAUAUGUUUACAUAAAAAAAUAAAAAUAAGCAUUUAUCAAUUACUUUACUUUUAGAAAUUGGGAGGAAGAAAGAACAAAUUAUCGCAAUUGACAAUUUAAAUUAAGUGGAGAAAUAUAAAUUACGUACUUGUAGCUGUGCCAACCAAUUACCCACUUCUUCGUGGCCUUCAAUGGUUAAUUCUUGCAAAGGCAAUUGAGCAUCAAAAUUCCUUGGACCUAAAAAGCUGUAAUUUGAUCUGAGCACAAGAGACAAUUUUCUUAGUUGAGGGAACUUGAUGAUGCCAUCUCUGUUAUGAGACAAAGAGACUGGGAAGACAUAUUCCAGUUUACCACAGUAAGCUACAUGGAGAGUUUCUAAUUCUGGGAAGCAAGGAGACUGUGGAAUUAUUUCCCUUUCACCAUCCUCUUCUCUGAUAAUAUGCUUCAAUUCACGGCAAGCAAUUAUGGAAAGUCUAUCUAGCUUUGGCAGACUGUAAGCAAGGGACGGUGUGAAGAUAAAUGUCAGUUUGUCGAGAGCAUACAACUCCAGAUUAAUAAGACUUUGGAGGUUGACAUGUCUGGUGGGCCCCUUCCAUAUGCAUUUUAGCUCAGGUAAUAUUUUCAGCUUUAACUCUGUUAAAGAUGACAGCAGCGGCAUCUCCUUCUCCUCACUGCUUCCUUCAUCAGCCUCACCCAAUUCAAAUACCUCUUUCAAUGAUUUACAGCUGUCAACAAUCACCUCCUUUAGAUUUUUAAAACCUUGCCGCAAUCUUGCUGGAAACAGAGCGAAAACACCCCCACAAUCCCUCACUUUUACAGAUUCUAAUUUAUGUAAAAACAAUUGCUCAAAUGUCUUCGCAUUUAAGGAUGUACCAACCAAAACUAAGGAGGUUGGGUAUCGAUCCCAAAACCUUAUUUCAUAUUCAUUAGCAUACCCUAAUAUUAUAUGAUAUUUGCGCAAGCUGACUGGAAAAACAAAAUCUCUGGGAAUGCAUUCAACCUUCGGUAUCCUCAAUGAUAAUACGGCUAACUGAGACAACGAAUUUAGUUCUUUUAGGCUUGCAUUCAUUCCUCCUGUGCUGUCACAUCCAACAACAUCCCAUCCAUCAAAUCUGCAACCCCCGAUCAACAGCUCUUCUAACUUCUUCAACCUUCCAAUCAAAUUCACAGGGAUCCUUCUUAGCCUGUAACAACCUGUCACAUCCAACAACCUUAACUCCUUGAGCUCUCCUAUUUCAUCAGGUAAUUCUUCAAUGGAUGAGCACCACAUAAGACCAAGUAUCUUAAGUCUCUGCAGCUUUCUCAACCAAAUGAGGUCCUUGCAAUUACACGAGAUCAACACCAACGAUUGAAGUUUCGUUGAGAGUUCAAGUGAUUGCAAUGACAAACACCCUCCCUUCAGAGACAAAACUUUAAUUUCUUUCAUCCCUUCAAAGAACCUCUGAGGAACAUUCAAACGAUUAUCCAGUUCUAAUAAUAGAACUUUGAGCUGUGGACAUACCAAUCCUUCAGGAAGUUCUGCUAGUUGAUUGCCCAUUAACGAAAUUGUUGUACAACCUUCAAAGCUUGUAUCGCUCAUUGGCCACUUCUCUAACCGUAAGCCAGCCUUUACCAUGAAUCCAUAUUCUUCUGAUGCUAUGUGAAUAGCAACAUCACGAACAAGGUCAUGCAUUUUCACAUGUUCUUCAGUUUCAGAGCCCAACACCAUGCAACAAUCUUUGAGGUUUUCGAUUGCCACAGAAACACGUUUCCUUGCAUCUUCAAUGGGCUCCGUGUCGUGAUGUAACCCAUAGUCAACUGCAUAUCUCGUCAAGUCCUGGAUUGGAAUGUCAUAGUCUUCUGGAAAUAAACAGCAUAGCACGAAACAUGACUUGGUUUCCUUGAGCUGCAAAUAAUCAUAGCUCAACUUAAGACAUGUAUAAGCAUUAUUUUUUUCGUCAAUUUGUUCCAUGCAAGCAAAUUUAGAUUCUUUGAGCUGUCUACACGCGAAUUCCCACUGAAGUGCAGAUUGAUCUCUUAGAGCCCUUCCCACUGUCACAAGUGCUAUGGGCAAGCCUUGACAUUCUCUCGCAACCUCCCUUGCCACUGUGUUCAAGGUAGGGUGCCCAUCAAGUAAAUCUGCAUUGAUUCUGAAUAAAUCCCAUGCUUCUUUUUCAGGUAAUUCUCUUAAGAACACCUUUUGCUGGCAUUUCAUAGAAGAACAUACAUUUGUACGACGUGUUGUUAGAAGUAUUUUACAACCCCUGUGAUCAUCACCAAAUGGGAUCCCUAUCUCUUUCAAGUCAAUAUCUUUCCAAACAUCAUCUAGGAUAAUAAGCAUCUUCUCCACUUGCUUCAGUCUCUUCCGUAAUAGAUCUGCUCUCCCUGGAUUAGUAUUCUUUUCUUUAAUAUUCAUCAGUUCUAACUUAUCUGCCAUUAGGUGCUGAAUGUCUUUGACAAUUGGAUUCUGCGACACCGUAGCAAUCAAAACUUCAUCAAAAAGCUGCGACUCUCUGGCUAUCGUGCCUACUUCUUUCACCAGGGUGGUUUUGCCCACCCCUCCCAUGCCGUACAGUCCGAUCAUAUUGACAUUGUCAUCUUUGAGAGCUUCCAUAAUCUGUUUGAAAGCUUCUUCUGACGAUUUUGAGGGCGUGAAUUCCUUUGAUGGAAGAAAUUCUAUGGGCUCAGGAUGAGCUCUGUGGGACACUUUUGUAGACUUUUUUUCUAAAAGUUCUCUGAAAGUCUCCGACUUCUUGGCCAGUGCCUUGCUUAACUUGAAUUGUCGCAUGCAGUUUGGACACCAAGUGAAGCAUUUGCCAUUUUUUCCUAUUUCAUUUUCCAAGGGUUUCGCAUCUUCAAUUUCGUUGUUUGCAUCUCCCAGCCACUUUUUGACAUCUUCGUAAAUUUCUUCAGCAUUCCUGUCAGCAGCUUUGACAUCGUCUUGCAGACGUUCUUUUUCCGAAACCAGCUGCUCCUUCUUUUGUUUGAAUUCCUUAACAAAAUCGUUGAAACAGAACAUGUAACGCAACUGCCUUCCUACUGGUUCCACCAUGAGUUCUGCAAUCUUAGAUAUAAUGGAUCCACCCACACUUUCGAUAGCCAUUUUCCACCGACCUGAAAAUCAGAGAAAUAAGGAUACACAGAACGUGAGAGUGAGUCACUACAAGUAAAACAGGCGCAGAGAGAAUGGGAAUAGGAAUUUCAUUACCUUAACUUGAGAAAAUAUGUGCGAAAAGCACUGGUACUGAUUGCUCAAUGAAAUGGAGAAGGCCUUUAGCUCUGUAUGGAAUCCAGCUUCAAAAGCAACAAGGCAAGGUAUAAGGAUUCUACUGACACUUGUGAGUUAAAGCAGUAAUUCCCAUUAAAAAUGCAUUUUGAUGACAUAAUUAAGAUCAUAUAGAGACAGUGACAAACAAAAAAGAAAGAAACGAGUGAAAGGUCCAGGAUAAUCACUCAGCCCGCUUCCAACCACAAAUAUAAUUAACUAAUCUAAGCUAUGAUCGGUCAAAGUCAAAGUUUUUUUUAGUUUUAUUCUUUUUUUAAAUAAAAAAAACAGGAAAAGACUUGCAAAGAAAUAGAAUUACUGGAAUGAACACAAUAAAGGAUGAAGCUCAAGCAAUUAAAAAUAAAUUAUCUAUGAUGAUCAUCUGUUUGUCACACUCAAUGAAGUAACAUGAUUGACCUUUUACAAUAUUAAAUAAAUAAAUAAAUAAAAGCUAAAAGAACUAGGUUUUUGGUGGCAUCCAGAUUGCGGUUACUUUCUUCAUCCUUCUUUUGUGGUUUUAUUUUAUUUCAGUCCUUCAAAUCUUUUUCUUUUGCUAUUUCAUCGAGUUGCUUUGCUCGAGUUGAUGUGCUUGCCCUAGAAUAUGCAUCAUGCUAGGGAUUACAAUUACAUUACAUAAGAAAUUAUACUUACAGAUUAUAAUUAAAAAUUUCAGUUUUUUUUUAAAAACAAAUUUAUGAGAGAGUACCAAUUUACAACGUGAGUAAAUGAAAGGAGAAUUUUAAAUCUUUUUGUGACAUGGUGACCAGCUGAUCCAAGUAACCAAUAGAUUAUCACCACUUGUUCAACCUAUCUGCACAUUAAGAUAGGGGUAGUCAUAACUAUGACUAGGAGUGAGCAAAAAAACCGAAAAACCGAUUUAACCAAGAAAACCAGAAAAAAAUUAACCGAAAAAACCGAACCGGUAAAAAAAACCGAUUGAACUGGUUAAAAUAUUUAGGAAAAUGUCCGGUUCGGCUUCCGGUUUUGGUGUGCCUAAACCAGCCAACCCGAACCGAACCGAACCGGUUCGGUUUAGGAAUGAAAAAAAAAUAUAAACCAAGCGGGUCGCCUCCUCCCAUUACUUUCCCUUUCAACAACCCUAGCAGACCAUUUAUUUGUUUUCCCUUUCACACAGCCGCCCCCUCCCCUCCAACCCUUUCAAUCUUCAUUCACACUUCACAGACAUAGCCGCCCCCUUCAAUCACCCCUACUCCCAUUAACAGCCGCUCCCUCCCAUUAACAGCCGCCUCCUCUUCACCAGUCAACGAGCUUAGGCUAUUCUCGGACAACCAUUCUUCGAAUCUCGAAAGAAACCGCCGUGCGUGUGAGGUGGCGAAACUGUUACCGCUUCUAGAUCUUCUUCAAUCUAUUGCUUCUAUCAAAGCCGAUUACAUCGCUCAGGUAAUCUUGUCAUGUAAUUACAUAUUUAAUUAAUUAUUGCUUGUUGAUUUUAUAUUGUUUCUAUUUUUCAAUUUUGAUGUGUUAAUUAUUUUGAACAAUGUAAAAAUAAAGGUGGACGAAAGAACACAAUUUGGAAAGGAAAUUGGAAUCGUUGUCCCUGUCUCAGAUUCUCAAAAGACAAUCAAUCGCAAACAGUAUGUCCUCCAUUUUUUUUUCUUCUUUUCUUUCUCACUGGUAGAUUGGAAUUUGAAACUGCCAACAAAAGUUUGUAUUCGAAGUUAGCUUUUUGAAAAUUGACCCUAUUAUAUAUUUACUGUGGCUUAAGCUUUGAGAUAUUGCAUGAUUAUGAAUUAGUUUAUAUGAGUUGAAACUUGAAACAUAGUCUGACAAGGAUGGAUUAACCAAUUGCUGGGAAAAUAGUUUUCAAAUCUCUUUGAAAAAUGUCUGAUGCUGCGACAUAAGUCACAUAACAGACUCGAUUUGAAGGGAAUCUUUGAGAUAUUGCAUGAUUAUGAAUUGGUUUAUAGAAAUUUGCUGGAUUGAUUUUUUUUCUUUUUCUUUUUUAAAAGGGAAUUUAAUUAAAAUACAUUUUUUUCAUCUACUUUUUAAGUUUAAAUCUUAGAAUUAAUAUCCAAAAAAUUUCACCUUUGCUCGCUAAAAUAUAAUUUUAAUCUUAACAAAAAACUAUAUCUUAAAAUUGACUGUGUUGCUAUCCAACUAAGAAAUUGACUCAAGUGGCUUAGUGAUAUAUAGUGGGGACAUUCUAUUUUAGACAUGCAGCUUGUUGCCUUGUUCUACUUUAUUCUAUAAUCUAUUUGAGAAAAAUGUUGUUUAUUUCUUCUAGACACUUUAGUCUUCCAAAUUUCAGUUGUAACCAGCAAGCAUAGAGGUUAUGAUAGAGGUUAUGUAUUGGGAAGAUGAACUAUCUUUUUAUUUGCAGUGGCUGUGAAACUCUCUUUCUGUGUGUCUCUGUCUCGUGUGCGUGUGUAUAUAUGCACCUGUAAUUCUUGCUUCUCUCCAGUUCCUUUCGUUUGCAAGUUACUGUUGCUAGAGUAGGUGCAACUAGUUCUUUCCUCUACAAGUCGGGUUUGGUAAGAUUGAUUAUAAAGAAAAAGGUAUUGGUAAUGCACAAUUUGAUUUUAGUGUUGAUGUUAAGUGUGGCUUGUUUUAUGAUGGAUAAUUAUGUUGACAAUAUUGGGCUUCAUGAAUGAUGAUGCCAGUUUAUUUAUGGUCUUAAUAAGCUAUAUUACUGCUGGAUUUGUGCUCUUUAUUUAUAUGGCAAAUUCUUAUUCAAAUCUUUGAUAUUUAUCGCUAAUGAAACUUCAAUCUUGCCUCAAGUUGUCGACCAAGUCAAAAUUCCUCCUACAAGUAUACAAUAUUGUUUUAUUAUAAUGUUAUAAUGUUAUCGCUAAUGAAACUUCAAUCUUGCCUCAGGUGCUCUUUAUUAUUAUAUUGAUAUUAAAAAUAAUUUUAAAAAAUAAAAAAAAUAUUAUUUUAAAAUAUUUUUAAAAUAAAAAAUAUUUUAAAAAACAACUAUUUAUUCAAGGACUUAAAAUAAAAACCUUAAAAUCACGGCAUGAUAAAAGGAGGAAGAAAGGAAUGGGACAAAGAAGGAAGAAAAUAAGGUCAUGUAGGGGGCCAGUCUUGUAUAAAAUAGAAGAUGAAAAUUAGUAUGAAAAAGAGGCUAUUUGUUUUUUUACUGUGUCAGAGUGGUUUUUAUAAUUAUAUUCAAUUUAUUAAAAUAUUAAAUUAAUAUAUUUUUAAAUGUUUCUUGUUAUUAUAUAUAUAUAUAUAUAUAUAUAUAUAUAUAUAUAUAUAUAUAUAUAUUCUAAUAUGUUUUUAAAUAAAAAAUUAUUUUAAAAAAAUAUGUGUCACAAUACUAAAUUAUAGUAUAAAUUAAAAUAUAAAAGAGUUCUCUGUUUAUUACUAUUUACCGAGACUUAUUUUAUUGUAGAUAUUAAUAGUGAAUUUUUUUAAAAUUUUUAAUUUGGUAUUUGAAUUAUUUUUUUUUCAUAAUUAAAUAUCUUUAUACCCAAAUUAAAACUCAAUUGCAUUUUGUUUUUUAAGAAUAAGAGUUGAAUUCAAAGAUAAAUGCCUGUAAUGAAAAACUCUGUAAAAAUAUGCGGCAACAUUGUAAUUGUUUGCAAAGUUCAUUUUAGUCCCUUAUCUUUUUGAGCUACUAAGUAACAUGUCCCUAUAAUUUCUCAACAUUACAUUUUAUCCAGAAUCUCGGAUUAUGCUUUAGGGACUAAACUGAAUUUUUUAUAAAUUGAGAGACCAAACUGAAAUUUUAUCAUCUUCAAUCUCAAAUCUAAAAUUUUCACAUAUCACCUACUGAUAUAACAAGAUUUCUAACUCAAAUUCACCAUUUAAACAAACCAUAACUCAAAAUCAUCAUUUUUACUUAAAAUCUUUCAAAAUCAACUAAAUAACUCAUUAUUCAUAACAAUCAAUACAUAAUAUUCAAAUCAAUUCAUCAAUCAAACCCAAAACACAAUAUUCAAAACCCUCAUAUUCAACAAAACAAAAAAUUAAAGCUAAGAAAAACACAUUUAUACACAUCAAAGCGUAAAUAUUCUUAUCUUUUAAUUUAUUUUCUCUAACUAUCUUAUCCUUUCUUUAUCUUUUCCUCUUUUCUCUUUUUCUUCUUUCACUCUCACGGUUUUUUCUCUAAGAAUUCAAAUCUCUCUUUUUUUUUUCUAUUUAUAUUUAUGAACUAUUUGUUCAAUUACUACAAUACCGUUCAUUUAUUUAUACCUACUUCUAAGCCUCCAUGAGUUUUGUUGUCUUUUUCUAUUCUCUUUUAUUUCCAAAUCAUCACAAUAAAAUUGUUUUCUUUUUAUUUAGCUGCUAAUUUAUGCAGCUUUAGCUCUUGUUCUCUUUUCAUGUUUAGCAACUCUGAUCUGUUCCUUUCUUUACAUGAUAUAAGAGCAGGUUCUUACCUCUUGAAGUCUGCUGGAUAAACCUAUCAGCAGAAGAUCCUGAAGCGAUCCCAAAUCACAGCUUCAAUCCCCACCACAACCAAUCUCCUCUUUCCCGUAGUCUGUCGUCCUCAAUUGGGAAAUGAUCUCAAAAAAUCACUUGAUGCAACAAGUAGGGUAGAGAAAUAUAAGACUUCAACAAAGAAUCAAACUCAAAAAAAUAAAAGUAAUUGUCUAUGAGAAGCAUUUCUGUGUCACACACUCAAGUAAUAUGAUUGACCUAUUACAUUAUACAAAAUAAUAAUAAUAAUAAUAAUAAUAAUAAUAAUAAUAAUAAUAAUAAUAAUAAAAGAACUAGGUUUUUGAUGGCAUCCAGAGUGCUGUUACUUUCAAACAAAGAGGCUUGUGCAUGCGGUGUUACGCUGUUCAUGUAGGCUAAGAUAUCCUAUGAAUACAAUUGUAAAAUCAUACAAUUGUAUUCUUUUUAUUAAGCUGCUAAUUUAUGCAGCUUUAGCUCAUGUUCUCUCUUCUUGUCUUGCUAUUCUGAUUUUAUCUUUUUCUUUGCAUGAUAUAAGAGCAGGUUCUUACCUCUUGAAGUCUGCUUCAAUCCCCGUAGUCUUCCGUCCUCAAUUGGGAAAUGAUCCAAAAUCAACAACCGGUUCGGAGAUAGUUUGAGUGAAAAGAAACGGCUGAAAGAUGAAAUGUGAAGGUUAUGGUGAGAAAUUAGAUGACAAACUUACUUUGUCCUCCUAAUGCUUUUGCUUUCAUUGUUUCGAAAGUAAAAGAGACAUAAACAUAAUCAGUGUGUUUUCUGUUUAGCAAUAGCUAGAAAGGUAUCUGCUUAAAAAGACCAUUGAACAAGGGAUGACCCAUUCAGCAAGGGAUUCUGCUAGGAAAACAUGAAAUUGUUCUUCUAUUUGAUAUUUGUUUCAAUCUUCUAAACAAAUAGUACAGCAUCAAGUCUCAGUCACCUAUUCACGAAAUUGUUGUAUUUCUAAUGACUAUGCUAAUAAAAAAGUUGAGCCAGCAUGACACAUGAAAUUCAAAAAUAACAAAAUAACAUGAGAAAAUAAAUAUUUAUAUUAUAAUUAUGCAUCUUAAAAAAUCACUUGAUGCAACAAAUAGGAUAGACUUCUAGGAAAUUCUUUCACUGUAAAAUGGCUGAAGGUUCUUUUAUGAACAUUUAUAUUAAAAAAUUGGGUCAAUUGAUCUUUGUUAUUUAACAUGAAUAAAGUGUUGAUUUAGUCUUGUAGUUAUUAUAUCAAAGUUUUUAUUAGUUUAUGCACGAUCCCUUAUUUUACUUGCUUUAUUUUUUUUAAACCCAGCUUAGUUUCAAUCUCGAAUCUAUCGGGUCCCACUACCAGAUAUUCGCUAAAUACCAACGGAUUUACCGACGAAAUAUUUUCUGUCGGUAUUUUGAGGUCGAAAUUACCGACGGCCACUUUCCGUCCGUAAUUCAGUCGGUAAAAACCGACAAAAACUUUUCCGUCCGUAAUUCAGUCGGUAAAUACCGAUGGAAAUUUUCCGUCGGCAUUUACCGACUGAAUUACGGACGGAAAAGUUUCUGAAUUUUAAAAAAGGCGGGUCGCUGACGUGGAGGUUUUGGCGGGUUUUUUUUUUCCGACGGAAUCACCAACGGAUUCAAAAACGACUGCCCGUACAGUGCCCGUAAAGUGAUGUGACCGGUUCACCGUUUAAAUUUCCGACGGACUCACCGAGGGAUUUGAAAUGGCAGAUCCGUACGGUGACAUGUCUAUGUUUCCGUCAGAAUCACCGGCAUAAUAACCGACGGAGUGUCCGUCGGUAAAACCGUCGGAAAAAGUUAAUAUAUGACAGCUCUGCCGACCCUCUCAUCCCCUAUUUCUCCUUCUUCUUCCUCAUCCCAACUCUCCCCAUCUGCAAACAACCAGCCCCCCCUCCCCCCUAAAAAAAAAAAAUCUUCCUCAUAUCAGCACAAGAAGUUAUAUUUCUUGAAGUUUUGUGGUCACGGCAUCCGCGCGUGUUCUGAUUUAUCGACGGAUUUUAUCAAUUUUUGUAAGUAAUUAUAUCUUUUUAAAUUUUAACAUUUAAUUAAAUGUCAAUUUUAUUGUUUUUUUAGUAUAUGUAUUUUGUUAGUAGAUGUACAUGUUUUAUUGUUAUUUCUCAAACAAACUUGUAGUAUAUGAAUGUAUAAUUUUGUACCUGUUAUGGUUUGUUUUAGAUUUUGUAAGAUUGUAUUUGUUUGUAAAUUAUUAUUUCUUUAUGGAAUUACCGAAUUACAUGUGCUAUUUUGAAAUAAUUAAUAGCUUGGUUAAUGGGCCCGUUUAAAGUUUUAUCAAUGGUAUUGUGGAGUGGUAAUUUCUGUAAAUUUAUAUUUUUUAAUUCGUAUGGACGUUGAUAAAUGAUAAUGAAUAUUUAAUAUUUAUGAGAAGUUGUGAUUGGUUUGUUGGAUAAUCUCGAGUUAAAGUAAUAUUUGUACAAGUUUAUUUACCUAACUUAGUUAAUUAAUACAUGAUGUCAUCAUAAUUUUAUAGAGGUUCGAUAUAAGUCAUGGAUGAUCGUUCAUGGAUGUAUCGAGAUUCACCCCAAGGAUUGCGGAGGAUGGAUUAUUGUAAUGGGGUUCAGGGUUUUAUUAAUUUCGUAACAUUUAUUCCCAGAAAUUUUACUGGAGGCGGUAUUAGGUGUCCAUGCAGGAAGUGUGAAAAUAAAAAGUAUUUGCAUCCAGAUGUUGUAAUGAUACAUCUUCUACACAAAGGGUUUAUGGAGAAUUACCAGUGUUGGUAUGCACAUGGAGAAGUAUUUGUUAGCGAGAGUGAGAGGAGAAUGGAAGAAACGGUGGUUGGGUCUACUUCUAGUGCUAGUAACGUGCAUGAAACGGCAAAUGACAACACUAAUCCUUACAGAAAUAUGGUUAUGGAUGCAAUGAGAAUGAAUCAAGGUAAUGGCAGUCAAUGUCCAAUCGUAGAAGAAGAACCUAAUGUAGAUGCAGCUAGGUUUUUUGAUUUGUUGAAAGAUUCUGACGAACCAUUAUGGGAUGGCUGCACGAACCACAGUAAAUUAUCGGCUGUAGCACAGGUGUUCACCAUCAAGUCAGAUCACGGGUUGAGUGAGGCCGGGUAUGACAAGAUUAUUGAAUGGGCAAGAAGCAUUUUACCUGAAGGGAACAGGCUGAAAGAGAACUUAUAUGCUGCGAAGUUCAUGAUGAAACCCCUCGGUUUAGGAUACCAGAAAAUUGACAUGUGCCCUAACUUCUGCAUGUUAUACUACCUUGAAAAUGCUGAGAUGACUGAGUGCAUGACAUGCGGGCAUUCCCGUUACAAACCUAGAACUGGCAGGGGAAAGACUCUAGUGGCAUAUAAAAAACUUAGAUACUUCCCGAUCACACCUAGACUGCAGAGGUUAUUCAUGUCACCAAGGACUGCUGAGCACAUGACAUGGCACCAAGCACACCAUGCGGUUGAUGGAGUGAUGGUUCAUCCUUCUGACGGCGAAGCGUGGAAACGCUUUAACAGUGUUCAUCCUCACUUUUCAGCUGAAUCAAGGAAUGUGCGUCUUGGGUUGUGUACAGACGGAUUCAACCCAUUUGGGUCAUUUGCUGCUCCUUAUUCUUGUUGGCCGGUCAUACUCACAGUUUAUAACUUGCCACCGGGAAUGUGUAUGAGGCCGGAGUUCAUGUUUUUAUCUAUUGUCAUACCCGGUCCAAGAAGCCCGGGGCGGAAUAUAGAUGUUUGUCUUCGACCGUUGAUUGAUGAGUUGACGCAGUUGUGGUCCUCCGGAGCUCUGACUUAUGAUAUAUCGAGGAAACAAAAUUUCCUUAUGAGGGCGGCAUUGAUGUGGACUAUCAAUGAUUUUCCAGCUUAUGGAAUGCUUUCUGGUUGGAGCACGCAUGGGAAACUCGCAUGUCCAUAUUGCAUGGAAAACAACAAGGCAUUCACGCUAGCAAAUGGAGGUAAAGCUUCUUUUUUUGACUGUCACCGUCGCUUCUUGCCACUUCAUCACAGGUACAGAAAGAACAGAAAAGAUUUCUUUGCUGGCAGAGUUGAAAAAGAUGUUGCAUCCCCGCGUCUUUCUGGUGAAGAAUUGCAUGAUGUUGUCUUAGAGUACGGUGACAUUGUGUUUGGCCUUCAAUCAGGAAAGCAAAAGUUUCCUGGUUUUGGUUUGACCCAUAAUUGGGUAAAGCGAAGUAUCUUUUUUGAGCUUCCUUAUUGGAAGACCAAUCUGCUUCGCCAUAACCUUGACGUCAUGCACAUCGAAAAGAACAUGUUUGAGAAUAUUUUCAACACCGUCAUGGAUGUGAAGGGGAAGACAAAGGACAACAUCAAGGCUAGAUUGGAUAUAGCUUUAUACUGUAACCGAAAAAAUAUGGAGUUGGUUUAUGAUGAGUCACGGGUCGCAAAACCAAAAGCAAGCUUCGUGUUAGAGAAAAACGCACAACUGCUAGUCUACAAAUGGCUUAAGAGUCUGCGUUUUCCGGAUGGACAUGCAUCGAACAUAUCAAGGUUGGUUAAUAUAGAGGACUGCAGAUUGUAUGGAAUGAAGAGUCAUGACUGCCACGUGUUUAUGCAAACACUCAUCACAUUAGCUUUUCGUGAUUUGUUGCCAAAGGGAAUAUGGGAUGCACUCACGGAGAUCAGUCAUUUCUUCAGAGAUAUAUGCUCCAGCAAGUUGAAUGUUGAUCACAUUGAGAGGCUUCAAACGAAUAUCGUCGAGACACUGUGCAAACUUGAGAUGAUAUUCCCUCCAUCAUUUUUUGACUCAAUGGAGCAUCUCCAUAUACAUCUAUCGUUCGAGGCAAAAGCUGGAGGACCGGUCCAAUAUAGAUGGAUGUACCCAUUCGAACGGUUAGAUAUUACAGUUGCAAUGUAAUUCAUAUAUAAAAGUAUUUUAUAUGUUUUUCUUAAUUGAAAAUACUUGAUUAAUAUUUCAGGUGCGGUCGCAGCUAGUUCGUCUAGCAGCGAGGAUGAUAUUUCCUUAGGUGCCUCUCAAGAAGAGGCACCUACACCACCUGCGCCGUCAACCGAUGCUGCCUCUUCCAGCGGUACUUCACAGCGCAGAGGCGGCGUGCCUUCGCAGCGGAAUCAAUUUACCCGCAAGUACGAGGCACAGUGGAAGGACGACCUUUCAAUGUAAGUUUGUUAAGGUUUUAGUUUUUUUUAAAAAAAAUUACAACAUAAUUUAUCAAGUAAUCACUAUUGAAUUUAUUUCAUUUAUUUUCAGGUUCACAAACAUUGAAGUCGCCCGAGUAAUAUCAUCGGCGUUUAAAUCGUCGAUGGAGAUUCCAUUGUUUCAAUGGAGUCAGAUAUCCAAGCAUCCUGAAUGGAUGCCUCAAAUCAAUGCAUGGUUUAACAGGUUUGAGGUUGGUAUUAAUUUAUAAUUUUCAGCUUAUUAAUAUAAUUGUAUUAUUUUUAUUUAAACUUGUUUAUUUAUACAAAGCACAAAUUCUGCUAGGACAUUGAGCAUAACGCUGUUGUGAGGAGGGUGUGGGAAAAUCACGCGGCAACUAGGUAAGAUCGAAAACAAUACAUGAUUUUUUUUAGACAAAAAUUUAUGUUUCGAAAUGUAAUUUUUGGUUGCGUGAAGCAGGUUGCGUGAUUUUUGGUAUGAAGCACAGAAAAAGGCAAAAAAAACCGCGAGGGAUAGGGGUUUCCAAGGCUGGAACGAUGUUGCGGUUUGGAGGGAUUUCAAACUGAUAUACAUCCCGGAAGAUAUAUGGCCGCACUAUCUUGAGCACGUGACGUCUGAGCAGUUCACACGACGCUCACAGUCCGGUGCUGGCAACCGGAAUCGACCAAUUCAUGGCGGGGUGAGAACUCACACUGGCAGCUCCGUUCCGUUUGCUGCACAUGCGAAACGGAUGGUAAGAUUAAUUUAAAUGAAAUAUAUCGUUAAAUUCAGUUGUUGUUAAUAUAUCUUUUUUCAUUAUAGGCUGCGUCUCUUGGACGUGAGCCGAGCCCGAUGGAGCUGUUUGUGGAGACGCACGUGCGGAGUCAAGACCGCCAGAAGGGGGCGCAACAGUUCGUUGAUAACCGUGCUCAGCAUUUCGUGGUAUGUUUGUUCAACCAUUUUAUUUUCUAAGUUAUUAUGUUUAUUGUAUUGAAUAUGAUGAUUACUUUUUUUAUUUUAUUUUCAGGAGACCUAUAAUAAUCGGUUGAGGGAGAGAUACGGGGACGAUACUUUGACCCAUCCGGAAUUCGAUCCGGAUUUGUGGAUGGAGGUUGGCUCGUCAGGUGGACCAGAUAAAAAUCGGGUUUACAGCCUCUCCAACACUACGGCCGACAACUUGCGGUCGACCCAUAGUGUUUCAACCGUUGGGAACUCCCAAUCAAUAGCGAGCUCCCAAUCUAAGGAGUUUGUGGCUUUGCAGCAACUCAACGAGAAAUACGACAACCUACAAGCGGAGUACGCACAACUCAAAGCAUCUCAUGCACAACAAAGAGCGGAGUCUGAGCAAUUCAAAGCGUCUCAAGCACAACAAAAAGCGGAGUAUGAAGCGGCUCAUGAACAGCAAAAAGCGGCUUAUGACCAGCUUUACGAAAUGAUUAUGAAAUUGUCAAAUAGCGGAACAUGUGCGCCUAAUCCUUUUUGGCCGUAUAACCACCAGCCUCCGCCCGGAUCUCCUCCUCCUCCUCAAGCUCCAUCAUCUUUAUAUUAAUUUGUAAUCAACAUUAUUUACCUUUAAAACUUCAUUUAUUAUUUUUCUUGAAACAUAUUCAGUUUGUAAUGAAUAUUAUUUAACUUUUUUUUUUUAUGUUUAAUAAAAAUUUUAUUUGCAUAAUUGGUUUGUAUAACAAUUAAUUUAUAUAGUUUUAUAUUAUAUAUCCUAAAUAAUUUUUUAAAAACAAAUUAAGAAAAAAACUAUUACCAAGGAUUUUACCGACGGAUGAAUUCGGUCGGUAUUUUAAACUUUCACCGACAAACUUACCGACGGAAUUAAUCCGUCGCCAUUUAACAGUAGCUUCCACCAGUACCGACGAAUUUACAGACGAAAAUAUUCCGUCGGUAUUUCAUACAUUCACCGACCGAUAUCACGACGGAUAUUUUCCGUCGGUAAUUUCAAUUUCACCGACGGAAUGAAAAUCCGUCGGUAUAUUUCAAGCGGGAAUCUUUUUUUUUUGGCGCGCACGUUCCGUCUGUAAAACCGUCGGUAAAUGAUUUUUUUGUUUUUCCGACUGAUAUACCGACGGAAUGAGGAAUCACCGACGAAGGUAAAGCCGACAGACGUAUUCCGUCGGUAAAAAAAUCACCGACGAACUUCUAAUCACACACCGACGGAAUUUUGCCGCCGGUAAAACUGUGAAAUCUUGUAGUGUCCUGGAUCGACCCAUAAAGCCAAACCAAGUUUUAAAACUAUGUUAUCUUAGCAAAUUUAAUUAUCCCAAUUCUUAAUUUUCAAUUGAAAAUGCUAAAGAAUUCCCCACUGGGAGCAAAUAAUAAUAUGUUAAGCAUGACAAAUUUUAUUUAAAUUAAAAAGCCAAAAAUGAACGCAUCUACUCUUGCAAGAAUGGACUCAAAAGUUCAGCUAGUCCGCAUAAUUAAAUAGUACUGUUACUGUAAACUACUAGGAAAUUCAUGGGUAGAGCCAAAAUGUUAACAAUAGCAUUGAUUCGGUCAGGGGCUCUGGUGUAUAGAGAGGACCUUGCCGUUAGAAACUAUGGAGCCCACUAUUUAUUAAUCCAUUUUUAUUUACUACUUAUUACUAUUUAAUUAUUUUUAUUUACUAUAUUUUUGUUUGUGAUACCCAGUACCAAUAAAAUUUGAGAUUCCUUCAAUUUUUUAGGUGCAUGCAAGUCUAAUGGCUUCAUGUACAAAAGCAAUUCAAGGGUGUGUAUCCUUAACUAUCAGGCUAACCUUUACAGGCUUCGCUAGCAAUCAAUAAUUAUUUUUUAAUGAAUUCAUUUUUUAUUUAAAAUAAGGAAAAGGACAUUGGUGAAUAAAUUGUUUCCUUCCUAUUAUAAUUGUUAGACCUUACCAAAGGGCUAAUUUAGAAAAAGAUUAUAACUUAUAGGUCACCAGGGCCGAGGUCAACUUGUAAUUAAGUAGAUCAAUUUAAAUUAAUUGUUUUUAUUUAAAUGAUAAUGUUUUGUUUUUUUUUCUUGAUAUUAAUUUGGCUAAUUUUUAUCAAAUCAAAUCACUAAAAACUUAACCAAAACAAAUUUCAUCAAAUCAAUAAUAUUUUAUGUAGUUGAAUUAAAAAUUCAAUUCAAUUCUAGCUCUGAACCCUGAUUAAGCAUACAGGUUUAAAAAAUAUGCAUCUCACUUGCAGCUGUGGUUUGCUGCGGGCAUUUGGUAAUUGGGAGAGGCUUUAGUUUCGUACCUGUUGAUCUGCUUCAUAUACACUUGGACCUCUUAUUUUAUUUUAUAUUGGUUGGAUCCAAACUUAAUCCAAUACAAAAUUAACAUAUUUAUUAUUUAUUUAAGAUAAAUGAUAUGGCUUUAACAUAUUAGCGUACACUUAAUAUGAUUAAAUUUAAUUUAAUUAAUUAACAUCUCACCGCAAUAAAUUUUACCAUUUGCAACCAUAAACAGUUGACACCUUAUUAAUAUAAUCAAUAUAGUAGAAAAAUUAUAGUGAUUUAAAACAAUUCAUUAAAAUGUUCGUAAAUGUUUUUAUUUUGUGAUGAUGGUUUUCGUGUUAUCUUUUAUGUAUUGUCGCUACCGUACAUGAACGCCUGACAUGAGGGUUAUUUGAAAUCAUUAUCUAGUUAUUUAGUUUAAGGUCACUAAGAAACCUAUAAAUACUAGUCUUGUUAGAGAUUUGAGAGUAAAUGACUAGUUGUGGCUAAAGAAUGUAUUAACACUCUUAAUGCACCCUACCCAAGUAAAUUAUUUUGUGAUUAAACGUGGUUUAGAGAUUUUGAUGAUUUUCUGAUAUAUCUAUAGUUUAGGAUUGGGAUUUGCUUGUAUGAAUAAAUUUGGUGUUUAAUAAUUUAUCAUGGAUUCUUGUACCCAGAUAAAUUCUUAGAAAAAAAAGUUCUUCAUAAUUUGUGUACGUAUUACGGUAAAAAUUACUCUCAAUAAAAAUUCAUGAAUAUUUAGAAUAACUUUGAGGAUUUUCUAAUCAACUUCAAUAUUUCAAAUAUCAGCCUCACUUAUAGGUAUAGCGUUUUAUAUCAAUAUUUUUAACCAUUAAUUCUCAUUAAUUAAAAAAUAGUGGUUUAUUAAAAUAUUGACCAAAUUCACAUGAAUUUAAUAAACUAGUUAUUAAAUUUUAAAAUGCAUAUACAUAUAUAAUAUUUUAAUUUGUUUUUAAAUAAAGAAUAUUUUUAAAAAGCAUGUGCCAUAAUACCAAAUUAUAGAAUAAAUUAAAAGAGAAAGGAGUUUUCUCUUCAUCACUAUUCACUUAUAUUCAUUUUACUAUGGAUAUUAAUAGUGAAUUUUUUGAAAAUUUCCAAUUUGGUACUCAAUUAUUUUUUUUUCACAAUUGAGCUCUUUUAAAUCCAAAUUAAAGCUUAAUUGCAUAUUUUUUCAAGGAUGAGGGUUGAAUUGAAAAACAUAGGACUGAAGUGAAAAACUCGAAUAAAAUAAGUUGUGGUUUUGCAAUUUGUUUGCAAGUUCAUUUUAGUCCCUAUAAUUUUUUAUCAUUGUAUUUUGAUACCAAACUUUAUUUUCUUCUGUUUUUAGUUUUUUUGUGUAAGAGAGAGAGAGAGAGGAUCACCAUAUUUUGUUUUAGAGAGAAAAAGUUAUUUUUAAGGAUUGUGACCACCAAAACAAUUGAUUUUUGUGUUAAAUUGUUAUGUCUUAAUUCAACAAGGUUCCUUGAAUGUUUUCUAGGUGUUUUGGGUUAAAAUGGGUUGAAGACAGGUUUUAGGUUAUAAUUAGGUUUUUUACCAAAUUGAUCAAAUUUUUUUAAAAAAAAAAACAAAUCAAGAAGAGAAAAAGACUUGUAAAAAAGUAGAAUUACUGAAGGAAGCUCAACAAAGAAUCAAACUCAUGCAAUUAAAAAUAAUUGUCUAUGAUGACCAUCUCUGUAUCACACAUUCAGGAAAUAUGAUUGACCUAUAACAAUAUUAAAAAAAACAAAAAAAAAAUAAGCUAAUAGAUGGUCGCCACGUGUUCAACUUUAUCUAACCUUAGCAAAGGAUAGAAAGUGGGAGAGAGAGAGAGAGGUUAAAAGGAUUAAGAAAAAGAAAAAAGGAAAGGCAGAAACGGAAGAAGACAUUGAAAGAAAGAAAAAAACGAUAAGUUAUUUAACGUCUUUUUAGGGGGGGAAAAAAAAGCUUGUAACACCGUGCAGACCAAACAGAAGAGACAUCUGUUUAUUUAAAGAAAAAAAAAAUAUAUAUAUAUAUAUAUAAAUACUCUCUCUUCCAAUUUCCUCUCCCAGCUGAAUUUCGGCGACCGCCCACACAACGAUAGCCUACACAACCACCAGCCAUGCCACCUUUCAAGACCCCAUCUCUCAACCUCAAAACCAAAAACAACUCUUUCUCCAUUUAUCCGAACCUCAUAACUCCAGGAAGGUGAAGGACUAAACCAUAGUGGCAAAAAUCUUAAAGGGUUCUAAAUUGUCUGUUACUUUCCCUUAAUUUUCUAGACAAGCAAAAGGAGCUAAACUUAUUCCCGACCAAAACGUCAAGAAUUUCAGUAGAACAAAAGAAGAGAUCAUUACUUGACCAAAAACAACUAGUCAGCACCCAAAGAAACCGAGUGAAUGAGAGAAAAUUAAAGAUUAAUAGCUAGAAAACAAUAAACAGAUCCAAGAAUUUUCUGUAUGGUUUCCAAGAAAAUGAAACGAAAUGAGCAGCACAACCCUCUUUCUCCUCCAAGAAAAGAAAGAAAAAGAAAGGAAAGAAACAAAGAAAGUCAAACUUGGCUCCUCUUUUAGUGUUAAAAAAAAAAAGAAGUUAGAGGAAGUGGGCUGCCUUUUUUCUGCUGUUCAUGUGGUGUUCUGCUGUUCACGCAGACUAAGAACUCCUACCAUCGUAAAAUCAUACAAUUAAAACACAACAAUAAUAAAGUAAUAAGCAGCUAAUUAUGUGCGAAAACAAGAGAAAUAAGGAUACAGAACGUGAGAGUGAGUCACUACAAGUAAAAGAGGCGCUGAGAGAAUGGGAAUAGGAAUUUCAUUACCUAAACUUGAGAAAAUUGUGCGAAAAGCACUGGUACUGAUUGCUCAAUGAAAUGGAGAAGGCCUUUAGCUCUGUAUGGAAUCCAGCUUCAAAAGCAACGAGGCAAGGUAUAAGCAUUUUGAUGACAUAAUUAAGAUACUAUGCGUCGUAAUAUAGAGACGGUGACAAAGAAUUAAAGAAAAAUAACGUGUACAAGUACUCACCAAGCAAAGAAAGAAACGAAUGAAAGGUUCGGGAUAAUCACUUAGACGCCUCCAUGGAUGAUACCAGCUCGCUUCCAACAACAAAUAUAAUUAACCUAAGCUAUGAUCGGUCAAUGUUUUUUUUAGUUUUCUUCUUUUUUAUAUAUAAAAAAAACAGAUCAUCAAGGGAAAAGACUUGCAAAGAAGUAGAAUUAAUGGAACGAACACAACAAAGGAUCAAACUCAAGCAAUUAAAAGUAAUUGUCUAUGAGUACCAUCUGUGUCACGCACUCAAGUGAGGAGAGAAAAGAAGGAGAAAGAAAGGAAAGGGACAAGGAAGGAAGAAAGUAAGGUCACGUAGGGGCCAGUCUUGUAGAAAUUUUGAAAAGUAGCAUGAAAAAGAGGAUAAUAGAGUAGUUGUCAGAAUCAAAACACAUCUAAACAGAGGACAAAAACAGGGAGGGAGGCUGUUUGUUUUUUUAACUGUGCCUGAGUGAUUUUUAUAAUUACAUUUAAUUUAAAAAAUAUUAAAUUAAUAUAUAUUUUUAAUAUUUCUCGUUAUUACAUAUAUAUAUAUAUAAUAUUUAAUAUAUUUUUAAUUAAAUUUUUUUUAAAAAAAGUAUGUGUCACAAUACAAAAUUAUAGUAUAAAUUAAAAGAAAAAGGAGUUUUAUGCUCAUUACUAUCCACUAGACUUGUAGAUAUUAAUAAUAAAGUUUUUGAAAGUUUUCGAUCUAGUAUUUGAAAUUUUUUUUUUUUUGCAUAAUUGAAUUUAUUUAAGCUUAAUUGCAUAUUUUUUAAAAGGAAAUAGGUUGAAUUGAGAAACAGAGAAACUCGGCAAAAAUAUGUGGUUAAAAUCAAUCCUUUUUAAAAAAAAAAAAAAAAAACUCCUUAGUUGUUAAGGAAAGAUUGGUAGUGUGAACAAAUCACCAAAGUCAGCAGCAAGGAAGUUCCAGGAAGUGGGCAGCCUGUUUCAGGGCUACCUGUUUUUGAGAAUUAUGGAAAGUUAUCCCUAACUCAAAAACGGCACCAAUUAUAAGUUCAUUAAAAAAAAUCUGGAACACAACAGAUGGAAAAAACUCGAAACAACUUGUAUAGAAUUUAGGCAAGAAGAAUGAGCCAAGAUUUCAAGUGCAAUGAAAUUUGUCUCACUUUGUUUUUUUAUUUAAUGAUACAAGAUAUACCGUCCUAUUUCAAGGGUAAAAUAGAAUGGAAUAGACAACCUUUAAAGGGAGCAUAUACCACAUAUGUGUAGCUGGAAUUCGAUAGCCUUUCUCCAAUGCUGACAUGUGCUUUACAUGCAUGCACCAACAUUUCACAUCGGCAAGUGAGGAUUUGGUAGCUCAUCUUAUUAAUAGUGUUGGUUAAUGACUUGUCAGACGCGUUUUGAGGUCAUGCGUGGUCAUCAAAAACAAAUUUGUGAGGGCGAUAAGGUCCAAAAUGGACAAUAUUUGACAAGUUGGAUCGGACUAUGACAUUUGGUAUCAAAGCUGGCCUCACUAACUAUCCAGUUGUGCUGAUGGGGUCAUUGAGCUCCUUAAGGGGGUGAAUUGUAAUAUCUCACAUCGAUGAAUGAGGAUUUAGAAGCUGACCUUAUUAGUAGUGCUGGUUGCUAACUUGUCAGAUGCGUUUUGGGGUCAUGCGUGAUCACAAAAAACAAAUUCGUGAGGAUGAUAAGGCCCAAAACGGACAAUAUUUGGCAGGUUGGGUCAGGCUGUGACAUAUUCGAUAAUAACUCUUCAAUUAAGUCCUAAAUCUCAUUUCAUCUUUUCAAUUUAAUCCCUAAUUUGACACCAACUCUUCAAUUAGACCCCAAAGCUCAUACCACUUGAGGAAAGCCCUCUUCUUUCAAUUUAGCCCCUCAUUUAUCUUUAAUUUAAUAUCGAAUUUUAUUCGAUCCAAGCCCAAAAUAGGCUCAAGCGAAGACAAAAUAAAGGAAGGAAAGAAAAUGAAUAAUUGCCCAACCAAGUUAACGUAUUCUGGUCUUUUCUCCAUGAUUCGGGUUGAACAUUUGACAUUUAUCCUUUUUUUAGAGGCUUUUCUCUAUGUUCGUUAUGACGCUGUACACGUGCGACAACCAUUAAAUCUAUAGUUAAUUUCAUUUUUUGAUAAAAGAUAAUGCCAUCAGUAUAGAAUGGUUACCAACUGUUAGUUUAAUAAGCCUUGUAUCCAAUCGGUUAGUUACACGAUAUAUUAUUAUAUUCAUGUAAAUACAUAUUUAUUAUUAAUAAAGGCUUAAUUUAACUUUAAUAUUCAUAUAAUAUUAGAUUAAUGAAUCUAGAGUGUCAUAACCCUUUUUGGGUUUUUCCCCAAAUUCAUUUUUUCUCUUCUAAAAAUUAAAAAAAUAUAUAUAUUUAGACUAAAAAAAAUAAUAACAGUGAGAAGGGGAUGCCAAAACGCCUGGAAAAUAACUAAAAAUUGGUUGAGGAGGUUUAAAAAUACAAGGAUUGAAAUUUGGCAGUAUAUCAUUGACUGAUGAGAGCCCGAUUGACAAAGAAAAUUCAAUUUGAGGAAGAAAUGUCUAAAAUCAGAUGUUUAUUGGACUCAAUUAAAUUUAUUAAAGGUUAAAUUGAGUUUAUAGAGGGUUUGAUUGCAAGAACAAUUGAUUUUGGAGUCAAUUUGGGCUUUAUUUGGAAGAAAUUAAAGUUCUGAGGUCAAAAUAUAAUUUUAAGGAGUUAAUUUGGUCAAAUCAGGGGCUUAAUUGCAUAAAUAUUGAAGUUUGAUGGCCAAUUAGGGACUGAAUUGAAGAAAUCUCAAACCAAGAACCAAACUGGAAAAGACACGUAAAUAGAGAGGCUGUAAUUAACCGAAUAAGGGGCUAAAUUAAAGAAAUUGGAAGUUUAUUUAUUAAUUAAGGGUCAAAUUGCAUACAUCAGAGACCAAGGACUAAAGUGAAAAAGGCGGCCAACUUCAGGGCCGACGAUUGAAUUUGACAGGGAUGCAAUUGAAUUGAUUUUUAAAAUCAAAAUAGCAAUUUAGGACUUGAUUGAAUAAAUCACAAAUUGAAGACUGAUUUGGACUUUGACACGAUUUUGCCGCCAUUUUCAUUUUGCUUAAUAUUGGUUUGUAUUUUAAUACUGUAAAAAUACAAAUCCGAUAUUAAAAUACUUGGUUUUUGUCAAAACAUAAAAUAUAUAUAUAUAUAUAUAUAUAUAUAUAUAUAUAUAUAUAUAUAUAUAUAUAUAUAUUUGUUUCAUGCAUACGUCCAAGUCUCUCAAAGAUAAAAAAAAAAAAAAAACCAUAUUGUAUUUUCAUACUACAAAGAAAACUUCAAAAAAAAAUAUGUUUUAACAUGCAUUUUGGCUUUAAUAACCAGUUUAUUAAAGUCACGAGAAUUUGGCAAAUAUUUAAAAAAUUUCAAAAAAAAUAUUUGUUUUUUUUAGUAUUAGGGAUUAUGAAUUUAUAUGUAAAAUGUAUUUUCAAUAUUAAAAGUGUUUUUCUUUUGAUGACAUAAAACAUUUAGGUGUUUACCUGAUAAGAUAAGAAUCUCUUUAUAGAGGAGGAUUUUUCUUAAACCAUAGAUAGACUGACAAUUAAAAACCACAACAAGACCUUAAAUUUUAUCAAACAACAAAACAAUGCAGCUUACAUUAGGUAGGGUGUAGUUGGGGUGCUAAUACCUCCCCUUUAUGCAACCAGUCUUCGUACCCGAUCUCUAAGACCAAUUAGGGUUCCUAGUGACCAAAAUACUAGGUGGAAACUCCCAUUCUAUUUUCCACUGAUAAAAGACAAGAAUUCCUUGUCUCCCCACAUUUACCAGAUAGAUAUACAUUUACUUGAGAGGGUGGACGUUUAUCGUGACACCGCACACAUGCGACAGAAUGGCGACUCCACAAGGUACCUUGUGGAUUAAUCUUUGUUUUUGUCUGAUUAUCGUGUUUUAUUGUUUGGUUUGUGUGUUAUUGUUAAUAUGCAUUUUCUCAUUUGCUCAUACGCUUUAAUUUUGUACAUAUUUGUUCAUGGAUUGUAUAAAAUUGUUUCAUGCAUCAUUCACAUUUUAUGAGAGUUUAUACUGAGAAAAACUUUAGGUUAAGUGGGGGACUAGUAGCUUACCUUACAAUUUUUAGUCGAGGUUUAAGUUUGUGUAAACCUCAACUCUUUGCUGAGUACUUAGAUUGAUAAUGAUUGGUACACAUGUCAUCUCAUUACCUAUUAAGCCCUUAUAUUGCCUUUACGAGGGUGAUCACUGGGACAACAAGAGACCCUUUUAAGACUAGGUAGAAAUGCACCCAUCAUGUAAUGGCCCAAAACCUAUCCUUAGAGUAUAAGCUCCCUAAUAUACAUGUACAUAUAUUUGCAUCCAUACAUACAUCAAUUCAUUGUAAAUAACAUACGUGCAUCAGAUUGAAAUAUAGGUCCCUAAAAAGUGUACAACACCCGACUUUGAGCAAGAAACAUAGAAGAUGGAGAGCGUGCUCACCGUGAUGCCUAUUUUCAAGAAGAGUUGGAGUCUCUGAAGACAAGCAUGGCUCGCCUUACUAGCUUACUCGAGCAAACACUGAGAAAUACCUCUGGUGAAGGCCCUUCUAACCGGCUAGUCACCGUCAAUUAGGCUUCAACUACAGUUUAGCCUGAAGAAAGAAUGAGUGAACAUGGUCAAGAGCCUUAAUAAAAUCCAACAUUUGUACAGUCAGCGACACUUGCAUUAGCCCCGACAGUCAUGAAGGUAUUUGCUAAUGAGUCCCAUAUGGCCAAUUCAUCUGAUAGCAUUGAUCAAGAUAAAAUACAGGCAUUGGAAGCCAGAAUCAAAGUCAUUGAAGGGGUAGACUUAUAUGACCCAGUUCGGGCAGCAAAGAUGUGUCUGGUCCCAAAUAUGGUUGUCUCGAAAAAGUUUCAUGUUUCGGAGUUCAUCAAAUAUAGUGGAAUACAAUGCCCCAUGACUCACCUCAAGUCUUACUGCAAUAAAAUGGCAGAGAUAGUACAUGAUGAAAAACUACUGAUGCAUUUUUUUAGAGAUAGUUUAAGUGGGGCAAUAUUGAGCUGGUACAUGAGAUUGGACAACACAAAAAUCUAGAGAUGGAAGGAUAUGGUGGUUGCUUUUGUCAAGCAGUACAAGUACAACAUGGACAUCACUCCCGACAGAAUCAACUUGUCCAAUAUAGAGAAAAAGGAUAAAGAAAGCAUAAGGGAAUACGUUUAAAGAUGGUGGGAAUCAGCUGCUCAAGUACAUCCCCAACUUCUGGACAAAAAGAUUGGCACUUUAUUUGCCGACACACUCAAGGCACCAUAAUGGGUAGUUUGGCCCAGCAAUUCACUAAUGCUGUGGUAGUGUGUGAACACAUAGAGCAAGGCGUCAAGAGUGGUAGAAUUUCUGCACCCAUUGAGAAUAGAGGUUUCGAAUGAAAAGAGGUUAACCAUAUUGAAGAUGGCUACAAGGGUAGGAAAAACUUAUCCCAAAACUACCAUACUUCAUCCCAAAUUGCCGACAUAAAAAAACCUGAGCCCCAAAACUUUCAAGCCAAAAGCCAAAUUAGAAAUUACCAAAGGGUCCAAGAACAACUACCUCCAUUACCGCUACCAUUAAAUGAGAUGUACCAGAAGUUAUUAAGCAUCAGACAUAUAGCUCCCGAACCUCUAGCACCUUUGCAACCCCCUUACCCCGGCUGGUAUAAGCCAGAGCUCACUUGCGAAUACCAUGCUAGUGUUGCUGGACAUGACAUUUAUAUUUGCAACACCUUUAAGAGAAAGCUUCUGCAAUUAAUUAAGGCAGGGUGGAUAGCAUUUGAAGACACUCUGAAUGUGAACACAAACCCUCUACCUAAUCAUGCUUAAAGCAGUGGAUUAGAAAUGCACUAGCAAUCGAAUGUUCGGGGAAUUUGAAAUCAUCAAUGGGCCAGGUAGGGUGCGAAAGGGUAGCAUAAAUUUUAAAGGACUCAAAUUCCAACCACAGUUGUUAUCCCCAUCAUCCCAAGAAUUAUUACAGGGAGGCUAGCCUAAAAGGAGAUUUACCAAAAUGAAAGGAUGAGGCCUGCCAUAUUAUUGCCUUUUGUUUAAUCAUGUUGGUUUCAACUAUUUCAGUCUUGUCGGUAAUUUAGCUCAUAAUGCCACAAGACUUUCUUUGUCAAAUAAGCCUUCUUGUUAAUAAGAUCAUGUAUUUUCCUGUGCUUAUAACAUGUUUUCCUUUUUCCAAAAUAUGCAUGAUCUCACAUGUUCAUAAGAAUUUUAGGAAUUCAAAGUUUGGUAUAAAAAUAAAAAUCAUAUUGGUGUUUGUCCAAAACAAAUAAAUUCUGGAAAUUCAAGUGAUUCCUUAGAAAGAUAAGUAUACACGUAGAAAACUUGAAAAAACAAAUAAACAAAUAAACACAUAAAAAAAAUCAUAAGGUGACUCCAAAGUUAAGUUUUAUUUGAAUAAAUAAUGAGAAAUCACUUUGCAUACUCGCAUGAAAGCAAGACGUAUCGAUCUUAAGUGCAUGUGUUUGAGAUGAGGAAAUGCCUUCUUUGAUAAUCGCUUCACGAGGCUAAAAUAUAUCCUUUGCAAUCCCUUUUUGAGUCUAGUAACAUUUUUUGAAAAUAACCUUGGCUAGGAUCACACUCAAACUAGGGUUAAGUGCGAGAGACACAGAAAAGACCUUGAUGAUUGAAGUGCCCAAGCAACACUGGGGGCAUAAAAGAAAAUUCUCAAUCAUCAAAGGUGCCCAAACAAAGCUAGGGGUAUGAAGAAAAAUCCAAAGGAUCCAAAAAUUUUAAGCAUACAAAAAAAAAACAAUUAAAUAAUGCUCAAAACCAAAUGAAGAAAAAAAAAAUAAAGAGAAAGAGCCCAACAUUGGGGGGCACGAUAAACCAUUUUGAAAAGACAUUCCAAAGACAAAAGGUCAGGAAACAAGCACUAGUGAUCCUUAGUCUUGAAAUCCCGUGAAAUACCUUUUGAGCCUACAAAUAUCCUUUUCUUCAUAACCAAGAACCCAAGCCUAUAUUACAUGCCUAAUCAAGCCCUUUCUGAUCAAAGACAAGCAAUCUGGAUCGGCAGACAAUGCUUUCUCAUACAACCCAAAUUAUUAUUCAUGUAAAUAAAAUAAAUGCUUUGAAGACUGGUUCUUUGUAACCCUCAAAUUAAAUCUUAAACCAUUUUUUACCAAACCCAAUGUCACUUCAUGUUUUUCACCAAAAGCAAAACGAAAGGUUUUCAUCACUUCUGAAAACCUCUUCAUAGGAAUCACUUGAAUUUCUUCAGAACAAGUUUGCUUUGAAUCGAUGUCAAAAUGAUUUCUGUGUUUGGAAUAGCUUUUAAAUUCCAACAUUUUUGCAUCAGAACAACUCCUUGUCAAAACUUCCUUUACAUAGCCUCAUUCCCAAACCCGAAUUAAAUACUUGGGGGCAUGAUCAAGUUGGGAGGCAAUAAAAAAUACAUGGUAGGGCAGACUUUAUAAUUCUUUUUCUAAGAAAAAUGUUGGGUAGAAUUGGCAACCCUUGAGAUAUAGGUUAGAGGGCAAAGAAGUAGGAUGAUAUGAAGCCUUUCUUAGAGGUCAAGAUCACAAGAUAUGACUCAAGUAAGCAAGAGCGAAAAAGUCAUCGAAAUUUACUACUUACACUCCAACUUUUGAGAAAAGAAAGACAUCAUGAAGAAAUGAGGACCUAUAUUUCUCAGGUAAGUAUACAUGCAUAUCAAUCAUAGUGCAUUACUUUCAACAUUGUCAGAUCGGUGUUUCACCAUCACCUUUUGGGUAGGACAUUUUAUAACCCUACCUCAUUUUGAGUGUGCCUUUGAGCCCUUAUUUUCUUUUCGAGUAAGUCUUUGAGCCCUCAUCUCAUUUUAAGUGCGCCUUUGAGCCCUUACUUCGUUGUCAAGAUGCGACUUUGAGCCUUUGCUUCCUUUGGAGUGCGCCUUUGAGCCCUCAUUUCCUUUUGAGUACGUCUUUGAGUCCUCAUCUCUUAGGUAGUGCAUUUUAUAACCCUACCUCAUUUUGAGUGCAUCUUUGAGCCCUUACUUCCUUUUGAGUGCGCCUUUGAGCCCUCACUUCAUUUCGAGGGUGGUAGUGUAUUUUCUAACCCUACCUCCUUUUGAGUGCGCCUUUGAGCCCUCACCAUCUUCCUGGAUAGGUCAUCCAUUACAAUGAUGCUAUUUUUACACUUGGGUAGGUCACCUAUUAUAAUGAGACCAAUCUUUCCUUUCCCACUUGGGUAGCUCACUCAAUACAAUGAGACUAAUUCUUCGUAUUUUUUUGCCUAGGUAAGUCCCUCAUUAUAAUGAGACCAUUCUUCCACCUGGGUAGGUCACCUAUUAUAAUGAGACCACUAUUUCCUUUUUUUUUCCCUUUGGGUAGGUCACCCAUUGCAAUGAGACCAUCCUUUUUUCUAGGUAGGUCACCUAUUAUAAUGAGACAACUCUUUUAUUUUUUUUUUCCCUUUGGAUAAGUCACUCAUUACAAUGAGAUCAUUUUUUUUCUAGGUAGGUCACCCAUUACAAUGAGAUCAUUUUCCAUGUUUUUUUUACCUGAGUAGGUCAUCCAUUACAAUGAGACCAUUCUUUUUUUUUCCACUUGGGUAGGUCAACCAUUACAAUGAGACUAUCAUUUUUCUGGGUAGGUCACCCAUUAUAAUGAGGCCAUUCUUCCACCUGGGUAGGUCACCCAUUACAAUGAGACCACUCUUUCUUUUUCCCCUUUGGUGACCACUAUCAUUUUUUUGGGUAGGUCACUCAUUACAAUGAAAUCAUUCUCCAUGUUUUUCCACUUGGACAGGUCACCCAUUACAAUUCGACCAUUUCAAAAAUCUUUGAAUUUCACCAGGAAAAAAAACCUUUCGACCAUUUAAGUUUGCUUUCUAGCCCUCAAAUGCUUUCCAAACAAUUCAUCAUAUGGUGAGUCCGUUAUCUUUUUUUUUCUUCUUUACAAAGCUUAUUAUCUAAAAUCUCUUACGAGACUUUCUAUCGUAAGUAUUGUAAAUAGAGGACAACUGUCAUAACCUAUUUUUGGAUUAUUCCCCAAAUUUAGUUUUUCUCUUCCAAAAAUAAUAUAUAUAUAUAUAUAUAUAUAUAUUCGGACUAAAAAAUAAACAACAAAAAAAAUAAACAAAAUAAUAACAGUGAGAAGGGGAUGCUAAAGUGCUCGGAAAAUAACUAAAAAUUAGUUGAGGAGGUUUAAAAAUACAAGAAUUGAAAUUUAACAGUAUAUCAUUGACUGAUGAGAGCCCGACUGACAAAGAAAAUUCAAUUUGAGGAAGAAAUGUAUAAAAUCAGAUGUUUAUUGGACUCAAUUAAAUUUAUUAAAGGUUAAAUUGAGUUUAUGAAGGAUUGGAUUGGAAGAAAAAUUGAUUUUGGAGUCAAUUUGGGCUUUAAUUAGAAGAAAUUAAAGUUCUGGGGUCAAAAUAUAAUUUUUGAGAGUUAACUUGAUCAAAUCAGGGGCAAAAUUGCAUAAAUAUUGAAGUUUGAUGGCCAAUUAGGAACUUAAUUGAAGAAAUAUGAAACUAAGGACCAAACUGGAAAAGGCGCGUAAAUAGAGGGCUGUAAUUAACUGAAUGAAGGGCUAAAUUAAAAAAAUUAAAAGUUUAUUGAUCAAUUAAGAGUCAAAUUGCAUUCGACCAAGAACUAAAAUGAAAAAUCAGCUAACUUCAGAACUGAUGAUUGAAUUUGACAGGAAAGCAAUUAAAUUAAUUUUUAAAAUUAAAAUUAUAAUUUAGAACUUGAUUGAAACACUUAAAAUAAAAAACUUAAAAUCACAGCAUGAUAAAAGAAGAAAGAAAGGAAUGGGAAAAGGAAGAAAGAAUAAAAAAAUCCCCUAAAAUCACGGCAUGAUAAAAGGAGAAAGAAAAGGAUGGGACAAAGAAGGAAGAAAGUAAGGUCGCGUAGGGGCCAGUAUUGAAGAAAAGCUAAAAGAACCAGGUAAUCCAAGGAACCAAUAGAUUAUCGCCACAUGUUCAACCUUAUAUUUAUUGUGACAUGGAGAUAAAGAUAAUCUCAAAAGCUAAUAGAUGGUCGCCACGUGUUCGACUUUAUCUACCCACUAGGAAAGGAAUCAAAGGAUAGAAAAGUGGGGGAGAGAAAGGUUAAAAAGGCUUUAAAAAAAAAAGAAAAGGAAAGACCCGGUUGAGAUAAGAGGGGGGACGUGGAAAUAGAAGGAGAAACGGAAGGAGACAUAGAAAGAUCGGAGGAGAGUAAGAAAAAAAUAUAUGAAUAUGUGAUGUCCAAUUUCUCAUAAAAAUUCUCUGUUUUUUUCUCUCUUUUAUUUGGAAUUUCUUUGGACACUUUAAUAAAAUAAUAACAAAAAAAUUAAAAUAUUGAUGAAAUUAAUAUUCAUUCAAACACAGAUUUACUGUGUACUAUGAUAUUAUUAUUUUUUUAAUUUUAAAAAACACGGCUUGGAUAAUAUUUCAAGUAGUGUCGUAAAAAAUAGCGUGUUUGUUUUUUAUUUUUUAAAUAAUUUUAAAUAAUAUUUUUUUAAUUUUUAUAUUGAUAUUAAAAAUAAUUUUUAAAAAAUAAAAAAUAUUAUUUUAAUAUAUUUUUAAAUAAAAAAUAUUUUAAAAAAACUACUUUAAAAACCUUAAAACCACGGCAUGAUAAAAGGAGAAAGAAAGGAAUAGGACAAAGGAAGAAAGUGAAAGGGAGAAAGGAAGAAAGUAAGGUCACGUAGGGGGGCCAGUAUUGUAGAAAAUAGGAGAUGAAAAAUUGGUAUGAAAAAGAGGAUGAUGGAGUGGUUGUCCAAAUCAUAGUGGUUUUUAUAAUUAUAUUUAUUUAUAGAAAUAUUAAAUUAAUAUAUUCUUAGUAUUUUAUAUGAUUAAAUUUUUUUGUUGAUUUAAAAAAUAUAUGCGUAUAAAAAAUUAUUUUAAUAUAUUUUUAAAUAAAAAAUAUUUUUAAAAGUAUGUAUCACAGUACCAAAUUAUAGUAUCAAUUAAAAGAAAAUAGGGUUUUAUGUUCAUUACCACUCACUUAUACUCAUUUAAUUCUUAUACUCAUUUAAUUGUGGACAAUAACAGUAUCUCAUUUGAAAACUUUCAAUUUUAUACUUAAAUUUUUUUCAUAAUUAAUCAUUUUUAAUUAAAAUUAGAGUUCAAAUGUAUAUUUUUUUUUAAGGAGGAGAGUUGAAUUAAAAAACAGGGACUGAAGUAAAAAAUUCAGCUAAAAUAGGUAGCGACUCUAUAAUUUAUUUACAAAAUUUAUUUUAGUUUCUCAUCUUUUCAAGUUAUUAAAUAAUAAGUCCGCAUAAUUUUCCAACAUUGCAUUUCAAAUUUUUUUUAUUAUUAAUACUUUUAAUAUAUUUUUUUGAAAAUAAUUUUAAAAACGGUGUUUUCAUUAAUAUUCCUUUUCUAUGAUUUGUUUUUUUGGCAUUAUGUAGUCUUUCUUCAAUUAUUUUUAAUUUUGUUGCUUUGUUUAAUUUUUUAAGAGGUUAAUAAUAUUUAUCUGUAAAUAUUUGUUAUAUAUUUCAGAUAGAUUAAGUAUUUAAUUUUCAUAAUAAUUUGAAUAUGUGUAGCGUUGCAUAGUUUUUCUUCCUUUUAUGAUAUUAAAAAAAAUUAUGUGUGUGUUGAUUUCUAUUAUCGAUUGAUUUUAGUAAAUAAAUUCAUUAAAUAUAACCAAAUAAAUGAUCCAUAUUGCAAUAUUAAAUACUUUAUCUAUAUUUGUUUCUUAAUUUUUCCACUUGCACUUUUAAUUAUCGGUAAUGACUUCAUUUUUUCAUUUAUUUACACAAUUGUUUGUGAUUUAUUUAAUUUGAUGCGUGUAUAAGUUUUUCGAUUUACAUUUAGAAUUUUUUUAAUGUAAAAAAACACGUUGAGAAAUUCUUAUUUUUAUGAUUUUAGUUUGAUCCUUAUUCUUAUAAUUUCUUAUUUUCUUUCUAACCCUUUUAUAAAACAAAAAAUUGUUUAUAAUUUCAUCCUUCAAUUGAACAUAAUGAUGUAUUUUUUUUAUUAUUUAUAUUCUUGUUUGUUAUUAUUGCUUUUUUUCUUUAUAUAAUUCAUAUAAAACCAGCUUAUUUAAUCGGCCAAGACUAAAUAAAUAAAUAAAAAGAUAUACUGUGUCUUCCCAUUUCCUCUCCCUGGUGAAUUUUGGCGACCACCCACACAAUGAUAGCCUAAACAACCACCAGCCAUGCCACUUUUCAAGACCCCAUCUCUCAAUCUCAAAACCAGAAACAACCCUUUCUCAUAAUUCCGGGAAAGUGAAGAACUAAACCAUAGUGGCAAAAAUCUUAAAGGGUCUAAAUUAUCUCUGUUACUUUCCCUCAAUUUUCUAGACAAGCAAAAGGAGCUAAACUUAUUCCCGACCAAAACGCCAAGAAUUUCAGUAGAACAAAAGAAGAGAUUGUUACUUGACCAUAAACAAUUAGUCCGCACCCAAACAAACUGAGUGAAUGAGAGAAAAAGACUAAUGGCUAGAAAACAAUCAACAGAUCCAAGAAUUUUCUGUAUGGUUUCCAAGAAAAUGAAACGAAACGAGCAGCACAACCCUCUUUCCCCUCUAAGAAAAGAAAGAAGAAGAAAAAGAAAAAGAAAAAGAAAGGAAAGAAACAAAGAAGUUCGAGGAAAGAAAAAGUAAGGAAGAUGAAACCAUAAACCUGCAAGUCCUACAAAUCAUAAACAUUGACUUUGAUUUUUCCUUUAUAAAACCAUAAACCUGCAAGUCCUACAACAUGAAGACUUAUCAGAUCCUAAUGAAAAGCUGUCAAAAUCCUAUCAGAAAUUAAGGAAGAUGACGUUACGUUAACUUCAAAUCUGAGGAUUAAUUGUAGCAGAUCUUAUAGGGUUCAGCUGAUUGCUUUACUUGUUUAAAUAAUUCUCUUGUAAGCCUAAUGGUUCACGUCUUCCAUCAUUGCAACCUUUUUUUCUGUGAUUGAAAAAUCUAUAAUAGGAACCUGCACUGCAUCCCUUCUAUGCUGUUGUUCUUUCUUCUUGUUUUGCUAUUUUGAUUUUAUCAUAUUUUCUAUGAUGAAAGUUGAAGAAAUUCUACUUCGAAACUCAAGACAAAGUCUCUCGAUCGGACUGCAUAUUAGUGGGUUGCUCAUUGGGAUUUCUAUAAACAACUGAUUCUAAUAUUGCAAAGCAACAUUACGAAAAACUGAAUAUUUCACACAUAGUCUAAUAAAAGUAGAUUCCAUUGUCAAUUCCUUAACAUUUUCCAAACAAAUCCAUGCUCCUCAUUUUAUACUUUCUUGAGGGUUUCUAUUCUCUUAUUACCAAUUUCAGUGAGUUUCAUAAUAAGCUGCUUAGAAAGAAGCUAUCUAGCAGGAGGGUGGGGCUACUCUUAGCCAAUGAAAACAGCUUCACAUGCUAUACAGCAACGUGAAAAAAAGAUUCUCAGCCUGUUCUCUCUUUAAUGAACACCCUCUUGGAUUCUCUAGCAUUAGCCAACAAGGUAUUUGCUUGGAAUUACUUCCACCUGAAAACAACAGUUAACCUAUUUAAUAUACUUAACUAAGUAUCUAUUUCAUAACCUUAUAUAUUUUUUUAAUUAAAUUAGUUAUUUUUUUCAAAAAUAAAAAAAGUAAACGGUUUUCCAAAAAUCUAAUUCACAAUAAAACAAAUAAUGAAACUUGAUAAUAAUUCAUUAAAUAACCAUCAAUUAUUCAUCAAACCAAUCUGAAAAAGCUCAUAUUAAAGCUAGGGACCAAUCUGGAAUUUUAUCAUAUUUUUAGGGGUCAAAUUAUAAUUUUAUCAAAUUAGAAGACCAAACUAAAAAUAUCAUAAAUUCAUGACUAUACUAGAAUUCUGCCCAUAAUUCAUCAUAAAUUCUGCCCAGAAUUUCAAAUUAUGCUCCAAGGACCACUAUAGAAUUUUAUCAAAUAUCUAGGGUUAAGUUGUAAUUUCAUCAAAUUGGAGGACCAAAGUGAAAAUAUCAUAAAUUCAUAACUAUACUGGAAUUCUGCCCAUAAUUUAACUUUAAUUCUGUCCAGAAUCUCGGAUUAUGCUCCAGGGACCAAUCUCUAAUUUUUCUAAAGUUCAAGGACUAAACUGUAAUUUUCACAAAUUGAGGGACCAAACUGAAACUUCAACCUCAAACCCAGAAUUUACACAGAUAACCUACUGAUAUAUCAAGAUUUCUAACUCAAAUUCACCAUUUAAAUAAAAUCAUAACUCAAAAUCAUUAUUUUUACCUAAAAUCUUUCAAAAUCAACUAAAUAAUUCAUUAUCCAUAACAAUCAACCCAUAAUUUUUCUGUAAUGUAAUUGUAAUUCCUAGCAUAAUGCAUAUCCGAGGGCAAGCACAACAACUCAAGAACAAAGAAACUCGAUGAAAUAGCAAAAGAAAAGGACUUGAAGGACUGAAAUAAAAUAAAACCAAAAAAUAGGGAUUAAAAAAGUAACCGCACUCUGGUUGCCAUAAAAAACAUAGUUCUUUUAAUAUUUUUUUUUUAACUAUUGUAAUAGGUCAAUCAUAUUACCCGAGUGUGUGACUCAGAGAUGAUCAUCAUAGAAAAUUACUUUUAAUUGCUUGAGUUUUAUCCUUAGAUGAAAAACUUACCUCGUCCUCCUAAUGCUUUUGCUUUCAUUGUUUCGAAAGUAAAAGAGACAUAAACAUAAUCAUUUCCUUCCUUUUACUUUCCACUUCUUUGUAAUGGAUUGCAAACGGGAUGGUGCUUAGUGAGGCCAGUUUUUCUUUUCCUUUCUAUUUAAAAUCUUAUGCCUAAUUGGGUGAGGAAAUUAGUGGAGCAUUAGACUUUUUAAAAGACAACAAAAGGAAGCAAUGUCUCAUCUUUUGAUAUGGUGGUCUUCCAUGAUCAGUUUGUUGAUGAAGAUAUCGAAAGAUUCGAGUCUCCGUUCUAGUUCAGGUUGGAUGCAAGGCCGAAAGCUAAGCUUCUUUUAAUUAUGAAUUGUUUAUGCAAAGGAAACCCAGAAGCUUGAACAAACAGAAAUGCCUUGUUGAUUUCUCUGCUACUACUCAUUAUUUCCAAUAUUAUUCCAUUAUCUUACCCGAAAGCAAUUAUACAAGAAAUUUCAUUAUCCUGCCCCAAAGGCAGUUUAUUGCAUGGACUUCCUUUAACCUAGCUCCUUGAAGGCAAUUUAUUUGAUGAAAAUUCCUUUAAUCCACCUCAAAGACAAUUUAUCUUAGGGAAUUCCAACAACCCUUAAGGCAUUUUAUCAAAGGGAAUUCCAAAAACAAUUUAUUUCUUGGACUCAGUAUUCUUUGAUACUAGUUAUUUAUAUAUAAUUUAACAACACUUAACCAUCUUACAUUUAAGAAGAAAUUCAAAAGUAAGGAUAACCCUUAUCUAGAGCUCCUGUGGUUCUUGCUCCCGAGAGAAUUGGCUCCACUCCGGACAAAUCUACUAUCAGAAACCCAAGUUUCAACCAAUCAAUAACAUCAACACCCAUUUUAUAUUAAUGCAAUAAGUUUUUCUUAACCAAUUUACUUGAUGCAAGUUCUUAUAAUAAAAGUGACAGUAUUCAAGGUGAAGACAAGCAGAAGGGCGUGAUAGAGUUUGACAAAGAUGAAGCUAGUUCCAAUAAAGGGAAACACUCUAUGCAGGCCAAACAACAGUGGAAAUUCUUAUAAUCCCACCAAUCAAGGAUUACAGGACCCUAGUCCUUCCCAAACCAAUUUGAACUCCCCGUAGAGAAAACAUCUCCAAACCCAUUUUGAAUCACCCACAACAAGCAUCUCCACAACCUGUUCUGAACCCCCCCACAACAAGCAUCUCUGCAACAUGAUUUUAUUUCCUUGUGUGACAGGGAGGUCAAAAUUGAAAGAUAUUACUAUUUUCAUUAAUUUUAUUAAAGCUUAAUUAUUAUUUUUUUUCCCUUUUCUUUUAAAAAUGUUAUCUCCUUGGUAAGGAAUCCUUGGUUCCCAACAGCAACUGUAGCAUAGUUAAAAAAAUAUCUAAACUCCACCGAAAGUAGUGGAGCCUUAGAAUUUUUAAAAGACAAAACGGGGACAAGUGAGAGACGAAGAAAAAGACAAAAGUAAUCCCAUCUAUUGAUGUGGUGAUCCAAGAUACACCAUAACAUGGUGUUCUUCCAUGAAGUCUAAGAUACACCGUCGUGUUGUUUCAUAUAUAUUUUUAUAUAUGAAAAUAAUAAAGCUACCGUUUAAAACAACUCUGAAAACAAAAUUUUUAAUAAUCCAUAAUUUUUAAGCAAACAUCACUUAUAAGCAAAUAAUUAAUGAUGGUUAGUUAAACUAAUUCAUUGUUAGGCGGAUAUAUAUUAAGGUUAAGAACCCUCUAUCUAACACUAAUAACUAAUCACUGAUAAUAUUUAUGCAAAACUUGUAGCUUAGGAUGAACUCUCAGAGAUGUGGGCGAGGCAACUCAAAGUAGAAGGGAAGGGGUAACCUCUGAUAACAGAGAAAAUUGUAGAGUAAAGCAGGACCGAAUUUUCUUAAAUUAACAACAGAAAUCUACAAUGAACAGUUCUCGAGAAGAAACUCAAGAAACGUAUAUAAAGCUACAUGAUGACAUAAUAGGAACCUGCAUUGCCUCCAUUCUAUGAUGAAAGUUCAAGAAAUUUUACGUCGAAACUCAAGACAAACUCUCUCAGACUACAUAUUAGUGGGAUUUCCAUGAACAACUGAUUCUAUUGCAAAGCAACAUUAGGAAAAAUUGAAUAUUUCACACAUAGUCUAAUAAAAGUAGAUUCCAUUGUCAAUUCCUCAACAUUUUCCAAACAAAUCCAUGCUCCUCAUUUUAUACUCUCUCUCUUAUUACCAACUUCAUUGAGUUUCAUAUAAGCAUAGUCAAUCACACAACUAAUAUGUGAAUUCACAAUUUCUUACCGAAAACAUUUUAUCAGUGCAAGUUAAUACAUAAUUUUACCUCUCCUCUUGGUGAAAACAUAAAGACACAACCACCGAGCAGAUCUCUGGUAAUGGUCUCUACAAAUUCCCUACAGUUCCUAUUGCCAACAAACUCCUCUUGCCAUUCCCUAACUGCAUUGAGCCAGCUAAUCUGGAUGAAAGAAAAGACUUCAGCCAUUCCCUAACCUUAAAGCAGACCCAACUUUGUAGCUCAUUACCAGUUAAGUAAAAGUUAUCAAUAGCUGUGUAAAUCAUUGAAACUGCCACAAAAGCCCCAAAUUAGUUAUGAAUUGGAUUCGAUAAGGGAAAGAGGGGAAGAGGGGAAAUGGGUAACGGAAAAUUAAAGAGAGAUGAAGAUCUGCGCAGGGCUACCUGUUUUGAGAAUUAUGGAUUUUUAUCCCUAACUCCAAAUUGCACCAAUUAUAAGUUCAUUAAAACAAAUCUGGAACAGAACAGAUGGAAAAAACUCGAAACAACUUGGCUAGAAUUUGGGCAAGAAAUUCAGAACGGCCAAGAUUUUAAGUGAGAUAAAAGUUAUCCCAUUUUGUUCUGUUUUUUUUUAAAAAAUUAAUAUGAGAUGUACUAUCCAUUUCAAGCGGAACAUAAUGGAAUGAACAACCUUGCAUCGAAGACCUAAUUUUAGUGAAACUCAAGUUUCUUGUGUCAAAGAAAAUGUUCUAAAAAAAUGUUUUAAGCAUUAACAAAAUCUAGUUGGCCUAGGCAAUCCACUAUUGUUGCUGUUACCGUUGGUGCAUACUCCAUUACACCAUUGACAUAGUGCAACUGUUUUUCUUUCUUUCUUUCUUUCUUUCUUUUAAAAAAAUCCAUGUUAUGUUUUUUAUUUGAAGCUUUUUUGUUAAUAUCUUUCGCAAUUGGCCUUGGUAUUUUGUUUCCAUUUUCUCUGUUUCCUUCUUCUGUAGUUAGAAAACAUCAUGUCUUUGGGUUUGCGCUUGAUACAGCAAAAUUAAGGACACAAUAAUCAAAGAACACAAAAUUUUAUAAGGGAAAGGGGUUGCAGUUGUGAACCUAAAAUUUACAAAUUUAUUUUCUCAAUAAUAAUAAUAAUAAUAAAGAAGUUUGCCUUCUUAAAAGGUUUACAAAACCUUAAAUAGGUUAGGAACCUUACCUCAACAAGGGAACAGAAAAAAAAUCCAAAAUUAUAAAUGAAACAAGCAUAAAAUCUGAAAUAAGCAAGAAAUGAAAAUAACAAAAAACUACCAAAAUCAGGGGCAUCAUUGAGAUUUUUAAUAUCUAAAGAUCUAAUGAUUUGUAUAAAAAUUUGAGCACAUUAAUCCAAUAAUCGAAAAAACAAUUAUGGCUCUUUUGAGCUGUUAUUCUAGUCUAGCACGAUCAAACAUUCUCUUGGGUUUAGACUUGUUCUAUUGGUUCAUAAAUGCAUUUACUAGGCCAUCAACAUUAAUUGUCUAAGGCAAAUUCUCAUCUAGUUGUGGUAGACUCACACCUGACUGCUUAUAAAAUUGGUUGGUUUUUUGUUUUCGAAGAGAUUUAAAAUUUGAUGCAAAUGAAAGCUAAAAACACAAUAAUUAAAGGGCACAAAAAAAAUUAUAAGCGAAAAAGACUGCAGAUGUGAACCCUCAAAUUCACAAGUUUAUUUUCUCUAAAAUAAUAAUAAUGAAAUUUGUCUUCUUAGGAGGUUUCCAAAGCCAUAAAAAUAUCAAGAAUCCUACCUUAACUUGGAAACAAAAACACAAACUCAAAAUUACAAAGGAAAAAAGCAUAAAAUCCAAAAUAAGCAAGAAAUUAAAAAAUAACAAAGAAAAUCACAAAAAACUACCAAAACUAGAGGGCUCAACAAGAUUUUUGAUAUCUAAAGAUUCAGCAGUCCACGCAAAAAAAUUUGCAUGGUCCAACGGUCGGAUAAGAAAUUGUGAUCAUUUUGAGCUAUUAUACACGACCAAAUCUUCUUUUGAUCCUAUACUUGUCCUAUUAGUCCAUAAAUGCAUUUUCAUAACCUAUCUUUUUUUUUUUUCUACUAUAGAUGGUGUUUGACCAUCAUCGUCAUAUGGUUUGACUUAGUUGUACCGGUUUUUAAUAAGAUGAACUUUAUAUAUUAUGGGUUUACAUUUACUAUUUUUUAAAAAUGUUCAUUAUCGUUUCGAUCUCUAUAAGUCCAUUGUUCACAACUGAAGUCCGUACCUGCAGCGGAUCACAGGCAAUGAAACUAUACAAACACACUAGAGACUCAAGAGUAAACAUGCUACUAUAGUUAGCAGGUAAGGGUCAGGUCAUUUGUUGUCUGGUUUCAAAUAGAGUUUCAACUCAUUUAAUAAAUAUAUAUACAUGGCUCAUAGUUGGAUUAUUUGUGUUUUUGUUAUUUGUUCUUCCCAGUAAUUGUACCAGAAGCUGCUCUCAUAUUUGAAGGAAUGCAAACAAUAUAUUGUUAAUAUGAAACUUAUGAUGCCUAGGAAAUUGCCAUUUUUCUCAUUUUUAAUUGGAAGAAAAAUCACAAGUAUGUUUCUGUUAGAAAUAACUUCUUAUUUCAAUCAGAAGUGUGUCACUAAAUUGAUUUAUAAGUAAGUUUUUAAAUUGUGGAUUAUAUCUUAAUUACAUUAUAUUUUUUUAUUAACAAAAGUUUAUUUGAGUUAUUUUUAUUAAAAAUACUUAUAAUUUAAAAUUAUUUUAAUUCUUUUUUAUCAUAAAUUAUUUAUUAAAAACAACUUAGAUUAUCGCUUGAAAUAAAAAAUUCUUAAUUCAAAAGUCAUUAAAAAAUUCUUAAUUUAAAGAAGCUAAUAAUCUAAAAGGAGGGUGGGGCUGCUUAGCCAAUGAAAACAGCUUCACAUAUGAAAACAGCUUCACAUACAACGCAACAACGUGACACAAAGUAGAAAAAAAAAGAAAAAGAAAAAUUUCUCAGUCUGUUUUCUCUUUACUGAACAACCUCUUUGAUUCUCUAGCAUCUGCUUGGAAAAACCAUUCAACAAGGGAUUCUGCUAGGAAAACAUGCAAUUGUUCUUCUAUCUGAUAUCAGUUUCAAAAUUCUAAACAAAUAAUGCAACAAGUCACAUUUAUUCCAGACCUCAAGCUGCAUUGCCUAUUUCAAAACCACAAAGAGAACAUCAAACAGAACAACAAAUACCCAGUCGUAGAGCCAUUAAUUUGAGCAUAAAGGAGAAAGAAAGUCCACGCAUUAAACAGUAGGCACACACAUGAGUAUACAUUAUGCCCUUGUUUUUGAAGAUUCAGACACUUCAAAAGAAAACUCACGCUCUUAUUUUUGGGAAGUUCUUGUAUGGUAAAUAAGACUGUUACAAUGUGAAGCCAAUUUGUAUCCCAUUGCCAGUGAAACAAUAGGAAUUACUUCCACCAAUCUAAAACAUAUUCGCAGCACCACAGCUCAAAGACAUGAAUCUCUGUGAAAUCACCUAAGGUCGAGUUGCUCAUGUAAUAGGCAACCAACCUGCCUAAUGCUAACAGAAGAACAAAGACCAUUCAUGCAUAUCCAUUACCUGUUUAGCAUGUUUUUCAAAUUCCAAUGCCAAACUAAUCAUCCUACCCAUCAUCAUCAUCACCACCAUCUCCCUUCACCACCUUCCUUCAUCUCCUUCACCACAUACCCACCCAUUAUUUCGGGUCCACGUUUUACAAGUGCUGAUUGGCGCAGAGCAACCAGUGCUUGAAUCCUCAGCUACUUCAGAUACCUGUAAUCCAAUCCAAGCAUGGCAUACACAUUUUGGCUUCUAAAUCUUAUUAUUGAGUGAAACAAGAAACAAACACACAAAAAGAGAAGCAAGAAAUUAAGACAAUUCAGCAGCACCUCUGAUGGAGCUCUUAUUGAACCAUUUGGUGUAGUAGCAAAUUUUGUGAUCAGCUUUGGGCAUUCAAACACCUCCAACUGCUCUAAAUGAGGGAAUAAGAAAUCAUAACAUCCGAGACUGAAGCAUACAAUACUUGAUAAUUGUUCUAGCAACAGCACCUGCAGAUUCGGGAGCUCCAUCACCUUCUCAACAUUGACAGGUAAAGCAUUCUCAUCCUGAAGCCAUGGCUACUGGGAAGAGACUCUUCAACAUGUUGCAUUUUCUGACAUCAAUUUCACAUAAAUUAGGGAAACAUACAGAUUGAAGAUGAUCUCCUGGGAAUAUCUGAUCCUUUCCAUCAUCAUUAUCCCUAGCAAUGAUUUGCUAUAAUUCCUCACAACUUUCUAUGUUUAGAAAAUUCAGUUGAACUAGACUAGCAAUCAUGCUGUCUGAGAAUACAUGUGUUAGUCUUUUACACUUAUUCACCACCGAAGUAGUUAAAUUGCUCAGCACGAGAACCUUCCACAAACACCACAUGCUUGUGUCAGGCAGGGACUUCAAUUUUAAUGUUUUCAAACUUGUUAAACUCCUAUGCAUGCUCCACUUAUCAAUUUUAAUGUUUUAGCUCUUCAUUCGUCUCUCCAUUUAAAGCUAUAAAAUAAAAUAAAAUAAAAAUAGCUAACAAUAUUACCCUUUUUUUUAUUGACAAAUGCUACUGUUUUUUUCUUUUUUUUUUUCUUUUUGUCAUUCUAAAUAGAGCAUUUGCCAAUAAAAAAAAAUUAAGGCCUGGAAAUGAUGUUUUGUGAUUGGCCCAUCAUUAAUUUUGUUAUCCAUGCACAGUAUAGACCGGCCCGGGAAUGAUGUUUAAACUGGGAAUAAUGAGUUUUCUAUGGGCUUUGGAGCAUUGUGUGACACUUAACAGUGUGCACUUCAGGCCCAUUUAAGAAGAGAAAAAAGGGACAGGGAUAAAGUCUGAAGUAACGGUCAGAAAAGAAACCGAUAAAUUAAUUAAAUUGAAAAAAUUAAAUUAUAAAAAAAAUUAAUUAAAUAAAUUAGAAUAUUUUUAAAAAAUUAGUUGAGUUUGAUUUUGAUUUCAUAAAUUUAAAAUUAAAAAACCGAACCAAAUAAAAAAACCCAUUAAAAAAUCCCAAAAUUACCAAAAAAACAACAUAAUUUUUAAUUUUAAAUAUAAAAUAAUCAAACCAAAUCGAAAUCGGUCAAUUGAUUGAGUUUCAGUUUUUAAUAUAAAAUAAUUAAACCAAACCAAAACAGGUCAAUUGGGUUUUAUUUUCUAAUAUAAAAUAAUCAAAUAAAAUUAAAAUUGAUCGGUUGGAAUCGGUUUUAAUUUUUUUAUAUAUUUUAUAAAAUUUGAAUUUAUUAUUUUUAUAAAUAAAAAAAAUAAUCACUCUCGGUCUAAAGUCAAGACAUUGUGGUAUAUGACAUCAUUGGCAGGGUACUAUUCUACCACUAGAUCACUGGCACUUGUUGGUAUCAACGUGUGGAAUAGCUAAUUAAAUAUAUAUAGUCAAAUAGGUAAUUGAAUAUAUAUAAUGACACGUAUAUUUCCUAGUCAAACGCAGGAGCAAAAAUUUCAAAAUAGCAGACAACGUUUUUGACAGAAGUCUUGUACCAUUACUUCUAUCUCGCUUUAUUCUCUUCUAUAUAUAUAUAUAUAUAUAUAUAUGGUGAAUUGACUAGAGCAUGCAUAUAAGACUUCUUCUAGUCAUGAUGGUCAGUGAGGUUUUUGGUUUUAAAAUCAACAACUCCACUUAAAUUUCUUAAACUUGAAGAAUAUGCGAAGACAAUGCAUUUUUAAUAUGCUAAUUAUUCCUUGUACAGAAACAAGAAGGGAUUCUCCUCUACAUUAUUGUCCCAAUAUAUCAAACAUUGAUAAAGAAAAAAUGCAAAUCAAAACCAAGGCUCCCUCCCCACUGUUUCGUUUUAUAUGCUCUUGGAUCUUGAUUAACUAAUGAAGGAAACAAUUUGAAAACAUUAAAAUUGUAUCAAGAGACAGGGAAUGACACAGUUAGACAACUCCUUUUCAAUUUAGUGGAUGGCUAAAGGAUUUAUCUCCACUUAUCAAUUACUUCAGUUUCAGAAAUUUGGAGGAAGAAAUCACAAUGUAUUGAAGUUGACAACCAGAAGCCCAAAAGAAAACAAUUUUGACGAAUACCCACCAAACAGUUGAAGUGCUGCUGUAACUGAGAUUUUUUAUUAUAUGUAUUUUUUGUGGUCCAAUGGAUAAAUAAUUUUUUUUUCUUUUAUUUUAUCAGCUUAAUUUUGCAUGUGGAAUAUUGAGUUUUCUGUUAUUUUUUCAGACACAGAAUUGAAUCCUUUAUAUAUUCUUAAAACCAAAUUUGAAUUCUAAGUUCCUAAAUGAAGGAAUAAUAAAGAUUGUUGCAACUUGCAUGUACAAAUUCUCCUUCAAAAAAUUAACAAAUAAUAAAGUCUCCUAUGUUAAUGAAGAUUUAAUUAUAACUUAGCCCUGUAAUUUCUUAAAAUUAAUUAUUUAGUCUUUUAAGUAUAAUGGAUGUCGCACCCGACAUCGCGGCGGCCCUAAAAAUAAUCCUCGAAUAUGAAAAAAGAACAGAUUUCUGGCAUCUUGCUCUUUUAGAAGAAAAAAAAUGUCUUAUUUGAGGAGUCGCCACCUAUUAUUAUGGUCACUAGGAACCCUAACUAGUCAACAGAGAUUCUAUGGCUCGGGAUUGGUUAUGUAAAAGGGAAGAUAUUAUCACCCUUUAAACGUUCUGCCUAAUGCAGAUUGCAUUGCUGGUUUUGUCUUAAAUUGCUAAAUGUUUAUUAGUUUAUGCUAUGAUAAUUUGUUUAUAAUAUUCCUGACUCUGGCGCCAAUGAAUAUUCGAGCUCGAAUAAUUCCAACUCUGGCGUUGGUAAAAAUUCGUUGCUACGAAAAAAAAUUAGAUCAAUAUUUUUUAUUCUCUACUCUAGCGCCAAUGAAUAAAUAAAUAAAAAUAAAUUUAUUUUUACGCAUGCACAUAUUUUUUUAUUUCUUAUGUAGUUAAAUAAAAAUUAAAUCAGUAUUUUUUAUUUCUGACUCUGGCGUAAGUGAAUAAAUCAAUAAAUUUUUCUAUUUUUUCUAUUUUUAUUUUUUUUUGUUUUGGGGGUUGGGCCCAGCUCAGCCCACAAGGGCUGGGCUGGACCCAGCUGACUCGAUUGGGUCACUGGUCUAGACCAGUGACCCGGCCGGGUGGCAAACGCACGCCUGCCCAAUGAAUUAUAAUUCACUUGCUACAGUAGCAAGUGAAUUAUAAUUCACUGCUACUGUAGCAGUGAAUUAAAAUGCAAAAGGGUAGAGAUGAGGGACGACUGACCUGGUGCAGCAAGGCGUAGCCGGAGACGAUGGCGCACUGUGCUGGACAAACGACGCUGCCUCCUCUUGUUCUUCCUCUCUUCUUCCUUCUCUUCCUCCUUUUCUUCCCUGGUUCGUCCCUGUAUUUCUUUCCUGGAGUGCCCUGUUUCUGGUGCAGUGGCUGCUGAAGAUGGAGCUCUGGAGUUGCUGCUUCUGGAGGCGACGAAAACGGUUGUGACGCUGGUGGUGACUCUUGUCUACUGCUUUCCUUGGUCUUCCUUAUGUGCUUCCUCUGCUCAGGACAUCAACGAUGGUGAUGAAGAUGUUAGGUGCUGCCGGUUGAAUGGAAGCUUGCUCCCCUGUUUCUGUUUUUCUGCAUUCGUCUUCCCUAGUUUUCCUUUCCUAAGCUGUGAUAAGAUAGGAUUUAGAGGAAGAAGAGAUAAUAAGAUAAAAGGUGAUUGUUUAUUGAUUGCAUGCCUUUCCUCUCGAAACAGUGAGCCUAAAUAGGCCAUUCAAUACAACUGUAAACUAAAUAAUAGGAACUCCAGUAGUGGAGAGCUGAAGACUAGGGAUUCUCUGACCCAUUCAAUUACUUAAUUAAACAAUGAAAUAAAUUAAACAAUGAAACAAACAAAACAUAAAGUAAUUCCACGUAGACUCUCUCCAUGCAGUAGUAGCAAGAGAUCCACGUGCCCAAUGCUCUUAUCAUUCCCUCUCCCUCCCUUGAAUUCUCCUUGUCCGCAAGGUUGAAUUGAGGAUAAGUUUUUGCAAAUCGCCACAAAUUUUCCCACGAAGAAUCUUCUGGCAAUGCCCCCUUCCAUUGCACCAAGAUUUCCGUUCGUGGCCUGUAUUUCCCCUUCUGGAUAACCCUUCUAUCAAGGAUUGCUUCUGGUUCUGGUAACACCACAACAUCUGACAUAAUUGGAGGAAGGGUGAUCACCGCGUCCUUGGCUAUAUCUCCCCACUGUUUCUUGAGUAAACUGACAUGGAAAACAUCAUGUAUGCGUGACCCUGUGGGAAGGUCUAAUUUGUAUGCCACUGGUCCAAUGCGAGCGAGAACCUUGAAGGGGCCAAAAAACCUGGGUGAUAACUUUAAGGAACUCCUGAAAGCUACCGUUUUUUGGCGGUAUGGUUGCAAUUUUAAGAACACAUAAUCUCCAACCUGAAAUGUGACUUCCCGACGAUGCAAAUCUGCCCGAGAUUUCAUGCGUCCCUGUGCAUCAAUUAAAUUCCGUCUGAGGUCCCGCAGGAUGACCUCUCUUGUGCGCAGCAUUUGAUCUACUGCUUGAAGCUUUGUAGUUCCUGGUAUAUAGGAGAUCAUAGAUGGAGGAGGGACCCCGUACACAGCUUCAAAUGGAGAAACCUUCGUUGUUGAUUGAAUGGCCGUGUUGUAACCAUAUUCAGCCCAAGCCAGCCAUUCCAUCCAUGCCUUUGGGUGGUCGCAAGUGAAACAGCGCAGGUACUGUUCCAAGGUCCGAUUAACCACUUCGGUUUGGCCGUCCGUUUGCGGAUGGUAACUGGAGCUGUAGUUAAGUGUCGUGCCAUGUAGCGUGAAUAAGGACUUCCAGAAGGAGCUGAUGAAGAUUUUAUCCCGAUCACUCACUAUAGAACGCGGCAUGCCAUGUAAUUUGACCACAAUAUUUAAGAAACACUUCGCAACCGUCACUGCAGUGUAGGGAUGUUUAAGUGGCAUAAAAUGGUUGUAUUUGGAGAGCCGAUCCACCACAACCAUGAUAACACUGUAACCUUGCGAAGAUGGUAAGCCCUCGAUAAAAUCCAUAGAUAUGUCCGUCCAAAUGAGCUGUGGGAUUGGGAGAGACUGAAGUAACCCCGCUGGCCUUAAAGUUUCAUGUUUACAACGCUGGCACACCUCACAUUCUCUAAUGAAGUUCUUGACAGAUGUUCGUAUGCCAGGCCAUAGAAAGCUGGAGGAGAUGCGGGUCAAGGUCUUUAAAUAGCCAAAAUGUCCACCUGCAGGGAAUGAAUGCCCAUCGGCCAAAACAGCAGGUAACAAAGAGGAUGUAGGACUCAAGUGUAUCCUCCCUUUCUGCAUCCAAACCCCAUCUCUUUGAACCAGUUUUAAAGUGGGAUUGGUGGCCACAGUGCUGUAAUAGGGCUGCUGCUGGACUUCUUGUUGUAGAGUUUCCCACCAGUCUGUAAUAGGAGCUGAUAUAGCGUGUAAUUGUGCUGCUGCCACGCGAGAGAGAGCAUCAGCUCCCUGAUUUUCCUUGCCCUUGCGAUACUGAAUGCUGUAAUCGAACCCCAUAAUCUUCGGCAGCCAACGGGCUUGAGAAGGGGUGGUAAGUCGUUGCUCGAGAAGGUACUUCAAGCUUUGAUGAUCGGUCUUGAUCACAAAGGUUCUGCCCAAUAAAUACGGCCGCCAUUUCCGCACUGCCUUCACUACUGCGAGCAUCUCCUUGUCAUACGUUGACAGUAAUCUAGACUUGCCCUUCAAGGCCUCACUGUAAUAAGCAAUUGGCUGAUUGUCUUGAGAUAAAAUUGCUCUCAACCAUCACCACACGCAUCACACUCCACUGCAAAUUGUUGUGCAAAGUUUGGAAGUCGCAGCACAGGUGGGGACGUGAGGGCUUGCUUCAGUUUAUUGAAAGCCAUGAGCGCCUCCUCAGACCAGCGAAACCCCUCCUUGGAUAGGAGCUGAUUUAAUGGUGCAGCUAUGACGCCAAAUCCUCUCACAAAUUUUCAGUAAUAUCCAGCCAAACCGAGAAACCCACGGACAUCCUUGGGAGUUGCUGGAAUUGGCCAAUUUUGGACGGCUUGGAUUUUGGCAGGGUCCACUGCUACUCCUUCGGCAGAAAUGAGGUGCCCCAAAUAACCCACGGUAAGCACUCCAAACUGGCAUUUUGAGAGCUUUACAUACAGCUGGUUGUCCGAGAGAAUACGCAGCACUUGACAGAGAUGUUGUAAGUGAUCCAUCCAAGACCUGCUAUACACCAAAAUAUCGUCAAAAAAUAACAAUAUAAAUCGCCGUAAAUGAGGGCGAAAGAGGUCAUUCAUGAGACUCUGAAAAGUUGCUGGGGCGUUUGUCAAUCCGAAUGGCAUGACCACAAACUCGUAGUGACCGUCAUGAGUGCGGAAUGCGGUUUUUGGAAUGUCUUCCGGCUGGACUCUAAUCUGGUGAUACCCGGAGCGCAAGUCCAGCUUUGAAAAGAACUUCGCGCCAUGUAAUUCAUCAAGCAACUCAUCAAUGACCGGAAUGGGAAACUUGUCUUUAAUUGUGAUUUCAUUGAGCGCCCGAUAAUCAACACAAAAUCGCCAAGACCUAUCAGCCUUUUUAAUCAACAAAACCAGAGAAGAAAAGGGGCUGCGACUGAGGCGAAUAACUCCAGAUUGUAGGAAUUCCUUGACCAGUUUUUCAAUCUUAUUUUUUUGAUAGUACGGGUACCUGUAAGGCCGGUUGUUGACUGGAGAUUUAUUGGACAUCAAGGGAAUUUGGUGGUCAUGGCUGCGCGUAGGUGGCAGCGUUGUAGGCUCCUGGAAAACAUGUGCAAAAUCUGAAAGGAUGAGAUUGAGGUCAGGUGACCACGCUGAGGCUGUCUUUGGCAUUGUCUCCGUUUCUAUAUGCACAAAAUACCCCACACCUGAUAAGUGGAUCAACUCCUUAUCACUUAGGGGAGCGAGUUCAGUGUUUGAUAGUCCUCUCAAUGUGUACGUCUGGCCUUCUUGUUUAAAUGACAUGAUGAGCUUUUUGUAAUCGGUCUUGAUGGGGCCUAAAGUCUCCAGCCAUUGCACUCCUAAUACGGCUUGGCAGGCUAUCACUGGAAGCACAAAGAAGUCUGCGCGAACAAUGAUUCCUUGAAUCGAUAAAGAAAGGCCUAAGCACCGCCCAGUACACUCAAUAAUCUCCUUGUUCCCAACUGUGACUUGGAUGGUUUUGCCGCGAAUAACAUGUAGUCCCAAUUUGGUUGCCGUGGACUGAUCAAUAAAAUUAUGGGUGCUUCCCCCAUCAAUGAGCACUGUCAUAGCCGUGUUUCCUGCUCUACCAAUGACACGGAAAGUCUGUGGGUGGUUUGUUCCCACCAGAGCAUGAAAUGAUAUCUCUGGAAUGUCUUCCUCAGGCGUCACAAUCUCCAUGUCCACAUCGUCUCCUUCCUCCUUCUGCUGCACAUCCACCAUCAUGAACAACUGAGGCCGUGAACAACGAUGCCCGGGAACAUAUCGCUCAUCACAAUAGAAACACAACCCUUUUUCACGUUUCUCCCUUGCCUCCUGACCUGUUAUCCGUCGAAUUGGUGCAGUUGGGUGAGUUGUUCAUUGAGCCGGGGCAGGACCCAAGAGUCCCAUGGUGUUUGUGUGUGGUUGUUUCGGCUGGAAUGAAGGUGUUGUCGAUGGUCUGACUGGAUUGUUGAAUUUCCUUUGGAAAUGAUUUCGUUCUUCAAUUAAAUGAGCCACACUAAUGGAUUCAGAGAGAGUUUUUGGUUGCUUAACUCGAACAUCCAAACGAAUUUCAUCUUUUAAUCCCGCAAUAAAACACCCUACCAGGAAAUUUUCUGGGAGGUCAUCAACCUUGUGAGACAGUUUCUCAAAGGCUUCUUGAUAUACAUUCACAGUCGUGGUUUGCUUAAGUCUGGACAAUGCUUCUGACGGAUCAUCAUACUCAGUUGGUCCAAAACGGUGGAGAAGGGCUGAGACAAACUCAUUCCAGAGUAAUUGUCCCUUGCUUUUCGUAUACCAACGAUACCACUGCAAGGCGACACUCGACAGAUGAAAUGACGCCAAUUGUACUUGUCGUGGAGCGUCAAUGUUCUGGAACUCAAAGUAUUGUUCUGCCUUAAAUAUCCAGCCAGUGGGAUCCUCCCCUUCUCCAGAAUAGGUUGGAAAAUUCAACUUGAGGGUAGUGUGGUUUCUGUCGGCAUUGAAGGUUGCAGACGACCUGUCGUGAGAAGUACUUCCCCCAGCAUAAGGAUUUACUUCCCUCUCACUGGAACGAUGGGAAUGGGCGAUCCUCAUCGCUUGUAGCUCUGUCAUGACUCCCUGAAGGGCGUCGUUGACUCGAUUGAAAUUGUGAUUCAAUUCGUCAAAAUUGGCGUCGUGUCAUCCGAGAGUUUCUGUGAUCUCAGCACGAAACUACGCAUUAGUUUUACCACGCGUGUCCAUGGAUUGAACAGCUCUAAUACCACUGAUAAGAUAGGAUUUAGAGGAAGAAGAGAUAAUAAGAUAAAAGGUGAUUGUUUAUUGAUUGCAUGCCUUUCCUCUCGAAACAGUGAGCCUAAAUAGGCCAUUCAAUACAACUGUAAACUAAAUAAUAGGAACUCCAGUAGUGGAGAGCUGAAGACUAGGGAUGCUCUUGCUAAUCCCGUUACUUAUUCUCUAACCCAUUCAAUUACUUAAUUAAACAAUGAAAUAAAUUAAACAAUGAAACAAACAAAACAUAAAGUAAUUCUACGUAGACUCUCUCCAUGCAGUAGUAGCAAGAGAUCCACGUGCCCAAUGCUCUUAUCAAGCUGUUGCUUGUGAUAUUAUUGGAAAACGAAGACGCAGACGAAGACGAUGGUCGAUGGUGAUGGAGGUCUGCACCCAGGAGAUGGGGGUUCUUCCCCUGCGUUUUUCUUGUUGUUGUUCGUCUCUGUGUUUUUUUUUCUGUUCUCUGUUCUGGGUCUCCAGUGGCUUUUCGGUUAUGCCCUCCCCUCUCUUCUGUCUUCUCUCCCCUUUUCCCCCGGUUUUGCUCUUUUUUCCUUUCAUCCUCUUCUGCUCAGUCGUUCUUUGGCUUUUAUAGCCAGAGAAAAUAAUGUCGUUUCUUCCAACCAUAAAGUGUGAUAAUUGCAGAAGUAAUGGCUGUGCGGCGGUGGGCGUCCGUUUCGGUCGGGUGAGGAAGAUGAACAGUAACGGGCAACGGUGCUGUUUUGGUAUUCACAGUUGUAUGCCUUUUGGCCCUUGAAGUUUUGAACGUUUUGUAAUUAAGCCCCUAGUUAAAUUGUAAAUGGACCCCUGAAUUUCGACGCCUUUUACAAGUUAGGCUUUGGACUUUAAUCUGUUGCCAUUGUGCCCCCAAUUAACCCCAAAAUUUGGUAUUUUUUCAAUUAAGUCCCUGAUUUCAUUAAUUAAAUUAAAUCUAAGUCCAAUUAAGUCCCAAACUUAUCAAUUCAUUAAAUAAGCUCUUGAUUUUGUCAAUAAAACUAAUCCAAAGUUUAAUUAAAUCUCAAAACUUCCAAUUUUGUUGCCAUUAACCCAAAAUUUUAAUUCAUUCUUUAUUUUUAUCAUUUCACUCAUUUCAUCAUCAAAUUUUUUAAAUAAAAUAGAGAAGUCAAAAAUUGGGUUAUGAUAAUGAAUAAUUAAAAAAUCUAUUAACUUGUGUUGACCACCCUCCAUUUACUAUAUUUUUCUCUAAAAAAUGCCUUCCUUCCUAAUGAAAUUUCCUCAAAUACAUACUUUUUUUUUUAGGAAAUGUUCCAUUUUCCUCACUUCUAGAAAAAAAAAAUUAAAUGCUUGUGCGCAUGGGCUUGACCUUGCAGAUCCGCACACAAGCCUUUGAUGGGUGGGCCAAGCACUAGGCCUGACUUUCUAGAUCUAACAACGUAUGACCUCAUUUAUUUUUUUUAAUUAUUAUUAAUACCUAUAUAUAUAUAUUUAUUUAUAUAUUUGAAAAUAUUUUUAAAAAUGAUGUUUUUAUUAAUACUCGUUUUCGUUGAUUUUUUUUUUUGCCUUAUUUAGCGUUCAAUUAUUUUUAAUUAUGUUGGGUAUGUUUAGUUUUUUAAGAAGUUACUAUUAUUUAUCUGUAAAAUUUUUUUAUAUAUUUCAGAUAGAUUAAGUAUUUAUUUUUUUAUAAUAUUUUGAAUAAUUAUAGCCUUGCAUGGUAUUUUUUUUCCUUUUAUGCUAUUCAAUAAAUUUUAUAUGUGUAUUGAUUUCUAUUAUAAAUUAAUUUUAGUAAAUAAAUUAAUUAAACAUAACCAGGGUUAUUUAUUUAUUGGUAAUGACUUUUUUUUUCAUUUAUUUAUAUAAUGAUUCAUGAUUUAUUUAAUUCGAUGCGUGCAUAAGUUUUUUAAUUUAUAUUUAUGAUUGUUUUUAAUGUAAGAAAACACGUUCAUAAAUUCUUAUUAUUAUGAUUUCAGUUUAAUCCUAAUUUUUAUGAUUUUUUAUUUUUUUUCCUUAGCCUUUUAUAAAAGUUUUUUUGUUUGUAAUUUCACCCUUUAAUUUAAUAUGAUGGUGUAUUUGUUUUUUUAUUUUUUGCUUCUAUAUAUAUAUAUAUAUAUAUAUAUAUAUAUAUAUAUAUAUUCCCGUCUUUUGUUUUUUCGUUUUAUCAGCUUUUGCAUGUGGAAUAUUGAGUCUUCUACUUUUUCAGCCACAGAAUUGAAUCCUUUAUAUAUUCUUAAAACUAGAUUUGAAUUCUAAUGAACGAAUAAUAAAGAUGGUUGCAUGUACAAAUUCACCUUCAGAAAACAUAUAAUAAAGUCCCAUAUGUUAAUGAAGAUUUAAUUAUUAAGAAUAUAAAUUAAAUUAAAUUAAAUAUUGAAAAAACUAAAUGAAUUCCUUAAUAAAUAAAUAAAUUCUUUCUUUAGAAAGCAUGGAAAUGCCAUGACACUGGCUUUUUAGAGAGAUGAAGAUCUGGAGCACAACAGCCAAGAAAGUUAUCGAUAAAAGGAAGAUGGGAAGAGGGGAAAUGGGUAACGGGAGAGAGAUGAAGAUCUGCGCAUGGCUACCUGUUUUUGAGAGAAUUAUGGAAAGUUAUCCCUCACUCAAAACGGCACCAAUUAUAAGUUCAUUAAAAAAAAUCUGGAGCACAAUAGAUGGAAAAAACUCGAAACAACUUGUCUAGAAUUUAGGCAAGAAGAAUGAGCCAAGAUUUUAAUUGCAAUGAAAUUUAUCUCACUUUGUUAAGUUUUUUAAAAUGAUACAAGAUAUACUACCUAAUGAAACAAAAUGGAAUCAACAACCUUUAAAAGGAGUAGAGAUCACUUAUGUGUCUCUCAUAUUCAAUAGCCUUUUUCCCAUACUGACAUGUGCUUUACACUCACCAACAUUUUUUUUCUUUUUAUUUUAUAAUAUUCAACAUCGGCGAGUGAGAAUUUGAUAGCUAACUUUAUUAGUAGUGUUGGUUGCUGACUUGUCAGACACGUUUUGAGGCCAUAUGUAGUCACCAAGAACAAAUCCAUGAGGGCGAUAAGGCCCCAUAAAGACAAUAUCUGGUAGAUUCAGUCAGGCUAUGACAUAUUCGAUAAUAACUCUUCAAUUAAGUUCUAAAUCUCAUUUCAUCUUUUCAAUUUAAUCCCUAAUUUGACAUCAACUCUUCAAUUAGACCCCAAAGCUUAUCUCACCUGAGGAAAGCCCUCUUCUCUCAAUUUAGCCCCUUAUUAUCUUCAAUUUAAUAUCAAAUUUUAUUUGAUCCAAGCCCAAAAAAGGCUAAGCGAAGAUAGAAUAAAGGAAGGGAAAGAAAAUGAAUAAUUGCCCAACGGAGUUAACGUGUUUUGGUCUUUUCUCCAUGAUUUGGGUUGAACAUUUGACAUAUAUCCUUUUUUCUAUAGUUUUUUAUCCAUGUUCGUUGUGACGCCAUUGGUAUAGAAUGGUUACCAACUGUUAGUUUAAUAUGCCUUGUAGCCAAUCGGUUAGUUACACGAGACAUUAUUAUAUUCAUGUAAAUACAUAUUUAUUAUUAAUAAAGGCUUAAUUUAACUUUAAUAUUCAUAUAAUAUUAGAGUAAUGAAUCUAAAGUAUAAAUAAAGUUUAUGAGACAAAAAUGUUUUGCAAAGGAAAUUAUAAAGUUGUUAUAAUUAUGAGAUUUUUAAUGCAUCAAAGUAUAAUUCAUAAAAUAUUCUUGGUCGAUGCUCUCUUAAAUACUGGAUAUUAAUUAGAGCUAUAAAGACUGAUACAUAUUAUGUUUUUUCCUUUAUGAAAUGAAGCAACUGUUCUCAUAAGUUGAGCUAUAAGGGAUACCUAAAACUAAUAUGUAUAUGCUUGUCAUUAGACAUGUACACUGAAUUGACCGGCAUGAGAAUUCCAUAUGAAGAGAUUAUUUAUGUCUAUGGAAAGACUCACAUGACGGUUGUAUAUGUAAUCCUUAGACUUGAGAUCACUAAGUUAUCUUAUAUAGAGAAUGUUAUGCUUUGAUCCUGUUACAUGUUAUCUUAAUUGAGGUAACAAAAUGAUAGACAUUGGGUAUAUCAUGAACUAUAUGAAGGUACUUGAGUAAUCAAGAGAGGAUUUCAUCACCCUAUGUGAAUUAGAAAAAAUGUUCAAUCUGUUCUCAAAUAAUAUUGACUGAGAAAUCCGUGGCCAAUGUGGAAUGAUAUUUAAAAAGGAUUUCAAAUCUUAUUCAAAUAAUCAAUUGCUAUCAUAUAGAGAAUGACAUGAUUUAACAUGGCAAACAUGCUUCAUGCUUUAAUGUUAAAUAAGAACAUUAGUGAUAAAAUGGUAUUAAUUACAAUGAGAAACUGGUAAUUGAAACCACUAAUAACUUUUCUAAUAUUUAUGGGAUCAUGACACGUUACUAGACAAUGCAUAUGAUCUUCAAAUCUUCAAUUGUAAUUUAUUUAAUUAUAAUUAUAAUUUAUAUUUGGGUUAAUAUAUUAGGAACCUAAUAUGUCAUACACAUUAAGAAUUAAAUUGUGAUGAUUUAAUUAAGUAUAACUUGAUUAAAAAAAAAUUUAGAAAUUAAGGACUACAAUAUAAUUAAUACAAGGAUUAUAUUUUUAGAUCUAGAAAAAUCAAGGACUUGAUUGAGUUAAUUUAUAAAAUUAUCUUAAAUUAAUAUAUGGAUAUUAUUCAAGGGGAAAAUUGAUAUUUUGUCAAUUUAUAGGGUUUUUCAUAUUUCCUUAUAAAUAGUAAGUGUCGCACGUGUGCGGCGUCGUGACAAAAACAUUCACCCUCAAAAUCUUAUCUUAUAAUGUGGCAAAUGUGGGGAGACAAGGAAUUCUUGUUUUUUAUUAGUGGUAAAUUGGAAUGGGAGUCGCCACCUAGUAUUUUGGUCACUAGGAACUCUAGCUGGUCUCAAAGAUCGGGUACGGGGACUGGUUGCGUAAAGGGAAGGUAUUAGCACCCCAAAUACGCCCUACCUAAGGUAAGCUGCAUUGUUUUAUUGUUUGAUAAAAUCUAAGAUCUUGUCGUGUUUUCUCGUUGUUGGUUCGUCUAUGGUUUAAGAAAAGUCCUUCUCGGUAAGGAGAUCCUUAUCUUAUCGGGUAAUUCUGACGUCAACCAAAGAAUUUAAUAUCCGAAAUACGUCUUACGUAUAAGGUCAUAACCCCAGAUAUUAAAAGAAAACAAAAUAAUUUUUUUGGAAUUUUUGAAAUAUUGGCCUAGUUCUCGUGACUUUAAUAAACUGGUUAUUAAAGCCAAAAUGCAUGUUAAUAUAUAUUUUUGAAAUUUUCUUUGUUAUAUGAAAAUACAAUAUGAUUUUUUUUUCUUUUAUUUUUGAGAGACUUGGUCGUAUGCAUGAAAACAAAAUAUUUUUUAUUUUUUAAAUUUUUUUAAUGUCUUGACGAAAACCGGGUAUUUUAAUACCAGAUUUAUAUCUUUACAGUAUAAAAAUACAAACCAAUAUUGAUCAAAAUGAAGUAAAAAAUUUGCAGAAAAUCACAUAUUUUUUUAAAAUUCUUUUUCCGGGCUGGGCCCAGCCCGGCCCAUGUGGCUGGGCUGGACCCAGCAGGUUUCUACCCGCAUGCGUGCGUGAACAAUUCACGCACGCCUGCUACAGUCGCGAUGUAAUUAAUUUUCAUGUGCACAGUGUUUGUGCAUUUUCUGCAAAGUUGGAGAAGUUUACCUGGAAGCAAGACGAAGGCAACAACAGCUUUGGACCUCUAUCUUCACCUUUUCGUUUGUUUUUCUUCUGGUUCCUCUGGUUCUUCCUGUUUUUUUCUGUUUCUGUUUUCCGUUCUUCUUGUGGUUCCUUUCCUUUCGUCUCUGUCUUCUCCUUCCUCCCGGUAUUCUUUGUUUUUUUUGGUUCCCCUCCCCUUUUCUGUUUCUCUCCUCCCUAUCCUCUGCUUCCUUACGCUCUCCCUCUGUCUAUCUCUCUUUUUGUUCUUUUCAAAAGAUUUCCCACCCUCUGUUUCUUUCUCCCUAUGCUGCCCAGUUCUCCUUCCUUCUCGUUCUUUUUCUAUGUUUUCUCCCUGCUCCCUUCUUCUCCCCCUCUUCGGCUCAGUCUUCUUCUGCUGCUUUUAUAGGUCAGAGAAGGCUUUGUGCUGGUAACGGCUGGCUUGGUAACGGUUUGAAGAGGGAUGACAGCCGUGACACAUGCCCUAUAAUUGAAGAGAAUUGGCACUGUUGCUGCAAGAAAACGUCUCUCGGCCUUUAGUGCUGAAACGGCUGGAAGAAGACACUGAAUAGUGUUUCAAGGCAACGGCCCCGUUUUUUGCAAUUUUAAAUGAUAUUUAUGAUUUGGUCCUUGGAUGUUUUUACAAUUUGUAAUCAAGCCCUCGGAUAAAUUAUAAUUGGAUCCCUUGAUUGUAGCACCUUUUCUGUUUUGGUCCUUGGUUUUGAAUUGUUUCAAUUAAGUCCCUAAUUGGCCAUCAAACUUUAAUAACUAUGCAAUUAAGCCCCUGAUUUGACCAAAUCAACUCUUUAAAAUUAUAAUUGGACCCCAGAACUUUAAUUUCUUCCAAUAAAGACCUAAAUUGACUUAAAAAACAAUUUUUCUUGCAAUCAAACCCUCCAUAAAUUCAAUUAAACCUUAGAUAAAAUUUAAUUGAGUCCAUAAACAUCUUAUUUUGAAUAUAUUUUUUCAAAAAUUGAAUUUUCUUUGUCAACAGAACUCUCAUCAGUUAACGAUAAACUGUCAAAUUUCAACCUUUUGCAUUUUUGAACCUCUUCAACCAAUUUUUGGCCAUUUUUCGGCAUUCUAGCAUCCUUUUCUUACUCCUAUUAUUUUUUGGAUUUCUUUCGAAUAUUUUUUGAUAUAUAUUUCUUUUUGUAUUUUCUCAUUUUUUUGUGGGAACCCAAAAAUGGGUAACAACAGUAAGCUAUGCCUUUUAUUUUUUAGGAGUUGUCUGUUAGACAAAAAGACUACGUAUGUCACAUAAUAAAGAGAUAACACUCUAGGCAUAACAAUCCCUCUCUCUUAAAUAGGGACUUGAGAGAUUUUUCACUAGUGGUUCAUGUGAAUUACUAUUGAAGGACAAACAAUUGGACGACUUCUAGUUUACAACAACCCAGUCUUUAAAAAAUUAUUCAAAACCGAAGAUGAUCAAAUCUUUAGGUAAUAAAUCCCUAAACAACUCUAGAUCUGUUUAACAAAAUUCCAGAAAUUCCCGAAUAAUUUUAGGCUGUGUUUGUUUUCCGGAAAGUGGUUUCCGGAAAACCACUUUCCAAACUUUCCUGUGUUUGUUUGUUAUUAGGAAAGUUGGUCAACGGAAAACACUUUUCAGUCAAAGGCAAAAUUUAGCUUGGUUUUUAGAAAAGUGUUUUCCUUUUAUUUUAGGCGGAAAACACUUUCCGGAAGUUGUGCAAAAUUUAGAAAUGUCAUAUUAUUUGCUGAUUAUAUCAAAAUUGGUCCUGAAACUUUUGAUUGCUAUAUAUAUAUAUAUAUAUAUUUUUUGUUUUGAAUAUUUGUUUUUCAAUUUCAUCCCUUGGAAUUUAAUUUUUAUAUUAACUUUACUCCUCAUUUUUAUAAUUGCUAUUUGAUUUUCCCUUAUCAUUUUUUAAUUAAAUUUUUUUAUCUAUCAAAUUUGGUCAUCAUUCUUUUGAUUGUUACUUAUUUUAUUUGAAAUAAUUUAUAAAAUGUUAAUUAUUAUUAUUUUAAUUUCUUCAUCUUUCAAUUUUUUUAUUUUUUAGAUUUGAUCUCUAUUAUUUUGAUUAUUAUUUAUUUUAUUUGAGAUAAUUUAUGAAAUUAUAUUUUUUUUCAAUUUUAUUCUCAUUCAACUUUUUAAUUUGUAAGAUUUAUUCCUCGUUAUUUUAAUAAAUUUGAGAAAAAUAAAAUAUUAAUACGUUAUUUUCCAGCUUAUUUUCCAUGACAUAACAAAACACAGGAAAAUGUUUUCCAACUUAUUUUCCAUGACACUGCAAUUGGAUGACUCAUAUUUGAUUUAUGGAGCUAGCUAUGCUAAGGGAAUCAUGCUUGUAUCACCUAUACUAAUAAUAAUAAUUACAUAUUAACAAGCAUCAUUUGAUUAGUAAGUUUCCAAAUUCUAUCCACAAAUAUUAUAACCUCUUAAUUUAUGCAAGAACUUAGCUACAUUUCAUGCAAGCAAUCCCUAACUCUAGUAUUUUGUCUGUGUUAAAAAUGGAGACUUCUUGGUGUUCGCCGGAGCUUGGGUAUAUACCAUAUUUGAACAAAUAACAAUGUAAAAACAUCUUUUAACGAUAUUAAAAUCAUUUAUUCAUUUAAAGUAUCAAUAUUGUCAUUUAUAGUGAAACAUUUAAUUUUACUACAUUGAAAAUACGUUGACCAAUAGAAUCCCCGCCUUCAGCUAACCCCCAAUAUGUCUUGAAUAGCAAUGGCCAUCCUUUGGCCAUCAUGCCAUAAAAGCCUCAUUUGGAGCCAAUUCCUCUCUUUCUUGCCACUAUUUAGCUUCCGACCAUUCUUCGCGUUUCACUUUUCUUCAAAUGUUUUCACCAAAACAAAGCUUCAACCUUUAAAUUGUUGCUUAUAAAGUCGAGAUCCAAGGGAUUAUUUAAGAUUUUAUGGAAAUUACGUAUUUCAAAUAUUUUAUGUUUAUUUUUCUGAAAUAUCGUUUGAAGCAAAAGGCAAAAAAGAAUUAAAAAUUUUUUUAAAGUGUUUUUAAAACACAAAAACAAACAGAGUUUGUUUUUUAUUUUUUAAAGAAUUGUUUUUAAAAAAUAAUUUUUUGUAUUCUAAAUUAAUUUUUUUAUUAUUUUAAUAUAUUUUAAAUAAAAAAUAUUUUAAAAAACAUCUACUUAAAAAAUAUUAUUUUUCUGAAAUAAUACUUUUCUCUAUAUUUGAGUUUAGUUUAAAAUANNNNNNNNNNNNNNNNNNNNNNNNNNNNNNNNNNNNNNNNNNNNNNNNNNNNNNNNNNNNNNNNNNNNNNNNNNNNNNNNNNNNNNNNNNNNNNNNNNNNAUUUUAAUGUUUUUUCAUGCUCUAGCAAAUGAGGCACGAAAAGAGAACCUGAAAUCACGGCAGCAAAUAAGGAGAGAAAUAGGUGUUUGUUUUUUAUUUUUUAAAGUAUUAUUUUUUAAAAUUAAUUUUUUGUAUUCUAAAUUAAUUUUUUUAUAUUUUUAUAUUAAUAUUAAAAAUAAUUUUUAAAAAAUAAAAAAUAUUAUUUUAAUAUAUUUUUAAAUAAAAAAAUAUUUUAAAAAAGAGCUGCUUAUUCAAACACUUAAAAUAAAAAUCUUAAAAUCACAGCAUGAUAAAAGAAGAAAGAAAGGAAUGGGAUAAAGAAGAAAGAAUAAAAAAAACUCCAAAAAUCACGGCAUGAUCAAAGGAGAAAGAAAAGGAUGGGACAAAGAAGGAAGAAAGUAAGGUCACGUAGGGGCUUGUCUUGUAGAAAAUGUGAGAAUUAGCAUGAAAAGAGGAUAAUAGAGUAGUUGUUAGAAUCAAAAGACAUAAACACGGGAGAGAGGCUGCCCCUUACCUCCUCCUGGGAAGGAAUAUAUGUCAGACUAUACAGCCUUUUUCAAUUCAUUAAUGUCGUUCUCUGUUUGUCUUCUAAAACCUACUCCCAUCAUGUACAUGUAUUAUUUUCUUAAAAUUGCUCUAUGGAAUUGCAGGCCAUGCUCGUUUGAUUUUUUUAAUAACAAAAUUCUUUUCAUGCUCUUGCAAAUAAGGCAGGGAUGGAGGCCUUGAAAUCACGGCAGCGAAUAAGAAGUGAAAAAGAGCCUUUGUUUUUGCUUUUUUAUUUUUUAGUAUUUUUGAAACAAAUUAGAUUUUUUUAUUUUUUUUAUUUUCUAUUAUUUUGAUAUAUUUCUAAACAAAAAAAUAUUUUAAAAAACAACCACUAACACAUUCUUUUUAAGCUAUUAAGUAACCAGUCCCUAUAAUUUUUCAACAUUGCACUUGGGUACCAAACUUCAUUUUUCUCUUUUUCAAGUUUUUUUUUUGGUGGAGAAGACAGAGAGGGUCGCUGAAUUUUAUUUUAGAGAGAGAAAGUUGUUGUUAAGAAAGAUUUUGGCUACCGAAAUCGUUGAUUUUUGUAUCAAAUGGUAACCGCCUAUUUUUUUCAUGUGUUCAUACUUAAAACCUUCUUAAAGAGUUCUUAUCAAUGGUUUUAAAACCUCUCUCUCAAGAUCGAAAGGUUAGAAAUAACUCUCUACCCUCUAAGUCUAAUAAAACCAUCAAGUACUCUUAAAACCAAAACCACAAUUGCAAAAACCAGUUUAGUACAAGAACUUCUAACUAUUAGCUUUUAUCCAUAACCCUCUCACUUUGAUCAAAUGGUUAAACUUUCAUCAAUCUUUGAGGGAAUCCACAAAAAAACCUAGAAAAACAUAUAAUUACUCUUGAAAAUUAGAGCCGGAGAGGAGGAGAAAAAAAGAGGAAAAACAUGGGGAAAUAAUUUGUUAAUAGACUCUAUUAUAAAGGUUCAAGAGCCUAGAAGGUUUAACCAGCUUUAGAAAGAAAAAAAGUGAAAGGAAAAGAAGGAAGGAAAUGAAAAUAAAAAAAUAACAACGUAAUUUUGAACUUAAAGGCCUAAUUUCAGUGAAAGUUAAGAGCAUUAGAGACUAGACCGUGCUUAUACCAAAGACUCUCAUCGUUGAAGGAAUGCAAACAGUUGUUAACGAGACACUUAUGCUGUUCCAACAUUCAAAGAUUGUUGAAUCUAGUACCGGUGCUCAUUCUGGAUCUAGUACCAAAAGGAGAAUAUAGAAAGAGAUAGUAGUGAAUUAAUUAUGUUUCAUUCAGUAGUAAGAAACAAACGGGGGCAAUGCAUUUAUAAUAGCCAGAGAGGGGUUUUUAUAUACAUUCNNNNNNNNNNNNNNNNNNNNNNNNNNNNNNNNNNNNNNNNNNNNNNNNNNNNNNNNNNNNNNNNNNNNNNNNNNNNNNNNNNNNNNNNNNNNNNNNNNNNACUAGAUAUAAAGAAAAAGUACAAAUUCCAACAAAAAAUACAUGUUUGAAGGUUCAACAAAAAUGAUUUGCUAAUUAGCUAUAAGCUUGAGAAAGAUAAAUAAUGAGAGUGUGAGUUCAAAAACUCAGUGAGUAGAUAACGUUCAAUAUACAUACACGAGGUAAUACAACAAUGAGGAAUAUAUAUACAAUUAUGGCUUUAGAUUCUUAUAGGAAGGUUUCUCAAAUAGGCCAUAACAAGGUUAUCAUAAGGUAAAAUUCGUUAGAAAAUCAAAAUGCAAUAACAUGAGGCUCUGUACUAUGGGAUGAUCAGUCCACACAGGUUGAUGACUCUCCCAACCAACUAGGGUUUCAAAUACAAUGUGCACUAAGACUAACACUACCCUGUUAGUAUGAGCAUUCUAACUGGCAUACCAUAAGUUCAUAUCAUAAUCAAACAAACAAAUUCAUAUCUCAAGGCCCAACUCAUGACAUUAAUAAAACAAGAAGCUAUCAAUUCAGAAGUCAAUUUAGAAGUAUAUAUUGGCUUAUAUCAAAAAUUCAAAUUCAACAAUUAAUCAUGUUUUAUCAUAACAAAGAUAAUAAUCAACAUAUAUAUUAUCAAGAAGCACGAUCCAAUUCAUAUUAACAGCUCAAAUAUUUAUACUAUUUCUCAUGCAUAUGGAAAAUUAUACACUCACUUGACUUAAAAGUGAACAGAACUCGAAAGCAAAUACCGAAGAAAAUCCUACUGAUAUUCCGCAUAUAGAAUAUCAAGAUUAUCUAAAUACAAAGAAGACAUAUUAUAAAAUGACUCGAAAAGAACAUACAACCUAUUUAAUACACUUAACUAAGGGUCUAUUUCAUAACCCUAUACAUUUUGUUAAUUCUAAACUAGUUAUUUUUCCCAAAAACCAAAAAAGUAAACGGUUUUUCAGAAAUCUAAUUCAUAAUAAAACAAAUAAUGAGACUUGAUAAUAAUUCACUAAAUAACCAUCAAUUAUUCAUCAAAACAAUCUGAAAAAGCUAAUAUUAAAGCUAGGGACCAAUCUGAAAUUUUAUCAUAUUUUUAGGGGUCAAAUUAUAAUUUUAUCAAAUUGGAAGACCAAACUAAAAAUGUCAUAAAUUCAUGACUAUACUGGAAUUCUGCCCAUAAUUCAUUUUCAAUUCUGCCCAGAAUCUCAAAUUAUGCUCCAGGGACCACUAUAGAAUUUUAUCAAAUUUCUAGGGUUAAAUUGUAAUUUCAUCAAAUUGGAGGACCAAAGUGAAAAUAUCAUAAAUUCAUAACUAUACUGGAAUUCUGCCCAUAGUUUAUCUUUAAUUCUGUCCAGAAUCUCGGAUUAUGCUCCAGGGACCAAUCUCUAAUUUUUCCAAAGUUCAGGGACUAAANNNNNNNNNNNNNNNNNNNNNNNNNNNNNNNNNNNNNNNNNNNNNNNNNNNNNNNNNNNNNNNNNNNNNNNNNNNNNNNNNNNNNNNNNNNNNNNNNNNNCAGACCCACAUGCCUAGGGUCUGCAGACCCGCUUGCGGUUUGCAGACCCUUAUCCCUGGAGUUGCAGAACCCCGCGCCUGGGGUGUGCAGAACCGGGAGCAGGGUCUAGACCCGCUCAUCUGGGUUUGAAGAACCCCACUUCUUCUAUCGUGCCUGGGGUCUGCAGCAUCCUCCCAGGGGUUGUAGACCCACACAACUAGAUCUGCAGACCCCGUAGAGAAAAAUAACAAACUUGAAAAAAAAAAUGAAAACAAAUAUAAUAACUAAUAACAAUUAUUUUUAUCAUUAUUAUUAUUAUCGCUAAUAAAUUUUAUAAAAACAUUAUUACUAUCAAAACUUGGACUAGACAAGUUUAAUAUUAUUAUUACUAUACUAAAUAUUAUUGUUUUCAUUAUAAUUAAAAGUAUUAAUAUUUGUGUUAUAAAUACUAUUAUUUUUAUUAUAAUUAAAAGUAUUAAUAUUAAAAUUAUUAUUAUUUUUCUUAUAAAUAAUAUUAUUUUUAUUAUAAUUAAUAUUGAAAAUACUAUUAUUUGUAUUAUCAAUAUUAUUAUUUUGAGUAUAAUUAAUACUACUAACAUAAUAAUUAAUAAAUUUGAAAAAAAUAUUAUUUAUAUUGAAAAGCAAUAAUAGAUUUAAUUUGAAGGGUAAAAUUAAGAAUUAUUAUUAUUAUUAUUAUUAUUAUUAUUAUUAUUGUUAUUAUUUAUUGUUAUCAUUAGUAAAUUGAAAGAAACAAAAUUAUUAGUUAUUUUUAUCAUUUCAGCUGGGGUUGAAUUUUCUUAUUAGAGCAUGUUUGGUUUUGGUUUUAAAAAUUGCUUUGAAAAGAAUUUUAUUUUUUUUAUUUUUUUCUUUACUUCAAAUUAAUGUUUUUUCCUUUAAUUCAUAUUAAAAUGUUUUUGUAAUAUUUUGACGUGAUUAUAUAUUAAAUAGAUUUAAAAAAAAUUAAACAUUGCAGGAUUCAAAAUAGUCUUGGGUCCAGGUUGGGGCAGGACCCUAGAUCUUACAGGUUGCAGGACCCAAAAUAGCCUUGGGUCCGGCCGUAUGCAUGACCCAAAAUAGCCUUGUACAGUUGAGAACAUCUCAUGCAUGCGACAUCCAAUGCAACAUAAUAUAUAAAUUGCAAUGCAUGUAAUUAAUGGGGGGGAAAUUCAUGAAUGAAUUGAAAGAUAUAUAUCUUAUGGGAUAGAUACAACACGAGAAGAAAAAACCAUUUAGAGAAACAGACAAUCUCGAUUGAUGAUCAUCCUAUUAUUAGCAUGAAAGGUUGAAAAAGAAAGAAUUCAUACAAGGAGGUUGGCCUUGAAUUGGCAUUGCCUUAUUCCAAGCGCUAGCUAGCUUAUAAUAUUAUUCACUAGCUAGCUAGCUCGCUAGCUCCUCUCCCUAGCCUUCCCUGCAUCGAUCUUCUGCUUUGCAACCUCUUCCUGGAGCGACUCGAUGGAGGCAUUGGGGAUUCUUUUCUGGGUCACAACGCGGAAGCCCUUCGUAACUUAAGUAUUUUGGUUUUCUUGUAAUGGUAUCUGCUACAUCUCCUGCAACAAACGUGGUCAUCAGGAGCAUUAAAACACCAAAAGCCAUCAAUCCUUUGGACAUUGACAUUGUUAAACUAUGAUGAGAGCAGACAAUACACAAAUGUUGUUCUUAAAAGAAUAUUGAUUCGGUGACAAUAAAAAGCAAGGUCUGGCAUAUAUAUAUAUAUAUAUAUAUAUAUAUAUAGCAUAUGCAUGGAGUGUUUGCCGUUUAUAGCACAAUUUCUUGUGGAUAUUAAAAUAGUUAAUUCUCUUUGCUUUUUCAGAUUAUAGCCGCACCACUUAUAGCACAAUUUCUUGAAGUUGAUACCCACAUAUAGCUGGGAGCUCAAAUGGCCACAUCUUGCAUUAGACAUUGAGAGCUUAAUUGGAGGUCUUGGUCAGCUAAAUUCUCAGCAUCCCUGAUGAGGAGCACACAUUGCGUGGUUGUGACUUCACUUGAGAAAAGUACAUCCAAGAAACAAGGAGAGAUAUGCUACCAAAGAAAAGAUGUCGUGAGUUCGAGCGUCCAGGUUUGGAUCAUGGGAACGCAUACACAACCACAUGCCCACCCAGCUGCAAGAGCUCCAAGUCUGCAAUAUUGAUCUUGUAUUGUAUGUAAACUUCCAACAAAAGUGAACUAUAUGUUAGAUCAUUAGAGAAGGUUUUCCAUGUAACAUGACAUAACAAUAUUAAACAGCAUCAGGACAAAUAUUGCGAACAUAAUAUGUUUGGUUUAGGUGCGCGCGCCGCCUCUUAAAAAGCAUGUCGAAAUCCAUGCUUUCUGCGAGGUGCACCGCCCGGCGCACCUUACAUACAAACACAUUGUAAUUAGUGUGACCAAAAAGAACUCUUGGUGCGAUUAUCCAAGACCACAAAUCACACUCUGCAACGAGAAGUGUCCCCCAAAGACUAAACAAAAAGAAAAAAUAAAAGCAGCUUCCAAUCGUUUCAUUACUUGACUCACCCAAUAACAAAAGCUCUUCGUCUUCUCAAUAAGGAAAUUAAUACAUGCAAGCUGCCACAAGAUUAAAGCACUUAAUGCAGAGAAAGGAGGAGUCACUGCAAUCUAUUCUACUUCCCAGAUGUUGCAGUCAAACUUAAAAUGUGAAAAUCAAAUAUGGUAAAGGCCACGGCUCUACAUAUAAAGAAAUAGACACCUGGGAUAUGAGAGUUCUUAUUGUUAAAUAAUAUUUAUGUAGUCUUAUUUAUUAAGGGUAGAAUAGUACUUUCAGUUUGACCUAUAUAUACUUUAUUUGUAUUGAGGUUAACACAAAGCAUUCAUAAUAAACAGUCUGAGGGAAGAGAUAUGAGCCUACGUUUAAGUAUUUGAUCUCGAUUACUUUAACAUGGUAUCAGAGCUGGUUUUAUGGCACGAGGUUAAUCCCGUACACAGCUUAUGUCAAGGUAACCGAGCUCGAUAUCUAUCCUCAAUUAUUUUGGUAUUUCGUCUUCCCUUCAGCUUUGCAAUUUUGGUAAUUCCGUUCAGUUUCUGCAAAUUGUUUUGUGUUUUGGAGUAAUCGUAUAGUUUGAGAAGAUAUUUGUUUAGUUUCUGCAAUCUCUGUUCAGUUUCUGCAAUUUGGUAUUUUGUUUUCCGCUGCUUUUGCAUUCUGGUUCUUUGUGAUUGUUGAUUAUGGCUACUGAAAGAGAUGAUUCGCUUCAGUCUGUGAGUGUGAGGUUGGAUGGGAAGAACUAUUCGUAUUGGAGCUAUGUAAUGAGAAAUUUUCUUAAGGGUAAGAAGAUGUGGGGAUAUGUUAGUGGAACUUAUGUGGUACCUAAGAAUACUGAAGAAGGAGAUACUGUCUCGAUAGAUACAUGGGAAGCAAACAAUGCAAAGAUCAUUACUUGGAUCAACAAUUCUGUUGAGCAUUCUAUAAGUACACAGUUGGCAAAGUAUGAGACAGCAAAGGAGGUUUGGGAUCAUCUGCAACGGUUAUUCACGCAAUCAAAUUUUGCAAAACAGUAUCAGUUAGAGAAUGACAUACGAGCUCUUCACCAGAAGAAUAUGAGUAUUCAGGAGUUCUAUUCUGCCAUGACAGAUCUUUGGGAUCAAUUGGCUCUUACAGAAUCGGCAGAAUUAAAAGCAUGUGGUGCUUAUAUUGAACGUAGAGAGCAGCAACGAUUGGUACAAUUUUUAACAGCACUUCGCAGUGAUUUCGAAGGACUUAGAGGUUCAAUUCUGCAUCGUUCUCCACUGCCCUCUGUUGACUCUGUUGUCAGUGAGUUAUUGGCUGAAGAAAUACGUCUUCAGUCUUAUUCUGAAAAGGGAAUUCUUUCUGCUUCGAAUCCUUCUGUACUAGCAGUACCUUCUAAGCCAUUCUCUAAUCAUCAGAACAAGCCUUACACAAGGGUUGGCUUCGAUGAGUGCAGUUUCUGUAAGCAGAAAGGUCAUUGGAAGGCUCAGUGUCCUAAGUUGAGACAGCAGAAUCAAGCUUGGAAGUCUGGCAGUCAGUCACAAUCUAAUGCUCAUCGAUCACCUCAGGGUUAUAAACCACCACACCACAAUACUGCAGCAGUAGCUUCCCCAGGCUCUAUUACCGAUCCUAAUACUUUAGCUGAGCAAUUUCAGAAGUUUCUCUCCUUGCAGCCACAAGCAAUGUCCGCUUCUUCCAUAGGUCAGUUGCCUCAUAGUUCCUCAGGUAUGUCACACUCUGAAUGGGUCUUGGAUUCUGGUGCUUCACAUCAUAUGUCUCCAGAUUCCUCAUCUUUUACCUCAGUGUCCCCUUUGUCCUCCAUUCCUGUUAUGACUGCUGAUGGCACUCCUAUGCCCUUAGCAGGUGUUGGUUCUGUUGUCACACCUCACUUGUCUCUCCCUAAUGUUUAUCUUAUUCCAAAACUCAAAUUGAAUCUUGCGUCUGUUGGUUAAAUAUGUGAUUCUGGUGAUUAUUUAGUCAUGUUUUCUGGUUCUUUUUGUUGUGUACAGGAUCUGCAGUCUCAGAAGCUGAUUGGGACAGGUCGUAGGGAGAAUGGGCUAUAUAUUUUGGAUGAGUUAAAAGUGCCAGUUGCUGCUGCUGCUGCUGCUGCUACUGCUGAUUUGUCUUCCUUUCGUUUGAGUCUUUCAUCUUCUAGUUUUUAUUUAUGGCAUUCCCGUCUAGGUCAUGUUUCGUCUUCUCGUUUGAGAUUUUUGGCAUCCACAGGAGAUUUAGGAAAUUUGAAAACUUGUGACAUUUCUGAUUGUAGUGGAUGUAAACUGGCAAAAUUUUCUGCUUUAUCUUUUAAUCGAAGUAUUUCUGUUUCAUCUUCACCAUUUGAUUUGAUUCAUUCUGAUGUAUGGGGACCUUCUCCUGUUUCCACAAAAGGAGGGUCUCGAUAUUAUGUCUCUUUUAUUGAUGAUCAUACUCGUUAUUGUUGGGUUUAUUUAAUGAAACAUCGUUCUGAAUUCUUUGAGAUAUAUGCAGCUUUUCGAGCUCUUAUCAAAACUCAACAUUCUGCUGUGAUCAAAUGCUUUAGGUGUGAUUUGGGUGGGGAAUACACCUCUAAUAAAUUUUGUCAAAUGCUUGCCUUAGAUGGAACCAUCCACCAAACUUCAUGUACAGAUACUCCUGAACAAAAUGGUGUAGCUGAAAGAAAACAUAGGCAUAUUGUCGAAACUGCUCGUUCUCUCUUGUUGUCUGCUUUUGUUCCUAGUGAAUUUUGGGGAGAAGCUGUUCUUACUGCUGUAAGUUUGAUUAAUACAAUUCCAUCUUCUCAUAGUUCGGGUCUAUCUCCUUUUGAAAAGCUAUAUGGGCAUGUCCCUUAUUAUUCCUCAUUUAGAGUCUUUGGUUGUACUUGUUUUGUUCUUCGUCCUCAUGUAGAACGCAAUAAGCUAUCCUCUCGAUCCGCUAUUUGUGUCUUUCUGGGUUAUGGUGAAGGUAAAAAGGGGUAUCGUUGUUUUGAUCCAAUAACUCAGAAACUUUAUGUGUCUCGUCAUGUUGUCUUCCUUGAGCAUAUACCUUUCUUUUCUAUUCCAUCCACUACUCAUAGCCUGACAAAAUCUGAUCUUAUUCAUAUAGAUCCUUUUUCUGAGGAUUCUGGUAAUGAUACCUCUCCCUAUGUUCGAUCAAUUUGUACUCAUAACUCUGCAGGUACUGGUACUUUACUCUCUGGCACAUCUGAAGCUUCAUUCUCAUCUACAGCCCCUCAAGCUUCAUCUGAGAUUGUGGAUCCACCUCCACGUCAGUCCAUCCGCAUUCGUAAGUCCACAAAACUACCAGAUUUUGCUUAUUCUUGUUAUUCUUCAUCAUUUACUUCCUUUUUAGCUUCUAUUCAUUGUCUCUUUGAGCCCUCUUCCUAUAAAGAGGCAAUUCUUGAUCCGCUUUGGCAGCAAGCUAUGGAUGAGGAACUUUCUGCUUUGCAUAAGACAGAUACUUGGGAUCUGGUUCCUCUACCUCCUGGUAAGAGUGUUGUUGGUUGUCGUUGGGUGUAUAAGAUCAAGACUAAUUCUGAUGGGUCUAUUGAGCGAUACAAAGCUAGGCUGGUUGCAAAAGGAUACUCUCAACAGUAUGGUAUGGACUAUGAGGAGACAUUUGCCCCGGUUGCCAAAAUGACUACUAUUCGUACUCUUAUUGCCGUAGCUUCGAUUCGUCAGUGGCAUAUUUCUCAGCUUGAUGUUAAAAAUGCAUUCUUGAAUGGAGAUCUUCAAGAAGAAGUUUAUAUGGCACCCCCUCCUGGUAUUUCACAUGACUCUGGAUAUGUUUGUAAGCUUAAGAAAGCACUAUAUGGUCUCAAACAAGCACCUCGUGCUUGGUUUGAGAAAUUCUCUAUUGUGAUCUCGUCUCUUGGCUUUGUUUCUAGCAGUCAUGAUUCUACUCUUUUUAUUAAGUGCACUGAUGCAGGUCGUAUCAUUCUGUCUUUAUAUGUUGAUGACAUGAUUAUUACUGGUGAUGAUAUUGAUGGUAUUUCAGUUUUGAAGACAGAGUUGGCUAGACGAUUUGAAAUGAAGGAUUUGGGUUAUCUUCGAUAUUUCCUAGGUAUUGAGGUAGCAUACUCGCCUAGAGGUUACCUUCUUUCUCAGUCAAAAUAUGUUACAGAUAUUCUUGAGCGAGCUAGACUUACUGAUAACAAGACUGUAGAUACUCCUAUUGAGGUCAACGCGAGGUACUCUUCUUCUGAUGGUUUACCUUUGAUAGAUCCUACUUUAUACCGUACUAUUGUUGAGAGUUUGGUAUAUCUCACAAUUACUCGUCCAGAUAUUGCAUAUGUUGUUCAUGUUGUUAGUCAGUUUGUUGCUUCUCCUACUACUGUUCACUGGGCAGCUGUUCUUCGUAUUUUGCGAUAUCUUCGGGGUACAGUUUUUCAAAGUCUGUUACUUUCAUCCACCUCUUCCUUGGAGUUGCGUGCAUACUCUGAUGCUGAUCAUGGUAGUGAUCCCACAGAUUGCAAGUCUGUUACCGGGUUCUGUAUCUUUUUAGGUGAUUCUCUUAUUUCUUGGAAGAGCAAGAAACAAUCUAUUGUUUCUCAAUCAUCCACCGAAGCAGAAUAUCGUGUCAUGGCAUCUACUACCAAAGAGAUUGUUUGGCUACGUUGGUUACUUGCUGAUAUGGGAAUUUCCUUUUCUCAUCCUACUCCUAUGUAUUGUGACAACCAGAGUUCUAUUCAGAUUGCUCAUAACUCGGUUUUUCAUGAGCGCACUAAGCACAUUGAGAUCGAUUGUCAUCUUACUCGUCAUCAUCUCAAACAUGGCACCAUUGCUUUGCCUUUUGUUCCUUCUUCCUUGCAAAUUGCAGAUUUCUUUACCAAGGCGCAUUCCAUCUCUCGUUUUCGUUUUCUGGUUGGCAAACUCUCGAUGCUUGUAGCUGCCGCAUCGUGAGUUUGAGGGGAGAUGUUAAAUAAUAUUUAUGUAGUCUUAUUUAUUAAGGGUAGAAUAGUACUUUCAGUUUGACCUAUAUAUACUUUAUUUGUAUUGAGGUUAACACAAAGCAUUCAUAAUAAACAGAUUAUUCAGAAUUGUAGCCUCCUUUUUGUAUUUGAUCUCAAUUACUUUAACACUUAUACCAUGCCUCAAGGACAAAUGAAGGAGAGCAAAGCAUCUCCCGGAAAAAAAACAUCAAAUCAAGAGUCUUGCAAUCCACAUGCAUUAAAGCUUCUUUCAUAAAGGACAGAAGCUUUGAUUUCCAAAUGAGACAGCAAAAAAGAUAUGUCACUGAUAUCCACUUGUAAUUAAUAACCACUUCAUUUAUUUAUUCUAGGACAAAAAACCAAAACAAUCUUGGAUCACAUAGGAACAGGAAAAGGCCUUAAACUCUGACGAACAAGGCGGAGCUAUUAUACAUAGGAUACUUCAGAUGAACUGUUGAUUUCCAUUAUGCUUCAUGCCAAACGUGAGAACCCAACCUCCUUUCCCACCCAUAUCCACAUCACACAACCCGAUCAUCGUCGCAUAUUAAUUUCAUUACAUAAUAUGACACUAGGAUGCAUGUCAUGAUGAAACAUGGAUGAGAUUAAAACUCAUUGACAUAAAUCUGGUCUUUUAAUACAUGUCUCAGAUAAUUAGACCUGAUGAUUAAGAUUAUAAGUUCAAAAACAUAAAUAUAUAGCCAUACGCAAGAGUCUUAGAUUCUGGAAGCCAACAUUUCCAGCAAUACAUGUCUAGGCAAGACAUUGCAUAUCUGAUUCUGAGAAUCACAGCAAAUAUGCCCACUCUAUCAAACAUACUUGAAUGCAGCCAGUCUUAUUUGACAGGCAACUAAAACUAAACAUGAAAAAAGUUUCAUAUUAAGAAGAAGCAGUGAUCAUCUAUGAUCUACCAUCCUCCUAAAUCCUAGAACCUUUUAAUUUUUAACACAAAAACUAGUGACAGCACCUCAACAUGAUAGAAUUGAGAAGGAGAAGCUUCAACGCAAUGCAUGCAACUCAAAGCCAAUAUAUAUUACCCUUUCACUUAGACUACCAUCACAUUUCUAAGCAUCGAGUUUCAAUCUACUAGUUCAUUCCAGAAACAUUCUUCAACUAAGACAAAAUGCCGAACCUACCUGGAAGGCAGGACCCCCUCAGCAGAAUUCAUGAUGCUCCAGCAACCCAUGAAUGCAAAGAGGAACAAUCUUCUAAAAAUGACUUCCAUUGGAGGAAGUUCGACAAAAUUGAGUAAAUUCUUGACCCAAGGAGGAGACUCCUCCACUUUCUUCUCUAUCCUGGUCUUGAAAUUAAUUUUUGUUUCUUUCCUCUGUCUAAAGCUAGUCAUCAACAAUUUCUCAAAGGCAGCUUCUAUUGAUUCUUCGCUUCUUUCAUGCCCAGCAUAUUGUUUCAGGAGAAAAUUGCGUGAACUCCAGACUUCCUCUUCAGAAGCGUAAGGACUGACACCAAGACGUUUAAAAGGGUCCCAAACAUUCAUGGAAGGGAAUUUCGGGAUGUUACCUGUUGAGUUUGAACACGAUUGUGAUAGGUCCCUGUCACAGCAAGUAAUUAAAGACAAGAAACAAACACAAAUGUAUUCUGCUUUGGGCGAGAAUAAGCCACAAUUGAUAUUAUUGAAUAUUGAAUGAAUGCGUUCUCUGUCUCAUAGCAGAGUUUAAAUACAGGAAUUGAAAUAACAACUUUCCUAAAAUACUGGCAUGACUACAUAAAAUCAGGAUGACUCCUGCUACAUAGCUGGCAUUUAUUUGCUGAAUAAAACUUGACUCCUUCCUCCCGUGCACUAAGGCACUGCAGUGAGAAGACCCCCUUGACUCGUUCCUCCCUUGACUAGCUCUUCACAGCUCAAUAAACCUGCGAUUCUUCUUACGAAUUCUGCAUGAUCUUCUCGGCUCCAGCUGUUGCUCAUCCCGUUGUUGUAGUUCAUCACUUGACUCCUUCAAUUGCUGCUGCUGCUUAUCAAUACCUCCCUCUUUUAAGGGAACCUUGUCCUCAAGGUUCAGAUUCUGAAAUCGCUCCCGUAACGCCACAGCAUCUUCCCACGUGGCAUCAUCAUUCUGCAGAUGUUUCCAUUUGACGAGAAUUGCUUCGACAAACCGAGACCCUUUCUUGAUCCAACGAGUGUCUAGGACAGCCUCAGGUUCAAUCAGCAUCUCUCCCGCAGCAGACAUAGGUGGCAAUUCGAUUGAUUCAACCACCUCAUCUCCAAUUUUCUUUUUGAGCAAGGACACAUGAAAGACUGGAUGAAUUCAAGCCUGUGUAGGCAAUUUUAGCUUAUACGCUACCGCGCCAAUUCUUUCUGCAAUCUGAUAAGGACCAUAAUAGCGGCUAGCCAACUUUUUGCAUACACUCCUGACCACGGAUUGUUGACGGUAAGGGUGAAGUUUAAGAAAAACCCAAUCUCCCACCUGAAAUUCAAUAUCACGUCGCUUAGAAUUAGCAAGUUGUUGCAUGCGAUUACUAGCCGCAUGCAGGUUUGCCUUGAGCAGACUCAACAAUUCGUCCCUAGAGGCGAGUUGCUGAUCCACUUCAUUCACCGGAGACAUGCCAAUGUGGUAAUGGGGAAUUGUAGGUGGUAAACGUCCAUAGAGGGCCUGAAAUGGUGUCAUUCCUGUAGAAGCAUGAUAAGUUGUAUUAUACCAGAAUUCGGCCCAAGGUAGGAGGGAAUUCCAUUUUGCUGGCUGGUGGUGAACAAAGCACCGAAGAUAUUGUUCGACGCAGCGAUUGACCACCUCUGAUUGCCCAUCCGUUUGUGGAUGAUAUGCGGAACUCAUCUUCAACUUGGUACCUGACAAUUUAAAGAACUCACGCCAAAAAUGACUGAUAAAGAUAGGAUCUCUAUCACUGAUAAUGGACCGCGGCAUACCAUGUAGCUUCACUACCCCGUCAACGAAUUUCUCGGCCACAAUUUUGGUCGUAUAAGGAUGAGCCAAUGCCAAGAAAUGUGCUGACUUACUUAGGUGAUUAACCACAACGAAAAUUGUGUUCUUGCCACCCGAUGUCGGGAGACCUUCAAUAAAAUCCAUCGUAAUAUCAUCCCAAACCUGACAGGGAACAGGUAAUGGUUGUAAUAAACCCGCCGGUGAUAGUGUGUCUGAUUUUACCCGUUGACAUACGUCACAGGAUGCGACAUAUUCCUUCACUAUGCGAGCCAUUGAUGGCCAAUAGAACUGGUGUGCCAACCGUUUGUAAGUGCGCAACACACCCGAAUGCCCUCCAAUAGGUGAAUCAUGGAAUUCACGUAAUAGUUGUUGAAUGAUGUCCGAGUUGGGGGCAACUACUACUCAAUUUUUAUAGUGGAGCAACCCAUUCCGCCGUGUAUAUGGGCUGCCCGAAUUUUCAGCAGCGAGCUUGCCAAUUUUCUUCAUGUAAGGAAGAGAAACAGCUUCGGCCUUAAGCUGAUCCCAUACGGUACUUUGUGGAACAGAUAAGUGCGAAAGGCAAGGGCUUCCCGUCAUUCGUGAUAAAGCAUCCGCAGCUGAAUUCUCCUUUCCUGGCUUAUACACAAUUUCAUAAUCAUAGCCGAGUAAUUUCGAUACCCAUUUCUGCUGUUCUGGGGUAGUAAUACGCUGCUCCAAGAGGUACUUCAAGCUGCGUUGAUCGGUUUGGAUCACAAACUUACGGCCUAACAAGUAUGGUCUCCACAGCUGGACAGCCACCACAAUAGCCAGCAUCUCCCUCGCAUAAGUUGACCAUGCACGCUUGGAUAGCCCCAAAACGCGACUCAUGAAAGCUAUUGGCCGCCUUGUUGGGUCAGAACAGCGCCGAUGCCAUCACCGGAAGCAUCAGACUCAAUCACGAAAACUUCAGCAAAAUUAGGCAUGGCAAGUGUUGGGGUGGACGUCAUUGCGGUCUUUAAUGCCUCAAAAGCUGCCUCGGCUUCAUCAUUCCAGCCAAAUUGACCUUUGGUAACAAGGAUGUCAACGGUCGAGCAAGAAUUCCAUAAUUGCGGACAAAUUUCUUGUAAUAACCUGUAAGACCUAAAAAUCCACGAAGCUCAGAUAUAUUAGUAGGUCUUGACCAGGAUAGCAUAGCCUGGAUUUUUGCUUGAUCAACCUUAACCCCCAUUGGAGUAAUAAUAUGCCCCAAGUACUCCAGUUCUUGUUGACCAAAAGCACAUUUCUUCAAUUUCGCAAAGAAUUGGUACUGCCUUAGAAUUUCGAAAGCCUUGCGAACAUGUUCAAGAUGCAUGGUCCAAUUGGGACUAUAGAUCAAUAUGUCAUCAAAAAAGACUAAUACAAAUUUGCGAAGGUAUGGUCGAAAUAUGGCAUUCAUAAGGGCUUGAAAAGUAGAGGGUGCGUUACACAAACCAAAUGGCAUGACUAAGUAUUCGUAAUGACCAUUAUGAGUGCGAAAAGCAGUUUUAUGAAUAUCAUUUGGUGCUACCCUAACCUGAUGGUAACCAGCUGUCAAAUCUAGUUUGGUAAAAUAAACAGCCCCAUGCAAUUCGUCUAACAUGUCAUCUACUGUAGGAAUAGGAAAUCGGUCUUUAAUAGUUACUGCGUUAAGUGCUCUAUAAUCGGUGCAAAAACGCCAUGUGCCAUCUUUCUUUUUGACUAACAAAACAGGUGAUGAAAAAGGGCUAGUGCUUGAUCUUAUAAAUCCCAAUUUUAACAUGUCUUGAACCUGUUUUUCAAUUUCAGCUUUUUGAAAAUAGGCAUACCUGUAGGGUCUGACAUUGACCGGUUCUGUCCCUUCUUUGACAGUGAUGGUGUGGUCGAUCUCCCGGACCGGUGGCAAUUGAGCUGGAGUUUGAAAAAUAUCUCCAAAUUCCUCCAACAUCUGCUGCAUUUCAGACUCAACUUUGCUAACAGGCAUCUCGACUUCGGUUUGUAGACAGAUAGCAAACAUCGUUUUGCUUUGGCGCAGCUCCUUCGAUAAAUCCUUGAGAGACGCGGGUUGAAUGUGUUGGCUGUCAAUUCCCUGUAAUUUUUGCAUCUGAUUCUUCCACAUAAAUUCCAUGGUCAUUUUCUUCCAAUCACAGGCUACUGUUCCCAAUUGUUCAAGCCACUGCACUCCCAAAACCAAAUCUAACCCACAUAAAGGUAUGGCAUAUAAAGUCAGCAUAAAUGGGAUACCUUGAAGUAGGACGUGUAUGUUUUCAAAUAUGCCUUGACACUUCAAUGGAUUCCCAUUUGCCACCUUUACGUUGAAGGGCUGUGUGGGUAUCACUGGUAGGUGUAGCCAAUUAGCAAUCCGCUCGCUAAUGAAAUUGUGGGUGGAGCCACUAUCAAUGAGGACAGUCAAUUCGUGAUUUCCAAUUCUUGCCAUGAUGCGCAUUGUUUUGGCAGUCGACCAGCCAGUAAGAGCAUGUAGUGAAAUUUGUGGUUCAUCAUCUUCGAAGUCUUCGUCAUCUUGCAGAUGUGUCUUUUCGUCUCCUUCCAGUAGCAACAAACGGGGUCUUUGACACUUAUGGCCAGGAGUGAAUUUUUCGUCACAAUUGAAGCAGAGACCUUGCGAUCGGCGCUUCUGCAUCUCGUCCCACGCCAGGCGUUUCAUGGGCAUAACUGCUGCUGGUGAUUUUGUGGGUGAAAAAGAAGCAAUUGGAUUCUGACUAAUGGAAAAUGGCUUACGUCGUUGGCGAAGUAAUUGCUCAUCUCUCAUUCUGGCAAGGCUAAUUGCCUCUUUCAAGGAUUUGGGUUUAAACAUCCUAAUCCCUUCUGCAAUGUCAGGUUUCAAGCCUCCCAUAAAAGUUCCCACCAAUGCCUUCUGCGUCCAGCCUUGCACACGGUUACCCAGCCUUUCGAAUUCUUUUUGGUACUCCCGUAGUGAGCCCCCUUGUCUCACCCUUGACAGUGCUUCAUCGAAAUCUUCACAUUCUGGUGGUCCAAACCUUGCCCAUAAUUCCUCCUCAAAAAUUGGCCAUGUCAUCUCCUUGUCUUCCUCUUUGUAAGCACGUCGCAGCCACUGCCACCACUGGUUCGCCUCCCCUUGAAGAUGAAAAGAUGCCAAUGACACCUUUUGUGUUUCCACAGUACCUUGGUAUUCGAAGAAUUGAUCAACUCUGUUGAACCAUUCAGUGGGGUCGUUGCCCGAGUAUAUGGGGAACUCAAGCUUCGCCAGUUUUGAAGAGAACAUCUGUCUGUUCCCCUCAGCUCGUUCUGCAAUGUCUUCACGUUGAUAGCGCGGGCGUCCAUUGCGCUCAAUGGAUUGGCUGCUGGAUCCUUCUUUGUUGGACAGUAACGCCUCUGUCAGCUUAUUGAUGUUGACUUCCAUCUGCUGCAUUCUGUCAACAAGAGUAAUUUCCAUUCGGCUCAUUCCAUCUUGCAGACCUCCCAAUCCGAUUUCCAAAUUUUCUAUCCGCUCCUUGUUUGUUGUCAUUGUUAACCUGGCUCUGAUACCAAUUGAUAGGUCCCUGUCACAGCAAGUAAUUAAAGACAAGAAACAAACACAAAUGUAUUCUGCUUUGGGCGAGAAUAAGCCACAAUUGAUAUUAUUGAAUAUUGAAUGAAUGCGUUCUCUGUCUCAUAGCAGAGUUUAAAUACAGGAAUUGAAUAACAACUUUUCUAAAAUACUGGCACGACUACAUAAAAUCAGGAUGACUCCUGCUACAUAGCUGGCAUUUAUUUGCUGAAUAAAACUUGACUCCUUCCUCCCGUGCACUAAGGCACUGCAGUGAGAAGACCCCCUUGACCCGUUCCUCCCUUGACUGGCUCUUCACAACUCAAUAAACCUGCGAUUCUUCUUAGGAAUUCUGCAUGAUCUUCUCGGCUCCAGCUGUUGCUCAUCCCGUUGUUGUAGUUCAUCACUUGACUCCUUCAAUUGCUGCUGCUGCUUAUCAACUGCAUUGGCAUCCAAUAAGUGAGGACAAUCUUGUAUCUUCCAAGUGGCAGUAGAAUUUAAUUAUAACUACCAUUAUUCUUAUCUUUAGUUAGUAAUAUAACUCUAUUUAUUGUUUCUAGUACGUAGGACAUGUUGUAAUGAAAACCUGUUAGUUAUUUGGUGUGAUUCCAAGGAGUGAUUCCUUUGAAUGAUAUCAGGCUCUACUUAUUUUCCUCUAUCAAUACUUUCUUGCUAUCUUUUAUACCAUGUUCAUUAGUUUACAUAAAUUGUUCCCUUAAUAUCCUUUGGUAUUAAUAUUAAUUGAUAUCAGAACAAGUUUUGAAUUUUUGAUCUGCUAUGCCUGGAACCGCAGUGGAAAUUCUUAUAAUCCCACCAAUCAAAGAUUACAAGACCCUAGUCCUUCCCUAACCAAUUUGAACUCCCCGUAGAAAACAUCUCCAAACCGAUUCUGAACCCCCCACAACAAGCAUCUCCACAACCUAUUCCGAACCCCCCACAACAAGCAUCUCUACAACAUGAUUUACUUCCUUGUUAAACCAGUUAGAAGAUGCUCUCAGAAUGGUAAGCUUCGAAGAGCUGCAGGAUGCAAGCGUGUGCUGAAGAAGCAAGAGGACAAUUGCCCACAUAAAUGGCAAAGGGGGUGAUUGUUGGAAUAUUGCCAAUUAUGUGGCUGCCAUUGUCAAAGAAGAUGGCUGCAAUGGUGGGUUGUUGGUGGCAGCCAACAACCAUUGUCUAAUGUCAAAGUUUGGUAAGUUUGGCAGCCACCAUUGUUGACAAAAGAGUUGGAGGAGCUGCCAUGAAUGCCUAUAAAUAGAGGCCUACAUUAGAGAAGCAAAGUGAGAGAAGAAAGGAGAGAAAACGUGAGUGUGAGUUGAGAGAAAGAGAGAGCUGCAAUGGCAGCAGCCUUGCUGCCAUUGCAGCAGCUGCAACAGCUGUGUGUGAGAGCUGGGAGUAGAGUAGAGUGAAUGUAAUCCUCCUCCUCCAUAUAUAUUGUAAUCCUUUCUCUAUAUAUCUCAAUAAUAUAGACUCUCCCGUGGAUGUAGGCGGUUUUGCCGAACCACGUAAAAUAUUGUGCCAGUGUGCUAUCCCUCCUUUGAGCAAUUAUCAGUACACCCCCGGUCGGAAAUCCCCAACACAGAGUUGAUCAAGGAGGAGAUGUGGCUAUAGAUGAAGAAGAAGUAGGAGAACAUUAGCUCAAUUCAGUCUACAGUGACAGGGAGGUCAAAAUUGAAAGAUAUCACUAUUUUCAUUAAUUUUAUUAAAGCUUAUAAUAAAAGGUUGUGUUUUUAAUUGGAUUUAUUUUUAUAUGGCGUGGCUUCUUUUUUUAAAAUGCAAUCUGCUUCCCUUUAUAAUACAGAAAUCCAGUUUUGAGUUUAUGUAACUAUAUUAACAAAACGAUUAAAUGCUUUCGUGUCCGUUUAAUUAUUUAUAUAAAUAAUAAACCCAGUUAAUAUAUUUUGCAAUCAGUUUAUGGUUUAUUUAUCUCAUAGUUGAGUUAGUUAAUGUAUGUUUUUUCAAAUUAGUAGCAAAGGCGUGUGGGCUUGUCUCAGGCUCACAUGCUAGUGCCUGAGUUGUACUGUAAUAGACCCUAUCAUAUUAGGCCACAUAAGCCCGAGUGGUUGGAAUUUUUUUUAUUGGUCAUUUUUUAUUUUUUUAAUAUAAUUUUUUAAUUUUAUAUUUUAUUGUUGAGUUUUUUUAUUAAGUUUUAUUUGUCAAUAUUGAAUUAAUUAUAAAUUAAUUUUUAUAUUUUUUAUUAUAUAUAAACCGAGUAAAGUAUUUGGUGGGUUAGCUAUAAACCUGAACUUUUUAUUUUUUUAUUUUUUGGACUAGUAAAAGACAAAUUAAAAAAACAAAGUAAUCUUAUUUGAUAUGUUGUAAAUUUUUUUUUUAUCUAAUAAUUUAAAUUGAAAUCUCAUUUAAUAAUUUAAAUUAUUAAAUUGAAAUAAAUUUUUAAUACAAUGAUUUAAGAUGUACCAAGAUAUGGUUGUAGUUUUUAUUUUUUUGCCUUUUUCUUUAAAAAUGUUAUCUCCUUGGUAAGGAAUCCUUGGUUCCCAACGGCAACUGUAGCAACGUAAAAACAAAUCUCUAAACUCCACCGAAAGUGGUAGAGCAUUAGAAUUUUUAAAAGACAAAACGGGGCGCGACAUUCAUAAUUUAUAAACAGAUGCGAUAAAAUAAGUCAUACUGCAUGUUUUCAUUUGGCAUUUAAUUCCAUGAACAUGGCUUUUUUAGAUUAAUAUAGUGUUUGGACUAGCUUGUAUAUCUCGAAUAAUCUCAAGAGAUCUUGAAGUUAACAACGUACCAUAUAAGGCUUUAAUAGCAAUGAGAUUUGUAGGAUUCGAACUAGUGAUAUUUAGAAAACAAACUUAGUGACUAACUAGUUGAGCUACACCCCUUAAAAUUCCAUGAACAUGAUCUUACUUUUCGAUCAAAUUAAUGUGACCAUAUUAUACUUGUAAUCAAACCAUUAAUUGACUGUUCUUGACUAGCUAUUGUUUCUCAUUGGCAAGAGUCAUUGCCAAUGAUCAUAACAUGUUAGUGAUCUAUUGCAACUAGUUCUAGUAUCGACAGAGUUGUUAUUUAACCAUUAAAUCAAUUUAUAAAACAUUAUUGACUAGCUAUCUAACACUAACAACUAAUCACAGAUAAUAUUUAUGCAAAACUUGUAGCUUAAUACGAACUCUCAGACAUGUGGGUGGGGCAACUCAAAGUAGGAGAGUGGUAACCUCUGAUACAUAACAGAGAAAAUUAUAGAGUAAAGCAGGACGGAAUUUUCUUAAAUUAACAACAGAAAUCUAGAUACUUCAAUAAAUUAACACACUGACUAAUAAAUCCCCCCCACCAUCAUCCAGUUAUCACAGGUGCAUCUACAAUGAACAGUUCUCGAGAAGAAACUCAAGAAACGCAUAUAAAGCUACAUGAUGACAUAAUAGGAACCUGCAUUGCCUCCAUUCCAUGAUGAAAGUUCAAGAAAUUCUACUUCGAAACUCAAGACAAAGUCUCUCAGACUACAUAUUAGUGGGAUUUCUAUAAACAACUGAUUGUAUUGCAAAGCAACAUUAUGAAAAACUGAAUAUUUCACACAUAGUCUAACAAAAGUAGGUUCCAUUGUCAAUUCCUUAACAUUUUCCGAACAAAUCACAGUUGCUCCUCGUUUGAUACUUUCUUGAAGGUUUCUUUUCUCUUAUUACCAAUUUCUGUGAGUUUGUGAUUUUUUAUCUGUACCGUAUCAUCCGAACAAUUACUAGAACCACACAACUAAUAUGUAAAUUCACAAAUUCCCUACAGUUCAUAUUGCCAACAAACUCCUCUUGCCAUUCCCUAAUUGCAUUGAGCCAGCUAAUCUGGAUGAAAGAAAGGACUUCGACCUUGAAAUUAGCAUCAUAGUCAUGGAACCUUAAAGCAGGCCCAACUUUGUAGCUCAUUACCAGCUACGUAAAAGUUAUCAAUAGCUGUGUGGAUCAUUGAAACUGCCACAAAAGCAACCCAAAUUAGUUAUGAAUUGGAUUCGAUAAAGGAAAGAGGGGAAGAGGGGAGAAGACAGAUGAAGAUCUGCGCAGGGCUACCUGUUUUGAGAAUUAUGGAUUUUUAUCCCUAACUCAAAACGGCACCAAUUAUAAGUUCAAUAAAAAAAAAUAUGUAACAGAACAGAUGGAAAAAACUCGAAACAACUCGGCUAGAAUUUAGGAAAGAAAUUCAGAAUGAGCCAAGAUUUUAAGUGAGAUGAAACUUUGUUCUUUGAAAAAAAUAAUUAAUAUGAGAUAUACUUUUCAUUUUAGUGAACCUUAAAGCAGACCCAACAGUUAAGUAAAAGUUAUCAAUAGCUGUGUAAACCAUUGAAACUGUUACUGUAGGUGCACACUCAAUUACACCAUGGAUUCACAUAGUGCAAUUGUUAAUUUUUUUUUUAAAUUCCAUGUUAUUUUUUUAUUUGAACCUUUUUUUGUCAACAUGUUUCGCAAUUGGCCUUGGUAUUUUGUUUUCAUUUUCUCUAUGUUUCCUUCUUCUGUAGAUAAAAAACAUCAGGUCUUUGGGCUCGUACUUGAUAGUGCAAAAUUAAUGACACAAUAAUCAAAUAACACAAAAAUUUUUAUAAGCGAAAGGAAUUGGAGAUGUAAACCUAAAAUUCGCAAGUUUAUUUUUUCUAAAAUAAUAAUAAUAAUAAUAAUAAUAAUAAAGUCUACAUUCUUAGAAGGUUUACAAACCUUUAAAUGGGUCAAGAACCCUACCCCCAACUAGGAAGCAAAAAUAAAAAUUCAAAAUUACAAAGAAAAGAAGCAUAAAAUCCAAAAUAAACAAGAAAUCUAAAAAUAAUAAGGAAAAUCACAAAAAUUACCAAAACUAGAGGCCUCAAUGAGAUUUUUGAUAUCUAAAGAUCCGACGGUCCGCAUUAAAAUUUGAGCACAAUCUAACAAUUGAAUAAAAAAUUAUGACUCUUUUGAGUUGUUAUUCUGGUUUAGCGUGACCAAACCUUCUCUUGGGCUUAGACCUGUUUCAUUGGUCCAUAAAUACAUUUGCUAAGCUAUCAACAUAAUUUAUCUAGGGAAAAUCUUCAUCUAGUUAUGGCAGAUUCACACCUGACUGCUUAGAAUCACUAAUUAUUAUAGGAUUGACUACAUCAAAAUUGGUCGGUUUUUUUUGUUUUCAAAGAGAUUUAAACUUGAUGCAGAUGAAAGCUAAAAACACAAUAAUCAAAGAACACCAAAAAAUAUAUGAGCGAAAGAGAAUAUAGAUGUGAACUCUCAAAUUCCCAAGUUUAUUUUCUCUAAAAUAAUAAUAAUAAAGUUUGUCUUCUUAAGACGUUUACAAAGCCUUAAAUAUGUUAGGAACCUUACCUUAACUAGGAAACAAAAACAUAAACCCAAAAUUACAAAGGAAAGAAACAUAAAAUCCAAAACAAGUAAGAAAUAAAAAAAUAACAAGGAAAAUCACAAAAACUACCAAAACUAGAGGCCUAAACAAGAUUUUUUAUAUAUAAAGAUUCGAUGGUUCACGUGAAAAUUUGAGCAUGAUCAAAUAAUCAGAUAAAAAAUUAUAACUUUUUGAGCUUUUAUUCUGGUCUGACACGACCAAACUUCUUCUUGCUAAACUUGUUUCAUUGGUCCCUAAAUACAUCUCCAUAACCUUUUUUUUUUGUUUCACUAUAGAUAGAGUUUGACCAUUAUUAUAUAUGGUUUGACUUAGCCGUAUCGGUUUUCAAUUAGAUCAACUUUAUAUAUUAUGGGUUUACAUUUACUAUUUUUUAAAAAGUGCUCACAAGUCCAUUUUUCACACCUCAAACUCGUAACUGCAACGAUUCGUAGGCAACGAAACUAGUUAAAGACUAGAGAGUAAACAUGCUACUAAAGUUUGCAGGUGAGGGUUUAGAUUAGAUUAUUUGUUGUCUUGUUUCAAAUAUUAGAUCAGUCUCAACUCAUUAAAUAAACAAGUGGUGCAUUGAUCCUUGGACUCAAAUCAUAUAUACACGGCGAGCUCAUUUGUGUUUUUAUUAUUUGUCCCUCCCUGUACUUGUAGCAGAAGAGAAGCUGCUCUCAUCUUUGAAGGAAUGCAAACAAUUGUUAAUAUGAAACAUAUUAUGUACAAAUUAUAAUAUUUGUAAGAAGCCGUUUUGCUGCCCACCGGCGGCCAUCUGAUCAGAGAACAGUAUUAUAUUUUUUAAACCCUUCACUCUCAUAAAAACAAUUUAUAUGAUUAUAAAUAGGAAAACAUAAAAAAAAAUAGGAUUACAUAUUUUUAGAGAUUACAUAUUAUUGUUUUAGUUCUUUUUCUUGAUUAGAGAUAAGUUGAAUAAAAGUAGUAAUAAUUUAUUUUUGUGAAAAAAGUUUACUACAACUCCUAAUAAUUAGUUUCAUGUAAAAAAUAAAAAUAAAAAUAGUAACUAAAAUUUAUUUUAGUUAUGUUAAUAAAAUUUUAAAGAUAUUUUAAUUGAAUUAAGUAAUUCAACACAAAAUUUAUGUUCGCAUACAGUUGUUGUAACCCAUUUUUGGGUCCCCACACAAAAUACAAAAAAAAUAUAUCAAAAUAAAAAAAAUAUUAUAGAAAAAUAAUAGCAGUGAAAAGAGGAUGUCGGAGCGCCCAGAAAAUGAUCAAAAAUUGGUUGAGGAGGUUUCAAAAUAUAAGGAUUGAAGUUUGACAGUAUAUCAUUGACUGGGGCUUAAUUGCAUACAUAUUGAAGUCUGGUGGCCAAUUAAGGACUUGAUUUAAGAAAUCCAAAACCAAGGACCAUAGUGAAAAAAGCGCGCAAAUUGAAGGGCUAAUCUGAAAUUGGACCCAUUUUGGCACCAGUUUUUGUUUAAAUGAAAUGGCACGUUUUGAUAAAAAACAACGCCGUUUCAUGCAUUGCACAAAAAAAAGAGAGCAAACGGUGCCGUUUUGAACGGCACCAUAAGCCUUCUUCUUCCCCUGUUGAGAACAGGGGAAGAAAAAGCAUUUUUGAUGUAACUAUAUUAUUUGAUAGUUUCACCCACAUUUAACUAGUGUUUAGCCUAUGUUAUAUAUAUAAAAUGCCUUGAUAUUCUUUGUUUUAUGUUUUGAAGGCACCUUUAGAUGAAAGAUGCAAAAAGGAGUAAAUUGAAGAUAAUUGGCAGAUUUGAUGUUCAGUCGAUGUUUUGUGCAGAGCAUGAGCUCUAAAAGUCAAAACGAAGUGAUUCUAGUGGCAUUAGAAAUCUAACAUCCAUACCUUUCUGUAAAUAUAAGUCAAGAAAAAUAAAAAUACAACGAGCAUGGAAAUCACAUCCUUCAAAGUCAAAACUCGCAUUCUGCCAGUGUUGACCUUUGUCCAUUCAAAAUUCAAUAUCUGGAGCUGUAGAUAUCCAAUUGAUGUAAACUCAAUUGUUUUGGAUUCCUGACUCAAAGGUGUCUAUAAACGCUCCAAAUUUCAGCCACAAAUGAUGUCAUAUGAGGGAGAUAUGAGUUUUCAAAGAUGACAACUGAAUUCUGCCAGCAAACAGGUUUCGUGAAGAAACGAAUCCAAAUUACAUCCCGAAGCAUCAAAACCGACAUCCAAGUUUUAAUUUCAUCAAUUUAGCUCCUCAAGUAAAUCAAUCCAGAAGGUCAAGGAAGGCAGCCACCAACCUCAAGCCACCAACCUCAAACCACCAACCACAAACCAGCUGCCAGCCACUAGCCGCCUUCACACUACCACCAUCUCUUGAUGUUCACACUUGAACUUUGAUUUUUCUUACUUACAAUUUAUGUAUAAAUAGGCAGCUAAGUUUAUGCUAUUGAGUGAGCCAAGAGGGAAGGAAAGAGAGCCAAGAGGGAAGGAAAGAGAGCCAAGAGAGAGGGAGAGGGAGUGCAGUAGAAUAAAGAAAGAGGGGUGGCAGCCAUAAGAGAAGAAACACAAACUCUCCCCUCAACAAAUCAGAAAUCAUGUAUUCUUUUAUCUUUAGGAGUAGUUUUUCAAUAGAUAUGCAAGGCUAAGCUCGUUUUCUUGGUUGCAAGGACGCAAAAACCUUCAGAUUUAAAGAACCGUGAGAUUUAUUCUUCCAUUUAUUUUCAGUUUGUAUUAUGAAUGAGUAUGUUUGUUUUCCUAUGCAUAUUUUCUAUGAUUGUUUAUCUUAAUUGCUAGAGCGGACUCUAAGUUAUUAUUGUGAAUAAUCUAUUGCUAAGUUUGAUAUCAAAACCGGAGUUGUGGUAUAUAAACGUGUGAAGCAAGUAAGCUUGAUAAUUGUAGCGGAACUACAUUAUUAAACUUAGGGAGAACAUUCGAUCAAAGCAACACAAGCUGACAACUUGGUUGUUAAGAUUAAUGAAUUUAUCUAGAUCUUAAGGCUGCCAUUGGAUUAAACCAUUAGUGCGGACACUGUGAUUGUUUGUUGGUUAGGGUUAGUUAUACGGCGGAUCCGUUAAUUAACCAACAUUAAGAAAAGAUAAAAAAUUCAGAAUAUAAACUGAAGUUUCGUUUCAAGGAUCGGUUCUGAUUUCUGUAGGUGGAUGUGUGCUUGCGACCAAGGUUUGUUUUCUUGAUAUAUUUCAGUUUCAAUUGAUUUUGUUUGUUAGUGUAAUUUCUACCAUAGUUUAGAUCAUUGCAAAUCAAACCCCCCCAAUUAUAUAAUGUAUAGCAUAAAAAUCUGAACUAAACCUUCCUCGUGGGAUCGACCCCUUGCUUGCUCUAUACUAUCUUGUGUGUUUUAAGCUAGGGUAAUUAAUUUAUGCGACCGCGACAUCGCAACAAUUUCCCCCCCAUUUUUUUCUCCUCUCUCUCCCAAAACCCAAAAAACCAACGACGACCCGACUUGUCCUUUCACUGACACCACCACGCCCUCAUGCCGAAAGACCCAUACCCUACAGAGGUAGGGGCGGCUGUGCAGUAGCUGCCCCCAUGCCACCAUGCCCUGCACCAUGGCACAGGACAGGGCAUGGUGGCCCUCUCUCCCUCUACCUAUAAAUAUAAAGGGAGUGCGGGAGAGAAGAGGGGGGAAAAAGAUUUUUUGAAAGAGAAAGGGAGGAGAAACCGAGAGAGAGACCGACUGUUUUUUAAGGAGGAAAAGAGAGACCGAAAGAGGGGAAACAACAGUUUUUUUAGAGAGAAAGGAGUGAAGAGAAGCAGACCGAAACACUAGAAAUUAAAGGGGAGAAAAGAAAAAGGAGGGAGACCGAGAGAGAAGACAGAGGAGAGAAAGGGAAGCCAUAAAAGAAGCGGGGAAGAACAGGAAGUGACAGGGGAAGAAAAAAAUACUGGAGAAGAAGAACAACCACAGCUGCCACCGUGCUUCCUCUCCACCGACAUAGCGCACCACCUGACCGUAGCUGACAGCCCCGAAGAGACAGAGGAGAAAAGGAGAAGAUAACGGGAAAAAAAACACAGAGAUGAGGGGGCUGAGAAGAGAAACAGAGGAGAGGAGAGAAGGAAGGAAAACGCCGCCGCUGUCACCGCCGCUUUCCACCACCGCUGACGACCACAACCGUUCUUUCCCGCUCCAGGUAACUUUCUCCCCUUCCCUUGUCGUUUUUAGUUGUUCAUCUUCAUUUUGCAUGCAGACGUGAGCAAUUCACGUUCUGCAGCAAAAUGUAGAUUAAUUAGCUAGUUACUAUGUUAGGCACAGUAACUAGCUAAUUAUAUUUUGCUGGUUACUGUGUGCAGCACAGUAACCAACCCUUUGAUUGCUUAUGGGCUAGAACAUCAGCCCAGCCCACGCGGCUGGGCUGAGUCCAGCCCACAGUAUAUGGGCCGGGUCAGGCCCAGCCCAGGAUGGUUGGGCCAGAUCCGGCCCAAGUUUUUUUUUGGUUAAAAGAAAAUUUCAAAAAUAUUUUUUCAGAAUUUUAUAAUUUCCCCGCAUAUUUUUAUGUCAUUUUGAUUAAAAGCAAUAUUUUUUAUGUUGCUAAAAAUACAAAAUCCGAUAUUAAAAUACCUGGUUUUCGUCAAAACUUUCAAAAUACAAAACAAAAACUUUGUUUUGAAAAAAAGGAAAAUGUUUUUGUGCAUACGGCCAAGUAUCUCAAGGCUAAAAAAUCAUAUGGUGUUUUUCAUACACAAAAAAAAAACAAUGUUUUUGCAUGCAUUUUGGCUUUGAUAACCAGUUUAUUAGAGUCAAGAGAACAUUGGCCAAAAUUUCAAAAACUACAAAUUUUUUUUUUUUUUUGUCUUUUAGUAUCCGGGGUACGAUAUUACAUGUAAUACAUAUUCCAUAUAUUAAAUGUUUUUCCAACGUUAGAACGGUUAGGUUCUACCCCAUUAAAGAUAAGAACCUCCUUAUUGAGUAGGGCUUUUCUUGAGUCUUAGAUAGACAGGACCAAUAAGUAGAAAACACGACCAAACCUUAGAUUUUGAUAAGACAAAUAAAACAAUGCAGCUUACCUUAGGUAUGGCGUAUUUGGGGUGCUAAUACCUUCCCUUUACGCAACCAGUCUCCGUACCUGAUCUCUGAGACCAGUUAGGGUUCCUAGUGAUCAUAAUACUAGGUGGCGACUCCCAUUCUAUUUUUUUCACCGCUAAGAGACAAAGAAUUCCUUGUCUCCCCACAUUUACCAGAUAUAUAUCCAUACAUUGAGGGUGGACGAUCGCCGCGACGCCGCACACGUGCGACAGAAUGGCGACUCCACUGGGGACCUUGUGGACUAAGCAUUGUUUUGUCUGAUUUUUUGUUGGUUUUGUCCCUGUUUUGUUAUUAAGAUGCUUAUUUUAUUUACACGCUUUAAUUUUUGUACAUAUUUGUUCAUACAUUGUAUAGAACUGUUUCACGCAUCAUUCUUUUUAUGUGAGAGUUUAUAUGAGAAAACUUUAAGUUAAGUAGGGGACUAGCAGCUUACCUUAUGACUUUUAGUCAAGGUUUAAGUUUGUGUAAACCCCAACUCUUCGCUGAGUGCUCAGACUGGUAAUGAUUGGUCCAUAUGCCAUCCCAUUACCUACUGAGCCCCCAUAUUGCCUUCACGAGGGCGAUCACUGGGACAACAAGAGACCCUUUUAGAGACAGAAUAGCCAACCUACCCUUGUCAAGCAUAAAAGAAUUAGAACCGGCCUUUAGGGUGUAUGCUCCACUGUACAUGUUUUGCAUAAUACAUUAAACCUAACCAUAAAGCAUAUUGGUUUUCAGGUCUUUUUAACGAUAAGAUGGCCAUCAUUACCAAAGUUACUACUGUGGAAUAUGGGCAAAAUUCUGAAUUGUCACAACUAUCAGAGGGAGACGGCUCUAGAUGUAAUGCAAGGAAGCUUCCAAUAGUCAAAGACCUGAAUUGUAUGGUAAAUGAGAUGAAGAGAAUAUUGGUUCAUAGUCAGAACAUUGAUGAGGCGGCAUUUUCCGUGAAGUAUGGGCGAUUGUUAGAAAUUACGAAGAUAGAAGUAUUGAACCCAGCAAUCAAAGCCUUGAUUAACUUUUGGGAUCCUGAUUAUAGAUGUUUUUCCUUUGGAAAUGUGGAUUUGUGUCCCACUGUAGAGGAGUAUGGAAUGUUGAUGGAGUUUCCCAAGCACCUGCACAAGGUUUAUUUCCCUUUGAGAAGUGACAAAGUAAUUCCCGAAUUGUCAAAAUUGCUGAAAAUUCCAUAUCUGAGCAGAUUUUUAGAGAAGAAUGCCAGCGGUUUAAAGUGGAAAUUCCUGGAGAUUGAACUAGAAAGGAAAAAAUCACAAUAUGGAUCGAUGCUAGAAAGAGACAGGUUAAUCGCUCUGGGGAUAUAUGGUCCUGUAUUAUUUCCAAGCUUAACAGGGGUUAUAAGCCUAGAAGCUGCUGCUGCAUUUGUGGAAUAUGAAAAUACUCAUGUCAACCCUAUAACUGCCAUAUUAGCUGAGACCUUCCUGACCCUCAACCAUUUCAGGAAGACUGGGAAAGGCGCAAUGAGAUGUUGUACUAAGUUAUUAUACAUCUGGAUGGUAAGCCAUAUUGAAACCAAAAAGCCGAUCUUUAAUAAUUUUUGGUGGUUUAACCAAAAACCUUUGAAGUUAGUAGAAGAAGAAGAAUGGGGAAGCUUGGGCGAUCAGGGUUGGAUGAAAAAACUGCAAGAGUUACCAAGUAGCAACUUUAGUUGGAAAGCCCCUUGGGUCAAAUCGGUUGAUAUCCUAGUAAGUUGCGGACAAAAAUGUUGGGUACCUUUAGUUGGGAUCAUAGGUUAUGUCAGCUAUGCUCCGGCCUUGGUGAUAAGACAAUUAGGCGGCAUACAACACAUCCCAAGAACUGUGGGACUCGCUGAAUUUUCCAGGUUUUUCAAGGAUCAAUCCGCGCUAGAAGAUUGGAGCCAUUUGACUUUAAUGUGAAAGGAAUCUGAAAGGUUAAGAGACCCCAGCUCAAGUGAAGGAUAUGAAAAGUGGAGGAAUUUGACCCCGACUGCCGCUCCUAGAAUGCCAUGUUCUGAAGACGGGCCUUCACGAAUUAUAGAAGGGUCAUUCAAAAGAAAAAAGGUCAGUAAUGAGGAGGACCUUAUGGGGCAAUUGGAAAGGCUCCAAAUAGAAUUGGGAAAGAGUAAGGUAGAUAAAACAGCAUUAGAAAUGAUGAUGAUAGAGGGAGACAAAAGCCGAGUAUUUCUAAACGUACAGCUCGAAUCUAGAGAUGUAAAAAUAAUGAUGUUGGAGCUGCAACUGAGCAAAGGAAAAGUUGUAAUGGAAGAGUCCGAGAAAGAGAGGGGAACGCUGAUUUUGGAUUGGAUGCAGAGCAGCUCUGAAUUGGAAGCAUUAAAAGCCAACUUCAAUGACUAUCAGAUGCUGAAUAAAAUCAGGAUAAAUUUUUGCACGUUCAAGCGGAGUUAAUGGACCGAAUCGAGAAGUAUGAUGAGUUAAACAAGAAAUGUGUGAUGGUAAAAAGUCGGCUAGCCGAAUUGCAAGAGUUCGAAAGAAAGGGGAAGGAAGAGGAGGUUGUUAAAGCAGAUUUGGCAACUAAGAAAAAUGAAAUUAGGAUGCUGAAAGCGAAACUUGAUAGAGAGCGGGAAAAGGUAAGACAGUUGACCGAAAAGUUGGAAGCUUCAAAAAAACAUAAAGAACAGAUCGACACCAACAACAAUACCUUGAAUCAGAACAACAUGUUGCUUAUGGAGAAGAUGGCCAAAGUAGAUGAGCAAAUGGAUGAAGCUGCCAUUCAUGCACGGAUUAUUAGAACCAAUGCCCGAAGGGUGGGGAGGGACAUCUUUUGUUAUCGACAAAGCUUGGCUGAGACUGAUGCCUUCUUAGAAAAGAUUGAGAAUUGAGGCCUUGCUUUCCUACCAGUGGCUAGAAAUAUGGAUGAAGAGGAAGAUUGAUGUAUUUUUUUUCUUUUUUUGUAUCCUCUUUUCUUUUUGUAUCCUCUUUUCAAGAGAUGUAUUAGCCAAUAUUAUUAAUGAAAAGGGGCCUUGACCCAUCUUUUGUGAAAUAUCUCUUAUAGAGUAAGGUUAAGUCUACCAAAGCAACAACUUGAGCAAAACUACCCCUGAUAAGGAACGUGACAAAGGAGUCCAUACCCAUUACGCAAGCGAAAUGUUGGCCAUCGAUCGUUUUUGAAAAACAAGCUCACAUUACAUAUGCAUCAUGCAUUGUUCAUUAUCAUACAUUCAUUUACAUUUUUCCAUCCGCUCCAGAUCGUGAAACAUAGGUCCCCCACCCAAGGUCCACCACACUAGGCUAAGAUCAAGAAUGGAGAACGAAGAGAGGGCCAUUCUAGAAUCCCGCUACCAAAGUGAAUUGGAAUCCGUGAGAAAUGAAGUUUCCCGGAUGACCAAUCUGCUUGAGCAACUUCUAAGAGCCAAGAAUGGGGAGGGAACGUCUACCCAACCACCCAUAGGAGCACCACCAACUCAUGUCCCUGGGGUAUCUCAGAACUUGAGGGCAGAUUCAGUAACGGAACAACACUUUACACUAGCCAUUCCCAUCCAGCCCACUCAAUCUCACAUCACUGUAGAUUUAACAGCGAAUGGGCCUUCCGAUAAUAGGUCCACUGGUUUUAUGAACGACGACAAGAUAUCCGCUUUGGAAGAAAGGUUAAGAGCAGUUGAGGGAAAUGAUUGGUUUGACCCCAUGCGAGCUUCUGAAGUAUGCUUGGUACCAAACAUCAUGGUACCAAAAGAUUUUAGGAUACCAGAGUUUAUAAAGUACACUGGGUUGGAAUGCCCACACACUCACCUUCAAGAGACUUGUCGACUUUGGUUUUUGUAUUUUUUUUACAACAUGCAAGAAAAUUUACAAGCAUUUAUAUAUAAAAAAAUAUCAAAAAUACCAGUUGAAACCCAAAAAAUUACCUGAGUGUCACUGUAUAGGUAAAAUACUGAAAUACCCUGGAAGUUCUCCAAAAAUUACGAAAAUGCCACUGGCGGCGCGUGUGGCACACGCGCGGCUACUGUUGGCUGCGGCGAAAUUUUCUGGCGAGAUUUCUGGCCAACAAAUGGUUGAUUCUGGCAGAUCUGAGGGCGAGGAUUCUGAUGGUGGUGGUUGUGAAGGUCUUUGAUGGCUGAUGAGUGAGAAUCGACGACUUGAAGCUUCUGUGGCAGCCGACGAUCGCGACCCUUUUCCGACCAAAUGGGGCGGAGACAACGCUGAAAUCGGCCAGGGUUUUGCUUUAUAUGAGGAUAGAGACCUUUCUGUGGUGGUUUGGAAGCUUGAUAUGGCCGGAGAUGGGAGAUCGGAAGAGAGAGAGGGAGUUGCCGGCGAGAGGAGAGAGAGAGUCCGAGAUUACGCUACGGUGUGAACGCGUGUAUGGUAAACAGGUACCUCUGAACACUGUGCGCCGUUGGAUCUCGGAUGAAACGAUCGGAUGGCUGUGAUUGGCCUGAUCUGCAGGUUGAUCGGACGGUCCGGAUGAACAGAGGUAGGAUCUGGUGUGGCGCGGUGUACCGAGAGAUUGGUACACCGGGUGACGUGGCGAAACUGGAUCUAAGCUUAGAUUAUUUCAAGGGCUGAGAUGUGUCUGGGUUUUAAUCUAGUGUGGUAAGCCCUAUUGUAUCCUAUUAAAUCAACGGUUCAGAUCUAAACACUAUUAGAUCUAACGGUUAGGAUAUAUUUGGUAUUUUUCAUAUUGUAUUUUUAAAAAAUCAAUAUCCACUCUCAUGAAGAAAUAGUGAAAAACUUAAAUAGUAACCUUGAUAUUCGUUUCUUUUCUUUCUUUUUCUUACCUCUCCCCCUUUGUUCGUUUUUCUCACCGGCUAUUUAUAGCCAAUCAACAGGGGACAUCAAAAUCUCAACAUUAUCUACUUGCAAGAAAAAAAUCGUCGAUACAACUGCCCCGCCUGCUGUGACAAAAAAAGUUUGCAUUAUUGAUUUUUUUAUUUUGUUUUAUUAUAUAUAAUAAUAAAUAUUUAUAUGGAUAAAACUAAAACUCAAAUUAGUAUUAGAAAAGCCCGUUUCAACCGCUAAAAAUCAAUUUUAAUGACCGAAAAUAAUAGUUUUGACCCAAAAUAACCUGAAACUCAUUUUUUACCCCGAUCGACAUGGUUGGACCCGUAUGGACUCGGUGGACUCGGUUUUGACCGAAUAUGACGGUUUUGACCCAAAACGGCCCGACACUUAUUUUUUACCCUGGUCGACAUGGUUUGACCCGUAUUGACUCGGUGGACUCGGUUUUGACCCGAAACGGCCUGAAACUCAUUUUUUACCCUGGUCGACAUGGUUUGACCCGUAUUGACUCGGUGGACUCGGUUUUGACCGAAAAUGACGAUUUUGACCCAAAACGGCCUGAAACUCAUUUUUUACCCUGGUCGACAUGGUUUGACCUAUAUUGACUCGAUGGACUCGGUUUUGAUCGAAAGAUGCGGUUGACUCGAGAAAAAUAUAUUUUUAAAUUUUCCUUUUUCUUAAUUGUUUUGGAUUUUUAUAAAUAAUAAUAGAAAUAAAAUAACAUUCAAGAAAAUCUUGGUGAAUCCAAAAUUGGGUUACAACAGUUGCACCCUCUUUACAAUGCUUACGGUGCAAAGGCAUUGGAAAAUUCAUUUUCUUUUGACUUUGCAUAGUAAGUUUUGUAAAGAAAAACGAUGGAAGUGUUGAAAAAUGCACAGAUUUUUCGGUUGGUCUAAUUGUUAUGGGCGACCUGCCCAAGUGAAAAACAUGAAAGUGUUUUCAAUAUUGGUUUUGUGAAAUACAUGAAAGUGAUUUCAGCAAUGGUUUUGUGAAAUACAUGAAAGUGAUUUCAACAAUGGUCCUAUUUUCCAGAUGACCACCCCGAUGAUAAAAUGCGAGGAAACUCGCAAGUGGUUUAAUUGUUCCAGGCGACCUGCCCGAUGAUAAAAUGCGAAGAAACUCGCAAGUGGUCUAAUUGUUCUAGGCGACCUGCCCAAUAGUGAAAUGCGAGGAAACUCGUAAGUGGUCUAAUUGUUCCAGGCGACCUGCCCGAUGAUAAAAUGCGAGGAAACUCGCAAGUGGUCUAAUUGUUCCAGGCGACCUGCCCGAUGAUAAAAAAUGCGAGGAAACUCGCAAGUGGUCUAAUUGUUCCAGGCGACCUACCCGACAAUGAAAAUGCGAGGAAACUCGUAAGUAGUCUAAUUGUUCCAGGCGACCUGCCCGAUGAUAAAAAAAUGCGAGGAAACUUGCAAGUGGUCUAAUUGUUCCAAUCUAAUUGUUCCAGGCGACCUGCCCGAUGAUAAAAAAUGCGAGGAAACUCGCAAGUGGUCUAAUUGUUCCAAGCGACCUGCCCGAUGAUAAAAUGCGAAGAAACUCGCAAGUGGUCUAAUUGUUCCAGGCGACCUGCCCGACAAUGAAAAUGCGAGGAAACUCGCAAGUGGUCUAAUUGUUCCAGGCGACCUGCCCGAUAGUGAAAUACUUGAAAGUGAUUUCAAUAUAUUUUUGUGAAAUACAUGAAUGUGAUUUCAGCAAUGGUUUUACGAACCGACCCUUCUGUGAAAUACAUGAAAGUGAUUUCAACAUUUUUGUUUUGUGUGAAAUUCAUGAAAGUAAUUUCAACAUUGGUCCUAUUUUCCACGUGACCACCCCGAUGAUAAAAUGCGAGGAAACUCGCAAGUGGUCUAAUUGUUCCAGGCGACCUGCCCGAUAAUGAAAAUACGAGGAAACUCGCAAGUGGUUAAUUGUUCCAGGCGACCUGCCCGAUGAUAAAAUGCGAGGAAACUUGUAAGUGGUCUAAUAGUUCCAGGCGACCUGCUCGAUGAUGAAAAUGUGACGAAACUCGCAAGUGGUCUAAUAGUUCCAGGCGACCUGCCCGAUGAUAAAAUGCGAGGAAACUCGCAAGUGGUCUAAUUGUUCAAGGUGACCUGCCCGAUAGUAAAAUGCGAGGAAACUCGCAAGUGGUCUAAUUGUUCUAGGCGACCUGCCCGAUGAUAAAAUGCGAGGAAACUCGCAAGUGGUCUAAUUGUUCCAGGCGACCUGCCCAAUAGUGAAAUACUUGAAAGUGAUUUCAAUAUAGUCUUGUGAAACACAUGAAUGUGAUUUCAGCAGUGAGCUUUAGGGUUGAUUGAAAACUUCUAAAGGAAGUCAUACCUGUAUGGUUGAGAUCUGAUUUGUAAAUCGAUCUCCGAGAUGAUGAAAUCUUCUCAAGAAAGUCUUAUGUCUACGGUCGAGAUCUGAUCUUCUGUACAUCGAUCCCAAAAGAUGAUGAAAGCUUCUCAAGGAAGUCCUGUAUGUACGGUUGGGAUUUGAUUUGUAAAUGGAUCCCAAAGAUGAGGAAGGCUUCUCAAGGAAGUCCUGUAUGUACGGUUGGGAUUUGAUUUGUGGAUCCUAAAAAUGAGGAAAGCUUCUCAAGGAAGUCAUGUAUGUAUGGUUGGGAUUCGAUUUGUGGAUCCCAAAAAUGAGGAAAACUUCUCAAGGAAGUCUCGAUUUCAAAGAUGAUGAAAGCUUCUUAAGAAAGUCUUAUAUGUACGGCUGAAAUCUGAUUUGUAAAUCGAUCUCAAAGAUGAUGAAAGCUUCUCAAGAAAGUCUUAUAUGUACGGCUGAGAUUUGAGCUGCCGUUCAAAACGAUGGUAGGAGUAAAUUCCUUAUAAAUCACACAGUAUUUGGCAAAAGACAUCAUCAACUUCUUGCAUUUUCAAUACUCUCAAAGUUCUUAACUUUUGAAGCUUUAACCAUGUCUUCUUCUUCUUCCAAUGCUAACCCAAACCCUGUUCCUGCAGUAGAGCCUGCAGUUUGGCGUACUACCUUUGAAGUGAAUGGUCGUCCAGUUACAAUAGAGGAUACUGUAAUGGACAAUGAAGAUAUUGCUGUAGCCGUGGCUAGAGAUAUGAUCCUUCCUCGUGAUGAAAUAAUGCUGGCAGCCAGGACCGAUAUUGAAGUAGUGAAUCAGUCACUUGCUCUCAGUAUCAGAGCUACUUCGUCUUUGGUGAACGUUGCAGAGCGUCUUCAUGCUAGAAGACUUGAGUUGAAUACUCAGGUUCUUGAUCUCCAUCAUCAGAUUGAGAAUUUAAGGAAUAGACUCCGUGAUGAGAGACGUCACAGAAACAACUUGGAGAGGAGAAACCAAGAGCUAAAUACACGUGUUGACUUUUGGAGGGAUUAUGUUAACACACGACACCUCGAGUUCGAGGAAGAGAUGGAGCGCAUGCAUAAGCAAUUUGAGGAAUUCCGAGGCAUGAUUAACCAUCAAGAUGAAAAUAUCCCUGAUCGUCCUCGCACUGUUUAACAUUUGUACUUGUAAACCCCUUUUUCCAUGAAUAAAAAUCCAUAUUUCUUGUCUUCAUUUAUGAAUUUUGCUUUUGUGGAAUUGCCAUCUUUGAUGUGAUUUAAAAGAACUUCAAUUCAUGUGAGUCUCGUUGGAUCCCAGUGGGGAUAUUGUUUCAUAAAAUAUCUGCAAAACAAUUAUGCAAUGCAUGUGAAGUUAGAUGAUAUGCAAUGCAUCUUACCUGUUUUUGAAACAUAGGUCCCCCCUUUUUGAUGCUUCAUCGUCAUAGGGUGGCUUUGUUUGCAUUCCAAAACCUUCUUUGUUUUUCGAUGCAUUGGCUCAUUCAUGUGCUAGCCAUCCGCUCAGUUGUAAAUGCAGUGCCCAUCUUGGGUUGUCCGUGAUGAUUACUGCUCUCGCUGUUUAUCAAGCUUGACAAUGCCCCCAAGUGUAGUGUUGCUUGAUUUAUCAUUAAGAAGCUUAACAAAUCGUUCAUCUCCUGGAUUCUUUCAAGAAUUGUUCUCUGAUUGAUUGUGUGCAUCGUGCCAACACCUAUCAAGAUUGUCAAUCAGUUAUGAACUCACCUCCAGUUGAAACAUACCCUUCAAGGAUAUGCGGUCAUCCACUUUCAUGGAACUGUCAUGUCAUUCAGACCUGCAUUUCAUACUUUGCAGUACAAAGCUCAUCGUUGUAUGCUCAGCUUCUUUCUCAAUAGGUUCUUCUCAACUCAUUUAACCAGAUUGUGAAAAGAAGUGUCUCAGCCUCUUCAAUGAUGUUGCUUUUAUCACCCAUACUCAUGUGGUGCAAUGCGCAUUUGAGCUUCCAAUCAGAUGGCCCCACGGUCAGUCUAGGUGGGUGCGGUGUAUCCUUCCAACAUUCAUUCAAAAGCAAUCAUGUGAUAACAUCUUUCGAUAGUCAUAGCCAUAUUGGAGACGAUAAACCAAGAUGAAGAUAUGAAGAUGUCCUUCAGGUACAUCUUUGCUCUCAAUUGUUGUCGAGGUUUACUGGAUCAUAAACUGUUCUUGAACAUCAUUGCCCUUAAUUGAUAUGAAUGUGCUCAUUCACUGAUUAUCUUUCUUUGAACCAUAUUAUCCUCAGUUCAUUGAUUCAUCAUUUGAUCAUCUCUACCCCCCAGCUGAUUUAAAAACUGUUUGUUUUCCUUCUCAGAGGUCCAUUGUAUUGCCCCCAGAAGUGUCGAGAAGAAUUGAUGUCAUUUCUGUCAGGAAUUUGCAAACUCCGUCGAUGUUCUUAUUUGAAAAUCUUUCUUAUUUUGGAAUCAAAUCUCACAUUUCAAAGAUCAUGUCAAGCAAAUCUGAUUGUUGAAAUGAAAUCAGAGAGAUGUCAAUUUUGAAAGUAUUUUUGGAAAUCAAGCUUUGUUGGUCAAAGAUCCAACACACGCUAUUCAAUAUAGUCCUUUGAUUGUCUUGUAUUUUGAGAGAAAAGAAAUUGACUCGUUGUAAGAUUAAAAUGGCUUUUUUCAUGGUUUUUUGUAUCGAUUUUAAACUCUAAUUUUGGGUAUAUCUUUUGAUUAUCUGUGAUGAGGUGACCUUUUAUGAAUUUCAAGAAAAAUAAGGUACCCGAGGCAAAACUUGAGGCUUAAUCAAGAAAGAUGGUUUCUUUUUCUUAGCACCAAUUUUAUCAGCAUGCAUAAUAAUCAGUAGCUUGAUUCAUGAAGUCACGACCUGUAUGAAACAACUCUUCAAGUUUUGAGAUCGCCAUUUAUCGGUUCAGAUUGCUUACUUGAUUAAAAAGGACUUUCUAAAGCAUGUAAUGUAGGCUAUGGUUCCUGGCUAUGAAAGAAAGGAAUUUCACAAGCUCAAAAGGUGUUUGAGGGUUUCAUGAACCUAGGAUCACCAUCAAUUACUCAUCAAUCUCUUUUCCUCACGUUGUCUUUGUAGAGACGGUGACAUAUAACCUUGUUAAUCUCUAAGAUUAAAAUUCGUUUAACAUAGGUCAUAACGCAAAUCCAACUUUUCUUUAAUGAAUAGCCAAUCUAAACUUUUGAAGAUCAUAGAGGCUUUACCAUAGACACACCAAAAGACAUAACACUUGAUUUUUCGUGUUAACUUUUGGUAUUUGUUGUGUCUUUAUCAAUCUUUGGCUUUCUUCUUUUAGCCCUUUCUCAAUCAUUGGACUUUUGUUCUAAGCCUUCCCUUUGUCCAUCGACUCUAACAUUGUCUUCGUCUUUUCUAGGAAAAGACUCUCAUUGCCCCUAGUGUGGGGUGUGAUCCUAGUCAAGGUUUUUUAUGAAAGAAAUAUUCUAUCAGCUCAAAAUGGGACUGCAAGGGAUAUAUAUUUCAAGAAUUGUGAAAGGAUGAAACAAAAAUGGCCUUUUCUCAUCUCAAGUAAGGUCGGUUAGAACCGAUAAAUUUUGACCUCAUCCAAUAUAAUGAUUUAGACUUGUAAGAAUCAUAAUUCACGAGUCCAUAACUACUGAAUCCACUACGUUUCAUUAUGCAUACUGCUAAAACUUAGCUAUAUAGUAUGUGGUUCAAUUUCAUGUGUGAGUUCAAAAGUUUCUUGGUCACCUCAUGUCAUUUCAACAAGCUUCGAGUCAUUCAAGCAAAAUAAUUUUAAUCUUCAAGAUUGACUAAUCUUAAACGCAUGUUGGAGCUUGAUCAAAAUAUUUUGUCAAAAUAACCUUUGAAAGAAACAUCUCAUGCUUUCAGAACAACAAAGGGACAAAGAAAAGACAUGUUUUGUUAAAAGAUGAGAUAUGAUCCCAAAAUAAAAUGCAGAAUGACAAAACUCAUAACAAAAAGGAUCGACAGUUUAACACUCUUCUUGGAUCAGCUUUUCUGGUGAUAUCUGUGUUUUGUCAAGCAUUUCAAUCACUUGUCAUUAUGGGGAUGUUGUAGUGACAAUAUGGCCGAUGAUGUCAUUUUCACAAACUCAACUCGAUUCUUGAAAUUCUUGCAACUUUCAAAUGAAUGGCACAAAAUCCCCCAAUGAUAUUCAAAUCUCUUUUCUGGAUUAUACCACCUAGAAAAUGAUGGUUGUAUGGGAUUUGGCGGAGUCAUGGCAAUAAAUCCGGAGUCUAAUAGAUGCUGGUAGACAAACUCGAGUGGUCGAGGUAUGUCAAUCUUGGCAAAAAUAUUUGAGCAGUUGAUACAUAAUUAAAGCUUCCCAUCGUUAGAGUCAUCCUUUGAUUCAUCUCUCAUUAUUGUUCUACAAUCCUUGGCAGAAACUUCAAUAUUUCCCCUCUUCGUAGCUUGUUCAAUUCUUUCGAAAAUCCUCACAACAUCAAUAUCAAUCUUUCCAAUGUUGUUAUGGUUAUUUGUGGAUUGGUAUAAACUUUCCAAUAGCCAGGUAAUCUUGGUAGCGCACAGAAACAUUCAGCACCACCAUUGCCAACGUGUGGAAUCAUGCGUUGUCUCAACUGGAAGAGAAAAUGAUGAAUCUGAAAAUGAUGAAUCUGAAACCCUUUUGUCUCCUCUUCAAUUCCUCACUGGCAGUGCAGCAAACAAACACCUAUAGUGGGAAUUCUGCUUUGUUAAAGUUGCAAUGUUUGCUCUUUUUUUUCUCAGAGCAGCAUCCGAUACUGCAAUGUCUGCUUUGUUAAAGUUGAGAACAAGGGUUGUCAUUAGUUGAUGACUGAAGGCAUUGUUGUCAUUGUUCAUGACUAAAAAGGAGAGGUACAACUUCAAUGGAACGUGGACAAGUAGUGUUCUCAGCAAGAGCCUGUACAGACGUUCCCUUUCCACUUUUGAAGCUCAACAUUUAUUCAAACAGAUUUAUGAGUCGAGCCACUUCACCUUUACUGCUCUCAACUUCCUUUUGAUAAUAAACCUAUGUCUAACCCCUGUCUUUAUUUUCCAUCUUCAUCAGUCCAGUAGACCUCAGGUGGGGGAACUUAUGUUUCAACCGUGUGCAAGCUUGAUAAAUGAAUGAAAUGCGCAAAUGGAUGCAAAAUGCCAUAUGGACUAUGCAUGCUUGUUAUUUGUUUCAAGUUUUCCUUUAGCUUAUGACGAGGAAUAGACCAGAUCAGAUUCUCUUAAGAAAGUUCUCAAUGAGGACUCCAAACCUACAGGAACUUGAACCGAUUUAGGGGAGAAAUUUGAUUUUUAUUGGAUAUUCUUCAGUUGUUUUUCCCUCUACUCUCUUAGCAGAAGUAACCCUACCGGGAUGUUUCCAUGCCUUUUUCACUAACUCUAAUAAUUUCUUCGAGGUCUUGAAAUCUUCAUAAAAUGUUGGCAGUUUGGUAGUCAUUGGAAUAAACUGCUCAUGUAAGAUCCCACAUCGAAAGCGAGCGUCCAACGCCAAGGCCUUAUAAAUGCAUGUUCAUCUUAACUAGUAAGACGCGUUUAAAACCCUGAGGGGGACCUGGGUGGAAGCCCUGGAAAUGGGUAGACCGGGGGGCCUAGAAGGGACAGUAUCUGACAGGGUGAGUGUGCUGCUCUACUCUGAAAGACGCGUUUUGAGGCCAUGCGUGGCUGCCAAGAACAAACCCGUCAGGAGACUUGGGUGGAAGCCCUGGACAUGGGUGAACUAGGAGGCCCAAAGCGGACAAUAUUUUGCUAGUGAGGUAGGAUGUUACAGCUCAAAUCCAAAUUGUUGUAAAAUCAUGUUAGGACAAUAACUAAUACAGCAGCAGGCUCCUAUCACAACGGGACCCAUGGAUACUCACCAUAAUAUGCCAGAUAAGAUUUGAAGUAAGAGUAUCGACUCCUCCAAUGAAAUUGAGAUUUACUUAGAUUUAGAAACAUUGAUUCCCAUGUGGUUCUUGCUACUUCAUGCAAGUGUUUUUCAGCAAAAUUCUCCAGCUUAGAAUAAAGAUGCCAUGGGGUACCAACCAAACCUGAAAUCUUCCCCUCGAUCAUAUGACUCACAGUCCAGACAAACAAUAACUGCAAGCAACAUCUUAAACGACCCCUUCCAGCUUUUCUACAAUAAUUCAAGGAUGAGAAAGUUUCUGCCAAUAUUGCUGUAGCCGGGUUAAUUUUAAGGGUCACCACAUUUUUAAAUACAUUGACAGCCUCAAAAUCGAUCAUUCCCUCUGUAGAUGGGAAAAGAACCAAACCAUAUAUGCCUAAGGCCAAAAUUCUCAAUCGAAUUUCAUUGCUUUUAUCGUGUAAUCUCCUCUUGAAUAUGGCUUCUAGUUCAUUCCAAAACCAACCUUGGCUAUUUCCUCGUUUAGUUGCAUGAGAUUUUGCUAGUUGACAUUCUAUCUGGGUAAUCCAAGCAAAGUUAGAAAGUGCAUGCUCUAUAGGUGUGUAAAAGUAUACCUUUUCUGACUUGGGACAAUUUAGCAGGGAUUCAUACUCCUCAAUAGUAGGAGUCAUAUCCACAGUAUCAAAAGUGAAGCACCGAUAUUCUGGAUCCCAAAACCCUAUCAUGGCCUUAAAACAAGCAUGUUGGACCCUAAUUUUCAGUAAAUGUGAUAGAUCCCCAUAUUGUUUCUGAAAAGUGAUUUGAUCAUGAGAGGAUAACCUUUCCCAACAGUCUAGCAGCUGUCUUGUACCAAGUGGUCUGUCAUCUAAUUUAACAUGCUCUGGCAACUGAGACUCAAAUUCUGAUGGCAAACAAUCCCCUUCAUCAUGUUGGCUCAAUUCUGAUCUGGUAAAAAAUUCCUCAAUAGUAAUGGGUUUUUCCAUCUCACACUUCUUGUAAGGAUCGGUGGAGAUUUAAUGAGCACAUGAAAUGUAUAUGAACAUGUAUGUUCAUGCAUUGACAUUUGUUCGUGUCCUAAUGGGUAUAUCUUACUUGAUAGGAUCUAGCUCAUAAGGUUUGGUUCAGUUUAAUCUAUCCUUAAAGAUAUUUUUUGGUUCUUAGAUUGCCCGAAUUACCCAUGGAGUAAUCGGCCUCUUAACCUUAUACAACAUGAGUAUGGGAAACAAUUUCCACAAUACCCGUUGCAUAGGGUGAGUUACAAUCCAAGCGAAAGUCCAAAUGAGCAUCAGUGGACAUAAGUCACACUUGCCACCUGAAUCUCUCUUUUCUAAUCUUAAACAGGACGAGCUCGGGUCCAGAGCUUUUAUGGGUUCACCGUGAAGUGUGUGAAUACACAAAUAAAUAACAUGCAUGUAUGUGGCAAUAUGGAAAAUUGAAAAGAAUCACAGUAGAUAUUGCAUAAAAUAAAUAAUGCAAAUAAGAUAAAUGCCUAAAAAUAAAUAGCGAUAAGAAAGAACAAAUGAAAAGCAAAUACAAGCAGUUGGCUCAACCCUAAGUCCCCAGUGGAGUCGCCAUUCUGUCGAUACACGACGUCGGGCGACUGCUUCCGCUUUUUUUGUUUAUUUAACAAAAAGGGUUUUUUUUUAAUUGGGGGAAACAAAGAUUUUAUUGGAGUCGCCAUCUAGUAAUUUGAGGGAACUAGAAAUCCCAAAUUAGACACUGGUCCCAGAGAUUCAGGUACGGGGUUAGUUAUGAUUAAGGGAAGGUAGACACCACCCUUAAAACAUCCUUUCAAAGAAAGGUUACCCUUACUUGUGUGUUUUUUGUUUGAUUCAAAUGCGAUUAUAUUUUGGGCUUAUUUGUAAUUAUUUUAAAUGAUUAAUGUCGGUCCCUAAAAAUAGGAGACACGUUAAAAAUGACAUCAGUCCCUAAAAUUUAGGAGACUCGUCUAGAAUAUUAACGUUUAUUCCUAAAAAGGAGAGUUACGUCUGGGUUACCAAAAGAAAUAAUGGAUAUAAUCCAUUAUAUUUUGGGUUUAUUGGUAACUUGUUUUUUUUUAAAAUGGUUAACGUCGGUCCCUAAAAAUAGGAGACGCGUUAAAAAUGACAUCAGUCCCUAAAAAUUAGGAGACUUGUCUAAAAUAUGACGUUUUAACCCUAAAAAGGUGAGAUACGUCUGGGUUACCAAAAAAAAAAUAAUGGACAUAAUCCAUAUUUGGUAUUUGCAUUUUUGACAUCGGUCCUUUUUUUUAAAAAAAAAAGAGAAGUGUUGACUUUGGUUUUUGUAUUUUUUUUACAACAUGCAAGAAAAUUUACAAGCAUUUAUAUAUAAAAAAAUAUCAAAAAUACUAGUUGAAACCCAAAAAAUUACCUGAGUGUCACUGUAUAGGUAAAAUACUGAAAUACCCUCGAAGUUCUCCGAAAAUUACGAAAAUGCCACUGGCUAGAUUUCUGGCCAACAAAUGGUUGAUUCUGGCAGAUCUGAGGGCGAGGAUUCUGACGGUGGUGGUUGUGACGGUCUUUGAUGGCUGAUGAGUGAGAAUCGACGACUUGAAGCUUCGGUGUGAACGCGUGUAUGGUAAACCGGUACCUCUGAACACUGUGCGCCGUUGGAUCUCGGAUGAAAUGAUUGGAUGGCUGUGAUUGGCCCGAUCUGCAGGUUGAUCGGACGGUCCGGAUGAACAGAGGUGGGAUCUGGUGUGGAGCGGUGUACCGUGAGAUUGGUACACCGGGUGACGUGGCGAAACUGGAUCUAAGCUUAGAUUAUUUCAAGGGCUGAGAUGCGUCUGGGUUUUAAUCUAGUGUGGUAAGCCCUAUUGUAUCCUAUUAAAUCAACGGUUCAGAUCUAAACACUAUUAGAUCUAACGGUUAUGAUAUAUUUGGUAUUUUUCAUAUUGUAUUUUUAAAAAAUCAAUAUCCACUCUCAUGAAGAAAUAGUGAAAAACUUAAAUAGUAACCUUGAUAUUCGUUUCUUUUCUUUCUUUUUCUUACCUCUCCCCCUUUGUUCGUUUUUCUCACCGGCUAUUUAUAGCCAAUCAACAGGGGACAUCAAAAUCUCAACAUUAUCUACUUGCAAGAAAAAAAUCGUCGAUACAACUGCCCCACCUGCUGUGACAAAAAAAGUUUGCAUUAUUGAUUUUUUUAUUUUGUUUUAUUAUAUAUAAUAAUAAAUAUUUAUAUGGAUAAAACUAAAACUCAAAUUAGUAUUAGAAAAGCCCGUUUCAACCGCUAAAAAUCAAUUUUAAUGACCGAAAAUAAUAGUUUUGAUCCAAAAUAACCUGAAACUCAUUUUUUACCUCGGUCGACAUGGUUGGACCCGUAUGGACUCGGUGGACUCGGUUUUGACUGAAUAUGACGGUUUUGACCCAAAACGGCCCGACACUUAUUUUUUACCCUGGUCGACAUGGUUUGACCCGUAUUGACUCGGUGGACUCGGUUUUGACCGAAAAUGACGGUUUUGACCCGAAACGGCCUGAAACUCAUUUUUUACCCUGGUCGACAUGGUUUGACCCGUAUUGACUCGGUGGACUCGGUUUUGACCGAAAAUGACGGUUUUGACCCGAAACGGCCUGAAACUCAUUUUUUACCCUGGUCGACAUGGUUUGACCCAUAUUGACUCGGUGGACUCGGUUUUGAUCGAAAGAUGCGGUUGACUCGAGAAAAAUAUAUUUUUGAAUUUUCCUUUUUCUUAAUUUUUUUGGAUUUUUAUAAAUAAUAAUAGAAAUAAAAUAACAUUCAAGAAAAUCUUGGUGAAUCCAAAAUUGGGUUACAACAAUGUCAAUGGAAAAGAGAAGCCAAGAGUUAGUAAGGGCUUAUGCGCAAAGAUGGAGGGAUGAGGCAACACAUGUGCAACCCCCUUUGAUAGAGACGGAGAUGGUGACUUUGUUCCAAACUGAGAUCAGUGGGUUAACUCGGAGUGGCCGGUGCUUCACGCCCGAGGAGUUGAAGAAAGCAAAAGGCAAAGAAGUGGUAGAUCUUGACAAAGCACUAGAAGUUAAUAAGCCAAUAACUGAAGAGGAGUCAAAUGAAUUUUUAAAGUUGAUAAAGCAUAGCGAAUAUUGCAUAGUAGAUCUACUAAAAAAGACUCCAGCAAGGAUUUCCCUUAUGUCCUUGAUACUAAGCUCUAAGCCGCAUCGAAAUGCUUUGCAAAAGGUAUUGAAUGAGGCGUAUGUGCCCCAAGACAUUGAACAGAAAACCAUGGAGCAUCUGGUGGGGAGAAUCCAUGCAACUAAUUACCUGUACUUCACAGCUGAUGAGCUUGAUGCUGAAGGUAUCGGACAUAACAAGCCCUUAUACAUUACUGUUAGGUGCAAGGAUUGCCUCAUAGGAAAGUGCUCGUCGAUAAUGGCUCAGCUCUUAACGUGUUGCCAAAGCACAUGCUGAAGAAAUGCCAAUUGAUGAUUCUCAUAUGAAGUCGAGUACUGUGAUGGCCAGAGCAUAUGAUGGCUCACUUGGGCCAAUAAUUGGGACUGUAGAAGUGGAGCUAUAUGUGGGGCCACAAAUGUUCUUGGUGACCUUUCAAAUUAUGGACAUCCACCCUUCCUAUAGUAUGUUGUUAGGAAGACCUUGGAUUCAUGUGGCUGGGGCGGUAACUUCAUCAUUACACCAAUGCUUGAAGUAUAUCAUGAAUGGGAUGUUGGUAACUGUCAAAGCUGAGGAGACAAUAUCCAUGAUGAAGAAUGUGGCCAUACCUUUCAUUGAGGCAGAGGAUCGCAAGGAUAACAAUAUCCACUCUUUUGAGAUUGUGAACACUGACUUGGUACCUAAGAACACAGUACUAAGAAGGCCAAGGAUCUCAGAAGCAGCAAGGAUGGCAGCUCAAUGCUUCUUGGAACGCGGGAUCCCAUUUCAAUAUAACCCUAUCACUAGGGUACCAGAAAGGGUUAAUCCGAUAAAGAUGAAAGGUGUUGAUCAAAGAUUUGGGCUGGGGUAUAAACCUAAAAAAGUGGAUCAUCGGUGGGCUGCUGGUCGAAGAAGGGAAAGAAGAAUGGCUAGGAUUGAAGGAAGAGAGCUUGAAGAAGAAAAGCUGGAAAUCCCUCCCCUUAGAGUGUCGUUCCCAAAAGCUGCAUAUGUAAUGCAACCCGAUGAAGGAGCAGAAAGCCUUGGUCAAGAACUGUCAAAUAUGAGCAUAAACACCUUGGAGGAGAAUAAGGUGGAAGGAGGUGGCAUGAAGACGGUAGCGGGAAAGAAAGAUGAAGCACUACCACAACUAACUAUCCACACUUUGGAAGAAGUCUCUGCUAAGACCUUUGUACGAAAGCUGGCUGAAGGUGAGAAGUUUCAAAACUAGGUGACUCAAUAAGCCCUAGUAGUAUUUAAAAUGUAAACCAACUUUGUUUGCCUUAACAUGCUUUUGUCAUUGCUUUUGUUUGCUUUAUUUUCCCUGGUUGACAAUCGAGGCUCAUGAUGUCAAUCAGAUUUUGUCGUUGUCAUUGAGCCCACCUUUGUUUUAAAUAAUGAGAUCAUGCGUUUUCCAAAUUUAUCUCUUUAUUCAUGCAUUUACACCAAACACUUUCCGCUUUCAGGAACUCUGAAAGUGGAUCUUCCACAACAUCAUAUACACUUAGCAUCAAGAAUGAAUGGCCAAACUUUAACGAACAUGUGAUCACUAUGGAAGAAGAAGAAUGGGAUGAAAGCAAUAUUAGGGAAUUUACAAAGUUAGUAGAGCAACAUGAACAAACCUGGGAACCAACUACAUAAGAACUAGAAACCGUAAACGUGGGUAGCGAUCAGAUUAAAAAAGAGUUAAAAAUAGGGACCUUAAUCACUCCUAAGGAAAGAGUAGAGGUAAUUGCCCUACUACGAGAAUACGCAGAUGUUUUUGCUUGGUCUUACGAGGAUAUGCCUGGUUUGGAUAGAAAUAUUGUCGUACAUAAGAUACUGCAGGAGGAAGGUUGUAAACUAGUCAAACAGAAGUUGAGGAGAGCCCACCCGGAUAUUUGGAUCAAAGUUAAGGCAGAACUCGAAAAAUAGUGGAAUGCAGGCUUUCUAGAAGUAGUUAAAUAUCCACAAUGGGUAUCCAACAUUGUUGUCGUACCAAAGAAAGAAGGAAAGAUUAGAGUUUGUGUGGACUUCCAAAAUUUGAACAAAGCUAGCCCCAAGGAUGAUUUUCCUCUGCCACAUAUAGAUGUUUUGGUCGACAAUGCUGCACGUAGUUCCACAUAUUCCUUUAUGGAUGGUUUCUCGGGAUACAACCAGAUAAAGAUGGCUUUAGAAGAUAAGGCGAAAAUAACUUUUGUUACACCAUGGGGAACCUAUUGUUACAAGGUUAUGCCAUUUGGUCUGAAGAAUGCAGGAGCCACCUAUCAGAGGGCCAUGGUGACUCUUUUCCAUGAUAUGAUGCACAAGGAAAUUGAGGUGUAUGUAGAUGAUAUGAUUGCCAAGUCCAAGAAGGGAGAAGAUUAUGUAAAGGUUCUGAGGAAGUUAUUUGAGCGUUUGAGGAAGUAUGAACUAAAGCUCAACCCGGCAAAAUGUUCGUUUGGAGUUAAGUCUGGAAAGUUGCUAGGAUUUGUGGUAAGUGACAAAGGUAUAGAGGUGGAUCCUGAUAAAGUGAAGGCCAUCCAAUCCAUGCCAUCCCCAAAGACAGAGAAGGAGGUGAGGGGAUUCUUGGGAAGAUUAAACUAUAUUGCCAGACUUAUAGCUCAACUAACCACAACAUGUGAACCUGUCUUCCGGCUACUGAGGAAAAAGAAUCCUGGGAUUUGGAAUGAGGAGUGUGAGGAAGCAUUCAAUAAAAUCAAGCAAUACUUACAAAGUCCGCCUUUGCUUGUUCCUCCUAUAUCAGGAAGGCCUUUAAUAUUGUAUUUGACAAUAACUGAAACAGCUAUGGGAUGUGUAUUGGGUCAGCAUGAUGAAACCGGAAGGAAAGAAAGGGCUAUUUAUUACCUGAGUAAGAAGUUCACCGAAUGUGAGUCUAGAUACACGGUGAUAUAAAAACUCUGUUGUGCAUUGGUAUGGGCGACAAAAAGAUUACGACAUUACAUGUUGUAUCACACCACUUUGUUGAUUUCAAAAGUGGAUCCACUAAGGUACAUCUGUGACAAGCCCUAUCUCUCAAGCCGAAUUGCAAGGUGGCAGGUUUUGUUGUCAGAAUAUAACAUAGUAUAUAUGACAAGGAAAGCCGUGAAGGGGAGCGCGAUUGUCGACCACCUGGCUGAUAAUGCUGUUGAAGAUUAUGAGCCAUUGGAUUUUGACUUCCCUGAUGAAAAUGUAUUAUCAAUAGUGGGAGAAGAAGAGAAGAAAGAUUGGUGGACCAUGUUUUUUGAUGGGGCAGUGAAUGUUUAUGGUAAUGGGGUCGGCGCGGUGAUAAUCUCUCCUGACCAGAAGCAGUAUCCGGUUUCAGUUAAAUUGUAUUUUGAAUGCACCAAUAAUACAGCUGAAUAUGAGGCUUAUAUCCUGGGUUUAGAAGUUGUGUUAGAGCUGAAGAUCAGAAAGAUAGAUGUAUAUGGUGACUCAAUGUUGAUUAUCUGUCAAGUGAAAGGAGAAUGGCAAACCAAGGAAGAAAAGUUGAGGCCAUACCAGGAAUAUUUAUCAGCACUGUCAGAAGAAUUCGAAGAGAUAAGAUUCACCCAUCUAGGAAGAGAAGGGAACCAUUUUGCGGAUGCUUUGGCCACGUUGGCUGCUAUGGCUACGAUUGAUCUCGGGCAUAAGGUACAUCCUGUACACAUAAACAUCAGAAAUAACCCAGCUUACUGUUGCUCGAUUGAAGGAGAGGUAGAUGGAAAGCCUUGGUAUACGAUAUCAAGAAUUUUGUGCAAAAUCAGGAAUAUCCAGUGGGAGCUUCGAAGAUGGAUAAGAAAACCCUAAGAAGGUUGGCCAUGGAUUUCUACCUCGACGGAGAGAUUCUGUACAAAAGAUCAUUUGACAGAACCUUGCUAAGGUGUUUGAAUGAGACAGAUGCUAAAAAUGCUUUACGGGAGGUACAUGAAGGGGUUUGCUCAACUCAUGCUAACGGGCAUAUGGUAGCAAGGAAAAUACAAAGGGCUGGUUAUUUCUGGAUGACACUAGAGAAAGACUACAUCGACUAUGUCAGGAAAUGUCACAAAUGUCAAGUGCAUAGUGAUAAGGUCAAUGCGCCUCCGACUCCUCUGAUUAAUCUAGCAUCUCCCUGGCCAUUUGCAAUGUGGGGGAUUGAUGUGAUUGGACCUGUUAACCCAAAAGCUAGCAAUGGGCAUAGAUUCAUACUCGUAGCUAUUGACUAAUUCAUGAAAUGGGUAGAAGUUAGUUCAUACGCCCAUGUAACACAGAAAGUGGUGAAAAGGUUUAUAGAAAAAGACUUGAUUUGUCGUUAUGGUCCACCAGAAAAGAUAGUGACCGAUAAUGCACAGAAUUUCAACGGCAAAAUGAUCAUGGAGCUCUGUACCAAAUGGAAAAUCAAGCAUUCAAAUUCCUCACCAUACAGGCCCAAGAUGAAUGGUGCCGUAGAAGCAGCCAACAAAAACAUCAAGAAAAUUAUCCAGAAAAUGGUAGUCACUUACAAGGAUUGGCAUGAGAUGUUGCUGUUCGCUCUCCACGUAUAUCGCACUGCAGUAAGGACCUCAACAGGAACUACUCCAUAUGCUCUGGUAUAUGGAAUGGAGGCGGUGAUGCCUUUGGUAGUAGAAAUCCCUUCGUUGAGGGUGUUGAUGGAUUUAGAAUUAGAAGAGACUGAAUGGGCCAAAGUAAGAUAUGAACAGUUAAACCUGAUCAGUGAAAAGAGGUUGGCUGCAAUCUGUCAUCAUCAACUCUACUAGAAAAGGAUGGCCAAGACAUAUGACAAGAAGGUUAGACCUCGCAUGUUCCAAGAAGGAGAUCUAGUGCUGAAGAAACUAUUGUCUUUACCAGGAGAAGAUCAAAGCAAAUGGGCCCCAAAUUAUGAAGGUCCUUAUGUAGUGAAGAAGGCUUUCUCAGGAGGAGCUCUGAAGUUGUCUAGAAUGGAUGGAGAAGAUCUAGCUAGACCUGUGAAUUCUGACUCUGUAAAGAGAUAUUACGUCUAAUGUGUUCAGUUUUCUCCCAAAAUGAAUAAAGUGAAGUUUGGCUAUGAUUUCUUUGUGUAAAGAACCCUUUUUUUUCAUUUGCAUUGAUCUCACAACACUUAAUUUGUUUAUUUUCAAAAAAAAUCUUGGAAAGAUUUGGCUUUGUGCAUGAUUAUAAGGAAUGUAUCAUAAAAUGCUCAAAGAUGAAGUUUAAGCAUUUCCCGUUAAGAGGUGACCAAACCAAACAAACCCAACGCUGAGAUAAAACCUUGCCCCUAAUAGCAUUUUGAAUUGUAUGGAUAAAUGGUUAGGUAAUCAUCAUUGUAAUCACUCGGAUGUUUUUCUUUCGAGAUAAGAACAAGGUUUAUCAAUCCUAACAAUGUGCGUCUUGAAAUGAGGAAAGGCCAUCUUUGUCAUCCCUUCACUUUCUAAAGAUUUCAUCCUUUGUAGUCCCCAUUUGAGCCGGAUUGAGUUUAUUCUUUAUGAAAACCUGACUAAGACCACACCCCGCACUGGGGGCAAUGAGAAAUCUUUUGUUAGGAAAGAUAAAGAUAAUUGUAGAAAAAAAGGGUAAAGAAUGGAAGCCUAACAUUUAAGAAGAGAAUAAGAAGAAAAGGGAGAAGGAAUUUGAGCAAAUUACAAAAAAAAAAAAAGAAGAAGAAGAAGAAGAAGAAGACUUGGAUCUUUGAAAGUCCGAACCCAAAACUUGGGGGCAUAAAAAAAAAAGAAGGGGGGAAAAGGAAUAAAGAAAGAAGAUGAUGGUUUGAUAAUGCUUUAAGACUGAGAUGAGGAUCCUUAAGCAAGCUUCUCCAAAUGCAACCUAUGAGACAAUUUCACAAAAAACAAAAGAUAGAAGAAGAGUGGUCUUAAGUCUUUAAACCCUCAAACACUAUUGAGCCUUAAAGCAUCCUUUUCUUUCAUAGCCCGUAGAUGUAACCUACAUUACAAGCCUUUAAAAGUCCUUUCUGAUCAAGCGCACAUAACUUGGGUUAAUAAACGAUGGUCUUAUAACUCAUAGGACUUAACAAAUGAGAGAUAAUCCGCUUUUGUCCAUGCAAGAAAAAGGCUAAUAUGAGACAUUUCCCUUUUUCUACACAGCCUUUUCAAAUAAUUACUUAAAACCUGUUGAAAAGAUUAAACAGAAGAGCCUUUGAAAAGAAAAAAAAAACCUAAAGACAAACCGCAAACCGAUAAAACCCUCAUUGGGAAUCGCUUAAAAGAGUUUUCAAUAUGUAUGUUGAAAGUUUCAGUUGUCAUGAACAAAUUCAAGUCUUUUAAAGAUUCUUUUUGAGGAAGGAAUUUUUUGUGCUGGAACGAAAACCAAAAAACCCUUAAUUUGAGAAAGACAAAUUAAAGCAUUGACAAGAGCAUGAUAAAAAGCAAUGGCAAAUCAUGCAUUUUUGGAAAAGGUUCACCUAACGGAAAAGGUCAGGGAUUUCUUCCCUAAAAAGUGAUGGGUAGAAGAAACAUCAUAGGAAAUGGAUCCAGCAUGCCAUUUCGAGCACGUGAACAAGAUCGUAUUAAGAGAGAGUUUCAGAAAAUUGAAGGAAGCGAUGGGACCUAUGUUUCCAAACCAGGUAAGGAUGCAUACAUAAGCAUUGCAUCAAACAUUUUUGUUGAUUUGUUACAGGAAAAAUCCUCAAUAUAGUCCGGCAAGAUUAGAGACAAAGAAAGAAUCUUUGAGUUGAUGAACAACGAAGAAUCAUGCUUUGGACCCUGGAACGGGAGAAAGAUGAGAUAAACCCUAACAUUAGGGAAAUCUCAAAGAAAUAAGAGUCUUCAAUUCAAACCCUAUCAUCUUGAAGAAGAAACAUUUUUUGGUUAAAGAGGAUUGCCAAAAGGGAUCUCAGUUUAACCACCACAUGAAGAUUUUAGCUUUGGUUGAAGGGAGUCGCCAGAUGGGAUUCCAGGUUGACCGAGCUACACACAGGCUUUGGUUCUGGUUAAAGGGGAUCGGCGAAAGGGAUCUUAGUUUACCCUAACCACACAGAGACUUUGGUUCUGGUUAAAGGGGAUCGACGAAAGGAUCUCAGUUUAGCCUAACUGCACAGGAGUUUUGGUUCUGGUUAGAGGGGAUUGGCGAAAGGAAUCUCAGUCUAUCCUAACCAUACAGGUUUUUUGGUUAUGGUUAAAGGGGAUCGGCGAAGGGAUCUCAGUUUAGCCUAACCACACAAAGACUUUGGUUCUGGUUAAAGGGGAUCGGCGAAGGGAUCUCAGUUUAGCCUAACUGCAAAGGAUUUUGGUUUUGGUUAGAGGGGAUUAGCGAAAGGAAUCUCAGUCUAUCCUAACCACAUAGGAGUUUUGGUUCUGGUUAGAGGGGAUUGGCGAAAGGAAUCUCAGUCUAUCCUAACCACACAUGUUUUUUGGUUCUGGUUAAAGGGGAUCAGCGAAGGAUCUCAGUUUAGCCUAACCACACACAGAUUUUGGUUCUGGUUAGAGGGAAUUGGCAAAAGGAAUCUCAGUCUAUCCUAACUACAUAGGAGUUUCGGUUCUGGUUAGAGGGGAUUGGCGAAAGGAAUCUCAGUCUAUCCUAACCGCACACAGGAGUUUUGGUUCUGGUUAGAGGGGAUUGGCGAAAGGAAUCUCAGUCUAUCCUAACCACACAAUUUUUUAGUUCUGGUUAAAGGGGAUCGGCGAAGGGAUCUCAGUUUACCCUAAAUACAAAGGAUUUUGGUUCUGGUUAAAGGGGAUCGACGAAGGGAUCUCAGUUUAUGUUAACCACACACAGAUUUUGGUUCUGGUUAGAGGGGAUUAGCGAAAGGAAUCUCAGUCUAUCCUAACCACACAUGAGUUUUGGUUCUGGUUAGAGGGGAUUGGCGAAAGGAAUCUCAGUCUAUCCUAACCACACAGGAGUUUCGGUUCUGGUUAGAGGGGAUUGGCAAAAGGAAUCUCAGUCUAUCCUAACUGCACACAAGAGUUUUGGUUCUGGUUAGAGGGGAUUGGCGAAAGGAAUCUCAGUCUAUCCUAACCACACACACGAGUUUUGGUUCUAGUUACAGGGUAUUGGCGAAAGGAAUCUCAGUUUAGCCCAACCACACAACAGGACUUGGGGUCCGGUUGAAGUUUUAGGUCAACCAAAUUUUGGGAAGACCAGUUUCGGAAGACCAAUUUUGUUUAUCUUUACAACACUUACUACGCAAAAUCUUUGCUCCGUAAGCAUUGUAAAGAGGGGGCAUCUGUUGUAACCCAUUUUUGGGUCCCCGCACAAAAUACAAAAAAAAUUAUAUCAAAAUAAACAAAAUAUUAUAGAAAAAUAAUAGUAGUGAAAAGAGGAUGUCGGAGCGCCCAGAAAAUGGUCAAAAAUUGGUUGAGGAGGUUUAAAAAUACAAGGAUUGAAGUUUGACAGUAUAUCAUUGACUGGGGCUUAAUUGCAUACAUAUUAAAGUCUGGUGGGCAAUUAGGGACUUGAUUGAAGAAAUCCAAAACCAAGGACCAUAGUGAAAAAAGCGCGCAAAUUGAAGGGCUAAUCUGAAAUUGGACCCAUUUUGGCGCCAAUUUUCGUUUAAAUGAAACGGCGCGUUUUGAUAAAAAACGAUGUUCGUUUCAUGUAUUUCACGAAGAAAAAGAGCAAACGGUGCCGUUUUGAACGGCACCAUAAGCCUUCUUCUUCCCUUAUUGAGAAUAGGGGAAGAAGAAGCAUUUUCCCCCCAUUUUUUUCUCCUCUCUCUCUCUCCCAAAACCCAAAUAACCAACGACGACCCAACUUGUCCCUUCACUGACACCACCACGCCCUCAUGCCGAAAGACCCAUACCCUAUAGAGGUAGGGGCGGCUGUGCAGUAGCCGCCCCCAUGCCACCAUGCCCUGCACCAUGGCACAGGACAGGGCAUGGUGGCCCUCUCUCCCUCUGCCUAUAAAUACAGAGGGAGUGCGGGAGAGAAGAGGGGGGAAAAAAGAUUUUUUGAAAGAGAAAGGGAGGAGAAACCGAGAGAGAGACCGACUGUUUUUUAAGGAGGAAAAGAGAGACGGAAAAAGGGGAAACAACAUUUUUUUUAUUGCUUAUGGGCUGGAACAUCAGCCCAGCCCACGCGGCUGAGCUGAGUCCAGCCCACAGUAUAUGGGCCAGGUCAGGCCCAACCUAGGAUGGGUGGGCCAGAUCCGGCCCAAGUUUUUUUUGGUUAAAAGAAAAUUUCAAAAAAUAUUUUUUAGGAAUUUUAUAAUUUCCCCGCAUAUUUUUCUGUCAUUUUGAUUAAAAGCAAUAUUUUUUAUGUUGCUAAAAAUACAAAAUCCGAUAUUAAAAUACCUGGUUUUCGUCAAAACUUCCAAAAUACAAAAAAAAAACUUGUUUGUUUUGAAAAAAAGAAAAAUGUUUUUGUGCAUACGGCCAAGUAUCUCAAAGCUAAAAAAUCAUAUGGUGUUUUUAUACAUAAAAAAAAAAAACAAUGUUUUUGCAUGCAUUUUGGCUUUAAUAACCAGUUUAUUAGAGUCAAGAGAACAUUGGCCAAAAUUUCAAAAACUACAAAAAUUUUAUUUUGUUUGUCUUUUAAUAUCCGUGGUACGAUAUUACAUGUAAUACAUAUUCCGGAUAUUAAAUGUUUUUCCAACGUUAGAACGGUUAGGUUCUACCCCAUUAAAGAUAAUAACCUCCUUAUUGAGGAGGACUUUUCUUGAGUCUUAGAUAGACAGGACCAACAAGUAGAAAACACAACCAAACCUUAGAUUUUGAUCAGACAAAUAAAACAAUGCAGCUUACCUUAGGUAGGGCGUAUUUGGGGUGCUAAUACCUUCCCUUUACGUAACCAGUCUCCGUACCUGAUCUCUGAGACCAGUUAGGGUUCCUAGUGAUCAUAAUACUAGGUGGCAACUCCCAUUCUAUAUUUUUCACCGCUAAGAGACAAAGAAUUCCUUGUCUCCCCACAUUUACCAGAUAUAUAUCCAUACAUUGAGGGUGGACGAUCGCCGCGACGCCGCACGUGCGACAACAGUUAUAUAUUAAUUCUAAUAAAAAAUAUAUAUGGUUUCUAUGUUUAAAUUUUGGUAUUAAUAACGCAUACAACAAUGAGGCAGUUAAGUUUCUUUGAUAAAAUAAAAUCAUUUAAAAAAUAAAAAUAAGCUAGUAUGUUUGUUACAUAACUAAAAAAAAAAUUGAUUUUUUUUAAAUUAAUUUUUAAAAUCAUUUUAAUAGACUGAUAUUAAAAAUAAAUUUUAAAAAAUAAAAAAUAUAUUAUUUUGAUAUAUUUUUAAGAAAAAAACAUUAUGAAAAGAAAUUGUUAAUAUUGUUAAAAAUAUAUUAAUAUUUUAAGGAAAAAAUAAAAGAAUUUUUUUUUUUCAAAUUAAUUUUUUUCUUUUUUGUAUAUUUUUGUGGUUACCAUAUCAGACAAAGUAGAGGUUGAUUUCAACAUGCUUCCUGCAAGCAUGAUAAACCAAAUUCAUUAUGAGAUAUAUAGCCUCAAGAUUAUCACAUCAUAAAGAAGAGUAGAGGUUCAAAUCCCUAAAUCUAUAAAUAAAUAAAAAAUGAACUAAGCAAUUUUAUCUCGAAACAACAAUGACACUAACUUAAUGCUCAGCCUUGGUACAAAUUAUGUCAGCACUUCCAUGCCUUGUGAUCUUGACAAAAAUAUUUUUGGUCCUUUUAGUUUAGAAAUGAAACUUUUCAGUACAAAACUUUAUUUUACCUAUAUAUAUAGUUCUUGAGUUUGAGAAAAAAAAGAAAGAUUUGUUGAAAAACUACAAAGGAGAGAUAAAAUUAGUCUAUUUAGAUUUGGAUUGAUUUUCUAAUUUUAAAUCAAUUAAAUGUUUAUUUAAAAUCAUGAAUGGAUUUAUUGAAGUCACUUCUUACAUAUAGCACAAUAUUUAUGAAGAUGACACGAGUUAAAAUAAUUGUUUAAACACACACUAUAUAUUGUAAUGUUGUCUGCAUAUAACUGUCAUGUAAGGGCUUCCAAUUCGCCUCUCCGUAUUACAGCACUUUACAAAUUAUUAGAUCAUUUGAUACUACACACAACAUUUGAUAUUUUUAACCAUUCACAUACAUGAAAUAAAACCCAUGGAAACAUGACACAAACGUCGACUGCAACUGCAACAUUAUACUAAUGAGUGUAUUUUCUAAAGUCGAAAGAGUGCUACCCAAUCUAGGUUCAAGUGGGAUGAUGAAUUGAAGAGCAGUUGUUAUUUGACACUGCAAUUAGAUGUCUCAUAUUUGAUUUAUGGAGCUAUGAUAAGGGAAUCGUGCUUGUAUAUUUACAUAGUAACAAGCAUUAUUAAAGAUGGUACACUAGUAAGUUUCCAAAUGCUAUCAGCAAAUAUUAUAACCUCUUAAUUUAUACAAGGAUUGAGCUAAAUUGCUUUAUCAAAUAUUUUAUGUUUUUUUUUUUUUGAAAUAUUGUUAUAGACAUAGAAUCAACAAGUUUAUGUGACAUUCUAUAUUGAUUUUGUUAUAUUUUAAUCACUAAAAGUAUGGGUUUCAGAAAAAUAAAAACCAAACAAAAAAAUUGAAAAAAUUAAAAAUUUUCAAACCAACCCAAUCCAACAAAUUUGAUCAUUUUUCGUCUGGUUUAGUUCGGAUAUUUUUUAGUUGAAACAAUUACUAACCAUUUUCAAAAGAUAAAUAUUGACAAGCCUUUCACCAAAACCAUGUUCAUUUAUGCUGAAUCAGGCCAAAUCAGGUUCAGGUUGCUAACUCAAACUAACGCAAUCCAAAAUUAAAUGCAUAUAGACUCUGGGUUGGUUUAGUUUAUUGAUUAUUAGAAAUGUCAAACUGAAACCGAACCGAAAUAAAUGAAUAUUUCUAACUGAGACGCCCUAAAAUACUGAAAAAAAUGGUUGGUUUUGUUUAGUUUGGUUUGGUUAUAGCAGAUACCCUGACAAUUUACUUUUUCACUCGACCUCAAACAAUAAGCACUAUUAUUAUGUCUUUAAUUGAAUUACUAUAAAGUAUAAAAAUAUAUGUGGAUAAUUGAAAAUUUGCUUAGAGUUGCUAAUAAUUCACAACUGCAACAACCAUCACGACCAGGUAAUGCUUGGGAAUGGGAUCAUGUAAUUGUGGAGAUUUGUCUAGAUUUUCUAGAUAAUAAUUUCAACCACCCUCUCCUUUCCUCAACCACUAUCACUCACCUUUCAACCACCAUCAACUACCCUCUCCUUUUGUCAACCAUCAACACUUCUCAACCAAGCUGCCAAGGCUCUCAUUCCUUCUAUAAAUGAAGACAAAGAGAGAGCAAGAUAAAGUGUAGUGCAGAGACAGUGCAAGUGAGUGCAGAGGAGAGGAAGUGUGGAGAGUGCAAGUGCAACUUUGAGAGUUGUGAGCAGAUUUGAGAGAAACACCAAGUGUAAGAGUGAAACACUGGGAUUUUGGGAUUGUACUAGGGUUGAGUUGAGUGUUUGUAUCAUUCCUCUAAUAAUAUAUGAUUGUGCAUCAAAAGUAUCAUUAAGUCUCCUAUUUUACAUAUAUAUUUAUUAUUUUUAUUUGGGUUUUUUAUAAUAAUUGAUGUGCUUUUUAGUAAUGAAGUUUUUUUUAAUGUUUCGAUAGGAUUUUGGAGCUUAAAUGAAUUAUUUCAGAAAAUUCAACGUCGGAAUUCGGAACAAAGAAUCGAAGAGAAAUUUAGUUGAAGAUUGAAGCAAGUCUUGGUUCAAAUAAGUGCUCCAAAUUUUCCCCAAAAAUCAAUUCUAUUCCAAUUCUAGAAAAGAAUAUCAUAUGAUCUAUUUCAAGCCCAAACAUGCCUUAUGUUGUGUGCAAACUUCAACCAUCAAACACUCAAGGUUUCAAUGUCAAUCUUAGCCCAAAUAAUAGGUACAUUUCUAUCCUUAUUUGAUGCUUAAAUCAGCCCCAAAUCAGCCUCCAAAUCAGCCGAAGCACAAUCCAUGAUCUUACAUGCCCACACAACAAAUAACAUUUGAUUUAUUUUGGGUAAUUCAUUGAUCCAAGAGGGAAAGAACAUGGAUGGAAAGCUGGAGGGGACAUUGUGACAUUAUUUUGGGUCAAAAGAAGAAAGAGACAGCUCAUAAAGGAGGAAGAAAAACGUGCACCAAAGUGUUCUCCAAGCUGGCCUGGUUUGAUUUUCCAGAACACCUUUCGGUGUUUCGCCCAUAACUUUUGACUCAGAUGUCCAAAUGAGCUGUUCUUUAAUGAUGUGAAAAUAUAACAGAAUGGCCUAUAAAUAUGUCUCCAAUAGCCAUUUCCAGGGGAGGCUUCAAAAAGGGUCUAAUUUCUGUCCAAAGUUAGAGUCAAAUUUGUGUCCGAAUUUUUACUGAAAUUGUGUUGUGUGCUUCUUUAUAGAUUUUGGUUCUUUAGCUUGUAAAAAUCAUUAUUUCAGUUUGAUUCAAGUUAUUUCAUGUUUAUUAAAGUGUUAUUAUAUAUAAUCAUGGUUCGCUAAUCUCUUUCUUGGAUCCAAAUCAAGGAUGAUGGUGGUUGAGGUGAGUUUUUUAAGAUAUGAAUGAAUCUUAAUGUCUAUCUUUUCAUUUUCUUUAUAAAUGUUUUAUUAUUGCAAAGAAAUUUUAGAAAUCAUUUAGGUAAUGUUAUAAUCUUGAAUUUUUAUGCACAAACCUUAGUUUUGGUAUAGAGAUUGCUUGAUUCAAUGUCUUACUUAAUAUGAAAAUACUUGUUCAUUCUUAAGCAAUAAUCAAUCUUCAUCUUUUUAAACUUCAUUGUAAUAUCUUCUGAUCUAAUAUCACCAUCGUUGAUAUUAGGUUGAGUUAUCUUAUAUAUGUUUGAAGGAAUCACCAAUACAUCACCAUUAAAAUUGAUUUGGACCAAGACUUACUUUUUCUUGUCAUUUAAAAUCUAUUUACACUUUUUCAUCUUUGAAAACAAAUUCAUCAAUCAUUUUCAACCAAGUUAUUGUUAAUUUAAUUUCUCUUGAGUUUUUUUGUUACCUAGCUUAAUUUCCAGAUCUAGCUCUCUGUGGAUAUGACCUCAAUCUUACUGAGUUAAUUGCUACAUCGCACACUCGUGCACUUGCGAGUUAAAACAAGCCGAACAUAAAAAGCGGUCAAGCAAUUUUUGGCGCCGUUGCCGGGGAGCUAGCAAGCAAAGGUAACAAAUUUAUAUUUGAUUAUUGAAAAAUAAAAAAAAAUACAUAUAAAUAAUAAAUCAAAUGGCUGGUUUUACCGCCUAAAAAAAAAUUGACCUCAACUUUUCGGAUAUUGGACUGUGGACUAAACUAUUAAUUAUUGGAUUUUGGUUGGUUCAACCAUUUUUCUUUUAUUUUCUAUUCUAAUUAGUUUCUAAUAUUUAUUGUUUAUAUUAUAAGGCUGGUUUUACCGCCUCUUGUUUAUUUUAUUUUAUUUUGUUGUUAUUAUUUUUCUUAUAUUUAUUGUCUGAAGUGCUUAGCCGGUAUUACCGCCUCUUGUUCAUUUUAUUUUAUUUUGUUGUUUUGUUGUGAUUAUUUUUCUUAUAUUUAUUGUUUGAAGUACUUGGCCGGUAUUACCGCCUUUUUAUUCAUGCUUGUUAUAAUUAUCUUUUAAUUUUUAUUGUUGUUAUUAUUGCUUAUUAGUUGGAGUGUGAAUUUCUUAAUUUGUUAAAUUUUUAUUUUUGUGCUAUUACUUUAUCUUUUACAUUUCAUUUACUUUUAUUUGCAAUCUUCUUUUUCUUUUUCUUUUUUUUUUCCUUUCCUUUUGUAUUCAUAUAAUUGUUAUAUUAUUAGCUUUUUUUAUCAUGGCUAAUGUUGAAGAUGUAGAGGGUGAAGGGAGUGUUCAAGGUAAUGGACCUCCACAAUUCAAUGAUCAACCUAAUUUUCGAGUACACCUUCGUGUAUUAUCUUUCCUCUUAACCAACAAGCUUUCAAUUUGAAACCGGGCAUGAUUCAACUUCUUCCCACAUUUCACGGUAUGGAUUCUGAAAAUCCAUACAUACAUAUUGUCAUAACCCAAUUUUUGACCAUUUUAUUUUAAUUAUUAUUAUUAUUUUAUUUACUGAAAAGGAUAAAAAAAUAUGAUGAUGAUGAUAAAAAAAAAAUAAUGAUAAAAAAACAAGUAAAAUGAGAUAAAUGAAGAAUGAAUUAAAAUUUGGGUUAAGGGCAACAUGAUUAGAAGUUUUAGGGUUUAAUUAAACUUUGAAAUUAAUCUAAUUAAGCUUGGAAUUAAUUUAAUUAAUCUGAUUAAGGGUUUAAUUGGAGAAUUGAUAAGUUUUGAGACUUAAUUGAGCUUGGAAUUAAUUUAAUUAAUCCAAUCAAGGGUUUAAUUGGAGAAUUGAUAAAUUUUUAGACUUAAUUAAGCUUGAAAUUAAUUUAAUUCAUCCAAUCAAGGGUUUAAUUGGAGAAUUGAUAAGUUUUGAGACUUAAUUAAGCUUGGAAUUAAUUUAAUUAAUCCAAUCAGGGGUUUAAUUGGAGAAUUGAUAAGUUUUAGACUUAAUUGGACUUUGGAUUUAAUUAAAUUAAUGAAAUCAGGGACUUAAUUGAAAAAAUAGCAAAGUUUGGGGUUAAUUAGGGAUACGAUUGCAGCAGAUUAAAGUCCAAGGACUAACUUGUAAAAGGCACCGAAAUGCAGGGGCAAUUACAGUUUAAACCAGGGGCUUAAUUAUAAAAUUCGGCGUCGUUUGAAAGAGCACUAUUCAUCUUCUUCACCCGAAAACAAGAAGAAAACGCAUGCCUUUAUUGCAUUAAAAUCCAUGCAAAACGCAUGCCUUUAUUGCAUUAAAAUCCAUGCAACCGCAUGGCAUUCUCUGGUUAUAAAAACCAGAGAAGGAGAACCGGCAAAGAAAAAAAGGAUGGCAUAACCGAAAAGCCACUAGAGAAACACAGAACCGGGGAAAGAAUAGAAAAAAAAACUUUCGUUCCUCUGUUUCUUCUCAAAGAAACAGAGGAGGCCACGAGCAGCGGAGGAAGAAAGCAACUAGCCCACCAGUCCUCCAUCACGUCUCCGUUUCCCUGCUUACACAGAGGAAGUAACACCGGGAACACAACAAGACGCAAGAACAGAAACUGUACAGAGGGGAGCAAGUUUUCUGCCCCUGUUUCUUCUCUAAGAAACAAAGGCGUUCGUGCCUCACGAUCGUGAGGCACGAACGCGUGAAGAAAGGCCAUUCUCUGGCUUUAUAAGCAAGAGAAGGCCGCAGAGAAGGAAGAAAAACUGAGGAGAAACAUGAAAAAGAGAGGACAGAACCGGUGGACGAGAAGAACAAACACAGACGGCCGCGGACGAGCGGGGAAGACGACUAGCAGGGGAACAAACCGAAACAAAAAAGAAGAAGACGACAGAACAAGGAAAGCUAAAACAGAGGAGUAGACAGAAAGCAGUAACAGAGAGGAGUAACGCUGGUCAGUUGUCAUCCCCGUCUUCCAGUGCAGCAACAGGUAAGUUGCGUUGCCCCUCCCUGCAUUUUAAUUGCAUGUUGCUGUAACAGGCGUGCGUGAGCGGUUCACGCACGCCUGCGGGUAAAAAAAUAGAAAAAUGGCCAGCCGGGUCAAGCCUUUGACCCGGCUAGGCCUGCUGAGUCCAGCCCAGCCCAUGUGGGCUGAGCUGGGCCCAGCCCAAAAAAAUAAAAAAAUAAAAAAAACAGAAAAGUAAAAAAGGGUAGAAAAAAUAAAAAAAAUGUGUAUGCAUGAAUAAAAAUAAUGUAAAUUUACUGGUUUAUUCACUGACGCCAGAGUCAGGAAUAAAAAUACUGGUUUAAAUUUAUAUUAUUUUUAUUCGGUGUAUUUUAUUUUAUUUAGCUAGAAAAAUAAAAAAUAUGUGCAUGCAUAAAAAAUCAAUUUUUUUUAAUUUAUUCACUGGCGCUAGAGUAGGGAAUAAAAAAUAUUGAUCUAAUUUUUCGUAGCUACGAAUUUUUACCAACGCCAGAGUUGGAAUUAUUCGAGCUCGAAUAUUCACUGGCGCCAGAGUCAGGAAUAUUAUAAACAAAUCAUUAUAGCAUAAGCGAAUAAAUGUUUAGCAAUUGAAGACAAAACCAACAAUGCAGUUUGCCUUAGGCAGAACGUUUAAGGGGUGAUAAUAUCUUCCCUUUUACGUAACCAAUCCCGAGCCAUAGAAUCUCUGUUGACCAGUUAGGGUUUCUAGUGACCAUAAUACUAGGUGGCGACUCCUUAAACAAGAUCUUUUCCCCUAAAAGAACAAGAUGCCAGAUAUCUGUUCUUUUUCCAUAAAUCUAGAAUUAUUUUGUGGGCCGCUGCGAUGUCGGGUGCGACACAUAUUAAGGACUUUGAAGAGGUAUGUAAUACUUUUAUUGAUAGAACAUGCACCGAGGAAACCAUUCGGCUUAAAUUGUUCCCAUUCUCUCUAAAGGAUAAAGCCAAGCUUUGGCUAAACUCCUUGCGUCCUAGGUCUAUAGGUACAUGGAGAGAAAUGCAAGCUGAAUUUUUGAAAAAAUACUUCCCCACUCAUAGGACGACAACCUUACAACAUCAAAUGAUGAAUUUUUCUUGUAGUCCAAAUGAGUCAUUUCACCAAGCUUGGGAAAGGUUCAAAGACUUGUUAAAUGCAUACCCCCACCAUGGUUUUGAGAUGUGGAGGUUAGUGAGUUUCUUCUACGACUCUCUUACCGCAGAUUUUAAAAAGCUAGUGUCAACCAUGUGUAAUGGUGAGUUUUAUGACAAAGAACCAAGUGAAGCCUUUAAUUUCUUUGAUCAAUUGGCUGAAAACACAAAGCAAUGGGAGACUUCUCUCCUACUUCAUGUUGAGUCUAGAAACACCAUUUCUCAUUCAAGUGGGAAGUUCCAAUUGAAAGAGAUUGAUGACCUCAAUGCUAGAUUAGCCUCAUUGGCUAGGAAAGUAGAGUCUCUUGAGAUUAAAAAAGUGCAUGUCAUGAGUGAACAACAAGAGGAAAGUUGUGUUGUUUGUGAGAGCAAAGGGCAUAGGACAACUGAGUGUCCUACCAUUCCAGCCUUCAAGGAAGUGCUAUAUAGCCAAACUUCUGAUUCAAGUAAUGUUAGAAAGCCAUUUUCAAACCAAGUAGGCAAUCCCUACUCUGAGACCUAUAAUCCUGGAUGGAGGAACCAUCCAAAUUUUGGAUGGAGAAAUGAGGGCCCUUCAGUACCUCAAACAUUUCAACCUCCACCCCAACCAUUUCAUGCUACCACACAUAACACGUACCAAUCACCUCAUAAGAGAUCCCUAGAGGAUACUCCAACAAUUCAUGCAAACGCAAGGAGGAAUCAAUAACCAAGCUUACAAAUUUCAAGACCAGACUAAUAGGACCUUAGAUGACAUUCAAAGUCAACUAACCAAGUUGACUCAAUCAUUAAGCAUUCAAGAGAAGGGAAAGAUCCCAGCUCAACCAAUGUCAAAUCCUAGAGGUUAGGUACACAUGAGUGAAUCCUCAUUUAGUGAACCUUCAAACCAUGAACAAGUCCAAGCCAUCACUACCCUUAGAAGUGGAAAGAUUAUUGACAAAGCUAUAGGUUUUGGGAUUCCUAGAGGUAUUGUGGAGGAGAAAUCUAGGGAAAGUGAAGAGGGAAUCAAAACACAAGUGACAAAUGAGAGCUUGAGUGACAAAGAAGGUGAGAUAAAUGAGAAAGAAAUGAGUGAGAAAGGAGAUGAUUCAAGAAAAAUUGGAGUCAAAGUGAGUGAUUUAGAAUUUGUUCCUAGAGCACCAUUUCCACAAAGGUUAGGGAAGCCUAAACAUGAUCUUAUGAACUCGGAAAUCUAUGAAUUGUUCAAACAAGUGAAAGUCAACAUUCCACUCAUUGAUGCAAUUAAACAAGUCCCCUCUUAUGCAAAGUUCUUCAAGGACUUAUGCACAGUCAAAAGGAGAUUGAAUGUGAAAGAAAGAGCCUUUCUAACUGAACAUGCUAGUGCCAUCAUCCAGUUUAAGACUCCUCCCAAAUACAAAGAUCCUGGUUGUCCUACUAUUUCAUGCAUUAUUGGAAGUCAUAAAAUAGACCAAGCUUUGUUGGAUUUAGGAGCAAGUGUGAAUUUGAUACCCUACACUGUUUACGAACAGUUAGGUUUAGGAGAAAUCAAGCCUACUCAAAUCACCCUUCAAUUAGUUGAUAGGUCAAUCAAGAUUCCCAGGGGUAUUGUUGAGGAUGUGUUGGUCCAAGUAGACAAAUUCUACUUUCCUGUUGAUUUUGUAGUGUUAGACACCGCACCUAUUCAAGGUUCUAAUGCUCCCAUCCCAGUCAUCUUAGGUAGACCUUUCCUAGCUACAUCCAAUGCUUUAAUUAACUGUAGGAAUGGGGUGAUGAAAUUGUCUUUUGGGAACAUGACUGUGGAGAUGAACAUAUUCAAUGUCUCGAAACAAAUUGGUGAACAUGAGGACAUUAGAGAGGUAGAUUUGAUCCAAACAGUUUGUCAAGAACACUUUGAGAGAGAGUGGUUCAAAGAUCCAUUGGAGAGAACUUUAAUUCAUGAUGAAAGAUUUUGUUCUUUGGAAUGUGUUGAUGAGGAAGUAAGAGAACUCAAGACUUAUCUAGAUCCAAUGCCUAUUAUGUCAAUAGGUCAAUGGACCCCAUCGUUUGAGCCUUCGAUUUCACCCCAAAUGAAAGUUGAGGCAUCUCUUGUCCAACCUUAUAAACUAGAAAGGAAGCCUUUACCGAGUGAUCUUAAGUAUGCAUUUCUAGGGGAAGAUGAAUCAUAUCCUAUUGUGAUUUCAUCAAAACUUAGCAUAGAGCAGGAACAAGAACUUUUGAGAGUGGUGAGAAAACACAAAAAAAGCAAUUGGGUGGACUAUUACUGACUUGAAAGGAAUUAGCCCUCUUUUAUGUACACAUAGAAUCUAUCUUGAAGAAGAGGCUAAAUCUGUGAGGCAAAUGCAAAGACGACUGAACCCAAACAUGAAGGAAGUAGUAAGAGGUGAAGUGCUUAAGCUACUUGAUGCAGGUAUCAUUUACCCCUUGCAAACUCAAAAUGGGUUAGUCCAACCCAAGUUGUCCCUAAAAAAUCUGGAGUCACGGUAGUGAAGAAUGAAAAUAAUGAGCUAGUACCAACUAGAAUCCAAACUGGAUGGCGUCUGUGCAUUGAUUAUCUUAAGUUGAACAUGGUGACCAGGAAGGACCAUUUUCCGCUUCCAUUUUUAGACCAAGUGCUUGAAAGAGUAGCCGGAAGAGCUUUCUAUUGUUUUCUUGAUGGAUACUCAGGUUACAACCAAAUUGAGAUUUCUUUAGAAGACCAAGAAAAAAUCACUUUCACUUGUCCUUUUGGUACCUAUGCUUAUAGAAGAAUGCCUUUUGGCUUGUGUAAUGCACCAACCACUUUUCAAAGGUGUAUGAUGAGUAUCUUUAGUGACAUGGUGGAAAUUUUUUUUGGAAGUUUUCAUGGAUGAUUUUUCAGUUUAUGGGGAUUCUUAUGAGUUGUGUCUAAUGCAUUUAGAAAAAGUUCUUGAAAGAUGUGAAGAGAGCAAUCUUGUACUUAAUUGGGAGAAGUGUCAUUUUAUGGUGACACAUGGCAUUGUCUUAGGUCACAUUGUCUCUUCAAAAGGGAUAGAGGUAGAUAAGUCAAAAGUUGAAGUCAUUCAAAAAUUACCUAGCCCUAGGACUGUGAAAGAUGUGAGAUCGUUUUUAGGACACGCUGGUUUUUACCGAAGAUUCAUUCAUUCUUUUAGUACCAUUCCCAAACCAUUGUGUAACUUGUUGUCACAAGAUGUUCAAUUUGAUUGGACAUCAAAAUGUCAAGAAGCUUUUGAAAAGCUUAAAGGGUUGUUGACCACUACACCAAUCAUGCAAGCUCCUGAUUGGUCUUUACCAUUUGAACUGAUGUGUGAUGCUAGUGAUUUUGCAGUAGGGGCUGUUUUAGGGCAAAGAAAAGAUAAGAAGCCUCAUGUCAUUUAUUAUGCUAGCAAGACUUUGAAUGAUGCUCAAUUGAAUUACACUACAACUGAAAAAGAACUCUUAGACAAGUUUAGGUCUUAUUUGGUUGGAUCUCUUGUUAUUGUUUUCACUGAUCAUGCAGCAUUGAAAUACUUGCUCACAAAACAAGAUGCCAAGCCAUGUUUGAUUCGAUGGAUCCUUAUAUUCCAAGAGUUUAACCUUGAAAUUCGAGAUAAAAAAGGAGUAGAGAAUGUAGUGGCUGAUCAUUUGUCCCGUCUUUCAAGCUAUGAGACCAUAAUUGAUGAAUCUCCAAUAAAUGAAUUCUUUGCUGAUGAAAAUUUAUUUUGUGCAGGUAUUGUUUCCUACAUUGGCUCUCCAUGGUAUGCUGACAUAGCAAAUUACCUAGCCACAAGUCAGAUUCCUUCUCAUUGGUUUAAACUUGACAAACAAAAAUUCUUGCGCAACGUGCGUACCUUUUUUUGGGAUGACCCCUACCUAUUUAAAUACUGCCCUGACCAAAUUGUUAGGCGGUGCAUCCCUGAUCAUGAAAUUCCAAGUGUCAUUAAUUUUUAUCAUGCAUUAGCCUGUGGUGGGCAUUUCUCUUCCAAGAAAACCACUGCCAAGAUCUUGCAGUGUGGUUUUUAUUGGCCCACCAUGUUCAAAGAUGUCCAUGCCUUCUGUGUUGCAUGUGACCGAUGCCAACGACUAGGUAACCUCACUAGGCGUAACAUGAUGCCCCUAAACCCCAUUCUUGUUUUGGAAAUAUUUGAUUGUUGGGGGAUUGAUUUCAUGGGACCUUUCCCAAGUUCAUUUGGUAACCAAUUCAUCCUUGUAGCUGUUGAUUAUGUGUCUAAAUGGGUGGAGGCCAUUGCAUCUCGAACCAAUGACCAUCGAGUUGUGGUCAAAUUCUUGGAAGAAAAUAUUUUCUCUCGUUUUGGCAUGCCCCGGGCUAUGAUUAAUGAUGGGGGAAAACAUUUUUGUAACAAGCCCAUUGGGAUUUUGAUGAGAAAAUAUGGUGUAAUUCACAAGGUCAAUACCCCCUAUCAUCCACAGACUAGUGGCCAAGCUGAGUUGACAAAUUGGGAGAUCAAGAACAUUUUAGAGAAAACAGUCAAUCCAAACCGUAAAGAUUGGUCCCUACGACUAGUUGAUGCUUUGUGGGCAUAUCGCACUGCUUACAAGACCUCUUUAGGAAUGUCUCCUUAUAGGCUAGUUUAUGGAAAGCCUUGUCAUCUCCCUGUUGAGAUUGAGCACCGUGCAUAUUGGGCCAUCCGGCAAUUCAAUGACAAUGAAAACGAGGUUGGAAAAAAUAGAAAGCUUCAAUUGGAUGAAUUAGAUGAGCUGAUAAAUGAUGCAUUUGAAAAUGCAAAAAUUUCAAAACAUAAGAUGAAAACCUUGCAUGAUAAACAUAUUCUUAGAAAAUCCUUUCAUCUUGGUCAAAAGGUUCUCUUGUAUAAUUCACGAUUACAUCUCUUUCCUGGGAAGUUGAGGACAAAAUGGAUUGGUCCAUUUGUGAUUAAAUCCAUCUCUGAGCAUGGUGCAUUUGAGGUAGAAAAUCCUAAGAAUGGAAAUGUUUUCAAAGUAAAUGGUCAUCGAUUGAAACCUUAUCUUGAAAAUUUUGUGGCUGAAGUUGAGACAUUGGAUCUUGAAGAUCCAAUACCAUUGUAGUAUCAGAAGUAAUGAGCUUUUUAUUUUUAUUUUUAUUUUUUUAUUCAUUUUUAUUUUUCUGUUUUUCAUUUUUUUUCUUUCUUCCAUCGCUUAUAUUUUCUUGUUCAUGCAUUAGGGACAAUGCAUUAUUUUAAGUUGGGGGGUGUGAGGUUCUUUAUUUUUCAAAAAAAAAAUCAAUGUUUUCUUUUAGUUGUGAUAUGCAGGUAAAAAAAAUCAAGCAAGAAGUCAGCUCAUGUCCAAUUCAAUCAGACAUUCAUCCUUGAAAACAAAAGGGGAGUAAUAGUUUUCUAAUCUUUAUACUUUUCUUCUCUUUUUUUUUUACAUUGAGGAUAAUGUAAAACUUAAUUUUAGAUAUUUGAUUAUGUUGAAUGCUUGAGAUGACCAUGCAUGUUAAAAAAAAAAACUUGCAUUCGUAUAUGAAUGAGACUUGUUUAGGAUCAACAUUACAUUUUUGGAUUCAUUAUUGUGUUGAACAUUGCAUGCUUUAAUUUGGGAUAGAUAAUAUCUUAUAAAGCAAGAUAUAGCAUACUUUUUUUUAAGAUUAUUGAAGUACAUCUUUCCUUGUAAAAGUUGUGUGAGUUGUGUGAUUAUGCAUGAAAGAUGAGUGUGAUGCUUUACUUGUGAUCAUCCCUUUUGAUCUAGUCCUAAACAAGGUUUAAGUAAAUAGAGUAAUCAUUAUUACACAAAUGUGUACAAAGUUCUAUCUACUCCAAUGUUUUGAGUUGCUCAGUAACUAGGGGUAUUCAUCAUAAAUGUUUAUCUUUACGUCAAACGGCAGCUUGAAAUAUGAGUAUGCAAAGCACUUUAAGUUUGUGACUUUGUGAGUAACCGGGUGCAUUCAUCACAAAUGUUUGUAUUCGCGUCAAAAGGGAAGUGACCACUUAAAGAAAAAAAAUAAAUAAUAUCUUCAAAAAAAAAGAGAAAAAAAAGAAAAGAAAAAAAAUAUAUAUAUAUAUAUAUAUAUAUAUAUAUAUAUAUAUAUAGAUAUUUCUCUAGUUUGCUACCUUGUUUGUAGUAGUGAGAAGGGAAGAUUACAAGUUGAGUUUUCGCGUGAAUCAAUUAUGUUGGUUGCAUGAUAAAUACAAUUCUAGAAAAGAAUAUCAUAUGAUCUAUUUCCAGCCCAAACAUGCCUUAUGUUGUGUGCAAACUUCAACCAUCAAACACUCAAGGUUUCAAUGUCAAUCUUAGCCCAAAUAAUAGGUACAUUUGUAUCCUUAUUUGAUGCUUAAAUUCAGCCCCAAAUCAGCCUCCAAAUCAGCCCAAGCACAAUCCAUGAUCUUACAUGCUCACACAACAAAUAACAUUUGAUUUAUUUUGGGUAAUUCAUUGAUCCAAGAGGGCAAGCACAUGGAUGGAAAGCUGGAGGGGACAUUGUGACAUUAUUUUGGGUCAAAAGAAGAAAGAGACAGCUCAUAAAAGAGGAAGAAAAACGUGCACCAAAGUGUUCUCCAAGCUGGCCUGGUUUGAUUUUCCAGAACACCUUUCGGUGUUUCGCCCAUAACUUUUGACUCAGAUGUCCAAAUGAGAUGUUCUUUAAUGAUGUGGAAAUCAAACAGAAUGGCCUAUAAAUAUGUCUCUAAUAGCUAUCUCCAGGGGAGGCUUCAAAAAAGGGUCGAAUUGCUGUCCAAAGUUAGAGUCAAAUUUGUGUCCGAUUUUUUACUGAAAUUGUGUUGUGUUCUUCUUUAUAGAUUUUGGUUCUUUAGCUUGUAAAAAUCAUUAUUUCAGUUUGAUUCAAGUUAUUUCAUGUUUAUUAAAGUGUUAUUAUAUAUAAUCAUGGUUCGCUAAUCUCCUUCUUGGAUCCAAAUCAAGGAUGAUGGUGGUUGAGGUGAGUUUUUUAAGAUAUGAAUGAAUCUUAAUGUCUAUCUUUUCAUUUUCUUUAUAAAUGUUUUAUUAUUGCAAAGAAAUUUUAGAAAUCAUUUAGGUAAUGUUAUAAUCUUGAAUUUUUAUGCACAAACCUUAGUUUUGGUAUAGAGAUUGCUUGAUUCAAUGUCUUACUUAAUAUGAAAAUACUUGUUCAUUCUUAAGCAAUAAUCAAUCUUCAUCUUUUUAAACUUCAUUGUAAUAUCUUCUGAUCUAAUAUCACUAUCGUUGAUAUUAGGUUGAGUUAUCUUAUAUAUGUUGAAGGAAUCACCAAUACAUCACCAUUAAAAUUAAUUUGGACCAAGACUUACUUUUUCUUGUCAUUUAAAAUCUAUUUACAGUUUUUCAUCUUUGAAAACAAAUCCAUCAAUCAUUUUCAACCAAGUUAUUGUUAAUUUAAUUUCUCUUGAGUUUUUUUGUUACCUAGCUUAAUUUUCAAAUCUAGCUCUCUGUGGAUAUUACCUCGAUCUUACUGAGUUAAUUGCUACAUCGCACACUCGUGCACUUGCGAGUUAAAACAAGUCGAACAUAAAAAGCGGUCAAGCAAUAUACAAUCUGCUGCCUCCGUGGACGUACCCGGUUUUGGGGAACCACGUAAAUCUGCUUGUGUUGUGUUUUAUUUGUGUUUGCUUUCGGUCCAGUAUGCACAACAAAUUGGUAUCAGAGCAUUAGGGAAGCUUAAACACAGAAAAACACAUUUUUCAGCUCUCUGUUCAAAGUUGCAGAAUUUUCAAAUUUCUCAGAUCUUGAUUUUGAUCAGCUGCGGAGAUUCCUCUCGUUGAUACAAGUCCGGAGAUAUAAAGAUCAUCGAAAUCGGAGUUGAAACGAGCCCUGUAGAGCUCGUCGAAGUUUCGCCUGAAAUCUGCUGGAAAAACCAAACAGUGCCGGAAUUCUCGCCUUAGAAGACAGCCACGUCAUCCGACACGUAAGCGAUGAGUCAUCAUCCACAUCAUCAACAGGGGUCCACAUCGCCCUGUCAUCAGCCACAUCAUCUAACAGUGACAGAAUAUUCUCUUGACAUAGUAAGAAUAUUCCGUUAACAGUAAGAGAAUAUUCCCGUGACAAAAUAUUCUUUAUCAGAGACAGAAUAUUCCUUUCCUAAGUCAACUCGGUCAGAUUGGUUUUUUGGCCAACUCAGUGAUUUUUUAGCCUGUUUUUGGCCGAGUCAAGCUGGUUCCUAGCAUUUUCAACCAUUCCGGACGCGACCGUGGUGUCCGUUUUGUGAAACAGUACACAUCGAAGUUACUAUUUUGGCUCUUUUGAGCAUAAAAGUGCAUGUUUUAACAAUUUCAGGAGUCCAUUUGUAAUCCAAAGACGUUCUAAUGGCUGAUAUUCCAGAAGAAAAAUCAGCGGGGAAUGCUAGUAUACCUCCAUAAUACAUCCCGGUAUCAAGUACCAAAUUUGAGGUGGAGAAGUUUGAUGGGAAAGGUAAUUUUGGCAUGUGGAAAUGUGAAGUCAUGGAUAUGCUUGUCCAAAUGAAUUUGGAUUUCACUCUAGAAGAUAAACCGGAGGAUUUGGAUGAUAAAAGCUGGGAAAGGAUAAAUCGGUUGGCUUGUAGUUCCAUCCGACUUUGUCUUGUAAAGGAUCAGAAGUAUGCCUUUCCAGAACAAAACUCUGCAAAGGAAUUAUGGCAAGCACUGGAGGACAAGUUUAUGAAUAAGAGUAUAGAGAAUCGUCUCUACAUGAAGAAAAGGAUCUUCCGUUUUCAGCACAAGAAAGGUACUUCCAUGAAUGAGCAUCUGAAUGAUUUCAAUAAAAUGAUAGCUGAUUUGAAGAAUUUAGAUGUGGAAAUUGAUGAUGAAGAUAAAGCUCUGUUGUUAUUGAAUUCACUGCCUGACACAUAUGAACAUCUCGUCACCACUUUACUGNNNNNNNNNNNNNNNNNNNNNNNNNNNNNNNNNNNNNNNNNNNNNNNNNNNNNNNNNNNNNNNNNNNNNNNNNNNNNNNNNNNNNNNNNNNNNNNNNNNNAGAUUGUUCACAAGGAGUCAACGUCAGAAGCAUUGACAGUUAGAGGCAGAACAAACCCCAGAAGAUUUCGAGGACGAGGGAGAUCUCGCUCAAAAUCCAGAGGAGAAUCAUCAAACAGACGAUAUCUUGCAAAAGAUUAGUGUGCCUUUUGUCACAAAAAGGGCACUGGAAGAAAGAUUGUCCAAUCAAGGGCAGUAAGGAAAAAGAUGAACCAACUGUGAACGUUGCACGAGAUGAGGAUGAACAAGACUCUGCAUUCAUGGUCUCAUCACCAGAAAACCAUUCUGGUGAAUGGAUUCUUGAUUCUGCAUGUUCCUAUCACAUAUGCCCUAACAAGCACUUAAACUUGUCCUCCUCGUGCAUACAUACUUGUGCCUAUUUUUAGAGAAUGGGGUGUGAUCAGUCACGGUUCCUGUUAUUACUUCAGUUUCAGAACUUUUUUUUUCCUUCUCGUGCAUACAUACUUGUGCCUAUUUUUAGAGAAUGAUGGGUCAAGCCUGUUCAGGCCUCAAGUUUAAAUUGGUGUGUCCAAUCUUGUUUAUUUGAGAUGAACUGUUUCAAGCUUCUUGUGAAUUCUGGAAUAGACGGUUAUGCUUUGGUUUUAUUAAUCGUGAUGUUUGUGUUUAAUCAUGUUGUUCGUGUUUUGACAAAAUAUAAAAAAUGUUUUCUUGUGUGUUGCAUAUGUUUAAUACCCUAAUAUGUUUUUAAUGUUUUAUUUAUAUAAAAAAACAAAUAUUUGAAGUUUCAAAAAUAUGUUUUCGCAUGGAUUUCUUAAACACAACACAAAAAUUAUUUUCUUGCAUCUUGGAUUUUACAACAUGUUUGUAAAUUCCAAAGGGUGUUGGCCAAUAUUCCAAAAAUAUAAAAAUCUUAUUUUUGGGAAUUCGUUUUUAUUCACUAUUAAUAUUUGGAUAAAGAAAUCCCAAAAAGGAUAAAUAUCCAAAAUAUUAUUAUGAAUAAUUUGUUAUUCAUUAGUAAUGUUUGGAUAAAGAAAUUCCAAAGGGGUUAAUAUCCAAAAUAUUAUUAUGAAUAAUUUAUUAUUAUUCACCAUAAAUGUUUGGAUAAAGAAACCCCAAAAAGGGGUUAAUAAUCAAAAUAUUAUUGGGAAUAAUUCAUCAUUGUUCACUGAAUAUUUAGAUAAAGAAACCCCAAGUAGUAAAUAUCAAAAAUAUUUUUUUCUAGGAAUAACAAGUCAUUAUCCCUCAAUAAUAUAAGGGCAAAUAAACCUAUAAAAGGUAAAUGUCCAAAAUAUUUUUAAUAGGAAUACAACUUGUUUAGUUUUAACAUAAGGGCAGAUUUAUGCCUGAAAUUUUAUUUAGAACCAUUUAAUCGCACCUCUGAUUAGUACUUAAAAGUGCAUUUUUAUCAAGGUUUUAUAUCAUCAUUUUGCACUUGAAGUAUCAAUAACUCCUUAACUAAAGCAUGUUUUAUAAUAACAUAUCUAAUUAUAUAAGACACCUUUAAUUUAUGGUAAAUGUUCAUCUUAAAUGCAGGCCUAUCACAUAAAUGAAAGAAUUGAUUGAUGAGUUGAAAUACUGAAAUUGAAAGGACAAAGAGAUGGCCAAACUUAGAAAAGAGAUGCUAGUGCAGUCCAAACUGGAACACUGUUCGAUAAUUGGGUCAUAUCUGGAGCUGUAGAUCUUGUAUUUAGGUCCAUUUUAUAUGGAUGGAAAGAUAAGACAUAGGCCUAUAACUUUCAUGUGGAGCCCAAGAUUUAACAAGGCCGUUUUCAAGUCCAAAUUGUAGCAACAAAAAAGAAGUCUGAAUCUGUUCUACAGCCCAGACACUGUUCAGUGUUCAGCCCAUAUCUCAAGUUCUAGAAGUCCAAAUGAUCUCAAAUGUUUACCCUGGAAAGAUGAGACAAUUUCCUAGAACUUUCAUGAUUUAAGUUUGUUCAAAUUAUGACGUCAUAAAUGACGUUUUUGGCAGACAAGAAGAUAAGAAUUGUCACCAAGUCAAGAUGUGGCCACCCACUCAUCAAUUAGUCAGCAAAUCAAUAGUUCUGAAUUUUGGCCUAUAAAAUGAGGCAUUUGCCAUGUAUUUAGGCAUCUUGGUUUUCAGAUCAAGAUCAUGCUCUUGCUCUCUCUUUAUAUUUUGUAAUGCUUAAGUUUUGCUUAUAUUAAUCUCUUGCUUAUGCUUUUCAUUUCCUUUCCUUGUUUAUUUAUGUUUCUCUCUUUCAUUAUGUUUAACUAAGUUAAUUAUGUCAAGGUGAAAAGGGUACACUAAUGGUGUAAGAAUAAGUAUAAUAUAAACUUAACAUGGACCUUAAUGUUGGAUACUAACAUGCUUUAUAUUUGUUAUCUUGUUCACUUUUAACACUUUGCUUGUUAAAUGGUUAAUCUAGAUUUAUGUUGUAUAACACUUGGUACAACAAAUACUUGGCACUUUCAUAGCCCAUACUGUAUGGUAUAACCGACACCUGAGCUAUGAAAGGAACUUGAUUUGUUGUUAACAUAAGUUAUAAUAAUGAAUGCCUGAAAACAUUUACAAGUAUUAGCAUUAUUCGAAUAAGAUAACUAAUGUAAUCAUUUUAACAAUUUAUAAUCCGAUUGGAACCUCCUUUGUGUGUGGUUUCCAGUUGAGUAGAGUUUAUACUAUACUUGUUUGAAAUACCAUUAGUGGAUCCUCUAACCUUGACAUUUGUUGUUAUCAUUGUUUAAUCCUUACGUUAAUCUUCCAUCUCAAAAGUUCUCAUCAAUUUCUUCCUCUUCUUCUUCACUAUUAUUAUUAUCACUGUUAUUAUUAUUGUUGUUGUUGUUGUUGUUGUUGUUGUUGUUGUUGUUACUUUUGUUUUAUUGUUAUCUAUAAUUUAUACAAUUAACCUCCUUGUGGUUCGACCCCGGUCUUGCCGGGUUAUUUAUUACUUCGACACUUCUGCACUUGGGAGAAGACAUCAAUCUUUUGGUCGUGUCAAGUUUUUGGCGCCGUUCCCGAGGAGGUAAAUUCUUGUACAAAUUAUAGUAUUUAUUUUAUUUUACUUUUUUACUUUUCUUGUAUUUAACUUUGUUUCUUUGGUGUUGUUUCUUUUUCUUUUGUUUUCUUCUUCCUUUUAUUCUCUUUUUACACGUGCAUGAGAGUGUGGUCACGUACAUUAAGUGGUAGACUUUGUAGGGUAUCCUCAUCAUUUUCAGAAAAUAUGGCUGAAGAAGAUAACCAAUCGCUUCAUAAUGAGAAUAAUGAGAAUAUUCGGGUUAGAACUCUUAGAGACCACAUGAAUCCCACAAGAACAAGUGCACCCUCAUGCAUAGUUUUUCCUCCUGAUGCAUCUCAUUUUAAUUUUAAGACAGACAUUAUUCAACUUUUACCAUCUUUUCAUGGCUUAGAUUUAGAAAAUCCAUACUUGCAUUUAAGGGAAUUUGAGGAGGUUUGCAACACGUAUAAUGACUCAAAUUGUAGCAUGAACACCAUUAGAUUGAAGCUUUUUCCUUUUUCAUUAAAAGAUAAAGCUAAAACAUGGCUACAAAAUUUGAGACCUGGAUCCAUUCGUGCUUGGGAUGAAAUGCAACAACAAUUUUUUAAGAAGUUUUUUCCAUCCCACAGAACAAACUCUUUCAAAAGACAAAUCAUUACUUUCUCUCAAAAACCAAGAGAAACAUUUUACCAAUGUUGGGAUAGGUAUCGAGAAUUGCUUAAUACUUGCCCCCAUCACGGUUUUGAAACAUGGAGAUUAGUUUCACAUUUUUAUGAAGGGUUAACUCCUAGAGAUAGGCAAAUGGUUGAAUUGAUGUGCAAUGGAACUUUUGAGGAUAAAGACCCUAAUGAAGCAAUGGAGUACUUAGAUUUGCUAGCUGAAAAUGCACAAAAUUGGGACACCACAGGUACUUAUGAGGCACCAAGUAAAACCCAACCUCAUACAUCUAGUGGGGGUAUGUACAACCUUAGGGAAGAUCAUGACCUCCAAGCCAAGUUUGCAUCUUUAGCUAAAAAAGUCGAAGCGCUAGAAUUGAAAAAGAGUGGUCAAUUAAAAUCUGUUCAAGACAUUGCAUGUCAAAUCUGUGAAACCAACGAACAUUCAACCAAUGACUGUCCAACCUUGCCUUCUUUUAAAGAAUGUCUCCAUGAACAAGCCCAUGCAUUAAACAGUUUUCAACGGCCCAACCAUAACCCAUAUUCGCAAACAUAUAACCCUGGUUGGAGAAAUCAUCCAAAUUUCAGUUGGAAGAGUGAGAACAAUAAUGCUCAAACUUCACAGCCACCGUUUCAAGCACAUCAUAAUUUCCAAAAUUCUCAUAGAUAUGCACCUCCUUAUGCUCCACCUCCUAGAAGAAAUCUUGAGGAAACAUUGCAUGCAUUUAUGGAAAAGCAAGAGGCAAUUAACACUCAACUUGCUCAAAGCAUGACAGAUUUUAAAGAUACUCUGGCAAAAUUGACAUCUGCUCUCAGUUUCCAAGAGAAAGGUAAGUUUCCAUCUCAACCACAACAAAAUCCAAAGGGGCAAUACAAUGUGAAUGCAAGUAGUUCGGGAAGCCAACACAUGGAUCACGUAAAAUCAGUCAUCACUCUUCGCAGUGGUAAGGUUAUUAAAAAACCCAUUCUUGAACCUUGUGAGAAUGAUGAUGAGUCAAUCUCUCUGAGGGUAAGGAAGGGGUUGAAUCUGAUCAUUGCAAAGAAAAGACUGAUUCUCCGCCAGCACUUCCAUUUCCUCAUGCCAUGACGAAACAAAGGAAAGUCAAUCACAACUCUGAAAUUUUUGAAACCUUCAAACAGGUAAGGAUCAAUAUACCUUUGCUGGAUGCUAUUAAACAGGUUCCUUCUUAUGCUAAAUUUUUGAAAGAUCUGUGCACUGUGAAGAGAAAACUGAAUGUGAAAAAGAAAGCCUUUUUAGCCGAACAAGUAAGUGCCAUUCUUCAGAACAAUAAUGCAUUGAAAUAUAAAGACCCUGGUUGUCCUACAAUUUCAUGCUUUAUUGGAGAACAUAAAAUUGAAAGAGCUUUACUUGAUCUUGGAGCUAGUGUGAAUUUACUUCCAUAUUCAGUUUUUCAAAGUCUCAAUCUAGGUGAGUUAAACCAACUUCUAUAACUCUUUUACUUGCCGAUAGAUCUGUAAAAGUGCCUAGAGGAAUAGUUGAAGAUGUGUUAGUACAAGUUGAUAAAUUCAUUUAUCCUGUGGAUUUUAUUGUCUUGGACACACAACCUAUUGAAGCAUGUAAUUCAUUUCCUGUUAUUUUAGGGCGUCCAUUUCUUGCAACUUCUAAUGCAUUGAUUAAUUGUAGGAAUGGACUGAUGAAGCUAUCAUUUGGGAACAUGACAUUAGAGAUGAAUAUUUUCAACAUUUGCAAGCAACCUCGAGAUGAUAAUGAUUUACAAGAAGUAGAUUUUAUUGAAGAAUUGGUUUAUGAUCAAUUUGAAUCUACUUUGAGUAAUACUGAGUUUGAUGAAUUUGAAGAUUUGCAAAUGACUUAUUCUCAGGAAGAAAUCACGGAUGAAAAAGGCAUUGAAAAUGUUGAUGCGAAUCUUUUGUCAAGAGUGACAACAGAUUCGAUAUCUGACAUCACACCAACCGAUGAUUACUUUCCUGACAAAUCCUUACUUUCUCUUAGUUCAAUGCCUUGGUUUCCUAAAAAUAUCAAUUUCCUUGCCUCAGGAGAUUUGCCAACUCAUUGGAGUACCGAAGACAAAGGUAAGUUUUUGAACGAAGUGAAGAAAUUUUAUUGGGAUGACCCUAACUUAUUCAAACAUUGUCCUGAUCAAAUAUUUCAAAUAUGCAUUGCGGACAAUGAGGUAAGUAGUGUCAUUAAAUUUUGUCAUUUUGAAGCAUGUGGGAGUCAUUUCUCGUCAAAAAAGGCCAUUGCAAAAAUCUUUCAAACUGGAUUUUAUUGGCCCACCAUGUUCAAGGACACACAUGCAUUCUGCAAAACUUGUGAAAAUUGUCAAAAAGUUGAUACUGGUCAAAAAGUUUUGCUUUAUAAUUCUCAACUCCAUUUAUUUCCUGGAAAGUUAAGAUCAAGAUGGAGCGGUCCAUUUAUUGAGAAACAUGUGUAUCCUUAUGGGGUCUGUGAUAUCGCGAAUCCAAAAAAUAGCAAUGUUUUCAAGGUAAAUGGACAUCGUUUGAAAGUCUACUUUGAUAAUUUUUCAGUUGAAAAUGACUCUAUUGAAUUGAGUGAUCCUGUAUAUAAAGAUUGAUUCGUUUUAUCACAUUGUUUUGUGUUUCAUUUUGCUAGUUUCUCUCACCCCGGUCAAAAGGCGGAUAACGGUACUCCGUGACUUAAGUCGGUUCUUUCAGUUUCUCAUAAUAACUGAUAUUUGUAUAUAUUUGUGCAAUUCUUUGCUCUUUCUCCAUUCUUUGACUCUGUUCUCCAAUUCUCAUUUGAAAAUGGACACCACUCUUGAAAAAUUGAAAAAGUAUUUUCCCGCUCUGCCUCAGAAUGCGAUUACAAAAAUUUACCGUGCUAGGUGUGCAAGAUUGAAGUUGUUGAUGAAUCAUGGAAUUCCUGAAGAUAUUCGCUGGCUGAUUGAAGCAAAGGUCCGAUUAUUAGGUGAGUCCUCCAAUUCUUUCAUUUCACACAUGCCUGGAACAGGUAAAAGCACUUUUGCAAAGAAACGUCGUGCAAAACGACUGAAAGUCUGUCACAAAUGUGCCAGAUGGACUUGCAAUGCAACAUGUCGUUCUUUAGGAAUGGUAUCUAUAAACCGUGAAGAUAAAAUACAAUUCAUUAAGGAUGGCCUGAGUAAGGGGUCUUUAGAUAAUCUUUUGUUGACCCUUGAGACGCAUCCUAGUGGAGAUGUGCAUCGUGCAAUUCAUGAUUUAUAGCCCCAUUUUCAUAAAGAACAUGAUAGACUCAGUCUUGGGAAUCUGACUAAAAAAGACCUUGUUUGCCACUUUUUAAGAAAACUGGAUGGGAAGCCUCUCCCCGACCCAUAGAGGGCGUUUAAGCCGUUCUUGGACAUAAAACCAAGGGAAGAUGUGAGCCACAAUCACAACUACCUGUACAUACACAUUCUUUUUCAAAAUAAAUAAAUAAAAUAUAAAGAGAGAGCAAGAGCAUGAUCUUGAUCUGAAAACCAAGAUGCCUAAAUACAUGGCAAAUGCCUCCUUUUAUAGGCCAAAAUUCGGAACUAUUGAUUUGCGGACUAAUUGAUGAGUGGGUGGCCACAUCUUGACUUGGUGACAAUUCUUAUCUUCUAGUCUGCCAAAAACGUCAUUGAUGACGUCAUAAUUUGAACAAACUUAAAUCAUGAAAGUUCUAGGAAAUUGUCUCAUCUUUCCAGGGUAAACAUUUGAGAUCAUUUGGACUUCUAGAACUUGAGAUAUGGGCUGAACACUGAACAGUGUCUGGGCUGCAGGACAGAUUCGGACUUCUUCUUUGUUGCUACAAUUUGGACUUGAAAACGGCCUUUUUAAAUCUUGGGCUCCACAUGAAAGUUGUAGACCUAUGUCUUAUCUUUCCAUCCAUAUAAAAUGGACCUAAAUACAAGAUCUACAGCUCCAGAUAUGACCCAAUUACCGAACAGUGUUCCAGUUUGGACUGCACCAGCAUCUCUUUUCUAAGUUUGGCCAUCUCUUUGUCCUUUCAAUUUCAGUAUUUCAACUCAUCAAUCAAUUCUUUCAUUUAUGUGAUAGGCCUGCAUUUAAGAUGAACAUUUACCAUAAAUUAAAGGUAUCUUAUAUAAUUAGAUAUGUUAUUAUAAAACAUGCUUUAGUUAAGGAGUUAUUGAUACUUCAAGUGCAAAAUGAUGAUAUAAAACCUUGAUAAAAAUGCACUUUUAAGUACUAAUCAACCUCCUUGGAAGAAGCCUCAAUUAUAAUUAGGGACAUUUCAAAUUUUGAUUCCACAAUUUAUGACCCAUGGAAAAUAUUAAUUGCUAAGGCAAAAAUGGGCUUUUAAAGUACCUUGAAUUUCCUUAGAUUUUGAACUUAGUUUUUUUUCUCUUCCUUGCGAUUUAUGAGUUGCGAACACUUGAAAUAUUAAGGGGAAAAUGAGCUCUUAAGCACAUCGAAUCUCCUUAGAUUUCUAUAUUAGCUGUCUCUAAAUUCAUAAAUUCUGAAUUUAUUUCAAAUCAAACAUAGACUUCGAGAGAUCUACCUCUUUGGCACUCUACAAACAUAUCUAAAGGUAUGAUCCGUAUUGGCCAAGGGUUCUUUCCCUUCGACUUUGAACCCAAGUUCGUCGUCAAAACAGACUUAUCCUAGGAAACUGAUGGGAUUAGAGAACAUCAACACCAUAGCAAUUAUAGGGCAAACCAAACACCAAGCAGCUUAUCUUAGGUAGGGCGUACUAGGGGUGCUAAAACUUUUCCUUUACGCAACCAGUCUCUUGCCUUAGAAUCUUUGAAAGACCAGUUAGGUUUCCUAGUGACCAUAAUACUAGGUGACGACUCCCUUUUUUUACAAAACAAAGACCCCAACAUUAAUCCCUGCUAUCAGGAAGGGUCGCCUCAACAUCGAGCUCUCUUGAGGGUACGACAAUAAUAAUCAUAAUGUUGAUUCUUUUAUCUCCUACUUAAUGCAAGUGUCCAUCGUGUGCUGAAAUUGAUUGUUUACCAUAACAUUUCUUUUAAAGGUAGAGAUUUCUUGGUUGACAAUGGAAAAAAGUAAUCGCAUGGUUAUUUUCCAUAACAUUCCUUUGAGUAAAUAUUCUCUAUUGGAGGUCAAUUUCAUCGAAGCAAUUACCUCAAUGAACACGUCCUAAUUACCAACCUCUAAGUAGUCAUCUCCCUUAUCCUAACUUUUUAUUUCCUUAUAAAAUCUCACGGUUUUUCAUCAUUUUCAGAGGAAAAGUUGACCUUGCAAAUGGUGCUCUAAGGAACCAAGUCAUCCUAGAACUAAUCAUCCACCUAAUCUCGUCAACUCCUUGUUGCACAAACAGCCUGUCUCACUUAAAGGGGAUUUUAAUGAUGAACAAACACAAAUUCCUUGUUGCUCAAAUACAUAUGCUCAUUUAAACACAGGAUGCUUGACCUCAUUAAAGACAAACUGACGACAUCCGUCCGUAACAUAAAUUAUCUUCCUUGCCCCAAAGUCAGCACAGAAAAACCUUGUUCACUAUAAAGGUUCUGAAUGUUUUUCCUAAAUUUCAUGAUAUGGCAUUCAGCAUUCUUAAGCAAACUACAACUGCAGAAGGCUUGUACAUGUAGGGGAGACGUAGGAAGAACUGCAAAAGUUGUCGCAUCUAUUGUUAUGCUGUUCAGAGUUUCUAUCUCAUCAUCCAAUCUGCCUAAAAUAUAAAAGAUCAUGUGCAUGAAUUUGAUCUCAAAGGGGUACCACCUCAUAUGCGUACAGGACAUACAUGACCAGUGAUGGUUGUUCUAUCCACAAAAUUAGCUAACAUACGACUAUUUUAUUCAACUACCAUUUCAGGAUAUGAGUUCUCCUAGCCACACUCAAAAGCCCUAGCCGCUAUAUGAACAAAGCACCUAAAAAAUUAAUCACCUGCCUAAUCUAAUUCACCCACACACACACACACACCCACCUGAUCAUAGACAGGAAACGAGUUAUUUGAAUGCAUAGACAGGAAAUUCAGGUAAACACGCGCGCGCGCACACACACACCUGAUCAUAAAUUUCCUAAAGAAAUUCUGAAUUGUAACAUUGGUAAACAAAGUGUGACAAUAUCAUCACAUUAAAAAUGCAUUUCACUCAAAACAAAUACUAGCUCAAGAAAAAAAAAUGCAAGAAGCCAAGAGAGAAUAAAUUAAGCAGUCCAUAAACAAGAGACAGAGAGGCAUUGUUCCAAUGAGAAAAGUAAUUAAAACCCAACAACUAAAGAAAGAAUCAAACCAGUGAGUAACUAAUCCUUUUAAAGCAUUCCAAGAAUGGCAACCAAAUGUAACAUAAUCAACCUGCAAAAACAAACACAAAAAGAAUUAGAAGAAGAAACCCCAGACCUCCACCACCAAAUCCACCUCCACCAAAUCCACCUCCACCACCAAGCCCGCCACCUCAUUCAUCCUCAAAAGAACCCUUUCUAGAACCGGAUUCUGUAACGCAUUGUCUUCAUUCUGACAGGAGGGGAUAUCAGUCACAAUUUGGAAAUCUAAUAGUUUGAAGGUUUCUGAAAACCGUCCUCAGACCUGUCAGCGUCGCUGGCCAAUUUCUCAUUCUUCCACCGUUGGAUUAACACGAAUUUUGGGUAAGUUGUGUGUCACUAUAGUUCCCACAUCCUGACCAGAGCGAUCGUUCAUAUUUGAAUCCACUAGAUAAAUCUUACCGUUUGAAGAUUUCUGGGCAAAUCACUCUCGGAACAGUCAGAAUCGCCGGCUUAUUUCUUCUUUUUCUACCGUUGGAUCCAUCUGAAUUUUGGAUAUGUGAUGCGUAUGGUCGUAUUACACAUUCGGAACGGUGGAGAUGACAUGAAUCGUUUCCAGAAAAGAGUUAUGCACGCUCAACAGUGGUCCAUCAAUCUCAGGUCAGUUUUGGUCUAACUCCGAUCUAGGGAGAUCCAACCGUUAACUGGAGCUGAUAUUUGGAUAUGUUCUGCAUAAGAUGUGUUUUUACCUUGUCACCGUUGCGAUUUGUUAUUUGUUGAAUUGUUGGUGAGUAAUUGUUGUUUGAAGCUCUGCACAGAAUCUAUCAUGGCUUCCAAUCCGAAACUUCAAACCCUCAAAGCUAACACCACCCACUCAAUCACUAAACAACCCACAAACCAUCACCAAAACAUCCAAAAUACAGCCUCCUCAACGUAGGUUAGGUUUCUAAAAUCCCACGAAUCAACAAACAAUCAAAAAUCCCUUUCCAAUAGUCACCUCCGCCUUGACUCAAGACAACAACCACCCCCUAAACACAUUCACAAUAUUCCUAGCCCAAAAACCCAGAAUAACCAUUCCUUUAACAUUUCAGUGCCACAAAUUUACUUUGAAGGUUUCCCAAUAUGGGCUGAUUACCAUCGCAUAAAGGCUUCUUUUAACAAGUUUGGCUAUGUACUCAAACUUUAUGUAUCCAGGCGUGUCAACAAAUCAGGGAGUCUUUUUGGUUUUGUAACAAUAGCAUCAAAAUUUUCUGAUAAAGUUUUGCUAGAGAGUGUGAAUGAUAUUUGGUUUGAAUAUCACAGACUAAAGGCCAAUUUCACUAGACACUAUAAAAAGAUUCCAAGAGAGAACAAAGCUCCUGACAGAUCAAAACCCAAAACAACUUUAAGAGUGCCUAUUAGUGAAAGAGAUGACAGAAGUUACAAAGAGGUACUCAGUGAAGGAAAAGUGGAACAAAUACUUCUGCCUGUGGCUUCUGGACCAAAGGAUUACUUUGAAAAACUCUUCAUUGAUAUUGAAGAAGAGGAUUAUGCUUGGCUAAAGAGAUGUCUUCUGGGAAAAAUAAAAAAAGGAUCCAAUUACUCUUCUAUACGUUUUGGACUGAUCCAACAUGAUAUAGAUUUUGUUGGACUGCGCUUUCUUGGGGCAUCUCAGGUCCUUGUGAUUUUUUAUAAUAGAGACAUAUUAAUGGAAUCAUGGAGGAAGAAUAAUAAAUGUUGGGAUGUAUUUUUUGAGGAAGUUCGCCCCUGGGUUGAGACUGACACAACUUUGAAUCGGAUGGCCUGGAUAACAAUAACAAAUCUACCCAUUAUAGGGUGGAAUUGCAGAUGCCUCACAAAGAUUUUAGAAAGAUCUGGUCAGAUGAUAGGUUAUGAUAAAACUACUCUCAAGCUUUUUGAACUAUCACAGUUACGGAUCCUCAUUGGUACACAACUGGAUAAGGUGAAUAAGGUGAUUGUUUUGCAACUCAAUAAUCAAACAUAUCAGGUUAAGAUAGAGGAGAUGGACCAGUUACAUUACCCAAUUGCUGGCUCUAUUUCAUACACCAUGGAUGACUUUCUGACAUCCCUAGAGCAAGGGGAUGAUGAUGAUGAGGAAGACUCGGUUGAUGUGGGUGAUGGCGUAGACACAGAUGAGGACAGAGCAGGUGUGGCUCCAUCAGUCACCAGGACUCUUGGGGGCGGCACCAACGGGUGGGAAAAUUCAGAUCUGGCACAGGAUGGAGACAUGCUAUCAACUUCUGACGAUAGCUCUCUUAUCAUAUUUAAUGCUCUUCAUCUGGAUGUGGUGCAAGAUCAACAUGCUGCCUCAUCUUUAGAGAGAUUUCCAGAAAUUAUGGCAUACAAUCUUUCUUUUUCUGACAGCAGCUAUAUAAAAGCAGCCCCAUUCCCAAUGCUCUUACCCUAUAUACGGGACAUGGCACUCCUAUUUUGAGAGAAGAUGCUAGAAACCCUGCAGCUGCCUUGGACCUUGACUCCCUUGUAUUGGCCCAGAUUGAAAGCCCAGUUUAUGGCAGUGGAUCUCAAAGCCCAUCUGACGUUCUCUCUAUUUCAUUUGGAUCAAACAAUGAUUUAGCCCUUCAAUCAACAUACAAUCAUCAAGCCAUAGUAAUUCUGGAACCGCAACACAUGAAUCACCCAGUUAUUUUACACUCUAAUGCAAACACAAAAGAGAGUGCAAUUGCCCUAUCUGCAAAAACAAGAAGGAAGUUGCGACGUACAAAGAUGAUUACAGCUGAUGGAAGUUUGAAUGAAACAGUUAAUAUGAGUGAGAUGGAUACUAAGGACUCAACAAUACAGAGGUGUAACAGGAGGAACUUGCUAGCUCAUGACGAAAACAAUAAGCCUUCUGAGGGUGAUGAGGUUUGUUUAAUGCUGGAAAUAGGAGAGGUUUUGCAGAUUGAAAAACCUCACAAUUUAGAUGACUUCACAUCCUAUAUAAAUCAGCAAAGGCGUAAAGAGAAGGCUGAUUGGGAAGCAUCCCAGUGAGUAGAUGUUCCUCUUUGUUCUGUAAGGAUUUUAAAUCUCUUUUCUUAUGCAGAUUCUUUCAUGGAAUUCUUGUGGUUUGGGGUUAGCUAGAAAGAAGAGGACAGUUUCAAAGUUAAUCAGGGAUUUUGAUAUAGAGGUUUGUUUUUUGUUUGAAACUAAGUUACAAAGUUACUCAGACAAAUUGGUUUUUCAAUUAUGGAGCGUCAGUAAUGUUUCUUGGUUUGGUAAUGAGGCUGAAGGUACUAAAGGGGGCAUUCUGGCUAUGUGGGAUAACUCUAAGUUUGCGGUAUCAUCAGUGGAGUAUGGUCAUGGUUGGAUCGGGUUAUUUGGGCAGAAUGUCUUGACAGGCUUCUCAAGGGCGGUGGUAGGUGUUUAUGCCCUUUGCAAUCAAGCUGACAGACUUCUUCUUUGGAAGGACCUUCGUAUUCUGAAGGCUGCUUUUGAGUGUCCUUGGUUUUUAGCAGGUGACUUCAAUGAAACUAUGUUGCGAAGUGACAGAAGCAGUGGCUUCAUUAACAAGGUGGGUUCAACGGCUUUUAGACUUUUUAUUGAUGAUUGCAACCUAAUCGAGUACAACAUGUCAGAGGGUCUGUACACCUGGUUUCGUGGGGGGUCCAUGAGUAAACUAGACCGUAUUUUUUCUAGUCCUUGUUGUCAUUUGCAAUUCCCCCUUUUGUCUCUUCGACGGCUUCCAAGAGGGUUCUCUGAUCAUUGCCCUUUAAUCCUAGGGGUUUCACCUGCAGAAAAAGGUUGGAUUCCUUUCAAAUUCAUGGAUUGUUGGCUCCAUCAUCCAAAUUUUAAAGAUAUCGUAAAGGGUAUAUGGGAUGAAGCUUGCAAUGAAUUUUCAGGUCAGUUCAAGCUCAUUAAGAAGCUCAGCUUUAUGGCAACUUGGCUCAGACAGUGGAAUAGGGUUGGUUUUGGGCAUCAGGAGACUGCUUUGUCAUUGAUCCAAAGCAAUAUUUCAGCUAUAGAAAAGAAAUCAGAGUAUGGGCAAUUAUCUACUGCAUAGCAGAACUCGCUUGAUUCAUUGAUUAAGAAGUAGUGGCAAUGUAACUUGCAUAUAGAAAGCAUGUGGCGUCAAAAGUCUCGCCAAAUUUGGUGUCGCCUGGGCGAUCGCAACACGCGUUUCUUCCAUCUAGUUGCUAACUUCAGGAGGGCUAAAAACCAUCUCCUGAAAGUGGUUCAUAAUGGUUCUGUUGUUGAAGGUUUACCGGUCAUAAAAGAUGCGGCAGUUAACUUCUUCUCCAACUUAUUCAGAAGUUUUGAUAGAUUCCGAAUUGGUUUAGGGCCUGUUGGUUUUAAAACACUAUCGGCUUCUUCUUCAGCUAGCUUGGAGCGAGAUAUCACUUUGGAAGAAUUAAAGCAGAGUGUUUGGGAUUUUGAUGGGAGCAAGAGUCCGGGUCCAGAUGGUUUCAAUUUCAAAUUCUACAGGCUUGCUUGGAAUUUCAUUGCAGAUGAUUUGUUAGACCUGGCCAAGAAUUUCUUCAAAACAGGUAGGCUUCCAAAAGGAGUCAAUCAUGCUUAUGUUCAUCUAAUUCCGAAGAUAGCUUCCCCAAUUGGCUUCAAAGAUUUCAGGCCUCUUAGUUUGAUUCAUGGCAUUUACAAGAUAAUGGCUAAGGUUCUUUCUAGCCGUCUGAAAGCGGUUAUGCAUGACCUUAUCAGUGAGAAUCAAACAGCUUUCUUGGCAGGGAGGCAAAUAAUUGAUGGGUUUGUGGUUGCCAAUGAAGCAGUUCAUUCCUUGAAAAGACACAGAGUGUCGAGCCUUAUCUUUAAGGUGGAUUUUCACAAGGCUUUCGAUAGUGUGCAGUGGGAUUAUUUAGAGCAGGUUAUGAGGCAUAUGGGUUUUGGUGAAAAAUGGAUUAAUUGGAUCAACACUUGCAUCUCCACUGCAAAAUUAUCAGUGCUGAUUAAUGGAUCUCCUUCUAAGGAAUUCUUGAUGGGUCGUGGGAUUCGCCAAGGUGACCCCCUUUCUCCAUUCCUUUUUCUAAUAGCAGCAGAGGGAUUAUCUGUUUUGUUUCAAAGAGCAGCUUCAAAUGAUCUUUUCAAAGGUAUCCCUUUUGGAGACAGCUUUUGCCUUAGUCACCUACAAUAUGCAGACGACACUUUGAUCUUCAUGCCUGCUAAUCUUCAUAUGGUCAAAACGGUUAAAAGGAUCCUGUUAUGGUUCGCUAUUUGUUCAGGUUUGCACAUUAACUUCCAUAAAAGCUCUUUAAUUGGCAUAAAUGUUGGGGAAGAUACUUGUGCUAGUAUGACAUAUUCAGUCUUUUGCAGAUUUGAUUCCUUGCCUUGCUCUUAUCUAGGCAUGCCUUUAGGAUCCAAUCCUAAAAGAUUGUCUACAUGGAAGCCUAUUAUUGAGAAUUUCAGACGGAAGUUGAGCAUGUGGAGAGGUCGUAUGCUUAGUAUGGCAGGACGUAUUUGCCUAAUCAAAAGUGUCUUGAGUUCAUUGCCAGUAUAUUAUAUGUCUUCUUUUCUUAUGCCGAAAGGUGUCUGUAAUAUACUACCAUCUAUUCAACGAAGAUUCUUGGGUCUGAGUGGCGAAGCAAAAGAAAAUCUGCAAGGUACAAUGGCGUAUUGUUGUGAAAGCUAGAAAAGAAGGAGGCCUCGGGUUGGGUUCUUUAAUGUCAAAAAAUAUAUCCAUGCUUUUCAAAUGGAUAUGGAGGCUAAACUUACCAGACCAUGCCUUAUGGAAACAGGUAACAACCCAUUUUUACUCCCCAACUUUCGAGAAUGGAAUCCCAAAAUUGCAUGGUCAUAUUUCCCCAUUUUGGAAAGACAUUUUGUCAAUCUUGGAUCCAAACAGUGUCAUCGGCUUAGUAUUGCGUGAAAACAUUAAAUUCAAGAUUGGAGAUGGAUCCUCCAUCCUUUUCUGGUCUGACGUGUGGAUAGGAUCAAAUGCUUUACGUUGCAUUUUCCCUAAGCUUUACCAAAUUUCUACUUUUCGGAAUGGUUUGGUUAAUGAGAUGGGUCAAUGGGUGAAUGAUCAAUGGCGAUGGAAUUUGGUUUGGCGUAGGAAGCUCUUAUCUUAUAAAGAGCAACAAUAUCAUCAUUUGCUCUCAAUGCUGGAGCCAACGAUAAUUCGGCAAGGAAAAGAUGACAAACUUAUAUGGCCAUGCAAUUCUGAUGGAAGCUUCUCAGUUAAAUCGUGUUGCACCCUGAUUGACAAUACCUCCUCUGCGACUGAUAGAGUCUUUGAAGCCAAUGUUUGGAUUAAAGGGGCCCCUCUGAAAGUUCAGGUGUUUCUCUGGUUGGCAGUACAAGACAAAGUUAGUACAAGAGCUUUUCUCCAUCAACGGACUAUUUUGUCUGCCACACAAGCUUCAUGUGUCUUUUGCAGCUCAAAUUUGGAAACCUCAGAGCAUCUUUUUAUACAUUGUAACUUUUCUAUGAGUGUUUGGAUGAAAGUUUUGGAUUGGUGGGGUAUCCAAUGUUGUUUACCGAGAACACUUGACUUGCUGCUUCUGCAGUGGCCCGAAAUGGUACAAGGCAAAUUCCAAAGAUCAGCUUGGAGAUUAAUUUCAAGUAGUACUAUUUGGGGUAUAUGGUUACUGAGGAACAAAAUUGUUUUUGAGGAGGGAACUAUAAACUUGUUUGAUUGUUUCUCCACCAUCCUUCAUCGGGUUGCUAUUUGGUUGCAUACUCAUGAUUCAAACUUCAAUUAUACAGGCAAUGACCUCUUAAGAUCUUCUGAUGGCAUCAAAUUAUGGUGUAAUAAGAAAUCUUAGGUAGUCUUCUUGUUGUUUGCUGUAGUAGAUCAGUUUUUUUCUUUUUUCUUUUUUUCUUUUUUAUAUCCCUUGUAUUUCUCUUUGGCUAUUCGCUUUAUGGCCUUCUCAAUAUACUCUCGAUGAUUAUAAAAAAAAAGAAGAAGAAACCCCAUUAGUUAAUAAGUUAAAACAGCAGCAGCAGCAAAAAGACUCAAAUUUUAGUUAUUUGGACUUGAGAAAAAGCAUUGAACCCUCUGUGAAAAUGCCAUGAAAGGGGUGCUUAGAAACCUGGAAAAUAAAAACUUUUAAAAGGGUGUUUUUACAAAGCAAGAAAGAAGCUUGGAAGCAAGGAAGCAAGCCAGCCUACCCUCACGAACUCUGUUUGUUAAUUGUUUUUUCUCCUUUAAAGUGAAAACAAAAAAAUAAAAAACAAAAACAAAGAGCACCCAGAAAAUCUAGUCAGAAAUAUUUUAUGUUGCUGUCUUGGAGAGACGCAUUAUAUUACAUAACAAAAUGAUAAAUUCAUUCAUUACAAAAAGAUACCCAACAAAAUAUAAGAAAACUAAUCUACUGUUCAACCCGAUAGGGGGAUGUACCUGAAAAUUGAUUUAAUACAAUAAUUCAAUUAGACAGAUGAAAAAAAGAUAUCCAUAAAAUUCUUUCUACUUUCUUUCUUUCUUCCUUUUUUUUUUUUUUGAAAAUUUAGUCAAAAGAUCAUUAAAUUAACUUGCUCAUCUAGUAUUGUAUAUAUAUAUCAAUUAAAUUUCAGAAUAAUCUAUGAGUUUGUUUUCUUUUUCUUUUUUCUUUUUUAAUAUCAACCAAAAAUAUAAUUAUUUCUAUCGCUCAAUUAACCCGGCAUUACUUUCACUAAUAGAUGAUUAAUUUUCCACCAGUCCAUUCAACAAACACUAUUGUCAUCAAUUCAAAAAUUAGUUUAAUGUUUCAUCCAUUCAUCAGGUAAAAAUCUCAUUAACCAGGGAAAUUAAUUCUUCAUCUUGCCCAUUUGUCAAGGCACUAAUUCCAUUAAAUCAGGAAUUAGUUCAAUGAUUUACCUAUUCACCAGGUUACUAAUCCCAUUAACCAGAGACUUAAUUCCUCAUCAUGCCUAUUCACCAGGACAUUAAUCCCAUUAAUUCAGGAAUUAGUUCAACGAUUUGCCCAUUCACCAGGGCAUCAUAAUUUCUUAUCACGCCCAUUCACCAGGGCAUUAAUUUCUUAUCACGCCCAUUCACUAGGGCAUUAAUCCCAUUAGUUCAAGAAUUAAUUCAUCACAUCGCAUAUCUUAUUUUCUAAAGUAAACAAUAUAAUAAUUUCAUAUUUAUCAACCACAAUUAAUCAAAUAAAAAUACAUAUUGACCAAUAAUAAAUUCGAGUACCGUGUAAUUACCUGAUGACUAAGCUCGAGUUGAAAUUUCCUGCUGUGGUGUCGGCCUGGCAGCCUCUCUUGAAUUGAAAAGUAUAUCACAUCAUUAUUCUACUUUCCAUAUUGAAACACUCAAUAAAUAAAAUCAUUCCAAUUAUCCUUUUAUUUGCCAAAAUAAAAUCAUUUCGUAAGUUUCCUUCCCUAUCUUUCAAUUUCCACAUUGUAACACAAUUCAUUUUAUCAUUCAAAUCAAUAUAUAUANNNNNNNNNNNNNNNNNNNNNNNNNNNNNNNNNNNNNNNNNNNNNNNNNNNNNNNNNNNNNNNNNNNNNNNNNNNNNNNNNNNNNNNNNNNNNNNNNNNNCUUUAAAUUCAUUUAUUUAAUUUUUACCAUAAUUUAAAUCAAAGAAAAACAUAAAACAAUUUCAUGAUCUAUUCACUCUUUAACAUUAAUAUCAUGCUCUUUCUUACACAAUCUCAUCAUCUUAUCAAAACUCUUAAAUUUUUAUUUUUCUUAUUAUUAUUUUUCCAAAAAUCCCUUCUUCAAGAACACCUAAAAUUUUGCUUUAAUUACCAUAAUUUCUUACUUUUUCUACUCAUUUCAAUAAUCUUAACACAAUUUCACAAUCAAUUGUAAUUUUCUCUAAAAUUUAUCAUGAACCCUAAUUCCUCAUUUCACAAAGUUCAAUCAAUUUAAAGCAUAAAUUCUUCAAGAAUCUUAUUUAAAAGUUUGAGUACAUCUUACCAAGCAAUAACCAAAGUUUUAACACUUUUAAAUUGAGAAAUUUUCCUUGCUUGAAUUUGUUUUUUCUCUCCUGGCCGAUUGCUUCCUUCUCUUUGAAAAAACAAGUUUGUUUUUUUUUUUUUUUUGUUUACUUAUAGCACACACUCACUUGCACUCAUAUAUAUAUAUAUAUAUAUAUAUAUAUAUAUAUAUAUAUAUAUUAACUCUCUUUUUUAAAUACCUUCCACGUCCCUCAAUUUGUUUCUUCCCCAUACACACAUAUAAUUACUUAACUUUUUAAAAAUACCUUCUAUAUUCCUCAAUAGUAAAUUUUAUGAUUUUUGGGUAAAAUUUCAUGAAUCCUAACACCUGUUUAUACCAAAUUUUAUCCAGAUUAUUUCAAAUUUCACUCAGUUACUCGUUAGUACUUUCAGUUUCAUGAAAUUCAUUUCCAUCAAAAUUUUAUUCACAUUUUCAUGUUUAUUUAUUUAUAUUUAUUUUUUAUAUAUAUUUUAACACCCGAACAAAACAUUUCAAUUCAGAUUCUCGAAUAUAUCAUCAUUCUUAUAAUUUAAUUUAUCACUUUCCCUCAUUUUUCGUAAUCUUGACUUUUAUUAAUAUUAAUAAUAUUACCCGGGGUUUUACAGUCUCAGUUGACACUGAUUUUCGCCAUAAAAAAUGGUCGAUUUUUGUUUUAAUGAGUUUCAUUUGAUGAAGAGAGUUCCAUUGAAAUGUUUUUUGCUCUUGAAAUUGCCAAAACAUUUAUAGUUUUUGGGCUGUUUUAUUGGUUUAUUACAUCAUAAAAACGAUUUUUAGGUGUUUUGGUGUGAACUUUGUUUAAAUUUGCAUUUUUUGGUCAAAAACCACCAUGCUUAAUUUUCUAGUCACCUCUCCAAUGGCCAAGAACUGAAAAGUCUCGGUAGGUGACAUGUCGCUUUUCUUUAUUUUUUUUUCAAAAACAUUUGGAGGAUUUUCAAAUAAAAAAGGCCCAUACGUACCAACCCUUUUUAAAAUGGGCUUGAUGUGUAGGCCCGACUUACUAGGCCCAAAAGCACUUGAUCUAUUUCUAUUUUUUUUUCUAAUUUUGUUUUCUUAAUUGAUAUUUUUUAUGUAUUUUUAAUGAAUUUUUGAAUUUAUAUUUAAAUUAAUACUUUUCUCUCUAAAUAUUUAGAUUGUUUAUUUAGUUUUUUCUAAAUAAUGGAUAUCUUUUACUUAUCUUUUAUGUAUUUAAUAUCUAGAAAAAAUUAUUUCAAUUCAUCUAUAUGUUUUUUUAUAUAUUUUAUAUAAAUAAACUUUAUUUUCAUGACGUGUUUAUAAAAAUAAGAAUUAUUUGUUCUUGGUAAGAAAAAGUGACCUUUAAGAUAAAAAAGAAGAAGAAGGAGAAAAGUGUGCAUGAAGAUGAAAGUUAAGGUUAAGUAUCAUAUUUAUGUAUCUUUUACUUUUAUGAAAAUGAUUAUCAUUUUAUUUUAUAAUUUGAUUGGCAUUAACAACUCUUUAUUAGUUUAUUAGUUCAUAUUUUUGUAAGAUUGUUUUUUACAUUUCUUAAUUAAGAGAAUCAUAAUACAAUGAAAUGCACUUGAAACAAUGUCCCAUUUUUCUACUACAUUAAAAAUUAACUUAAGAUCCUAUAUGUGGCACGAUGCGUUAACAACUAUUUUUUAUAUUUAUGAACACUUAUGGUCCUUACUUUAUUUUUAUUAUAUGUAAAUAUCAACUUUUUUAUUUACAAUUAUAAUUUUCUCUUGAUUUUUAAAAAUACGUUAACAACAUUUAUAUAUAUUUUUUUUUGCGUUCAAAAAAUUAUCUAACUCGUAGCAAAGUGAAUUAAAUAAAUGCAUCAACACUUUUUUUUUUGUAUUUAUGAUUAGGAUUUGUUUUUGUUAAAAAUGCAAUUGAAAAGCAUACAAAUUUAUUUUUUGCUAAAAACAAUUUUGUGAUCCAUACCGAAGUGCGAGUUAAAUAACUACGUAUAUGGCUAUAGUAAGUCUUUUAGUAUAUGUGGAUGUAGGAAGCAAUGCGUUAUAUUAUUAGUUAGAUAUAACUUACCUAUUCAUUAUUAAAAAAAACAUAAAAUAAAUAAAUAUAUUAAUAGAAACCUAAAAGAGGUCGGCUGAAAUAUAAUAUUUUUGUCCUUUUUUUUAUUUUGUUUCACAUUUCUCAAUUAAGAGAAUCAUGAUACAAUAAAAUGCAUUUGAAACACCAUCCUAUUUUUCUAUUAAAUUAAAAAUUAACUUCCUGAUGCAACCAUAUUAUUCGAUAGUUUCACCCACAUUUAACUAGUGUUUUGCCUAUGUUUUAUAUAUAAAAUGCCUUGAUAUUCUUUGUUUUAUGUUUUGAAGGCACUUUUGGAUGAAAGAUGCAAAAAGGAGUAAAUUGGAGAUAAUUGGCAGAUUUGACCUUCAGUCGAUGUUUUGUGCAGAGCGUGAGCUCUAGAGGUUGAAAUGAAGUGAUUCCAGUGGCAUUAAAAAGCUAACAUCCAUACCUUUCUGGAAAUCUAAGGCAAGAAAAUAAAAUAAGGAAGAGCAUGGAAAUCACAGCCUUCAAAGUCAAAACAGAUUUGCUUUCUUUUUCCCUUAUCUUUUAUUUUUCGCAUUUUACUUUAUUUUUGUCAUUCUUCAAUAUUCCUUUUCUUUUAUUUCAACAUUGAGGACAAUGUUGUGUUUUAAGUGUGGGGGUAUUGGGAGAAUGUUGGUUUUCUAAUUUUGGUUUUCUUUGUUAUUUUUCAAAAUAAAAAAAAAUUAUGUUUGAUCUUUUGAACUCCCAUUGGUUUUUGAGAAUAUGAGUAUUAUGUAUGAGAAUUAGUUGAGAUAGAUGAAGAUAUAAAUAAAAUGAAUGAGUGUGCAUGCAAGUUUUAAGGUUUAAUUGGUUUAGGGAUUGACUUUGAGAAUCUGUCAUGUUGACUUUAUAGUGUUAUACCAAUGCAAGCUUUUGAGCCUUCAACAUUAUAUUCUUUUAUUGUGCCUUCUUUCAAUGAUAUGUAUCUUUAGAACUUGUUUCAUAUCUUGUUGAGAUUACAUUCAUAUUACAUAUAUACAUGAAGAUAAUAAAGGCAUUAGGAAUUUUAACCACUUGAGCCAAAAAGCCAACCUAAAGCAUAUUAUCCUUAGUGAGCCCCUUUUGAGCUUGUUUAUCUUUUCUUUGCUUUAUCCAUGUAUAAGCCUUAACUUUUUAUAUGUUUUCCUUUUCCCCUGGCCAAGGAUUAGUAGAGCAUAUACUUAUGAUAUCUCAUGGAAUUAUGGUUGGAAAUUAUGCGAAAAGAAAGAAGAAGUGAUGCUUGAUGAAAAGAUGGGCAAAGUUGCCGAAGGUCAAAAAAAAAAAAGGAAAAAAAAAGAAAAAAAAGAAAAGAAAAAGAAAAAGAAAAAAGUGUUCCUUUAUGUUCUUAAUAUUUUAUAUUGAAAAAGCUUGAAAUCAAAAGAAGUUAAGCAUUGGUGAUUAAAGAUGGAAAAUUUAUGUGCUUUGAUGGAAUAUCUUGUUUGAAAUAUCAUUUUUCAGAAUGCUCUACUUUCUUUGGUUUGAACCUUUUGUUUUACUCUCUUUUACCUCACCUUAACCUUAGCCCCAUUACAACCAGAAAAUAAGACCUUUUGAUUCAUGCAUUGUUUGUAAUAUGUUAUUAAUGGGGAUGAGAUUGAAGAGCAAGCUUAUGGUAGAACAUAUUCAUUGAUUGAAUUUGAGAGAUUUAAACACAUAAGCCCUAAACACGUGAGUGUUGGAGUAUAUAUCAAUGAGAGGACCUAUCACUUUGGCAUGGCAUAGAUUUCAUUUAAAUCUCGACGAUUAAUUGACUUUUGAAGUUUGCAUGUAAAUAAAUUCAUGAAAAUUUAUACUCUUUAUCCUUCUUAAUUGUGUUCUUGUUUAUAAUGCAUAUAUUCUUGGAUAUUGAUGGGAGAUUAGAAGAUUAGUCAUAGUGAUUUCAUUUAAUUUAACUUCAAUUUGAUUUUACCUAUCCUUUCUCGAGGACGAGCAAGAGCUAAGUGUGGGGGUAUUUGAUGCAACCAUAUUAUUCUAUAGUUUCACCCACAUUUAACUAGUGUUUUGCCUAUGUUUUAUAUAUAAAAUGCCUUGAUAUUCUUUGUUUUAUGUUUUGAAGGCACUUUUGGAUGAAAGAUGCAAAAAGGAGUAAAUUGGAGAUAAUUGGCAGAUUUGACCUUCAGUCGAUGUUUUGUGCAGAGCGUGAGCUCUAGAGGUUGAAAUGAAGUGAUUCCAGUGGCAUUAAAAAGCUAACAUCCAUACCUUUCUGGACAUCUAAGGCAAGAAAAUAAAAUAAGGAAGAGCAUGGAAAUCGCAGCCUUCAAAGUCAAAUCUCGCAAUCUGCCAGUGUUGACCUUCGGCCAUUCCGACUUGAAUAUCUGGAGCUACAGAAGUCCAAUUGAUGCAAACUCAAUUGUUUUGGAUUCAUGUCUCAAAGGUCUAUAAACGCUCCACAUUUCAGCCCAAACCGAUUUCAUAUGAGGGAGAUAUGAUUUUUCAAAGAUGACAACUGAAUUCUGCCAGCAAACAGGUUUCGUGAAGAAACGAGUCCAAAUUACGUUCCGAAGCAUCUAAACCGAUAUCCAAGUUUGUAUUUCAGCAAUUUAGCUCCUCUAAGUCAAAGCUUGAAGAUUUCAUGCAAGGCUAUUUCUCCUUUUUUAGGAAAAUAGUUAUUGAAGUACUUAAAUGUAAACAGUCUACUUAAUGGAGGACUAUUUUGUAAAAUAGAGACCUAGGGUUUCCUAGGAUAUAAAAAGAAUGAGAGAAGAGAAGGGGGGAGGCAGCCAAGAAGAGAAAAACGCCCCCUUCCUCUAAGAAACCCUAAAUUAUGCAUUCUUCCUUCUUUUUGAUUAGUUGUUCAACAAACAUGCAAGGCUAAACACUUUUUCUUGGUUGCAAGAACACGGAAACCUUCGGAUUUCAAGAACUGUGAGAUUUAUUUUACCUUUUCUUUUCAGUUUAUAUGAUGAAUAUGUUUGUUCUCCUAUGCUUAUUUUUCCUAUGAUUGUUUAUUUUAAUUGCUAGAGCGGACUCUAAGUUAUUAUUGUAGACAAUCUAUUGUUAAUUUUGAUAUCAAAACCGGAGUUGUGGUAUAUGAACUUGUGAAGCAACUGAGUUUAAUAAUUGUGGCGGAUCUACGUUAUUAAUCUUAGGGAGAACAUUCAAUCAAAUCAAACAUAGACUGCGGACAGUUAUGUUUUCUUGAUUAAUCAACUUAUCUAGUUCUUAAGGCUGCCAUUGAAUUAAAUUACUAGUGCGGACACUGUGGUUGUUUGAUGGUUAGGGCUAGUUAUACGGCGGAUCCGUUAACUAACCAAUGUUAAGAAGAGAUAAAUAUUCAGAAUAUAAAUUGAUGUUUCGUUUCCAUGAUCAGUUCUGAUUUUUGUAGGUGGAUGUGUGCUUCUGACCAAGGUUUGUUCUCUUGAUAAUUUUCUGAUUUUAUUAAAUUUAGUUUGAUAGUUUUCUGUUUUCUUUUGCUUUAGCCUAGAUAAUGUCCAAACCCCCCCAAAUUGCAUAUCAUCUAGCAUAAAAAUCUGACUUGAAUCUUCCUCGUGGGAUCGACCCCUUGCUUGCUCUAUACUAUCUUGUGUGUUGUGUUUGAAGCUAGGGUAAUUAAUUUGUGCGACCGCGACAUCGCAACACUUCCUACAUGGGGUGCGUUGCGUUAACAAUUGUUUUUGUAUUUAUUAACAUAUAUGAUCCUCAAUUGAUUUUAUUAUAUGUAAACAUCAACUUUUUUUAUUCACAAUUAUAUUUUUUUCUCUCGAUAUCUAAAAAUACAUCAACAACACAUAUACAUCCAUUCUUUUGUGUUGGAAAAUAUUAUCUGACCCAUAGCGAAGCGAGUUAAAUAAACACGUCAAUACCUUUUUUUUGUAUUUAUUAUUAGGGUUUUUUUUUGUUAAAAAUACAUUUGAAAAGCAUUCAUAUUUAUUUAUUUUGCUAAAAAACAUUUCUGAUCUAUAGUAAAGUGCGAGUCAAAUAACUACUAAUAUGGCUAUAGUGAGUGUUUUUUUAGUAUAUGUGGAUGUAGGUAGCAAUGUGUUAUAUUAUUAGUUAGAUAUAACUUACCUAUUCAUUAUAAAAAUAAAUAAAUAAAUAUGCUGAAACAAUAUAGUCCCCGAGAGGAAAUAUUGUGAAUUCACACAAUGUUUACUUUCUCUUUUUUUGUCCUUUUUUUAUUUAGUGAUCUUUGAUGAUGAAUUGAUUAAGAUUUGAGAUGGGUACUGUAUUUUUAUUUACCUUUUUUAUAGUUAUCUUGCUCUCAAUAAAACAUCUUGAUAUUAGAACAAUGCUCAAUUUCACAAAAAAAAAAUUAAUGUUUGUAAGAAAUUGAAAAUGAAAAGAUCAAAAUUGAAACAAAUAAAAAACUAUUUAAAAAAAAAAUGGUGUCAACUUUGCCUUUUGUUUUUUGCUUUUGAUCAUCUACUUUUUUUAUAAAAAAAAAAUUAAUAUUUCAAUGCUGUGUUAAUUGGAAUUUGAAGUUGGUAAUUUGAUAUAAGUUGGUAAUUUUAUAUGAGCAUCUAGAACUAAAUAAAAAGCCGCACCAUUGGUUUGGUGCUCGACUUUACAAAAAAAAAAUCGAUUAUAUUGUUUGAGAAAAAAUAAAAAAUAAAAAAUAAAAAUUAAAACAUGAAAAAAAAAAUAAGGGGCCUUAAAAAAACAAAUUGUGUCAACGCCUCCAUGCCUUGUAAUUUUAAUAAAUCUUCUUUUUGGUAAUGAAACUUUUUGAUACAAAACUUUAUUUUACUUGUAUUUUAAUUCUUGAGGUUGAGAAAGAAAAAAGAAAUUCAUCAAAAAAUUAGAAAGAAAAGAGAAAAUUAGCGAAAGCCAGCAAGGUAUCUGCUCGAAAAAACCAUUCAACAUAAGAUUGCUCUGCUAGGAAAACAUGAUAUCAGUAUCAAACUUUUGAACAAAGAGUUCAGCAUCAAGUCUCAGUCAUCUUGAGAUUUGAAUUGCUCAUACAACAACAUUUUUAAUAAUGCAUUAGAAACAGAACAUCAAACAAAGAGUUCAGCAUCAAGGAGAACGCAUGAAAGUCCACACAUUAAACCAAAAGAAACACAAAUGGCCAAGCAAACAUACGCCCUUACUUCUGGAGGCUUGUACGAUAAUGGGCAAGCAUCAUUGUUUUUUUUACUAUUAACCAUCACCAUCACCAUCACCAUCUUCUUCUUCUUAUACUUCUUUCCACCCUUUAUUUCUGGUCCACUCUCUAUUAAUGCUUGAAUCUUCAGCUACUUCAGAUACCUGUAAACCAAUCCAAGCAUGGCAUGCUCAUUUAACUUGUAAAUCUUAUUAUUGAGAGAAACAAGAAACAAACACACUAAAAGAGAGGCAAGAAAUAAAGUUAAAUCAUCAGCAGCACCUCUGAGCGAGCACUCAUUGAACCAUCUGGUGUAGUAGCAAAUUUUGUGGUCAGCUUUGGACAUUGAUGGACCUUCAACUUCUCCAAACGAGGGAAUAAGAAAUAAUCACACCAUCCGAAACUAAAACAGACAAUACUUGAUAAUUGUUGUAGCGACAACUCCUUUAGAUUAGGAAGCACUAUCUCCUUCUCAACGUUGAUAGGUGAAGCUUGAUCAUCCUGCCCAGGAGACUCUGGAAUUAUUUCCCUUUUACCAUCCUCUUCUCUGAUUAUAUGCUUCAAUUGACCGCAUUUACUUAUGGAAAGCCUUUCUAGCUUUGGCAGACUUUGUGUGAGGGACGGUGUGAAGAUAAAUGGCAGUUUGUCGAGAGAAUCCAAACUCAGAAUAUUAAGACUUUGGAGGCUGACAUGUCCGGUGGGCCCCUUCCAUAUGCAUUUGACCUCAGGUAACCUUCGCAGCUCUAACUUUGUUAAAGAUGACAGCAGCUCCUUCUCCUCACUGCUUCCUUCAUCAGCCUCACCUAAUUCAAAUACCUCUUCCAAUGAUUUGCAGCCGCCAACAAUCACCUCCUUUAGAUUGUUCAAAGCUCGCAGCAAUUUUGCUGGAAACGGAGCGCGAACAUCCCCACAAUCGUCCACUUGUACAAUUUCUAAUCUUUGUACGGAGCCGUUUUGCUGCACAUGGCCGGCCAUCUUAUCAGAGAACAAUAUUAUAUUUUUUCACUCUCAUAAAAACAAUUUAUAUGAUGUAUAAAUAGGAGAAAAAAGAAGAAAAAACAGGAUUACAUACUUUUUAGAGGUUACAUAUUAUUGUUUCAGUUUUUUUCUUAAUUAGAGAUAAGUUAAAUAAUAAUUAGAUUUUUUGCGAAAAAAGGUUACUACAACUCCUAAUAAUUAGUUUCAUGUAAAAAAUAAAAAUAAAAAUAGUAACUAAUAUUUUUACUUUAGUUAAAAAGUUAAUAAAUUUUUAAAGAUAUUUUAACUGAAUUAAAUAUUUGAACACAAAAUAAGCUAAUAAUAAUUAGUUUCAUGAGGCAGUUAAAUCUAACAGAUAAUAUGUUCUUUCAUAUGAUUAAUUUUUAAUAACGCAGACAACAAUGAGGCAGUUAAGUUCUUAUAUUUAUAUAUGUUUAGAUAAAAAUAAAAAUGAGCAUUUAUCAAUUACUUUACUUUUAGAAAUUGGGAGGAAGAGAGAAUAAAUUAUCGCAAUUGACAAUUUAAAUUAAGUGGAGAAAUAUAAAUUACGUACUUGUAGCUGUGCCAACCAAUUACCCACUCCUUCGUGGCCUCCAAUGGUUAAGUCUUGCAAAGGCAAUUGAGCAUCAAAAUUCCUUGGACCUAAAAAGCUGUAAUUUGAUCUGAGCCGAAGAGACACUUGUCUUAGGUGAGGGAACUUGAUGAUGCCAUCUCUGUUACGAGACAAAGAGACUGGGAAGACAUAUUCCAGUUUACCACAGUGAGAUAUGAAGAGAGUUUUUAAUAGUGGGAAGCAAGGAGACUCUGGAAUUAUUUCCCUUUCACCAUCCUCUUCUCUGAUAAUAUGCUUCAAUUUACCGCAUUCAUUUAUGUAAAGCCUUUCUAGCUUUGGCAGACUUCGAGCGAGGGACGGUGUGAAGAUAAAUGUCAGUUUGUUAAGAUUCCAAACAAGUAGACGAGCAAGAUUUUGGAGGCUGACAUGUCCGGUGGGCCCCUUCCAUAUGCAUUUGAGCUCAGGUAACAUUUCCAGCUGUAACUCUGUUAAAGAUGACAGCAGCUCCUUCUCCUCAGUGCUUCCUUCAUCAGCCUCACCCAAUUCAAAUACCUCUUCCAAUGAUUUGCAGUUGUAAAUGUCCACCUCCUUUAGAUUUUUUAAACCUUGCCGCAAUUUUGCUGGAAACAGAGUGAAAACAUCCCCACAACUGCUCACUUGUACAGAUUCUAAUUUAUGUAAAAACAAUUGCUCAAAUGUCUUCGCAUUUAAGGAUGUACCAACCAAAUUUAAUCUUGUCGAGGUUGGGUAUCCAUAAUUGGGCAGAAUCCGAUUCCCAAAUAUUAUAUGAUAUUUGCGCAAACUAACUGGAAAAACAAAAUCUCUGGGAAUGCAUUCAACCUUCGGUAUCCACAAUGAUAAUACGGCUAACUGAGACAACGAAUUUAGUUCUGUUAGGCUUGCAUUCAUUCCUCCUGUGCUGUCACAUCCACCAACAACAUCCCAUCCCUGAAAGCUUUCAUCCCCGAUCAACAGCUCUUCUAACUUCUUCAACCUUCCAAUCAAAUUCACAGGGAUCCUUCUUAGCAUUUCACAACCUGUCACAUCCAACAACCUUAACUCCUUGAGCUCUCCUAUUUCAUCAGGUAAUUCUUCAAUGGAUAAGCACCACGUAAGAACAAGAAUCUUAAGUCUCUGCAGCUUUCUCAACCAAAUGAGGUCCUUGCAUCCACACCUGAUCAACACCAACGAUUGAAGUUUCGUUGAGAGUUCAAGUGAUUGCAAUGACAAACACCCUCCCUUCAGAGACAAAACUUCAAUUUCUUUCAUCCCUUCGAAAAACUUCUCUGGAACAUUCAUACCAUCAU